ACAUGGAGAAGAAAGAGUGGUAGAAGGUUCCGCCGGCAAGGAUCUUGCCCAUGUUGCCGCUCGGGAUUCAAUUAGGGACCUGGAGGGUUUCGUCCUGGUGUGGGGUCGACGCACCUUGCUUCGCUGGGUGAGAAUUUGGGAUGAAGGUCCGAACAAUUGAUCGUCGGAGGCCGAUUCCGCCGCUGGACCGCAUCCCAUCGUGGCCGGUCCUCACCACCACUUAAUCACUGGUAUGAUCACGUUUCCAUAAUUCGCCAUCGACCCCUCUUCUUGUAGCAUCCGUCCAAUCGCGAUUUGGGGCACGGGCGUGCUGAUUCAUCGUGCUGCGGCGAGCUCACCGGUGGUGCUCCGGUUGCCUUCUCCCUGUCGCAACCGGGAGGUGGGAGACGAUCCAUUGGCCGUUGAUCCCCUAGCAAGCGGUUAGGAUUAGAUAAUGGGAGGACCGUUGAUCCGGGGAUGUGAGGUGGAGAAUCAAUCUGGCGUAGCCCUUCGCGCGUGCAGAUCCGGGUCGUGGAUCUGUGAUCUGAUUGGCUAGAGCGGUUAAAGCUGGUGAGAGUGUCUUCUGGCCGUUGAUUGCGGAUCCAUCGGCUCUGGUAGCAUACCGGUUGGAUUCAACGGCAGAUCUAAUCUAGAGCGUUGGUUUUUAAUCGUGCGACUGGGGCGCAUCCAUACCCCUUCGAUCCCGUACAUUUGUAUAAGAGCCCCUUGGCUUCAAGAUAAUAAACCCACCAUCCAUCCCUGUGUAGUAGAAUUACAAAUGAAUCCCAGAAACUUACAAAGCAGCCCUGUGCUAUUAAGGAAUUGUGUCCCCAGUCCAGAAUUAUUAGGGGUAUUCAUAAUUAAAUCAGAAAAUGAAUUUUAAUAUAAAAAUAAAUCCAGAAAAUUAUUUAAUUCAUAGAAAAUCUAUUCUAACUCCGAAUUGAACCAUUCUAGUGGCAUUAAUUUUGUUUUAAUAUUGUUCAUCACCUAGUACCUCUGUUUAGCCAUGAAACUUAGAUUAAAAAUUAUACACCUAGUUUCUUUUCAUCUACCACUUAAAAUUUCGGAAAAUCAUAAUUAAUUCAUUUUAACCCUGUUUUAAUCUGUUCAAAUUGCAUUAGCUUCAUAAUAAAAUUGCUCAGGCAUUAGUGACACUGUUUUGUCAUGUUCUUAAAAUAAUUAAAUACAUAUACUUAUAGGGUUAACUAUCCUAGCCCAAUGAAAAGAGGUAUUUUAAUUUGGUUCCUCUAAAAUUGACUAAAGUAUGAUCUUUAAGUAGAUUAUAAAUUAGAGUAAAAGUUGAGUAGUCAUAUCUUUAAUAUCCUUACUCAUAUAGUUUACAUAAUCAACAUAGAAUAUAGUUUUACAUACUUAAUCUUCAAUAUCUUCAAUAAAUCAUAACUCCUUAACCGUAGCUCCGAAUUUAAUGGUUCUCGAACCCACGAUCUCGUAGCGACGCGUAGAUUAUUAUUACGUAGUUUAUUCUUAUGUUUGGUGUGAUGUUAAUUUUACCUAUACCAUUUUUGUCUAUAUUGCUACGAUUAGCGCGAGGUCACGAGUCAUCUGAAGAGCAAGUUGGUACCUGGAAUCUCAAGUCCCAGGCAAGUUGUGCCCUUAAUCACUUCUUUUUACCCAGUCAUGUUCUGAUUAAUGAUAAUGAUCUGCAUAGGUUAAUUUUGAUGGGAUCCAAUAGGUUACCCUAGUUUGACUAUCUUUAUACCUUGUUUACCACUGAAGUUUUGGGUAGUACCUGCUAUUGCUUUAUGUGGUUUUGGGUAUAGAGAUACACAUUAUUCAUGAUUAUACUUUUAUUAUCAGUUGUUAUUUACUAUUCAUGUUAAGAUCAUUAUGUUAAUUGGAACAUGGAGCGACCACCCAGGAAAACAGUGCUACCACAAGGGUGGUAUGGGAUGCCCUUGGCUGACUAAUUAGGAAAGCUAAUGGAGGACUACCUUACCCGAAAUGGGCAAGGACAGUAGGGGAGUGGUCAGUGUAGGGAGGCCCUUGGGUUUAUUUUGUUGCGAUGGCGGUCGGGCGAGGAGUCCCUGCAAUGGAGCUUCCUAUAAACUGUAGCGGGUUUUCUGAAGCUAGUGGAACUUUGUAAAGGCCUCGUAGUGUUACCCUGCCUCGCCUCCUCAGUAGAGUUGUAUGGGAUUGGCCUUCUCUUGGCAUAUGGGUAACAUGACUUGUGGGUAAAGAUGUGCAACCUCUGCAGAGUGUAAAGCUGGUAUAUCAGCCGUGCUCACGGUCAUGAGCAGCUCGGACCGUCACAUGAUUAAUUUAUGGAACUAAAUUCAAUUUGUCAUAUACAUUGCAUUGCGAGUGUUGUUAUUACUUUUGUUCUACUACUUAAUUGGGUUGGUAUUUACUUAUACUUAGUAAUUGCUAAUAAAAUUUUGACCAAAUUUAAAAGCAAUGCUUAGCUUCAACCAUCCUCAUUGGUAAGCCUUACACUUCACAUGAGCUCCCACCUUUGGUGAGUUCAUGCACAUUAUUCCCCACAACUUGUUGAGCGAUGAACGUAUGUGAGCUCACUCUUGCUGUCUCACACCCCCCAUAGGUUAAGAACAGGUACAACAUGAUGAGACGCAUGGAGGAUGCUGUGAUGAGUACGUGAGUGGUCUAGGGCAUCGUCUCCCAGUCAACUUUGGGUUGCUGGAUCGUUGUCUCCUUAUGAUGUAAUUAUUUAUUUAUUUUGUACAAAACUCCUAUUAUAUAGUAAAGAUGUGACAUUCGUUUCUGUACCACUAUUCAUCAUAUGUGUGAGACUUGGUCCCAGCACACCUGGUGAUUAUUUUGCACCCGGGUUUUGGACCCCUAAAACCUGGGUGUGACAUAGGAUUACCUAGAAAUACCAACCCUAUUCCUUGAUUACCCUGGGAUAAACACUAUGCUUAGUAAAUGUGCUAUGGCUCAACUUGAUCAUUAUGAUGUCACUCUUUAAUGAUACUUUUGUUUCAGAAAUGAAAUUUGUAUUAUGAUGUUAACCCGAUGGUUAAACAAGAUCAUUUCGUAUUAAAUGUAACAUGGAGUGACCACCUAGGAUAACAGUGCAACCACUAGUGCUAUCAUGGCUCUGGCUUUGGUAAAUAGCUCUAUAAACUUAGUGCUUAGCUACCCUACCUGAAAGAUGGGCAAGAGGGGGCGGCAAUGGUUUGGUGGCAGCUCAUGUUAACAUGGGGUGGUAGUCUUGGCUAAGUUACCUCGCCCAAAGGGUCACCAAUACUGACGUGGAAACCUUAGCGGGUGGCUUUGUACUAUGGAUAUUUUAUGAAAGCCUCAUAAUGGAUCCCUAGCUUUUCACCUCGGCAGUGUUAACGGGUCCGUACAACCCAGGCUAGAUGGGAUACAUGGCUUCUGGGUAAAGUUGUACCAUCUCUAUAGAGUGUAAAACUGAUAUGUCACCCGUGCUCACGGUUAAGAGCAACCUAGACCCUCACAUGAUAACUGAACUUAAAGAUGGAGAAUAAAUUGUGAUCCGAUGGUUUAUAAAUGGUUUGCUUAAGUGGUUUCACUUAAGUGUUUUUGAUAUAAUCAUAUGCUUAUAAUUAAUUGGGAAUUUUUGGGAUACACUUACAAUUAGUAAGUUAGGCGUUGUUAAUAAAUUAUUAACCAUAACCUACCUUGUUUACCUUGCAUAACUCCUCCCACUUGCUGAGCCCCCACCAUAAGUGACCUCACUCCUUGCUAGAUUUUUUAUCAGAAGCUGAUGAGGAAGACUGUGACGAUGGUGAUGACAAGUACUGAGUCUAGCGAUGCGCCAGUCAUCUUCCCAUGGAAGAUUACCCUUGCUAUUUCUGAUGUACUUUGAUAAUGAUACUAUUUAAGACUUUUAUGUCUGGAUGAUGUAAUAAAGUUAUUAUACUCUUUUUACACCAUUAUUGCAUUGUCUUUUGAUAUAUUACACUUGUGACGUCAACAUAUGUGUGGAAAAUGGAUCCUGGCACACAUAUGAUAUGCAUUUGGUUUUGCCCCUAAAACCGGGUGUGACAGAUGUGGUAUCAAAGUUAUGCUGACUCUAGAUCGUUAGACUAGUUAGAAAUGGAAAGCCCAGUCUGUUCAAAAUAUGCUUAUUUUGCUCUUUCAAAUUUAUUUUAUUAAUCUUGUCUCUUUAAAAUUCAACUAAGGUGACACUUUCUCUUGUAGAUGGUGCGUACUCUCCAAACCACCCGUGUAAACACCAACCAUAUCCCUCCGCCACGGCAGGCUCCAUUCUACCCAGUGGUAGUGGAAGAAGUCCUGUGGAGCUACACCACCUUCAAGUGAGGAAUAGUGUAAUCUUGGAGGACAGUUCUCAGGAGAUUUUGGCAACACCCACUCCAUUGUCAGAGUCUCAUGCCUUUGCUACGGAAGCUUCAUCUUUAGCACUACCUAUACCAAUAGCUUAAGCCCCGGCUCCUGCAGGUGAUGACCCAGAUGAUUCUGGCGAUGAUGAUGAAGAAGAGGAAAACAAUGACAACAUUGAGGAUGUCAACAAUGAACCAGAAGACAACUUCGUUGGAUUGCGGCCUAUCGCAGAACAUUACACUUCAAUGUUCGAGAUGGGACACUUUCCAAACUUACUGUAGGAUGUGCUGCAUGCGUUGGGAACCUAUGUUUGACCUCUAUAUGACACAAGGCGAGUGUCUGAGCCUCCUCAGGCUUGUUUAUUACAUCACUCGCAUGCAUAUCAGAGUGUUGGAUGCAGGAAAUAGAGGUUUUAGGACUCUAUCAUCUCACGAGUCUCUGGCGCCGCUAUCAACCUACACUACUUUGGUCAGCAGUGAUGCUCGGAGAGCUCUAUGGUCUCUCAGCCAUAACUAUCAACAGCAGCUGCAUGACACGACGUACAUGCACCUUCCCCUACGCCCUCAUGGAGAAAGCCAGAAAAGUGUUGUUCUAGGUGAAGCUGGAGAAGAUCGCCUCAACACCCUUGUAGGUGUGGUGGCAUGUCUUAACACCGACCUGGACAGUGCUACCCUGGAUCUUUCAAGGGUACACGAAGAACUUGAAGACGCACAUGCAAGGAUUGCAGCCCUCGAAGCUCAACUCGAAGGGAGGAAUCCACCCGAAGCACAAGUCCCUGCCAUAGCUGUGUCCCCGCCCCGCAAGAGGAUUCGCUAUGGAGCCCCAGGAUCUAUUACCAGGCUACUCUAGAUUUAUAUAAGUCAUAUUGUAAUAAGUUCGAUUUUGUGUUAGAUGACAAAACUCUUUAUGAUAUUAUUAUUAUAAUAACAACCAUGUGAUGGUGAUGUUUGCAUAAUGUUUGAUUUGAAUUUUUGCUUGAGUGCAAUGAUCUUAUGGAAUGAUGGCCAUAAAAACAUUUAAAAUUAACAAAUAAGCUUAACUUUAGUUAAAAACUAUUCCCCCUAGAAUCUUUCUCUACCCUUCACUCAUCUAAAGGAAUGCACUUUCUAACCAACCAGAUGGUGAACACUCGCUCAGAUCCCAAAGAGACACAAAAUCAACGUACUGGUCAAUAAUUGCCACCACCGCCAGCCAACACAACAAUGGAACAGUUCAUUGCCGCGCAGAUGACACUUCUCCAAUGCCUCACUACCUCGGUACAGCAAAUUCAGCAGAACCAACAAGAUCAACAAAAUCCCCAACAUCAGAAUGCACCCCAAGCUCGGGACAAACAUAGAGAUUUCAUGAGCCAUCAUCCCCCUGCUUUUUCUCACUCGGUUGAUACCUUGGAUGUCGAUGACUGGCUUAAGGUCAUAAGCAAGAAGUUGGACAUUAUGCAAUGUAAUGACCGAGAGAAGGUCUUGUAUGCUUCUGGAAGACUUGAAGGUGUUGCAUCCGACUGGUGGGAUGCCUUCACUGCAGCACACUCAGAUGUAGAUGCGAUAACCUGACAGGAAUUUCAGGAGAACUUCCAUGCUCAUCAUAUUCCCUCGAGGAUAAUGAAACUUAAGAAGAAGGAAUUAUUACCCCUCACUCAAGGAGCUUUGUCUAUAGUGAAUAUCGGGAUCGUUUCACACAACUUUCUCGCUAUGCACCAGAGGAGGUUGACAUAGAUGAGAAGCGCCAAUAGCGGUUCUUAGAAGGCUUGAUUGGACCUUUGAACUAUCAGCUACAAAGCCACAGUUUCCCGAAUUUCCAAACUCUGCUUAACAAGGCGAUUGGCCUCAAAAACAAAAUAAGGGAAUUAUCAGAUCAUAAGAGGAAAUUUCAGGGACAGUCUUGCCGAAACACUCGUCCACAUAACAACUCUCAAGGUUCCCAGUUUUGCUCUAGAAAUCAGAGUGGAAAUAAUAAUUAUCAAAUGCAACGCUCUGGACUACAAGGACAGAGAAGCAACCAAUACCAGAACCAACAGAGGAACAACUCUUAGACCGACAAAAGAUUUAGUGGUUAUUAGCAGAAUCAUCAAGGAAGCGUCGUGAACACACCAGCCAAGAAUAACAAUACAACUACCCUAGUUUUGCCUAGUGGAUGUUUUAAUUGUGGAGAAGUUGGUCAUUAUGCCAACAACUGCCCAAAGCGCAACCCACAGACACUCCAAAGGAACAACAAUCAAAGGGUUGAUCAGAAUACACCUACUCGUGGUACUGCAUAGAACAAGACUCCGCAGAACCAGAGUAAGGGAAGAAUAAAACAUGUGACUGCAGAAACAGUUACAGAGGAUGUCGACGUGGUGUAUGGUAUGUUCCUUAUUAACUCCAUACAUGCAUCAGUUUUAUUUGAUUCUAGAGCAUCUCACUCUUUCAUAACAAAGUCAUUUGUGAAAAAGCAUAACAUAUCAAACUAUCCUUUUAAGAGGAAAUUAUUAAUUAGAUCACUAGGAGGUGAAAUUAGAGCCACUCACUCGUGCCCUCAAACUAAGCUUGAGAUUAGAGGAAUAAGCUUUCUUGUAGAGCUGAUAUUUUUGGAGUCAAGUGGAAUCGAUGUGAUACUUGUAAUAGGUUACUUGUCCAAUUAUGAUGGAGUAAUAUCUUGUGCUAAUAGAAUGGUUACAUUAACAAGUUCGCAAGGAGAAAGAAUUAAAGUCAAUGUUAACAUGCCAGCAGAAGCAAAAGCCAUGGUAAAUCAUUUGGAGGAGAAAUCUGUGGAAACAUAAGAAUAGUGUGUGAAUACCCAGACGUAUUUAUAGAGGAAUUACCAGGUAUGCCACCUGAUCGUGAUAUAAAAUUCUCUAUUGAAUUAUUACCUGGAACUACACCUAUUUCAAAAAGACCUUAUAGAAUAGAUGUAAAGGAUUCAGUUAAACUGAAGAAAAAAAUGGAAGAAUUAUUGGAAAAAGGUUUUAUUCACCCAAGUUUGUCUCCUUGGGGAGCCCCAGUUCUAUUUGUGAACAAGAAAUAUGGUUCGUGAAGAAUGUGUGUCGAUUAUAGAAGUUUGAACGAUGUAACAGUCAAGAACAAAUUCCCUUUACCUCAGAAUGAAGAUUUGUUUGAUCAGAUGAGAGGAGCUAAGAUAUUCUCAAAGAUAGAUCUAAGGUCAGGCUAUCAUUAGUUGAAGAUUCGAACUAAAGAUGUACCUAAGACAACCUUUACUACAAGAUAUGGAUUAUACGAAUUUUUGGUCAUGUCAUUUGGGCUAACUAAUGCACCAGCAUACUUUAUGAACUUGAUGAAUAAAGUAUUCAUGGAGUACCUAGACCAGUUUGUGGUUGUAUUCAUCGACGAUAUACUAGUAUACUCUCAGAAUGAAGAAACACAUGAAGAUCAUCUAAGAUUAGUUCUGCAGAAACUUCGUGACAACCAGUUGUAUGCAAAGUUCUCAAAGUGUGAUUUUUGGCUGAAGGAAGUCGCUUUCCUAGGACAUAUUAUCAUAGAUGGAGGAAUCAAGGUAGACCCCGGUAAAAUAAGUGAAAUAUUAAAUUGGAAGCAACCAACAGAUGUGUCCAAGAUCAGGAGUUUCCUUGGAUUAGCAAGGUACUACAGAAGAUUCAUCGAAGGCUUCUCCAAGAUAGUGAAACCUCUUACUUCACUGCUGGACAAAGGUAAAGAGUUUAAGUGGUAUGAAGCAUGUCAGAAAUGUUUUGAAGAAUUAAAGGAAAAGCUAACCACCGCACCAGUCUUAUUAAUGUCUGAUAUUCACAAAGGAUUUGAUGUGUAUUGUGAUGCAUCACAUCUAGGAUUUGGAUGUGUGUUAAUGCAUGAAGGAAAGGUAAUAGCUUAUGCCUCAAGACAGUUGAGAAAACAUGAAAACAAUUACUCGACACAUGAUUUGGAAUUAGCUGUCGUAGUGCACACUUUGAAGAUUUGGAGACACUACAUGAUUGGAAACAAGUGAAAAAUCUUCACAGAUCACAAAAGCUUGAAAUAUAUAUUUACUCGGAAAGAACUCAACCUAAGACAUCGAAGAUGGCUUGAGUUAAUCAAAGAUUAUGAUUUGGAUAUACAGUAUUACCCAGAAAAAGCAAACGUAGUGGCAGAUGCUUUGAGUCGUAAACGUCAAGUGAACAGUAUUGCUACCUAUUUGAUGCUGCAAGAAUUAUGUUGGGAAAUCGAACAGCUUAAUCUUAGUAUGGUUAAUAAUACAGAAGCGACCAUUAUGGAAGUGGAAUUUGCUUUGGAACAAGAGAUUCAUAAAGGACAAGAAUCCGAUGAGAAAAUUAAGGAAAUUAAAACACAGAUUAAUUUGGGGAAGGCCUCUGACUUCACAGAAGAUGAACAAGGCACAAUUUUGUUUAAGAAGAGGAUCUGUGUACCAAAAAUUGAACAUCUACGCCAACUUAUUUUGAGAGAAGCUCAUGAUUCGGCUUAUUCUAUACACCAUGGAAGUACUAAGAUGUACCAGGAUCUAAAGGAAAAAUAUUGGUGGUAUGGUUUGAAAAGAGAUGUUGCUAUGUUGCACUAUGUGAUGUAUGUCAAUGAGUUAAGGCAGAACAUCAAAGACCAGUAGGUUUGCUACAACCUCUUAAAGUACCUGAAUAGAAAUGAGAAGAAAUUGGUAUGGAUUUCAUAGUUGAAUUACCCCGUACUCAUGAUGGUUAUGAUUCCAUAUGGGUUAUUGUAGACAGGUUGACUAAAGUUGCACACUUUAUACCUGUGAAGACAACUUACUCAGGAGCUCAAUUAGCCAAACUGUAUAUGUCAAGGAUUGUUUGUCUACACGGAGUACCAAAGAAAAUUGUGUCAGAUAGAGUAACCCAAUUUACCUCACGCUUUUGGAAAAGAUUACAUGAAUCUAUGGACACUAAGCUAAAUUUCAGCUCAGCUUACCAUCCACGGACAGAUGGACAAACAGAAAGAACAAAUCAAGUAUUAGAGGAUAUGUUAAGAGCUCGUGCUUUAAAAUAUGGUAAAAGUUGGGAUAAGAGUUUGCCAUAUGCAGAGUUCUCUUAAAACAAUAGUUACCAAGCAAGUUUAAAGAUGCCACCUUUUGAAGCACUCUAUGGAAGGAAAUGAAGAACACCACUAUAUUGGAAUCAAAUGGGAGAAAGUCAAGUGUUUGGUCCAGAAAUUCUUCAGGAAGCAGAAAAGCAAGUGCAAUUUGUUAGAGAGAAUCUGAAAACAGCACAAUCAAGACAGAAAAGCUAUGCUGACAAUAGAAGAAGAGAAAUAAUCUUCAAAGUUGGAGACUUCGUGUAUCUUAAGGUUUCCCCAAUGAGAGGAAUGAGAAGAUUUAAAGUUAAAGGCAAAUUAUCUCCCUGUUAUAUUGGUCCAUUCAACAUUUUGGAAAGGAAAGGAGAAGUAGCAUAUCAGUUGGAACUACCCGACAGUUUAUCCUACGUGUAUGACGUAUUUCAUGUGUCACAACUCAAGAAAUUUUUAAGAGUACCAGAAGAAUAGUUACCCAUGGAAGAAUUGAACAUUAAUGAGGAUUUGACUUCUUCUGAGUAUCCGAUUAGAAUUUCGGAAACAUCACGAAGAAUUACUCAGAGUAAGUUAUCAAUAUGUGCAAAGUUGGGAAAGAGAAGAUGAACUCAAAACGGAAUUCCUCUACCUAUUUUCAGAAGUUCUCUAAUCUCGAGGACGAGAUUCGUUUUAGGGGGUAGGUUUUGUAACACCUCAAAUCCAUCAAUUUAAAAUAAUACGUUAAUAGUUAUUUAAAACCUAGUGGGGAAUAAAGUAGAAAUUUAAAACAAGUGUUUGACCUCAUUUGUCUUUAGAGAAUGAUUUUUUUGUUUUCUCAUAAUUGAUUGAUGAUUUUAUAAAAUCCCUUUUAUGUGAAACCCACUUAAUUAAAAUAGGAACUUUGGUCCAAAAAUAAAUAUUUUAAUUAGAAAUAAUUUUGGUAUAAUUAUUAUGAUUUUUUGAAGUAUUUAAAAAAUAUUUAUUUCUAUUUUUAUGGGUUAUAAAAAAAGAUUUUUUUGGAAACCCUAGCUGAAUCGGCCGAUUCAGCCCAUAUAGGACUAGCUGCCACUCCCCCUCCUCUCUCCCACUGACGGGUAGGCCCCACCCAGCCCCUUUCCCUUCUUCCAUCCACUCCCAUCCUCGACCCCACGCCAUCGCGCGCGCCCGCGCUAGCGCCUGGCCGAACCGUCCGCGCCCUCUCGGCCACGCCCAACCCCUCGCCUCCUCGCGCCCGAAACCUCCAUCGACGACCCUUCCUCUCCCCCCCACUUCCCCUCCCUCCAUCAAUGGAGGUAACUGCCGCAGCCAUGAUUGGCCACCGGCCUCUCCCUCCCCGACUCUCCCUCUCCCCUCUAUAAAACCGGCCAAUACCGAGUUCUCCCCUCCCCUGCCGAGCUCGCCCUCUCGAUCUCCCUCUCUCCCCUUCUCUCUCGCUUGACCACCACCGCCACCACACCCGUGCCCCUGCCCCGGCCUCGUCUCGGACGCGUGCCCUCACCUCGGCCACGUCCCGGACCAUCCGUGCUCGUCCCCGGACCAUACGCGCCCGUGCCUCGCCGUCGACUGCUCCUUGCUCGACCCUGUUCCUCCUCUCCCUUCGUUCAUCGAUGAACUGCUCGAACGCAAGAACUAGAGGUUGAAGACAACUCAAAUUUUAUUUAAAUUAUCAAAAUCAUGUUUUAUGUAACUAUUUGUUUUAAUUUGUGUAUAUUGUGAUUGUCGGUGGGAAAAUCCUUCGGUCGGGUGGCGGAAUGCACCCGCCCUAAUCCUAAGAUGAGGAGGGGGCCUAAUCGUUUGCCUGUUUGGUGAAUUUCCGAUGAACACAAGAGGACUCGAGGGAUUAUAGUGGUUCAGGCCGCUGGAGCGUAAUACCCAACCUCCACUGUGUGUAAGUUGUAUUGAGCGUGUCCCUUGUAACGCCGUGUCCCCUCCCUUUUAUAGUUUAAGGGGGGUACAUACAAGGAUGCUGAGCUCCGACAUGCGGGCCCAGGAGCAUAAUGGAAGGAAUACAUUAUGUGAAUAAUUAAUGCUGAUAGCACAUAUGAGUAGAGGUGUAUAGGCGGAGUCGUUUAGAUUCCCCCGUCUUAGUAACGCGUGAGUAAUCAGCGGGAGUCAUGAUGACUGCAGUCCAUGCAGUAUUGAUAGGCAGUGACCCUUUUCCUGGUAACACAGGAGUAAUGGUGAGUCAUUGUCCUUGCUAUGGUAACGUGUGAGUAACAGCACGGCCCACGCAACGUGGACUGGGCGCGCCUCCUGUCACUGGAAUAGACAAACGCACGUCUUAUCCAUAAUAAAUGCAAAGACGCGUGUAGCCUAGAGGCUUUAUGUCAGGCUCCGCCCGUUGGCUUACGCCGCACGCAGUAGGCCACAUGGCAGCAUCGGGUCUCCACCUGGGCGGGGAGCAGGGGUGUAUGUGAUAAGGUCUAGAUCUCACCAGAUCAGGUCUGGACACGUGUCGGCACUGGACCCCCUCCUGGGUCUUGAUUAAGGCCCGGGUAUGCUCUGUCCUGGGACCCUGGGACCCCACUGUGGAUAGCCUGGACCCCAUACAGGGGGUCCGGAUCCCAUUCCAGGGGUCCGGUUUGCACAUGUGGAGGUACUGGACCAAACUUGGAGGCCCGGACCGUAUAUACCGGGGUCCGGCACCUUCCCAUGGGGGUCCGAACUCGCUAGUGAUACCUCAGAGUAUGUCACUUUCUCUGGACAUGUGGCGGCACCGGACCCACCCAUGUGGUGGGGUCAGGUGCUGUUGCUGGCCCAGAGUAGUCGCCCGAGGCUUGGGGUGAGUCAUGGCCUGGUCCCACGCGACUAAGAAUAGCCGCAUGGGUACUGCAUCUUUAUACAGUAGUAAAGGGUACCCUAGUUUCAGGGUACAGACAGUGGCCCCCGGGCCCACAUCAGGGGAGGAUGCGAGCCUGCAGGUGGGGCCAAAGCUUGUACUUUGCCUCAACAUGGCCUGAUCGGUGAUUGGCGCGCUGUUUUCAGCACGUCUAAUGACGCGCCCACUGUCAAUCCACCUUCAGUCACGUCAAUUGUCAUAUCUGUCCCCGCGGCUGACUGACCCACGGUCCCCACGCUUGGCGGUUUCGUCGGGCCACGUGCGGGGCGCCUCGUUGCCGAUGCACUGGUUUAAAAUAACCUUUUGUCUUCUGCAGCGGCCCCAAGGAGGCAUGCUAUCGCGUGCAGCAGUUCGCAUCCUGCUCUUUCUACACCCGAAAUCUGGCAAACGAACUGUAUGACUUGUGGACCUGGGGACCCGGGCCCCCGUGUUAGACACUGGGCUGCCUGGGUCCUAGGUGCUCGUCGAACGGGAUUUCUUGCGGCGUUUCAGGGGCGAGCGGGAGAGUUUCCCUGAGAAGGGAUUCAGGUUUCCUUGAAAAAGAAUUCACCCCGCGUGCAGCAGUUACCUUUUUGCAUUCUCUCCCAAUCGGUUGCGCCCCUUUGCCUUCGUGCUCCUCUGUUCCACGCCUGCGCCGCCGCACACGCCAUGGCUUCGCUCGGUCACCCUGAUCACUUUCAGGCUGCGGAAGCGCUCAAUCUGGUGUGUCGCCUGCUUAGGUGGAGCCCACUAGGGCUCACCGGAAGAAUCCGUGCCGGCACUGCUCCCCUUGGCAAUCUCGCCGCCGGGGAGUUUGUGUUGUUCACGUCCUACAUCUCUUGUGGGUUGGCGCUGCCGAUUUCGCCCUUCUUCCUGCUACUGCUAGAGGAGUUCGGGCUUCAGCUUCAACACCUCACGCCCCACUCCAUCCUCCAGGAAGCAAUCUUCGUCCACCUCUGCGAGAUGUUCAUAGGUGUGGCCCCCUGCACUUCCCUCUCCUGCUACUUUUUCGUGCUGGUCAAGUCCGGGAAGACUAGGGACCACAUCGGUGCCUACUAUUUCUAGACGAGGCCAGAUCCGGCCAUAGUCUACAUCCCCACCUUUGGUGGUGCGAGGUGGGAAAACUGGCGCAGCGACUGGGUGAUUGCCAGCACCAAGGCCAACGACUGCCUCAUCCUGCCGAGCGAUGGGCCAACGCUCGACCGCAAGCAAUGGAGGACCAAGCCAUCCCUCUCGCCAGAGUUCCUGCCGUAUUGGACAGGAUCAAGGUUUUGGCUACGGGCGGCCUGUCAUCAAAGCACGUGGUUGGCGAUCUCCUGAAGCGUCAGAUCACGCCGCUGUAGAGGAGGUCGCGCCUAUCCUGCUGGUUCACCGGCCCGAACGACAUCGGUAGGAUCCAGCGCGGGCCGGGUAUCGAUCUGUCCUGGGAUGAGCUGGAACUCCUGGUGGGGGGAUUACUAGGGAGACUUUUGUCCCUGAAUCCCUAAUACUCCCCUAGGACAUCCCGGCGCUCUGUGAUGACCUAGGCCUGAGGACGGCGAUCUUGGCCAUGUUGCCGACCCUCGACGACAGCGGCGUGGCGGUUCGCUAGACCGGUGGCCGGGACCCCCUCCACGGGAUCCGGAUCUCCGAUGCACCGGCUGGAGGUCCCUAGCCCGCCGGUGUGGCUCACAGCGCCAAUCCCGUCGUGGCCCCCAACCCCUUGGACAAGGGCAAAGGGGCUGCAAGCAGUGCCUCCGCCCAAGGUAGCUCCAAGGGGUUGGAGGAGGAGAGGCGACACAGGAUUCGUUGCGCGGACGGGUCGCUCAUUUCGGAGCCUCCCCAGAAGUGCCAGAGGGCUGCAGGUGGGGCUGAGGAGGCCAGCUCCUAGGCCCACGACGCGCAGAGGCGCGUGAGUCCUCCAAUUCCGCCGCCACCACCACCACCAUCCGAGGGUGAUCACUCUCGGGGGCACCGGCAACAGCAAUAGCAACAGCAGGAGGAGCAGCGAUCGCCUCGCUUCCAGGGUCACUCGAAAGUCCAGGGCCCCAAGUAAGUGUAGUCCCUUUUUCCACGAGUCUAAUAAUCAUGCCGACAAGUCUUAACCCGUCAUCUGUUUGCCAGGGCUUCUUCCUCCGCUGCUCCCAAGGUCAUGCCUCCUCCGCAAGAUACCAGGUCCACCGACGGGUCUGGCUCUCAGCAGCAGGAAUCUGCUGAGGGUGGUGCUGGUGGUCCGCUCCAAGCUGCUGCUAGGACAGCGCCAGUGGCUCCCCAUGCCCCAACCGGGGAUCCGGCGGCAGCGGUGCUAGUGUCAGGUGGCAUCACAGUGGCGGAGCAGGUCCCAGCUAGGGGAUUCGCGCCCACUCCCGGCACUGGGGGUGACACAGGAGGCGCGUCCAGCUCCAACCCCCCGCCUGCUCCGGAGGAGAUGGAGGUGGUGUUUGGGCGGCGACUCCGGUCAGGUGCCGAGCAAGAAGCGGCACCAGUCCCCCUCCCCCGCAUGCUGUCCCGUGCCCACCAGGUUCUCAGUGAAACUAAGGAAGCAAUCUUGCGGGAGUGGGAGGUGCUUCAAGCUGAGCACCAGUGCCUCAGUGACUGGUGCACCCAACUGGAGGAGCGCACCAAGACGGCAUCCCGACAGUUCACCUCCGAGCGGUCCCAACUCAAGCGGGAACGCAAGGAGUACAAGAGAGACCUCCAGAGGGUGUGUGCCAGGGAGCUAGAGGUGAUCCAGAGGGAGAAGAAGGUGGAUAGGAGGGAGGAAGCUGUGACCCAGAGGGAGGCCGUCACGACAGAGUACCAGGCCAAGCUGAGUGCCCUGGAUCAGACUUUGGAAGCCCAGUGGGCCCAGCAGGUCAAGGCUGUGGAAAGGCUGUAGAGAUGGCAGCAAGAGCUCGAGGGCAAGGCCAGCGAUGUCGCCCUCGUCGAGGAAAACCUUAAGGCGAAGGAGCAGUCCUUGGACAGCGCGGGAGACGAACCUCGCCAGGCGAGAGACGGAUCUCGCCUUCAGGGAAGAAAUGCUCACCUGACGAGGCGAGUUGCUGGCCGAGCAAGAGCUCGAAGCAAAGGAAAAAGAGAAGAAGCUGGAGGAGCAGAUCUGCCAGUUCAAUGCGGCGCAGGCGGCGCCGGGCCCCCAGGCAAUGGAGGCCACCAGAAAGGCCCUCGAGGAUCUCUAGGCAGAACACCGCGCUGGGGUCCAGCACAUCGCCGAGUGGGCCGGCAAGGCAAGCACGACACUAGUGCCACUAGGGAUGAGCCCCAUCCCAGUGUCGGAGCUGCCAGUGUCGAUCUCCGAUGCCCUUCCAGUGCUGGACUCCGCUGCCAAUCGCCUCCGGUGUCUGGAUCAGAUCCUCGGUGCCCGCCUGGAGGUAGAGGGCAGCAAGCUCUACCGGGUGGUGGUUGAAUCUGUCCUGACGUGCUUCCGGAGCCACGACCCCGCCAUAUCCUUGGCGCCGGUGAUCGAUGGUCCGGUGGCCGCCACAGAAGACGCCACCCGGGAGAGUGUACAAGAUGCGGUGGAGAUUGUGGCCGCACGCUUUCAGCGUGAUCCUGCCGACGCUGAAUAGUCGAUCCUGUAGAAACAAGGCGAGGGUUCAGCUAGGGGCGGCUGUAAUAACUUUUGGUUUUGUAACAUAUUCUAAGAACCGCUAAUGAUGUAGCACUGGAACUUAAACUUAUCUGUAUGUUAUUUGUCCUUGCUGUGUGUAGCGUCAUCAACUUCCCCCUGGUACUUGGCCCCCAUGGGAGGUAGGCUCGAUGUGUCGAGGCUGGAUACCAGUACACCAAAGAUAAAAUUGGUGGUCCGGCCCCUAGGAGGUAGCCUCUACAGUUUGAGACUACCUACUACUAGACUGUAGGGAUGGCAAUUUUACCCGUGGUUUCGGGUAUCCACGGAUAUCCGACCCGCCGGUUUCGGGUUCGGGUACAAAAUUUAACCCACGGGUCUCACCCAUACCCGACCCGUGAUAAAAUUGGGUUGGGUACGGGUUUAAUAAUUUACCCGCGGGUACCGGAGGAUAUCCGAAAUUUUCAGUUUCCAUUUUUUCAGCCCACCAGAAAUCGGCCAACCCAGCCCAAUGUCCUUUAUUCAAUCACCCAGGAACCCUAGUUUUUCUCUCACGGUCUCACCUCAGGCAGUCACACACAAACUCAACCACCACUCCACCAGCCGCCAGAAAGCAGAAACCGCUCCAGCGCUCCUGCUCCUCGCCGGCGUCGACCCUGCCGCGGUGCCACACUGCCGCCUGUGUGGCUGGCUGGCUGUGUCCCUACCCGGCUUCCCCAGCUGCUUGGCCGCCACCCGCCACCGCCACUCCGCCAGCGAGGAGCGAGAUCCAGGCGAGGUGACCAAGCGAGUGCGGGCGUCCCUGCUUCCCGUGCUGGUGUCCCUGCGUCCAGGCGAAGCGACCAGGCGAGUGCGGGCGUCCCUGCGUCUGGCGUCCCUGCUCCCUGCUGUCCAUGUCGUUUGCUGUCUGCGCACUGGGAGCCGCUACCAAUUGUUGCAGAGGCUUCAUGGCGGACUGACUAACUAGACGCCGCUUCAAAUCUCAAGUCAAAUCUCAAAUCAUGUGUUGUUGUCCAAACUCCAAAGAAACUCCAAAGAAAAUCAUGUGUUGUUGCCCAGGCUUGCUUCUGUAACAAAAAUCAGAUUUAUUAUGUCUUGUUUUUUUGUUCUACCUUGUCAUUUAUCAACCAUGUGUUUUAUUUGUGUGGAGUGUAAUUAUACCCGCGGGUAUCCGAUACCCGCCCGAUACCGGAUAGGUACGGGCACGGGUACAAAAUCCUACCCACGGGUAUAGUCACGGGCGGGUAUGAGUAAUACCCGCGGUAUUGUCGCGGGCGGAUAUUUACCAUACCCGAUCCGAACUCGACCCAUAGCCAUCCCUACAGGACUGGGACCUGGACCUGCACACAGCUUCGGCUUUGAAGUUUUAGGAGCACACCCAUAGGACCCACCAUCUGGUAUCUUUCAUCCUUUGAUUCAUGCAACAUGACCUGCAGGAUUUAGCCUGAGAAUCCAAGCCGUAUGCCCGGACCCACAGGAUCACAGUUCCAAAUACUAGGACACCUGUUGCAGAGCGGUGGAGUGUGCAGGCUUAGGGUACGGAACCAUGCUAAGCAGCUACACAGCUCCGGACCAUUCCAGGAGACGAGCGUCCAUUCUCUGGAACUGGACCCGAGGUUGUCGGACCCCCUGCAGCAGUAGAGGGGUCCCAAACUGCCAGCCUGGCUACUCAAUUCGGAUUUCAUCAUACCAGCAAGGGUGGGAAAAUGUAUGGGUGGGUUAGAUAAAAAAUAAUGCUUGUAAACUGAAGUAGAAUAAAACCAUCACAAAAGCACAUCUAGGGGGUAAAUAUUUUCCUAAUAACUUGAUAUACAUGGGUGUAGACCAAUAGACCGGGCUUACGAGGGCGGGCCUCACCGGAUUGAUGUACACAUAUGCGCAACCUAGUUACAAAGGAAGAAAACUCAACCCCCCAGUUUUCCUUCUAUGGAUAGAACUUACGGAGAUGCUCUAUAUUCUAGGGAUUGGAAAGAGGUACUCCUUCUGUUGUGGCAAGGCGGACACACCCGGGUCGGCAUAUGUCCGUCACCUUGAAGGGUCCUUCCCAACUGGGGGAGAGUUUGUGGAGCCCUUCUCGGUUCAGUACUCACCUUAGGACUAGGUCCUCGACCCUGAGCUCCCUACUAUGCACAAACCGCUGGUGGUAGCGCUUGAGCGCUGGGUUGUACCGUGCAUUCCGGAUCGCCGCUCGCCAUCUACGUUCAUCGAUGAAGUCCAUGUCCUCAUGCCGCAGUUAUUCCUGCAUAGAUUCAUCGAAAGCCUGGACCCGUGGUGAGCCCAUAAUGAUUUCGGGGGGAAGACAGGCUUCAGCCAUGUAGACCAGGAAGAACGGGGUCUCCCCGGUAGCUCGGCUGGGUGUGGUCCGGUUCCUCCAUAGUACACACGGAAGCUCGUUGACCCAAUUUGCACCAUGCUUUUUUAAGCAGUCAUAAGUGUGUGUCUUGAGUCCCCUAAGGAUUACAACAUUUGCCCUCUCAGCUUGGUCGUUGCUCUUGGGAUGAGCAACAGACGCAAAGCAGAGCUGGGUGCCGAUGCCCUCGCAAUACUCUUGGAAGAGCCGACUUUUGAACUGGGUCCCGUUGUCUGUAAUGAUACGGCUUGGGACCCCAAAUCUACAAAUAAUCGACUUGAGGAAGGCAACAACAGCACCCUGGGUGAUACUGACCACAGGGGUGGCCUCUAGCCACUUUGUGAAUUUGUCGAUAGCGACGAAGAGGAAACGGUACCCGCCGACAGCCCUGGGGAAUGGUCCCAGGAUAUCCACCCCCCAUACGGUGAAUGGCCAGAAGGGUGGAAUCAUUUGCAGAGCCUGAGCCGGUGUGUGUAUCUUCUUUGCAUGAAACUGACAUGCUUUGUAGGACUUUACCAACUUAGCUGCAUCCUGGAGAGCGGUUGGCCAAUAGAAACCGUGCCGGAAGGCCUUACCAACCAGUGUGCGGGAUGAUGAAUGACUUCCGCACUCACCUCCAUGGAUCUCCGUGAGCAACUCACGGGCCUCCUCCUGGGUGAUGCACCGCAUGAGAAUGUCGUUGGCGCCACGACGGUAUAGAUCCCCUUCUACCACCGUGUAUCAUUUAGCCAACCGCAUUAUGCGCUCUGCAGACACAUGAUCUUCAGGAAGGAUAUUUUCUUUCAGGUAGUCCCAGACCUCAGAGAUCCAUGCAUCGCGACCACUCUAAGCUACUGGCUAUGGCGCUAAGAGGUUGGCAGGACCCUCUGUAGCACACACAAUCCUUGGUGGGUUCUGCAGAUGGAAUGCCACCGGGACUGCUAGCUUCGAGGUGCUAGUCUCGCCCCCUUCGCCCGGUUCGGCAAGAUGGGCGGUAGGCCUUAGCAGCCGUCUUUCGAAGACGCCCUCGGGCACGGGUGCCCAAGUUGAUGCUCUCGUGGAGAGUUCAUCUGCUGUUGAGUUGUUAGCCCGAGGAACAUGUUGCAGUUCCAGGGCAAUGAAAUCCUUUUCCAGCUUCCUUACAUGGAGGAGGUAAGCUGCGAGCCUGGGCUUGUUGCAGCUACAUUCUCCGCGGACCUGCUUGAUAAUCAGCUGGGAGUCCCCCUUCACAAGGAGCUGGCGGAUCCCUAGGGAUAGGGCCACAGUCAAGCCAAAAAUCAGUGCUUCAUACUCUGCCAUGUUGUUGGUGGCCUUGAACUCAAGGUGCACCAUGUACUUCACUUGAUCUCUGCUUGGGUCGAUGAGGACCACUCCUGCACCACCACCCUGCUGGCGGGCGGAUCCGUCGAAGAAGAGCGUCCGGUGGGGCUCGGUGAAGACCGGAGCCCUAGGCUCCGUAGGUGUGGGGCCCGAAUCGGGAUCCGGACCCCCAGGAGCGCUCGGUGAAGGGGUCCAUUCCACGAUGAAGUCAGCCAGAACCUGGCUCUUGACAGCGUGGUGAGGAUGGAAGUCCAGUUGGAACUCAGCAAGCUCCGCGGCCCACUUGGCGAUGUUGCCUGUGGCGUUAGAGUUGUGGAGAAUGGCCCUUAACGGGAAGGAGGUCACCACCACAACUUUGUGUGCCUGAAAAUAGUGGCGCAACUUCCUGGACGCAACAAGUAUAUCAUAGAUAAGCUUGUGUGUCUCAAGGUACCUGGCCUUUGCCUCAUGGAGGACUUCACUAACGUAGUAGACUAGCUUUUGGAUGGUUCGGACCCCUGCGGUUGGUCCUAAGCCCUCAAACUCUUGACCUUCCAUCACCAUCGUGGUGGUCGGACCACCACCUUCUUGUAGGGGAACUUUUUGACUCCCCUGGGGAUGUUGUGCUGUCCUUUCGGCGACCAGCACCAUGCUCACCACCUCUGUUGCCGCUGCAAUGUAUAAGUGCAGCGGCUCCCCUGGCUCUGGAGCUACCAGUAUUGGUAGGGACACAAGGUGCUGUUUCAACUCUUGAAAGGCUCGUUCUGCCUCCUCAGUCCAAGAGAAUGGGCCGGACUUCCGUAAUAGCUUGAAGAAAGGUAGCGCCCUCUCAGCCAGUCUUGAGAUGAAGCGGCUAAGGGCGGCCAGUGACCCCAUAAGCUUCUGGACGUCCUUGAUUCGGGCCGGAGGCCUCAUUGUCUCAAUUGCUUUGAUCUUCUCUGGGUUUGCUUCAAUGCCCCGGUGCGAAACCAGGAAUCCCAGCAACUUCCCUGUGGAGACACCAAAGACGCACUUUUCUGGGUUCAGCUUCGUGCGUGUUGCCCGUAGCUUGCCAAAGACCAGGGUUAAGUCUUCCACUAGGGUUGACCCUCUCUUAGUCUUGACCAUGAUGUCAUCAACGUAUACCUCUACCCUGUCCCUAAUCAGGUCACCAAAAGUCUUACUCAUCGCUCGUACAAAUGUUGGCAAGGCGUUUUUCAGACCGUAAGGCAUUACAACAUAACAGUAAAGCCCAUCCACAGUUACAAAAGCGGUAUACUUCAUAUCUUGCAUAGACAUCUGGAUCUGAUGGAAACCAGAAUAAGCAUCUAGGAAGGACAAGAGGUCACACCCAGAGGUAGAAUCCACGAUUUGAUCUAUUCGUGGAAGUGGAUAUGGGUCCUUGGGACAGGCCUUAUUGAGGUUGGUGUAGUCGAUGCACAUCCAAAGCUUCCCGUUAGCCUUGGGAACGAUGACUGGAUUGGCCAGCCAUACUGGGUGAUAGACCUCUUCGAUGAAGCUAGCGCGCAGCAGCUUCUGGACCUCCUCACAGAUGAAAUCCUGCCGCUCAAUGGACUAUCUCCGAGGCUUCUGACUCACCAGUUUGGCGUCAGGGUGGAUCUUCAGAUGGUGUUCGAUCACCUCCCUGGGGAUCCCAGGCAUCUGCGACGGUUCCCAUGUGAAUACGUCGGCAUUUGCCUGAAGGAAGGCGACGAGCACGAUUUCCUAUUUCUCCUCCAGAUUGCCCGCGAUGCGAGUGGUCAGGGAGGAAUCCCCGCUGAGCUGGAUAGUCUUGACAAGACCGCCGUCUGCUCCAGAUGGUUUCACCUUAGGCACCUUGGUAGGUGCCUUGGUAAAGGAAGUCGAGGGGUCCCUCCCCCCGUCAUCCGGGCGAGCGGUUUCUGUCGCUAGGGCAUGCAACUUCUCGAUAGCUGCAAGCGUAGCGGGGCGGUCGCCCCGCACAGUGAGGACCCCAGAAGGGGACGGCAUCUUGAGGACCAAGUACCCGUAAUGGGCAAUGGCCAUGAACUGGUACAGGGCCGGCCUGCCAAUGAUGGCAUUGAAAGGGAGGUUAACCUCCACAACGUCGAACUGAACAUUCUCAGUGCGGAAGUUCUCCUCAGUCCCGAAUGUAAUUGGGAGUGCGAUGCUCCCAAGGUGUUACACCGGUUGAGGGCCCACUCCGGAGAAUGGGCGAGAGGGUCCCAGUCGGGAUCCUAGGAUCUGCAGUUGCCUGAACGCAGCGUGAUUGAUGACGUUGAGCGUAGCCCCACCAUUAAUCAGGACAUGAUGUAGCCUCACGUUGGCGAUGACAGGGGCGGUGAUGAGUGGUAGUAUGCCAGCCCCUGCCAUGUUUUCGGGAUAGUCGGAUGCCCCGAAGAAGAUAGUGGUGCUCCGCCACCGCUGAUGUGGGGCUGCCUUCGGGACCCCUGGGGUCGCCGAAAGGACCUCACGACGUAGGGACUUCACGUUCCUACGGGUGGUGAGCUCCCAGCUUUCGCCAUACAUCACGUACAGCUUCUUGCGGCGGUCGUUGUCAUCACCGGAGUCAGAGUCUCCAGUGAGGAUGUCCUUGAGGACUUGCUCGGGGGACUGAUACCCGAGGUCCCGUUCUCCCGCGGCCAGGUCACCUUCGUCGACCUUCUCCUUGCUAGGCCGGCGACGAGGCGGCGAGCCAUCCUUGGAGGCCUGCUCGCGCCGCUCGCUGAUGCGCUUCACGAGCUUGAGGAUCUCUCGGCAUUCCGAGGCGCUGUGACGACUGUUGGGAUGGACAGGGCAUGAACCACUGUUACUUCCCUGUUGCCGUGGACGCUUGCCACGCUCGAUCCGGCCCCCAGCCGCUGCUAUGGCGACUGGAGCACCAGACUGCGGCCUAUCGUGACCGUGGUUCUUCUUCUUCUUCUUGCCACCGCCCUGGGUGGCAACACCUGAGCCGCCCGUCUGGGUAACUCCAGUCUGCGGUGCCGAGUGCCAUGCACGACCCUCGACAGCUCUGGCGCAUUUGUCGGCUAGAGCAAAGAGCGUAGUGAUGGUUUCUACUUCAUGCGUCGCCAAUUUCUCCAACAUCUCAUCAUGCACUCCCUGUCAGAAAGCAAUGAUAAUAGAGGCAUCAGAAAUGCAAGGUAUAGUCCCUCGUACCUUGGUGAAGCGGGAGAUAAAAGCCCAGAGAGUCUCCCCGGAUUCCUGCCUCACUGCAUGGAGAUGAGCCUCCACGCCAUGCUGCUGAUAAGCACUGGCGAAGUUUGCUGUGAACCGUGCACAGAGCUCUUCCCAGGAGUAGAUCGACCUCGGGGUGAGGUUCAUGAGCCAGGUCCGGGCCGGCUCGGUCAAGGCUACAUGGAAGUAGCUUGCCAUUACGGCAGUGUUUCCACCAGCUGCCGUAAUGGCGGUGACGUAGACCUGCAAGAAUUCUGACGGGUUUGAUGUACCGUCGUACUUCUCCGGCAGGUGUGGCCGGAACUUGGGUGGCCAAGUCGCCACGCGAAGAUGAUCCGCUAGUGCGGCACAGCCCACGCCGACCAAAGGGACACCCGCCUGGAUUCGGGCGCCCCUUGCAGUGAAGUCUUGUCGAGGUUGUGACCCUCGAUGUUUUGCCGGCGCUCACGCGCCCUCUCCAGAGAGACUCGAGCAUCCUCGCCCGCACGCCUGCGGUUGAGCUCUGCCCGCAGGUCGUCAGUCCGUGCACCCUUCACUAAGGGUGAGCGCACAGAUGCCAACGCCUCGCGUUGACGCCAGAAUGAUCGUGGCCUAGACCUUGCCGAGCUAGGAUGGGCCAUGCCGAGAAGACGAUCGACAUCCUCGCGCCACUGCCUCAUGGCGCCCGGUGAGGCCAUGGAGCUAGGAGGGUUACGUAGUAACUCCCUGGCUGCAGACAAUGCCCCACCAGGAGCAGCUCCCGACGGAGCCCUAGAUGUCUGUGCGGGCGUGUGCUGCUACGCAGCGUGCAUAGCAGCAGCACCAGGCGCAGGGCAGUAAGAGCCUCGUGGCACGGAAGAUGCUGUCCCUUCCUCCAUCAGGAAGUCCUCGGGAGACAAGUCGUGGUGCUCGACGAUCUGAACCAUCGUGUCGAGCAAGAAAAUAGGCGAAAAACCUAAAGCAAGACCCCCUACCUGGUGCGCCAAAUGUCGGUGGGAAAAAUCCUCCGGCCGGGUGGUGGAAUGCACCCACCCUAAUCUUAAGAUGAGGAGGGGGCCUAAGCGUUUGCCUGUUUGGUGAAUUUUCGAUGAACACAAGAGGACUCGAGGGAUUAUAGUGGUUCAGGCCGCUGGAGCGUAAUACCCUACCUUCACUGUGUGUAAGUUGUAUUGAGCGUGUCCCUUGUAAUGCUGUGUCCCCUCCCUUUUAUAGUUUAAGGGGGGUACAUACAAGGAUGCUGAGCUCCGACAUGCGGGCCCAGGAGCAUAAUGGAAGGAAUACAUUAUGUGAAUAAUUAAUGCUGACAACACAUAUGAGUAGAGGUGUAUAGGUAGAGCCGUUUAGAUUCCCCCUGCCUUAGUAACGCAUGAGUAAUCAGCGGGAGUCAUGAUGACUAUAGUCCAUGCAGUUUUGAUAGGCAGUGACCAUUUUACUGGUAACACGGGUUAAUGGUGAGUCAUUGUCCUUGCUAUGGUAACGUGUGAGUAACAGCACAACCCACGCAACGUGGACUGGGCACGCCGCCUGUCACUGGAAUGGACAGACGCACGUCUUAUCCGUAAUAAAUGCAAAGACGCGCGUAGCCCAGAGGCUUUAUGUCAGGCUCCGCCCGUUGGCUUACGCCGCGCGCAGUAGGCCAUGUGGCAGCAUCGGGUCUCUGCCUGGGCGGGGAGCAGGAGUGUAUGUGAUAAGGUCCGGAUCUCACCAGAUCAGGUCUGGACACGUGUCGGCACCGGACCCCCGCCUGGGUCCUGAUUAAGGCCCGGGUAUGCUCUGUCCUGGGACCCAAUGUGGACGGCCUGGACCCAAUACAGGGGGUCUGGAUCCCAUUCCAGGGGUUCGGUUCGCACACGUGGAGGUACUGGACCAAACUUGGAGGCCCGGACCGUAUAUACCGGGGUCCGGCACCUUCCCAUGGGGGUCCGGACUCGUUGGUGAUACCUCAGAGUAUGUCACUUUCUCUGGACAUGUGGCGGCACCGAACCCUCCCAUGUGGUGGGGUCAGGUGCUGUUGCUGGCCCAGAGUAGUCGCCCGAGGCUUGGGGCGAGUCAUGGCCUGGUCCCACACACAGCUCCUUUACCACGCGACUAAGAAUAGCCGCGUGGGUACUGCAUCUUUAUACAGUAGUAAGGGGUACCCUAGUUUCAGGGUACCGACAGUGAUGUGUAUGUAAACGCUUAAUUUAAAGUGUAUGUGAUGAAUUAGUAUAUUAUUAUCUGUCUUAUGGUGUAUGUUAAUUGUUUACAAUUAUUUUAGAAUUUAUGUUUAGAAAGAAGAAUGACAGGAUUUUGUAGACCAGGUGUUAGUGAUGAAAACACUAGAUGAGUGAUUUCACAAUUACUAGUCAGUUACCUGUGCGUUGCGACAACUCACAACAAUACCCACGUAAAUUAUCCACCAAAAAGAUCUCAAGAUUUUCUAUUGAUUGUCUCCACUCUUCACAUAAUAUUUUUAUGAACUCACGGGUACCAUAGGCAGCAAAUCAGAGACCCCCAUCCCUCGCCUCCCUAACUUCCAAGGUUUCAUAGAGCAGGAGGGGAAGGGAAGAGGCGGACAUACCUGUUCGUUGCCGGAGAAGGACACGACGAAGACAUGGGCAUCUGGAAGCGACAUAGGUAGUAUACCAUGAGAUAUAUAGGGAGAGAGCACGCAAGCGGAGAAAGAAGCCCAGCCAGAGCAACUCCAAACCAAGAGGCACCUGCACCAGGCGUCAAUCCGAGAAGGGCAAGAGAAUGCAAGUGUCUUCUCAGCCCUGGACCCGCUGAAGCGACACAACACCACCACCAACUCCGUAGCAUAUGCCGACUGCUGCCACGCUACGGGCCUUGGUUGUCCAAUAUCUCAGACCUAGACUCCUCAUCGCCAAGAUAACCUAAGCGUGGCAGGCGCCACCAUGUCCUCCUCUACUGCACCACGGAGAAAGGCCAGGAGCAUAACCAACUCGCCCCGUACCCGCGUCGACGAGCGUUGGUCGGCUCGCGGCUGCGACCGUGGGUGGGGGCAGUAGGUUGGGGAGGAAGAACAGGGUGAAGGCCCGGAAUACGAACGGGACGUCCGAUCACGGCGGAAACAAUGGUACACGCUUGAUGUGAAACGUCCUUGUGAACGUGCAAUAGCCACUACGCGAGUCGGUGUCGGGGCUAGUGUCGGACGAAUGCGGGGAGGAGACGCAUGCUCCUAUGCCCUCUGCCGAGAAUGGGGUGGCACGGUGGUGGAGGCAUGAGGGGAGAGAGAAAAGAAGUAGAAUGGCGAACGAGGUGGUGGUAACUGAGGCGAGGACCAUCAUUAUCGUGCAGAGGUAUAGAUUGCCAAAUGGGUCGUGUCUGGCGAGCCGGCCCGAGGCACGACCCAUUUAAUAGUGUCUGGGCCAACCCGGCACAAGCGACGUGUUGUGCUUGGGGCGUAGCCUCGGCCCGUAGUGCUGGCCCGGCCCAACAUGAUUUUUUUAUUUUACAAAAAGCAAAUAUACAUAUGUACCAUUUAUAUUCAAUAUUAUAAACACUUGAGCAUGAUGUUCUAUUGGUUAAACAGCUUCACCCAAUGUCUCCCACCCUUCUUCCAUCAGGGUGUGGGUUCAAACCCUACCUCCUGCACCACUUUUUAACAUUUUACGCUGAGUUGAUUUGGAAAAAAUGUAGGGACUUUUUUUGUAAAAAUAUAAUGCAGGACGACCAUUGAAAUUGGUGCUUUAAAUAUAGUACAGAAAUCUUGUUUAUAAUGAAUUUAGAGUUUAGUCUAGAUGUAUGUACUCAUAGGUUGAUAUAUUUAAUUUAGAACCACUAAAUAAAUAAUAGAAGCUUUAUUAACAUUGAGAUAAUAUAAGUAGUACAUGUGUUCAUAAUAAUCCAAAUACUGUACUUUUUAACAUUUUACGCUGAGUUGAUUUGGAAAAAAUGUAGGGACUUUUUUAUAAAAAGAUAACGCAGGACGACCGUUGAAAUUGGUGCUUUAAAUAUAGUACAUAAAUCUUGUUUAUAAUGAAUUUAGAGUUUAGUCGAGAUGUAUGUACUCAUAGGUUGAUAUACUUAAUUUAGAUCCACUAAAUAAAUAAUAGAAGCUUUAUUAACAUUGAGAUAAUAUAAGUAGUACCCGUGUUCAUAAUAAUCCAAAUAGUGUACUCCAAUCAGUGGUUUAAUUUAUUAAUAAAAUUAUUUGACCUCUAAUUAUUAUGAUGACAUUUUUCCUUUAAAGAACAGAUAAAACUAAAAGUAGACACGUGUUUAUGGUAGAAAUAAUUAAUUAAUUUAUUUCCGUAGAGUUGGUUAAAUCACUACCUCUAAGCUAUGUUAUGUAAAGUACUUUGUAGUCGAAUUUCCAUAUAUCUUUCACUAUUGAUAAUCCAAAAAUAGAAUUUAUAUUUUAUGUCGUAGCAAAUGGAUGUCAAUACGUGUAGACUAAUGAUAUGAUUACGAACUAGGUUUUAUUCUAGACAUUUUUUAGUAUGGUUUGUAUGGUGAAUGUUAUUCAUGUAAUGGGGUAUGUUACUCAUGUAAUGGUGUAUGUUUAUUUAUUUGAUGAAUGUUUUUAUGUACAAUAUGCGAAUCUAUAUUAGAACCUGAUUUCGUGGUAGAAGACCAAAAUACGUUUGAAGAUGAUCCGCGGGACACCUUUGAGCAAGGAAAGUGGAUUCUCCCUCUGCAUUUCUGUUUGUACCCAAAUAAUGCAUAUAAUAAUGUUUACUUUUGGAUAUCUGCAUAAAUUUGAUGGUAUUUGCCUAAAUAGGGUUACCUAGAAAUACCAACCUUAUUCCUUGAUUACCAUGGGAUAAACACUAUGCUUAGUAAAUGUGCUACUGCUCAACUUGAUCAUUAUGAUGUCACUCUUUAAUGAUACUUUUGUUCCGGAAAUGAAAUUUGUAUUAUGAUGUUAACCCAAUGGUUAAACAAGAUCAUUUGUAUUAAAUGGAACAUGGAGUGACCACCCAGGAUAACAGUGCAACCACGAGUGCUAUCAAGGCCCUGACUUUGGUAAAUAGCUCUAUAGACUUAGUGCUUAGCAACCCUACAUAAAAGAUGGGGAAGAGGAGGCGGCAGUGGUUUGGUGGCUGCUCAUGUUAACAUGGGGUGGUAUUCUUGGCUAAGUUACCUUGCCCAGAGGGUCACCAAUAUUGACGUGGAAACCUUAGCAAUGUGGCUUUGUACUAAGGAUAUUUUAUGAAAGCAUCAUAAUGGAUCCCUAGUCAUUCACCUCGGCUGUGUUUACGGGUCUGUACAACCUAGGCUAGAUGUGAUACAUGGCUUGUGGGUAAAGUUGUACCACCUCUGCAGAGUGUAAAACUGAUCUGUCAGCUGUGCUCACGGUUAAGAGCAACCUGGACCCUCACAUGAUAACUGAACUUAAAGAUGGAGAAUAAAUCGUGAUCCGAUGAUUUAUAAAUGGUUUGCUUAAGUGGUUUCACUUAAGUGUUUUUGACAUAAUCAUAUGCUUAUUAUUAAUUGGGAAUUUUUGGGAUACACUUACAAUUAGUUAGUUAGGCGUUGUUAAUAAAAUAUUGACCAACUAAAAUGCUUAUCGCUUAACCAUAGACUACCUUGUUAACCUUGCAUAACUCCUCCCACUUGCAGAGCCCCCACCAUAAGUGACCUCACCCCUUGCUAAAUUUUUUAUCAGAAGCUGAUGAGGAAGAUUGUGGUGAUGGUGAUGACGGGUACUGAGUCUAGCGAUGCGCCAGUCAUUUUCCUGUGGAAGAUUACCCAUGCUAUUUUCGCUCUACUUUGAUGAUAAUACUAUUUAAGACAUUUAUGUCUGGAUGAUGUAAUAAAGUUAUUAUACACUUUUUACGCCUUUAUUGCAUUGUAUUUUGAUAUAUUACACUUGUGAUAUAUGUGGAAAAUGGAUUCUGACACACAUAUGCUAUGCAUUCAGUUUUGCCCCUAAAACCGGGUGUGAUAGUGCUGCUGCUACAGUCUUAGGAAUGAUGGUAAAAAUGUUGAGCCUUCAAUUUUAUUUUAAAUUGCUCUUUGUUACUUGUCAUCGUUACGCAACCUAUAUUAAUCUUAGCUUCUAAUGUCUUUUCGCCUAAAUCUGUUGCGCUAUUGUGUUGUUUAGAUAUUACUUUUACUAUCUAAUUAUUUCUAUACUAUAUUAAAGCAUCAGUUUCAACGGUCGUCCCGCGUCAUUUUAUUACAAAUAACCCCUCACAUCUAUUUCAAAUUAACCCGCUGUACGACCGUCCGCUCCGCGCAACCAACCUCCACGUCCCAAAACACACAUCCGCAUAUAGAUGGCCAAAUGGCGGCCCGACAUGGGCUUGAUGCCCGUGGGCCACAACUCUGGCCCGGGCACGACAUGUCGGCCUGAUGACUGUGUCGGGCCGACCCGUUAGCCCGUCGGGCCAUUUGGUUAAAUGGAAGAAGGGCGGGAGACACUGGGUGAAGCUGUCUAACCAGUAGAACAUCAUAAUCAGGUGUUUUAAUAUUGAAUAUAAAUUGUACAUAUUUAUAUACGUUUUUUUGUAAAAUAAAAAAAAUCGUGUCAGGCUGGGCCAGCACUACGGGCCGAGCCUACAACCCAAGCACAACACGACGCUCGUGCUGGGCUGGCCUAGGCACUUUUAACUGGGUCAUGCCUUGGGCUGGCUUGUCAUACACAACCCAUUUGGUCAUCUAUACCUCUGCACGAUAAUGAUGGUCCUCGCCUCAGUUGCUGCAACCUCGUUCGUCAUCCUGCUUCUUUUCUCUCUCCCCUCAUGCCUCCGCCUCCGCGCCACCCCAUUCUCGGCAGAGAACGUGGGAGCAGGCGCCUCCUCCCUCUAUUCGUCCAACACCAGCCCCGACACAGACCCGCGCAGUGGCUAUUGCACGUCCACGAGGACGUUUCAUAGUAUGCGUGCACCAUCGUUUUCAACGUCGUCGGAUGUCUCAUUCGUCUUCCCGUCCUUCGCCUUGUUCUUCCUCCCCAACCUACUGCCCCCCUGCUCACCGUCGCAGCCGCGUGCCGACCGAUGAUCUUCGACGCGGGUACGAAGCGAGUCGGUAUUGCUCCUAGCCUUUCUUCGUGCGUGCCGUCGAGGAGGACAUGGUGGCGCCUGCCACGCUUAGGUUAUCUUGGCGAUGAGGAGUCCAGGUAUAAGAUAUUAGACAACCAAGGCCCAUAGCAUGGCAAUAGUCGACAUAUGCUACAGAGUUGGUGGUGGUGUUGUGUCGCCUUGGUGGGUCUAGGGCUGGGAAGGCAUUCACAUUCUCUCACCCUUCCCGGACUGAUGCCUGGUGCGGGUGCCUCUCGGUUUGGAGCUGCUCCAGCUAGGCUACUUUCUCCGCUUGCAUGCUCUCUCCCUAUAUGUAUCUAGAGGUAUACUAUAUAUGUCGCCUCUAGAUGUCUAGGUCUUCGUCGUGUCCUUCUCCGACAACAAACAUGUAUGGCCGCCUCUUCCCUUCCCUUACUACUCUACGAAACCUUGGAACUAGGGAGGCGAGGGAAGGGGGUCACUGAUUUGCUGCCUAUGGUACUCGUUCAAUGGCUCGACAUCGCCUGUCUACAUGGCAUUUUCCUUACCACGAUGUCAACUCGGUAUGCUUCUACCGCUUCUAUGUACAUGUCACCCAUCCUUAUGUCAUUGCAAAAAUUAUUGUGUUGUUCAUCUGUUGUUUUGGGUGUUAGUUUUUUGUUGUGCUAAGGACUGAACAUAAUUUGGGUGUGUUAAUACUUUAUUUAUUGUCUACACAUGGUUUGUGUUCUUCUGAUGAUGGCUCAUGGAUCCUGCAAAAUAUGUGUUAGGAUUUGGAGAUCCAUGCGGACACUACCACAGGGUGCUCGUCUCUUGUGUUCUUGGCUCUUGCAAGCAUUAGGUCGUUUCUGAGACUACAUUGGCGCAAUGGACUCCAUGGUGUUUGAGGUUGUUGAAUUGGAUGGAGCAACAAUGAUUUGUCGCACUAACAGUAAAAGGAAAAGUUAUUUGUUGGUUUUAAACAUUAGUAAUUGCUACGAAGUAUAAUAAUUUGUAUGGAGCGCAUCCAGUUUAGCAACCACUCCAUAUUUUGAUCUAUUCUUUUUAUAAGUUUGAGUUCAUGUGACUUAUUUUAAAAACUUGAACUCACAAACUUGCUCUUAUUUGGUCUUUGUAUAGUGGAAUUAUGUCGUUCUAUAAUAUCUAUCCGUUCAUUUAGUUGUUGUGAACUCUCUUCUAAUCGCUCCCUUCAUUGGUCGUGUUGUACCAAGACAUAUUGGAUGGAGUAAACAACAACAUCAGUUAGUCAAAUCAAAAAAAAAUAUUAUGCGAAGAGCGGAGACAAUCAAUAAAAAAUCUUCAGAUCUUUUUGGUAGAUAGUUUACGUAGGUAUUAUUGUGAGCUGUCACAACGCACGAGCAACCAGGGUCGUACCUGAGGGGUGCGGAGGGUGCGGCCGCACCAGCCCUCCAAAAACAGAGGGGCCCCUAGCCACUGGACGCUAGCACUUUUUCCUGUUAAACAUAUUUAUCCUAGACACAAAUACACAAAGAGCGAUGCGCCAUCGAUCAGUCUCGUUUAGAUUGUUAAACUAAUGUCUCAAUUACUUAUCGAAUACUCCAUCCAUUCUAAAAUAGUAUUUGUUUUAUCUCUUGAUUAUUAUGUUUACAUUCAACUAGAUGAUGAUGAAUCCACUAAAGAAGCAAAACAAAUUCUAUUUUGAUAUAGAUAUAGUAUUAUUUACUAUACAUAUGUGUUGAGGACCAUAAUUAGGGGUACCCCCAAGACUCCUAAUCUCAGCUGGUAACCCCCAUCGGCACAAAGCUGCAAAGGCCUGAUGGGCGCGAUUAAGGUCAAGGCUCAGUCCACUCAAGGGACACGAUCUCGCCUCGCCCGAGCCCAGCCUCGGGCAAAGGCAGCCGACCCCGGAGGAUUCACGUCUCGCCCGAGGGCCCCCUCAAGCAACGGACACACCUUCGGCUCGCCCGAGGCCCAGUCUUCGCAGAGAAGCAACCUUGGCCAGAUCGCCACGCCAACCGACCGUAUCACAAGAGCAUUUAAUGCAAGGAUCGCCUGACACCUUAUCCUGACGCACGAUCUUCAGUCGACAGAGCCGAAAUGACCGCAGUCACUUCGCCGCUCCACUGACCGACCUGACAAGAAAACAGCGCCGCCUACGUCGCUCCGACUGCUGUGCCACUCGACAGAGUGAGGCUGGCAGCAGCUAAGUCCAGCCUCGGGCGCCAUAGGAAGCUUCGCCUCGCCCGACCCCAGGGCUCGGGCUCAACCUCGACGCUGGACGACGGACUCCGCCUCGCUCGACCCCAGGGCUCGGGCUCAACCUCGACGCUGGACGACAGACUCCGCCUCGCCCGACCCCAGGGCUCGGACACAGCCUCGGCCUCGGAAGACGGUCUCCGCCUUGCCCGAUCCUAGGGCUCGGGCUCAACCUCGACGCUGGACGAUGGACUCCGCCUCGCCCGACCCCAGGGCUCGGACACAGCCUCGGCCUUGGAAAAACGGUCUCCGCCUCGCCCGACCCCAGGGGUCGGACUCAGCCUCGACCUCGGAAGACGGACUCGACCUCGACCUCGGAGGAGCCUCCGCCUCGCCCGACCUAGGGCUUGGACCGACCAAGUCGCCAGGGGGCCAUCAUUACCCUGCCCCUAGCUAGCUCAGGCUACGGGGAACAAGACCGGUGUCCCAUCUGGCUUGCCCCAGUAAACAAAUAAUGAUGGUGCCCCGCGUGCUCCAUGACGACGGCGGCUCUCAGCCCCUUACAGAAGCAAGGAGACGUCAGCAUGGAUUCGACAGCCCCGACAGCUGUCCUUCCGCAGGGCUCCAGCUCUCCUCCGACGGCCACGACAUCACAUGAACAGGGUGCCAAAACCUCUCCGACUGCCACGACGACAUGUACUUAGGGCUCUAGCUCCUCUCUGCUAGACACGUUAGCACACUGCUACACCCCCCAUUGUACACCUGGACCCUCUCCUUACGCCUAUAAAAGGAAGGUCCAGGGCUCUCGUACGAGAAGGUUGGCCGCGCGGGUGAACAGGCCGACGCAUAAGGCUCUCGCUCUCUCUCUCUCUCCCACGCGAACGCUUGUAACCCCCUACUGCGAGCGCACCCGACCUGGGCACAGGGCAACACGAAGGCCGCGAGUUUCCUCUUUGCCUGUUUCUUCCCCUCUUCGUGCUCCAUCUCACGCCGACCCAUCUAGGCUGGGACACGCGGCGACAAUUUACUCGUCGGUCCAGGGACCCCCCGGGGUCGAAACGCCGAUAGUUGGCGCGCCAGGUAGGGGCCUGCUGCGCGUUGACGAACAGCUUCCCGUCAAGCUCCAGAUGGGUAGUCUCCAGCAACCUUUCCAACCCGGAACGAUGCUCCAUUUCGGGAGUCUUGAGUUCAUGUCCCUCGAUGGCAGCUACGACAUGAUACUCCUUCCUCCGCCGCGCGACAGCGACAAUGGCGGCCGUCAGCCUGCCCGCCGGCGGCGGAAUCAACGACGUCUUCCCCACAUGGCGGAAGAACAACAUCCGGGUUUGUCCCGUCACCUCCCCCACCGACGGAGGAGGAGGCGGGGCAACCAUGGCCAAGCAGGAGGCGGCGCCUUGUCGGCUGUCGAGCAAGUCGACGACGUCGGCGCCCCAGCGGGGGACACGUCUGGCUUCGACCUUGCAUCUGAGACGAAGACGAGCGCCGUUUCCCCGCAACACGCCAACCCCAAGCAGACGAACGACGCCAGCACGCUUGCGAAGGACUUGCUGGGCGUCGCCCUCGUACCUGAGACAACGGUGCAGUCCGCCCUUGACUUGACUUUGUCACCGCCCGUCGACCAAGAGGUACCGACCGAUUCCCAUCUUGUGCCUUUUGGAUUCAGCUUCGACCCACCAAGCGACCUCGCUUCGAUGGAAGCCUUCAUAGAGGCAUGUACCAACCCUCCGGGGUACCAUAUGCGGUCGCCCUGGGACAGACUGAUGGUCGUCUCGACCUACGGACCCUCGGGUUCCGAGGAAGAUGACGAGACCGACUUUUGUUGGGAUUUCUCCGGGCUCGGUAACCCUAGUGCCAUGCGGGACUUCAUGACCGCAUGCGACUACUGCCUCUCCGAUUGUACCGAUGGUAGCCGCAGCUUCGGCGAUGAGGACUGCGGCCCAAGUCGUGAAUGUUUCCACGUCAAUCUAGGGGGUCCCGGCGAAGGCAACCAUCUUGGUAUGCCGGAAAACGGCGAUCCCCCUAGGCCUGCGCCACGCGUUGACAUCCUUCGGGAGCUAGCUGUGGUCCCAGUCCCUGCGGGGGGUCAGGACGCACAGCUCGAGCAAAUCCGCGAGAUGCAGGCUAGGCUCGACGAGGGAGCAGGAACACUUGAGCAGUUCCGAUGGAACAUCGGGCAGGAAUGGGCAGACCAAGCUCUGGCCGGAGAAUCGCGUCAUCUACCCUAGGGCAUCCAACACCGCAUUGACGACGACGUCAGGACAAGGCCGCCACUGGCUUUCAGUGGGGUCGGCAAGAACCUGGCUGCAACAGCAAUACUACUUCGCGCGAUGCCGGAACCAUCGACCACCGAAGGGCGGCGUAUCCAGGGAGAGCUCAAGAAUCUCCUAGAGGAUGCCUCGGUCCGACGGGCCGAACGCUCUGCCUCCCGAAGGCAGGGGUACCCUCGGAGCAUCGCGCCACGACUUCUCGAUUCGUGCGGGAAGCCUCGGUCCACACCGGGCGCACGCGCAACACGGCGCCUGCGGCCUCGGGUCGCCUCGGCAAUGAGCACCACCACCGCAACCGUCGAGCCCACCUCGACGAGAGGGUGUGUCGAGGCUACCACCCUAGGCGUGGGGGACACUACGACAGCGGGGAGGAUCGGAGCCCCUCGCUCGAACCACCCGGUCCGCAGGCUUUCAGCCGGGCCAUACGACGGGCGCGCGUUCCCGACCCGGUUUCGAACCCCGACUACCAUCACAAAGUACUCGGGGGAGACGAGGCCGGAACUGUGGCUCGCGGACUACCGACUGGCCUGCCAGCUGGGUGGAACGGACGAUGACAACCUCAUCAUCCGCAACCUCCCCCUGUUCCUCUCCGACACCGCUCGAGCCUGGCUGGAGCAUCUGCCUCUGAGGGAGAUCUCCAACUGGGACGAUCUGGUCCGAGCCUUCGCCGGCAACUUCCAGGGCACGUACGUGUGCCCUGGGAACUCCUGGGAUCUCUGAAGCUGCCACCAGCAACCGGGAGAGUCUCUCCGGGACUACAUCCAGCGAUUCUCGAAGCAGCGCACCGAGCUGCCCAACGUCACCGACUCGGACGUCAUCGGCGCGUUCCUCGCCGGCACCACCUGCCACGACCUGGUGAGCAAGCUGGGUCGCAAGACCCCCACCAGGGCGAGCGAGCUGAUGGACAUCGCCACCAAGUUCUCCUCUGGCCAGGAGGCGGUUGAGGCCAUCUUCCGAAAGGACAAGCAGCCCCAGGGCCGCCAGCCGGAAGACGUCCCCGAGGCGUCCACUCAGCACGGCACCAAGAGGAAGAACAAGAAGAAGUCGCAAGCAAAACGCGACGCCAUCGACGCGGACCUUGUCGCCGCCGCUGAGUACAAGAACCCUCGGAAACCUCCUGGAGGUGCCAAUCUCUUCGAUAAGAUGCUCAAGGAGUCGUGCCCCUAUCAUCAGGGGCCCGUCAAGCACACCCUUGAGGAGUGCGUCAUGCUUCGGCGCCACUUUCACAAGGUCGGGCCACCGGCGGAAGGUGGCAGGGCCCACAACAACGACAAGAAGGAGGAUCACAAGGCAGAGGAGUUCCCCGAGGUCCACGACUGCUUCAUGAUCUACGGUGGGCCAGUGGCGAACGCCUCGGCUCGGCACCGCAAGCAAGAGCGUCGGGAGGUCUGCUCGGUAAAGGUGGAGGCGCCAGUCUACCUAGACUGGUCCGACAAGCCCAUCACCUUCGACCAGGGCGACCACCCCGACCGCGUGCCGAGCCCGGGGAAAUAUCCGCUCGUUGUCGACCCCGUCAUCGGCAACGUCGGGCUCACCAAGGUCCUCAUAGACGGAGGCAGCAGCCUCAACAUCAUCUACGCUGAGACCCUCGGGCUCCUGCAGAUCGAUCUGUCCUCGAUCCGGAUAGGCGCGGCGCCUUUUCACGGGAUCAUCCCCGGGAAACGCGUCCAACCCCUCGGACAACUCGAUCUUCCCGUCUGCUUCGGGACUGCCUCCAACUUCCGAAGGGAAACCCUCACGUUCGAGGUGGUCGGGUUCCGAGGAACCUACCACGCAGUACUGGGGAGGCCAUGCUACGCCAAGUUCAUGGCCGUCCCCAACUACACCUACCUCAAGCUCAAGAUGCCGGGCCCCAACGGGGUCAUCACCAUCGGCCCCACGUACCGACACGCGUACAAAUGCGACGUGGAGUGCAUGGAGUACGCUGAGGCCCUCACCGAAUCCGAGGCCGUCAUCGCCGACCUGGAGAGCCUCUCCAAGGAGGCGCCAGAUGCGAAGCGCCACGCCGGCAACUUCGAGCCAGCUGAGAUGGUCAAAUCUGUCCCUCUCGACCCCAGCAACGACGCCUCCAAGCAGAUACGGAUCGGCUCCGAGCUUGACCCCAAAUAGGAAGGAGUGCUUGUCGACUUUCCCCGCGUGAACGCCGAAGUCUUUGCGUGGAGUCCCUCGGACAUGCAUGGCAUACUGAGGGAUGUCGCCGAGCACUCGUUGGAUAUCCGAGCUGGAGCCCGACCCGUGAAGCAACCUCUACGUCGAUUCGACGAAGAAAAGCGCAGAGCCAUAGGCGAGGAGAUCCACAAGCUGAUGGCCGCAGGGUUCAUCAAAGAGGUAUUCCAUCCCGAAUGGCUUGCCAACCCUGUGCUUGUGAGAAAGAAAGGAGGGAAAUGGCGGAUGUGUGUAGACUACACUGGUCUAAACAAAUCGUGGAUUCCACUGCUGGGUGCGAAACCCUGUCUUUCCUCGAUGCCUACUCAGGGUAUCACCAAAUCAGGAUGAAAGAGUCCGACCAGCUCGCUACUUCUUUCAUCACACCUUUUGGCAUGUACUGCUACGUUACUAUGCCAUUUGGUUUGAGGAAUGCGGGUGCGACGUACCAAAGGUGCAUGAACCACGUGUUCGGAGAGCACAUUGGUCGAACGACCGAGGCUUACGUCGAUGACAUCAUAGUCAAGACGAGGAAAGCCUCCGACCUCCUCUCCGAUGUUGAAACGACAUUCCGGUGUCUCAAGGCGAAAGGCGUAAAACUCAAUCCCAAGAAGUGCGUCUUCAGAGUCCCCUGAGGCAUGCUCUUGGGGUUCAUCGUCUCCGAGCGGGGCAUCGAGGCCAACCCGGAGAAAAUCGCGGCCAUCACCAACAUGGUGCCCAUCAAGGACUUGAAAGGCGUACAUAGGGUCAUGGGAUGCCUUGCGGCUCUGAGCCGCUUCAUCUCGCGCCUCGGCGAAAGAGGCCUACCUCUGUACCGCCUCUUAAGAAAGACCGAGCGCUUCACUUGGACCCCGAGGCCGAGGAAGCCCUCGGGAACCUAAAAGCGCUCCUUACCAGCGUGCCCAUCUUGGUGCCCCCCGCUGCCGGAGAAGCCCUCUUGAUCUACGUCGCCGCUAUCACUCAGUUGGUCAGCGCCGCGAUCGUGGUUGAGAGACGAGAAGAAGGACAUGCAUUGCCCGUCCAGAGGCCGGUCUACUUCAUCAGUGAGGUGCUGUCCGAGACCAAGAUCCGCUACCCACAAAUUCAGAAGCUGUUGUACGCGGUGAUUCUGACGCGGCGGAAGUUGCGACACUACUUCGAGUCUCAUCUGGUGACUGUGGUGUCAUCCUUCCCCCUGGGGGAGAUCAUAAGCGAGACAAUCUCGUUCGCCCCUCGGAAGGCCAUCAUGUCCCAAGUCUUGGCGGACUUUGUGGCUAAAUGGGUCGACACCCAGCUCCUAGCAGCUCCGAUCCAACCAGAACUCUGGACCAUGUUCUUCGACAGGUCGCUGAUGAAAACAGGGGCAGGCGCGGGCCUGCUCUUCAUCUCGCCCCUCGGGAAGCACCUCCGCUACGUGCUACGCCUCCAUUUCCCGGCGUCCAACAACGUGGCUGAGUACGAGGCUCUUGUCAACGGGUUGCGCAUCGCCAUCGAGCUAGGGGUCCGACGUCUCGACGCUCGCAGUGACUCGUAGCUUGUCAUCGACUAAGUCAUGAAUAACUCCCACUGCCGCGACCCGAAGAUGGAAGCCUACUGCGACGAGGUUCGGCGCCUGGAAGACAAGUUCUACGGGCUCGAGGUCAACCACGUCGCCCGGCGGUACAACGAGACUGCGGACAAGCUAGCGAAGAUAGCUUUGGCGCGAACAACGGUUCCCCCGAACGUCUUCUCCCGGGACCUACAUCAACCCUCAGUUAAGACAAACGACACGCCCGAGCCCGAGAAGGUCUCGGCCCUGCCCGAGGUGCCCUCGGCUCAGCCCGAGGCACCCUCGGCUCAGCCCGAGGCACCCUCGGCCCCCAAGGGUGAGGCACUGCGCAUCGAGGAAGAGCGGAAUGGGGUCACGCCUAAUCGAAACUGGCAGACCCCGUACCUGCAAUAUCUCCACCGAGCGGAGCUACCCCUCGACAGAGCCGAAGCUCGGCGACUGGCGCGGCGCGCCAAGUCAUUCGUCUUGUUGGGUGACGGGAAGGAGCUCUACCACCACAGCCCCUCCGGCAUCCUCCAGCGAUGCGUAUCCAUCGUCGAAGGCCAGGAGCUCUUACAAGAAAUACACUCGGGGGCUUGCGGUCAUCACGCAGCGCCUCGAGCCCUUGUUGGAAAUGCUUUCCGACAAGGUUUCUACUGGCCGACCGCGGUGGCCGACGCCACUAGAAUUGUCCGCACCUGCCAAGGGUGUCAAUUCUACGCAAGGCAGACGCACCUACCCGCUCAGGCUCUGCAAACAAUACCCAUCACCUGGUUGUUUGCUGUGUGGGGUCUGGACCUCGUCGGUCCCUUGCAGAAGGCACCCGGGGGCUACACGCACCUGCUGGUCGCCAUCGGCAAAUUCUCCAAGUGGAUCGAGGUCCGACCCCUAAACAGCAUCAGGUCCGAACAGGUGGUGGCGUUCUUCACCAACAUCAUCCAUCGCUUUGGGGUCUCGAACUCCAUCAUCACCAACAAUGGCACCCAGUUCAUCGGCAGAAAGUUCCUAGACUUCUGCGAGGAUCACCACAUCCGGGUGGACUGGGUCGCCGUGGCUCACCCCAUGACAAAUGGGCAGGUAGAACGUGCCAACGGCAUGAUUCUGCAAGGACUCAAGCCGAGGAUCUACAACGACCUCAACAAGUUCGGCAAACGAUGGAUGAAGGAACUCCCCUCGGUGGUCUGGAGUAUGAGGAUAACGUCGAGCCGAGCCACGGGCUUCAUGCCAUUCUUUCUAGUCUAUGGGGCCGAGGCCAUCUUGCCCACAGACUUAGAAUACAGUUCCCCAAGGACGAGGGCCUACGACGACCGAGGCAACCAGACCAACCGAUAAGACUCACUGGACCAGCUGGAAGAGGCUCGGGACAUGGCCUUACUACACUCGGCGCGGUAUCAGCAGUCCCUACGACGCUACCACGCCCGAGGGGUUCGGUCCCGAGACCUCCAGGUGGGUGACUUGGUGCUUCGGCUGCGACAAGACGCCCGAGGGCGCCACAAGAUCACGCCUCCCUGGGAAGGGCCAUUCAUCAUCGCCAAUAUUUUGAAGCCCGGAACAUACAAGCUGGCCAACAGUCAAGGCAAGGUCUACAACAACGCUUGGAACAUCCGACAGCUACGUCGCUUCUACCCUUAAGAUGUUUUCAAGUCGUUCAUACACCUCGUUUACAUACGCCAAUAAAGUCUAACCAUCAAGGAAGGGUCAGCCUUGCCUCGGCAAAGCCCGACCCUCCCUCGAGGGCUAGAAGGGGCGAACCCCCUCUGCGUCAAAAUUUUCCUCGAAAAAAGUCUUCCAUCAAAACGACUUUCGUGUCUCCCGGCUAUAUCAGUAACAGGACCCCAAGAAACGAAUAAGAGUGCAUGUAAGUGGCAAGGCCGACCGAGCCGAGGGACUCCUACGCCUCUGGGAUACGGAUACCUCACUCAUCGCCUACCACGAAAAAUAACUCUUACUUGGGUAAGCAAUCCUGCUACUGACGAACGAGUCCGAAUAUGCAAAACAGGAGGAAAAGAUACACAACCUUAUAUUACAAUGAUAAAGUGUUCGGGCCUCGGCGGCCGCAAAAGACACAUAUGCAUUCAAAAUAAACUGCUCCGGCAGAAUCAGGCGUCGCCCGGAGAAGGAGUCGCGCCCUCGGCUUCGUCCCCACCCUCGGCGAGAUCCGCCCCGGCCUCGGAUGACGGCGCAAGUGGGAGGAUCUCUGCUUCGAAGGUGGUCGCCAGCACCGCGCUUGGGCCCGCGGCGGCCGCGUCAAGCCUCUGGACUUCGGCCAGGGCAGCUUCAUCUUUGUCGGGAAGGCAAUACCCCUCGCUGACCCGCUCCAGAUCCACGUCGUAGUGGGAAGCGAGCACGGCAAAGGCCCGCCUGACGCCGUGAUGCAGCGCCUCGCGGAGUCUGCCGCGCGCGUGGUCACCCAAGGCCUGCAGGCGACUCUGAGGGGAGCUUCCCGAGGGGACGUCGUCGAAACCAAAGACCCGACAGAAGGCCGAGAUGGCCUCGGACAUGGCCACGUGGUCGGUCUCCCUCUGUUCGGCCGCCUGGGCAAGUGCCUUGGUGGACUCAUCAAGGGCAGACUCGAGCUCUGCAAACAGCCAAAGCAGAAGACUUCAAACAUGAGUUGAGGAACGAAGCUGAAUCAAAAUAUUAAAACAGCCAAGACAUACCUUCUGCUCGGGCACGCUGCUCCGAGGAUGCGGCUUGGGCCACGGCUAGUUCUGCCGCAAGGGCUCUGGCCCGAGCAGACGCCUCGGCUAACUGGACUCCAAGAGCCUCAGCCCGGCUUUCAGCUUCGGCGGCCCGGCCUCGAGAUUGGUCCCGCUCGCCGAUGACCUGGCCAAGCUCCAACUGCUGCCGCUGCGCUUCUGCGCGUGCCGCCGCUGCCUCUGCUCCCAGAUCGACACAGAGCAACCGAAGGUCCGCCACCUCGGCGCUCCGUUGGGAGAGGCGCUCGGUAGCCCCGGCAAGCGUGGUCCUCAGGGACCGCAGCGAACCCCAGACAUCGGCCUCACGGCGGAUGAACGACGACUUGGCGGCGCUCAGAUCCGUCAGAUCCCGAGGAAAGGAAGCAGGGCGUCACAAAGAAUGCCUUGAUCACGUGAAAGGUAUGCUUGAAAUCAUUACCUGGAGGAUCUUGGGAACGUCCCUGCAAAGGACCUCCAAGGUCGAUCGAAGCGACCCCACCGUUGCCUCGGCACACUCACGAAGCCCGUCCCAAGACUGCUCCUCUCGCUCAUCGUCAAGAACGAAGAGGGGAUCUGAAGCCCCACUGGUCCAGAAACAGAGCGACUGACGCCGCCCGUCGGGACUGCGCCGUGCGGGGAUGAGGUUGCCGCUCCCCAGGACGGGUCGCGGUUCCGCGCCCCAGGACGGGUCGCGGUUCCACGCCCCCCUCCUUCGAGGCACCAAGUAGCGACGCCUCAGCCAUCUCAGUGUCGGCGGCGACGGGUGGCUCCACAACCAGAACGGCAACCACCUCGGCAGAAGCCGGUGCCAGCGCCGGCAACACGUCUGGUGGGCUCGAGGCCACAGCCGCGCCAGCAGUCUCCCUCGGCACGACGGCCGAUUCGACGGAGGAGUCGGCCUCGGGAGCUCGCCCCACGGCAACUUGUGCCGCCUGGGCCCCCCGCUUUGGGGCAUCUUGUAAGAAGGCCAGCUGGCCGGCGAGGCCUGGUGCGGCACUAGCUGCAGAAGCUGGCGCCGUUUUGAGGGCCUUCCGGGGAGCCAGACCGGUCGAACCAUGCCUCCGUUUGCUAGGAAGAAAAGGAAGAGCAGGAUCAGGACACACAAAGGAGGAACCAGGACGAAGAUAUCCUAAGAUACUUACCCACUCCGGCCAUGAUCAAUCGUGCCUGUGGGGAGGUCUCUCGAGCCUCGAUCCCCAAAGGUACCACCGAGGUCAGCCCCGCUGCUAGCUUCGGCACCAUCCUUGCCUUGGGCGCCAGAGGCACCAGAGGGACAGACUGCCCUGGCGCAGCCACGACGACCCGAGGAUCACCCUCCUGCGCAGUCGGCACGGGCAACGGUUCUUGGGGAACAGGCGGCUCGGCCUGACUCCCCGGGGUCACCCCAACUACCUCGGCCAAGGGGUCAAGUACCCCCUCGGCCUGCCCCCGUUCUUCGGACUGGGACCCCGACGUCCCGGCCCCGGAUACCGAUGGCGCCAGCCCGCUCGGGGGCUGACUCGACGACCCCUGGCCCAGCCUCAGAUCCGGGCUGAGGCCAUGGCGGGCAGCCAUGUCGUCGUCUUCAUCAUCGUCUUCAUCGUCGUUGUCGUCAUCAGGCGUCUCCGGCGACGGCUCCCUCGGGAGCCCAUCCCUCUCCUCCCGACGACGAAGCCUUUCCAAGGCGUCCCGAGCCCGCAUCCGCUCGCGGGCCCGAGCCUUCUUCGCGUCCUUCUUCUCCUUCCUCUUCUCUGUGGCGACCCUCCGCGCAGCUCGGUCCAACGCGUCCUCCGGGACCGGUGGCAGGGAAGGCUUGUGAAACCCCACCUCCUGGAGACGGAUGAAAAGUCUCGGGUGUGAGAACCAAGGGCAAUCCGACACAAGAAGGAAGAAGGAGCGGACACUCACCAGGGACACACACCCGCGAUCGGGACGCAUCGAGAGCUGGGAAAAGGCGCCGGCGUCUAACUUCCCUACCAUGCCGGCUACCCGCCUGUGGAGGUCAUCGGCGGGAAGGGGGUCCGAGAACAUCUGCAAACCCUCCAAGUCGACCCCCGGCGUCAUCUCCCAAAGCGGCAGCCGCCGCUCCGUCAAGGGGAGCACCCUCCGGCGAUAAUGGCGGCAACCACCCCCACGGCGGUGAGCCCUCCUUUUCGCAGCUCCUCCAAGGCCUUCAAAAGGGGCUGGAGAUUCUUCUGUCUCUCGCGCGGGGCCCCGUAGCGCCAGUUAUUGGCGGCGGCGGUCACCAAUCGUUGAGAAAACGACGGGAGCCUCCCGUCAUCAUUUCGGAGAUAAAACCACUGGCGCUGCCACCCUUUGUUCGAAGACGAGAGGAUGGCAGGGAUGUACUGCAGCGCCCGCACCUGCCUCAACUGGAGGAUGCAGCCACCGACCCGCACCGCCAUGCGAACUCUUCUUUCCCCCGUCGACGAGGCAAAAAGCUCCGCGGAGAAGAGAUGGGUCCAUAGGUCCCAUUGGGGGGCAAUCCCCAAUAUCCUUCGCAAACCGCCGCGAAGAUGGCUGCUUGCGAGAUGGAGUUGGGACUGAGAUUGUGCAGCUCCACCCCGUAGACGUGCUGAAUCGCCCGCAUAAAACGGCUUGCCGGCACUCCGAACCCCCGCUCGUGAAAGGAGACGAAGCUCAGCACAUACCCCGGCGGCCGGGACGGGGCGGCUCCGCUCGGAGGGGCCAUCCACUCUGGCUGCGAGUCACCGGAGAGAGGGUGAAGCAAACCAUCAGCAACAAGGGCCUCCAGAUCAUCCGCCGUGACGGUGGAGAAAGGCCAUCGGUCACGCGGCGAAACAACAGUCACCCGGUCGGCAUCACCGAGCAGAAGAGGUGGCGGCGGAGAGGACGAGGUGCGCGGUCUCCUUUCUUUGGCUAUUCCCUCGGGUUGCGAAAACCUAAGUGGGAGGCGAGCAGCAGAGUAAAGAACCGUCACCGAUCCCUCUCCCGAAUAUAUAAAGGCCCAGGCGAGACCCGUUCAACACUUCGCCCGAACCCGCCGCGAGAUUCAAAACUCAAAGCGAGACGCCCGUUCCUCGAACGGCUCGCGCACGCACAACGGCUGCCCUGCGAACCACUCGUCCCGUCGCAUUAACUCCACGGCAGGACAGGCGGCACCUUUGGCAGGCAAAGCAGGCGACGCUUCACCUCCGCCAUGAUGACCGCGUCAAAAAAGGUGUGCCACGUCAUUCGAUUCUGUAUCCUUUUCCACUUCCUCUUUCUCUCUCUCUUGCUACGGGGACCGGGAAAGGGGAUACUCUGAAAGGGAUCCUUCUCCGCGAAGGAAGCGGGCCCCGAGCCCCCCUACUGAUCAGAGGUUCGAAGGCUGGCCCCUCGAAAGGGUUCAACAGCCACCUCAGAGCACUCGGGCUCCGCGCCCACUACUGGUCAGAGGUUCGAAGGCUGGCCCCUCGGAAGGGUUCAACAGUCGCCUCAGGCCACUCGGGCUCCACGCCCACUACUGAUCAGGGGUUCGUAGGCUGGCCCCCGAAGGGAUCGACAGACGCCUCAGAGCACGCAGAGCGAGGGAUGACCCUGGGUACGUUCGAUACAUAACCAAGGCUCGGGCUACACUCCCGAGGUACCCUAGGACAUUUCCGAGACCGACGGGAACGAUUUUGUAACGGAAUCCCACCAGAGGGAGGCAUCGAGCCCUCGGACCCCGUCAAAAGGGGACCGGGUCCGGCGAAUCACCCGCAGGUACUUUUGGAGCGCGCCUCCAGGCCACUAGCCAACCCCUAACGAAUGGGGCACGGGCGUCCACUCGGAUUACCAGUUAGCAACUCACUGGAGACACCAUGUUCGGCGCCCUCCGAGGGCAACAUGGUGCUUUCCCCCCUCCUCCUUGCGGAAAGGCGACGCAGGGGCGUAUGAAAAAAGCCAAGUCUGUCCUUGACCGUCCUCCCGCUCUGUGCGGAGGCUCGGGGGCUGCUCUCGCAAACCCGGCUCCGGCCAAACCGUUGACAGCGUCAACAUACCAGCCCGAGAACUUGGGACUCGACUAUGCACCUGGGCUACGACCAGUUCGCAUGAGGGAACAACCAGACCGGCCGAAGCAUCACGAAACGCGCUAAGACGUCGAAGGAGUCAAACCACUCCUCCGAGGCCUCGGGGGCUACACCCGGCGGGUGCGCUCGCGCGCACCCACAGAACGAAACGCAACCAAGAAAGGCCAGUCCCCUUGCAAAAAAGUGCGACAAAAGCCUCCAAGCGAGUAUCAACACUCCCUUCGAGGCUCGGGGGCUACUGUCGGGGACCAUAAUUAGGGGUACCCCCAAGACUCCUAAUCUCAGAUGGUAACCCCCAUCAGCACAGAGCUGCAAAGGCCUGAUGGGCGCGAUUAAGGUCAAGGCUCAGUCCACUCAAGGGACACGAUCUCGCCUCGCCCGAGCCCAGCCUCGGGCAAAGGCAGCCGACCCCGGAGGAUUCACGUCUCGCCCGAGGGCCCCCUCAAGCAACGGACACACCUUCGGCUCGCCCGAGGCCCAGUCUUCGCAGAGAAGCAACCUUGGCCAGAUCGCCACGCCAACCGACCGUAUCUCAGGAGCAUUUAAUGCAAGGAUCUCCUGACACCUUAUCCUGACGCGCGCUCUUCAGUCGACAGAGCCGAAGUGACCGCAGUCACUUCGCCGCUCCACUGACCGACCUGACAAGAAAACAGCGCCGCCUGCGUCGCUCCGACUGCUGUGCCACUCGACAGAGUGAGGCUGACAGCAGCUAAGUCCAGCCUCGGGCGCCAUAGGAAGCUCCGCCUCGCCCGACCCCAGGGCUCGGGCUCAACCUCGACGCUGGACGACGGACUCCGCCUCGCCCGACCCCAGGGCUCGGACACAGCCUCGGCCUCAGAAGACAGUCUCUGCCUUGCCCGACCCCAGAAGCUAUAGUCUUAGCGUUAGUCUCGCUCUUAGUCAGUAUUAGUUAGACAGGGUAGUUUGCUUAUCCUGUGCAUUUAUGUUUAUCAUGAUGAACUAUGUUUGCUUUGGAUUUUUGUAAUGACUGUCACCAGAGUGUGGGUAUCCCCUGCAUUUUGGUUUACCUGUUAUAUGUUAAAGGAGUUAGCUAUUUAGUUGGGAAGCCAUUUGUUCCACUUUCCUCUUUAUCUAAGAAGCUGUGUGGUCUGUGUUGAAGAUCAGUGAAGAUGCUCAUCUGUUCAGUGUUGCUGAAGAAUUCUAUACCCUUUUCUUAUGCUGCAAGAUUUUCAAGACCAGUUCUGAUGUGUGGUUGCAUUCUGCAGAUGUCAGAAAACAGGCGUAGAGGAGGAAGGCGUGCUCAGCAGGAGCAAGCCGCUCAGCAGGAAGAGGUACCCCAGCAACAGCAACUGCCGCCCCCGCCCCCGAUGUCCAUCGAGCAGAUGUUCCUGAUGCAGACCCAGGCAGUUCAAGCCAUCAGUCAGACUCUGGCCGCCAUUCAGCAGCAGCAACAACAGCAGGCCCCACCUCAACCCCAGAUGCCUCAGAUGCCUAGGGACAAGCGUGCUGAAUUCAUGAGAGGUCAUCCCCCAACGUUUGCUCAUUCUUCUGACCCCAUGGAUGCUGAAGACUGGCUGCACACUGUGGAACGGGAAUUGCAUACUGCUCAGUGCGAUGACAGGGAGAAAGUUUUGUAUGGUCCCUGUCUGUUGAGAGGAGUAGCUCAGUCAUGGUGGGAGUCUUAUCUCGCCACCCAUGCCAACCCCGACACCAUCACCUGGGAAGAGUUCAGAGGUAGCUUUUGUCAGUACCAUGUUCCUGCAGGUCUGAUGACAGUGAAGGAGGAAUUCCUGGCUCUCAAGCAAGGGUCAUCGUCUGUCAGUGAGUACCGGGACAGGUUUCUGCAGUUGUCUCGCUAUGCUCCUGAAGAUGUCAACACCGACGCCAAGAGACAGUACUGUUUCCUGAGAGGCUUGGUCGACCUCUACAGUAUCAGCUGAUGAAUCAUACCUUCCCGAGAUUCCAGCACCUGAUUGACAGAGCAAUCAUGACAGAGAGGAAGCGUAAGGAGAUGGAGGAUCGCAAGCGCAAGAUCAGUGGACCCCAGCCUGGAAGCAGCAAUCGUCCUCGUUUCUCAGGCAAUCAACCUCAGCAGUUCAGGCAGAACCAGCGUCCACCUCAGCAGCAGCAGCAGUUUCAAAGGCAGUAUCCUCAGCACCAGUAUCAGAAUCGUCAGAACAAUCAGUCAGGAGGAGGUCAGUUCCAGAGGCAGAAUCAGCAGGCACCUCAUCUUCCUGCCCCAGCAAACCAGCAGAACAGUCAGGUAGCACCAGCUCAGGUUGGAAACAGAGCAUGUUUCCACUGUGGAGAGCAAGGCCAUUGGGUGAUGCAAUGUCCGAAGAAGGCAGCCCAGCAGCAGUCAGGUCCUAAUGCCCCAGCAAAGCAGAAUGUGUCUCAGCCUGGAGCAAGCAACCUCUCUCAACCGCGCUAUAAUCAUGGGAGACUGAACCACUUGGAGGCUGAAGCAGUUCAGGAGACCCCCGGCAUGAUAGUAGGUAUGUUUCCAGUCGACUCCCAUCUUGCGGAAGUGUUAUUUGAUACUGGAGCAACGCAUUCUUUCAUUACUGCAUCAUGGGUAAAAGCACAUAAUCUUCCAAUAACUACCAUGUCAACCCCCAUUCAAAUUGACUCAGCCGGUGGUAGAAUUCGAGCUGAUAGCAUUUGUUUGAAUGUAAGUGUGGAAAUAAGGGCAAUAGCGUUUCCCGCUAACCUCAUAGUAAUGGGUACUCAGGGAAUAGAUGUCAUCCUAGGGAUGAAUUGGCUUGAUAAGUAUCAGGCAGUCAUCAGUUGUGAUAAGAGGACAAUCAAGUUGGUGUCCCCACUAGGAGAGGAAGUGGUGACCGAAUUAGUCCCGCCUGAGCCGAAGAAAGGAAGUUGUUAUCAGAUGGCUGUUGAUAGCAGUGAAGCAGACCCAAUUGAGAGUAUCAAGGUUGUGUCUGAGUUCCCAGACAUGUUUCCAAAGGACUUACCAGGUAUGCCACUAGAGCGGAAAGUUGAAUUUGCUAUAGAGCUACUCCCUGGCACUGCCCCCAUCUUUAAGAGAGCUUACAGAGUAUCUGGACUAGAGUUGGUUGAGCUUAAAAAGCAAAUUGAUGAGCUAUCAGAGAAAGGUUACAUUCGGCCAAGCACCUCGCCUUGGGCCGCCCCUGUCCUAUUUGUGGAAAAGAAAGAUGGCACCAAAAGGAUGUGUAUCGAUUAUCGAGCUCUGAAUGAGGUCACCAUCAAGAACAAGUACCCCUUGCCCAGAAUAGAAGACUUGUUCGACCAGUUGAGAGGAGCCAGUGUGUUCUCCAAGAUAGAUCUGAGGUCAGGUUAUCAUCAGCUCAGGAUUCGACCUUCAGACAUUCCGAAGACGACAUUCAUUACCAAGUAUGGGUUGUAUGAGUUCACUGUGAUGUCUUUCGGUCUAACAAAUGCACCGGCCUUCUUCAUGAACUUGAUGAACAGUGUAUUCAUGGAUUAUCUUGAUAAGUUUGUGGUGGUAUUUAUUGAUGACAUUCUGAUAUACUCUCAAAGUGAAGAAGAGCAUGCAGAUCAUUUGAGGAUGGUAUUGCAGAGAUUGCGAGAGCACCAGCUGUAUGCAAAGUUGAGCAAGUGCGAGUUCUGGAUCAGUGAAGUUCUGUUCUUGGGUCACAUAAUCAACAAAGAAGGAUUGGUCGUGGAUCCGAAGAAAGUGGCAGACAUUCUGAACUGGAAAGCACCAACAGAUGCCCGAGGAAUCAAGAGCUUCAUUGGAAUGGCCGGAUAUUAUCGGCGAUUAAUUGAAGGGUUUUCGAAGAUUGCGAAACCAACGACAGCGUUGCUAGGCAACAAGGUUGAGUUCAAGUGGACCCAAGAAUGUCAAGAGGCUUUUGAUGCGCUGAAAGAGAAGUUAACUACAACGCCUAUCUUAGUCUUGCCUGACGUGCACAAGCCCUUCUCGGUGUAUUGCGAUGCUUGUUACACAGGUUUGCGAUGUGUGUUGAUGCAAGAGGGAAGAGUUGUGGCUUACUCGUCCUGACAGCUGAAGGUUCAUGAGAAGAAUUACCCAAUCCAUGACCUGGAGUUGGCAGCAGUGAUUCACGCAUUGAAGACAUGGAGGCACUAUCUGUAUGGACAGAAAUGUGAGGUUUACACAAACCACAAGAGUCUGAAGUACAUAUUCACUCAGUCAGAGCUGAAUAUGAGGCAACGAAGAUGGUUAGAGCUGAUCAAAGACUAUGAGUUGGAGAUUCAUUACCAUCCAGGCAAAGCGAACGUGGUGGCAGAUGCUUUGAGCAGGAAGAGUCAGGUCAAUCUGAUGGUCGCUCGUCUGAUGCCUUAUGAGUUGGCCAAAGAGUUUGACAGGUUGAGUCUCGGAUUUCUGAAUAAUUCGUGAGGAGUAACAAUUGAGUUGGAACCUACCCUGGGGCGGGAAAUCAAAGAAGCGCAGAAGAAUGAUGAGAAGAUCAGUGAGAUCCGGCGACUGAUUCUAGACGGCAGAGGCAAAGAUUUUUGGGAAGACGCAGAAGGUGUGAUAUGGUUCAAAGACCGCUUGUGUGUUCCCAAUGUCCAAUCCAUUCGAGAGUUGAUCCUCAAGGAAGCUCAUGAGAUAGCCUAUUCGAUUCACCCUGGUAGUGAGAAGAUGUAUCAGGAUCUGAAGAAGAAAUUCUGGUGGUACGGAAUGAAGAGGGAAAUCGCAGAGCAUGUGGCGAUGUGUAAUAGUUGUCGGCGGAUCAAGGCAGAGCACCAAAGACCAGCUGGAUUGUUGUAACCGUUGCAAAUCCCUCAGUGGAAAUGGGAUGAAAUUGGCAUGGAUUUCAUAGUCGGAUUGCCUCGCACUCGAGCCGGCUACGAUUCCAUUUGGGUUGUGGUGGACCGCCUAACCAAGUCAGCCCACUUCAUACCAGUCAAGACCAACUACAGCAGUGCAGUAUUGGCAGAAUUGUACAUGUCUCGGAUCGUUUGUCUUCAUGGUGUGCCAAAGAAGAUAGUGUCAGACCGCGGAACGCAGUUCACCUCUCAUUUCUGGCAGCAGUUGCAUGAAGCCUUGGGCACACAUCUGAAUUUUAGUUCCGCCUAUCAUCCGCAGACAGAUGGUCAGACCGAAAAGACCAAUCAAAUUCUUGAAGACAUGUUGAGAGCCUGUGCGUUGCAAGAUCAGUCCGGAUGGGACAAGAGAUUGCCUUAUGCAGAGUUUUCCUAUAACAACAGUUACCAGGCCAGCUUGAAGAUGUCACCAUUUCAGGCGCUCUAUGGGAGAAGUUGUAGAACUCCGUUGCAAUGGGAUCAGCCUGGAGAAAAGCAAGUGUUUGGGCCAGACAUUUUGCUUGAAGCUGAAGAGAACAUCAAGAUGGUCCGAGAGAAUCUGAAGAUAGCACAAUCAAGGCAGCGAAGCUAUGCAGACACAAGAAGAAGAGAGCUGAGUUUUGAGGUUGGAGACUUUGUCUAUCUGAAAGUGUCACCGAUCAGAGGAGUCAGACGAUUCGGAGUCAAAGGCAAGCUAGCGCCCCGCUACAUCGGUCCGUAUCAAAUCCUCGCAAGGCGUGGAGAGGUGGCCUAUCAGCUCAGUUUGCCAGAAAAUUUGUCUGCUGUGCAUGAUGUUUUUCAUGUGUCUCGGUUGAAGAAGUGUCUGCGAGUGCCAGAGGAGCAGUUGCCAGUGGAAGGCCUUGAAGUCCAGGAGGACUUGACCUACACAGAGAAACCAGCGCAAAUCCUUGAGACUGCAGACAGAGUCACCCGAAGGAAGACUAUCAGAAUGUGCAAAGUCAGAUGGAGUCAUCACUCUGAGGAAGAAGCAACUUGGGAGCGCGAAGAUGAUCUGAUGGCUAAAUACCCUGAGCUCUUUGCUAGCCAACCCUGAAUCUCGAGGGCGAGAUUCUUUUAAGGGGGAUAGGUUUGUAACGCCCUGAAUUUGGGGGUAGAAUUUUUUUCUUCUUUUCUCUCACCAAAUUCGGGCGUUACUCUCUUUUCUCUUCCUGUUUCGCUCUUUCUUCCCAAUUUCAAACCAGUAUAGUGACAAGUGUCUGUGUCGUGUAUGAACAAAAACCUAAGUGUCAUGGGUGUUGCAUCAUGCCAAAGCACAUUUCUUUGUCUGAUAUUGCGUGUUCGUCUCGUUCUGUCUCGGUUUUCGGUUCACGAUCGGAGUCUGUUUGAUAGUCAUGCGUGUCGUGGGUUUUGAUCCGCGAAGUGGCGCGGCCCAACCCAGCCCAGCCCAGCCCGGCCCGGCCCGGCCCGCGCGCCCUCGGCGCCCCACACCCCCAUGCGCCCCCUCCUCCUCUCCCUCUGUCAUUUGGAUUUCCCGCGCAGCAACCUCCCUCUCCCUCUUCCACCUCUCUCUCCCCGUGGUGCCCUAGGUUUUGGAGACGGUGAUCGCCGGAGUUGGAUCCCGAGGUGAGCUCCCCUCCCCUCCCUUCUUCUCUCUCUCUCUCCCUCUCCCUCCUCUUCUCCCCCUGCGUGCGCCCUCUCUUCUUCCCCUGCGCGCGCGCCCCCGCCCUCCCGUGCUCGCGCGGCGGCGCGGCCCCUGCCCCCCUGCUCGCGCGGCGGCGCCCCCGCCCCCUCCCUGCUCGCGCGCCGCGCGGCCCCCACCCCUCCCCUGCCCGCGGCGGCGCGGCCCCGCCCCCUCCCUGCUCGCACGGCGCGCGGCCCCCGCCCCUCCCCUGCUCGCGCGACAUGGCCCCCGGCGCGGCGGCUCAGCCCCCAGCGCGGUCCCCUGCCCCGGCACGGUGGCUCGACCCCCGGCGCGGCGUCCCCGGCCCCUGCGCGCGACGUCCCGGCCCUCGGCGUGGCUCGCGUGGCCUCGGCGCGGCCUCGCGCUUCCCCCGUUUACCCCCUAACGCGUUCCCGCGUGCGCAACCCCACGCGCGCGGCGAAUAUUCUUGGUUUUUAGUUAAUUUCAAACUCCGUUAGUUAGCGUGCUGUGUUGCGCGCUUCGUCGCGCGACGAAUUUAUCUAAUUUCAGAUUCUAUUGAUGUGUUGCGUCGUGCGCUUCGUCGCACGACGAUCCUUUGUAAUUUCAGGUUGUUUAAUGUGUGACGUCGCGCGUCGAGCCACGCGACGUUCCACUUUAAACUCAGUUCUGUUGACGUAUGCCAUCGUGCGUUUCGCCGCGCGACGCUCAACGUCUCUUUGUAAUUAAUGCAAGUGUCUUGUCGUGCGCUCUCUCGCACGACGAGUCGUUGAUUUCUUAAUUCGAUUUAGAGUAUUAUGUCGCGCGUCUCGCCGCGCGACAAUCCUUUGAAUUUAUCUUCAUCUGCUUAUAAUGAUUAGACAUGAAACAUGACUUUACUUUAUGCUAAACGUAGUGUCUAAAUUAAUGACCUUCAAUUGAGCGAGUGGUUUAAUUUAUAAUAAUGUAACGUGAUCAUUUCUCGACUGUAUUUUCCUCUUUCUCUCUUAAGCGUAAUUGUGAGCCCGCGUGGAACGUCUGUUUAUUUGUUGCAUCCUAUUGUGUGGUGUACUGUUCUUUUGUAUUAAAUGUGUGGAUGUAUGUAUGUUUGCGCUCGAAUAGAGAACGAUCCGGUUGAGGAGCCCGAAGAACUCGCAGGAGAAGCCCCUGAGCAGCAGUCGGUUGGUGGAGGCAAGUGUCCCUUGACCUAUCUCUGUCCUAUACAUACUUUAAUUUACCUCCCGCAUUACAUAUUCAUACCUAAGGAUUGACUAGCUUUUGUUAUCCAUGUCCUUGUUACCUAUCUGGGUUGGAUUAUUAUUGCUUAAUCUUAUGCUAUUGCUCAACUCUAAUCAAUGAACAUGAUGAGAAUUAUCAAUGAUACGUUGUUUUCCCCUCUUUUAUUAUGAUGUCAUACUUGUGGUCUUCAAGGGGGCUCGAGCGGUUUCUCGAGUGCCUCUCCGUAAGGACCUGUUCGUUGGAUGACCACCCGGGAAAACAGUGCAACCAUGAUGGUGGAAUGGGGUGCCCUUAGCUGAAUAAUUAGAGGAGCUGGGGUGUAGUUUGCUUAGCCGUCGUGCCGUCAAUGGGGUUCGGUGUAUGCGGCUCGCUCUGCCAAGCUUGGGUUCGCCCCCCUUGGGGAGGAGUGCGAUGCAUUUAGGAAACCUAACGGGCGGCUACAGCCCCGGGGAAUCUUUGUAAAGGCUACGUAGUGAUGCCCUGCUGGACCACCUAGGCAGUGGUCAAUGGGGAGUAGCUCUCUCCAGGCAGAAAAUGAAUCACGGCUUGUGGGUAAAGUGCACAACCUCUGCAGAGUGUUUGAAAACUGAUAUAUCAGCCGUGCUCGCGGUUAUGAGCGGCCAAGGGAGCUCCAGUGAUUAGUGAUACUUGAUCAGAGAUGUUCGGUUUGCAGGUGGCAAUGAGAUUGAUGGUUCUUGGUUUUGACUCUGGUAAUGGUAAGUGGUACUCUUUCCGUUUGGAAAGGAGUACGUUUGGGUAAUAACGUGGGCUAAAUCUAAAACUUGGCUUUCUCUACUAGUAAUAAUAAUCUGACCAACUAAAAGCAACUGCUUGACUUAUCCCCACAUAAAGCUAGUCCACUACAGCCAAAUAGGAUACUUGAUGAGUAUGUUGAUGUGUACUCACCCUUGCUCUACACGCCAAACCCCCCAUCCCCAGGUUGUCAGCAUUGCAACCACUGCUCAGGAGAAGAUGAAGCCGUGGAAGGAGACCAUCAGGAGUUCCAAGAUUAUGAUGAGUUCUAGGCAUGGGUUAGCGGCAACCCCCAGUCGGCUGCCUGUGAAGGCCGCGUUUAUCUACGUUUCUUUUCCGCACUUUGAUUUAUUGUAAAGACUAUGUGGAUGUCUCAGACAUAUGAUGUAAUCGACUAUUUCCCUUUUUAAUACUAUUUGAGCACUGUGUGAUGAUGUCCAUGUUAUGUAACUGCUGUGUACGUGAAUUGCUGAUCCUGGCACGUACAUGGUUCACAUUCGGUUUGCCUUCUAAAACCGGGUGUGACAAUGACAAUCUCUUUUCAAUUCUUUGGAUUAAAGGCAGGAACUGCUGAAGUCUAGGCUUUGAAAGACCCAAAGGCAAUCCAAGGUAAGUGAACUGCAUUGCACCUAUCUGGCAAUUGAGAGUUCUUGACAGGAUCUCCAUCUUCUCAGGGUUAACAUUUAUCGGAUACAUACUUGAUUUGUUAUAGUUGACCCUAAGACCAGUUGAGGUUGCAAAGGAAUUGAGAAUUGCCUUAAGAAAGAAUAAUUGCUUCGGGCAGGCCUCCAUUAUCAAGAGAGUAUCAUCUGCAUAUUGAACAAUAGAAAAAUCUUGUUCAGAAUUAUCUGGCAGAGGAAGCUGAAGCAAAUUCAGAUGUCUAGCCUUAUUUAUAAUGCUUUGAAGAAGGUCAGCCGCCAAGACAAACAACAAUGGCGAAAGAGGAUCUCCUUGUCUAACUGCUCGCUUGCAGUGAAAGGAUUUCCCUGGGACUCCAUUGAGUAACACCGAAGAAGUGCCAGAAUGUAGAAUAUUUCGAACCCAGUUAAUCCACUUUGUACCAAAACCUUUAUGAAUCAUAACCUGCAGAAUCAGUUCAUGUUCUAAGGUAUCAAACGCCUUUUCGAAGUCCAGUUUUAGCACAAUGAUUUCUUUUUUUGAGGAAUGACAUAAGUGAAUGUAUUCAUAGGCCCAAGACAAGCAAUCUUGAAUUGUUCUUCCUUUUAUGAAACCAUAUUGGUUCCUGUGAACUAACCGUGUCAUCAUUGAUUGCAGCCGAUUUGCCAAAAGCUUCGUUAAAAUUUUCAUACUGUUGUUUAGUAACGAAAUUGGCCUAUAAUCUCCCACUUUUUGCGGAUUGUCCUUCUUCGGGAUCAAAACAAUGAACGAUCCAUUAAUACUUCUUAGGCAAACCUCUUUGUGAUAAAACUUUUCACAUAGAUCAUAAAAGUCUUGAGCAACGAUGUGCCAACAUUUUUUAAUGAAGUUGGUGUUGAAUCCAUCAGGACUAGGGGAUUUGUUAGAAGGUAGGGAUUUGAUAAUGUUGUCAAUCUCCUGCUUAGUGAAUGGAGAGUCUAACCAUUGUAGAUCGUCAUUUCUGAUUAAAAGCUCUGAUAGAUCAAAAUGAAUACCUAAGAAAUCAGAAGAUCCCAGUCUACUCUUGAAAGCAUCCCAAAGAAGAUUUGAUUUGUGAUCAUGCUCCGAGUGAAUUAUCCCAUUCUCAUCAGUCAAUGAAGAAAUUGUAUUUCUUCUGUGCUUUAUCGUGGCAUGUGCAUGAAAAAUGGGAGCAAAUAUCUCCUUCAGUGAUCCAUUUGAUAGACGCCCAUUGCUUCCAAUAAAUUUUCUGAAUAUUUAGCAAUUCAGCCACUUUUUGCUGCAUAAUAUCUCUGAAGUUCCAUUCCUCAAUAGAAAGAUCACGAUGUUCUUCAAUAUUGUCUAUAAACUCUAUUAGCAGCUUGGUAUCGCUCACCGUUUUAUCAAUUUUUGGUAAUGAUUUUUGCCAAUCCUUUAGAACCUUCCGUGCAAUCUUAAACUUGGCUGUUAAGUUUUUUGCUUUAUCAGGCAGACAUGGAAGGCCAAGCCACGUGCUUUGAAAGAUAUUCAUGAAUCCUUCAAAUUCUAGCAAAAAAUUUUCAAACCUAAAAAUCUUAGGUUUAGGAAUCUUGGACUUAAAAGAAACCAGACAAGGCACAUGGUCAGAGAUGUCACACGGCAUCGUUUUUGCACAUGUAUCCGGAUAAACGAUAGACCAUUCUUGCGAGAUGAAAAACCAAUCUAAUCUAUGAAGAAGGGGUUCCCGCUGCCUAUUCGACCAGGUGUACGAUAAACCGUGAAGGGGAAUUUCAACCAAAUCUAGAUUACUUAUUGCUUCAUUGAACUUCAACAUUAAAUUAAUAUCGCCCCCAGCUUUAUUCCUAUUUCUGGCCACCGGAUUAAAUUGAAAUCACCAACAAGAAGCCAAAGCUUAUAUGAUGGCAUAGAAAUGUUAUAAAGCCAGUUGAGGAAAUCUAUUUUCCCUUGAGGAGUACAUGGUGCAUAAAUGUUCGUAAUAAUCCAAGAGCACUGUUGGGGGCCUUCGGCUUCCGAAGGUCCUCAAAAACAAGAUUUAACAGUGUUUCUGGAGUAUAAUGUGUGAACAGGUAUCUUCGGACUCGAGUCGAUAUCACAAGUAGAAGAAGCCCAAAUAAUACGAAGGUUGAUACAGCGCCGAAGAUGUGAGCAGGAAAGCUUCGGCGUGGUAGCAGAAAAGGAAACCGACUUAAAGAUGAAAGGGCUAUUCAGACCUCGGUGGAUUACUAUAGAAUUACUACGAAAUGUAAAGGGCAUGGAUGUAAUUUUAUAUGGGCUGCGUCCCGUGCCUAUAAAUAGGUGAACAGUACCCCCGUACUGCUGAUGCUGACUUGGCAUUUUGCUUUUGCGUCACGCUUGUACUUUCGCCUUCUUUCAAGCCGAAGGUACAUUUGUAAUAUGAUGUUAUUUCUACUUUUCUAUAAUAAUAAUACAGAAAUGAGUUGAUAAUAAUGCAUAAUGUUUUAUGCUAUCUUUUGUGUCUCAUAUGAUUCCUUCUUCAUUAUUAUAUGUUGAAUUUGUGAAGGUAUGUCCUUCAUAACCUUCAUCCGAAAAUCAUUAUGUCCUAAGGGAAAUAAUGCUUCGAAGGACGAAGGGCUUUAACGUUUAACAUUUCUUGUGUUGCCUUGUUCUUAAUUCAUAGCAUUUGAGAACAAGUCCCCAACAUUGGCGCCCACCUCCGGUGAACUCACUUCCACUCUUUGAGUUUUGAACACCUUCGGCGAUCAUAAACCUUCGCUAUGGCGCCGAAGAAAGCUUCAGCAACUGGGGCUGCAGCUCUACAACCGCUAGACCCCAAUCAGGAAACUCUCUCCCUUCGGGAGGCCCGAAGCCAGAAGAGGAAGGCUGUCAGCCCGACACCGCCAGAGGAUGAGCUAGACCAAGAAAUCAGAGACAUGGAGAUGCUUCAUCAACAGGUGCAGAGGAAGAAGGAAAAGAUGGCCAGGCUAGCUGAACUGCAAAGGCAGAUAGACGAAGCCUCUGAAGAAGUUCGUCAUCUUACUCAGGAUGAGCACAACCGAAGGCCUCAGAAUAAAGACCUUCAUCAGGAGGGUUUCCUCAACGAAGAUGACUGGUAUGAGAAUUUUCACCAUGGAAAUUUUGCUUUUGAUGAUGCUUCUCCUCUGUCCGCUGAGCUGCAGGCUACACCUUGGCCUCCGUCCUACAAGCCGCCUCAGCUUCCUAUAUUCGACGGCCAUUCAGACCCGAAGCAGUUUCUGAUGAGCUACGAAGCAACAAUAUCUUCGUAUGGUGGCAAUACUGCAGUCAUGGCAAAAUCUUUUGUUAUGGCUGUCAGGAGUGUUGCUCAAACCUGGUAUUCCUCCCUUUGGCCAGGAACGAUCACUUCAUGGCAAAAGCUGAAGGACAUGUUGUUAACCAGCUUCCAAGGGUUUCAGACGAAGCCGGUCACUGCUCAAGCUCUAUUCCAGUGCACCCAGGAUCACGAAGAAUACCUUCAGGCGUAUGUCCGGAGGUUCUUGCGUUUGAGGGCACAGGCACCAACAGUGCCCAAUGAAAUUGUCAUUGAGGCCAUGAUCAAGGGACUUCGGCCAGGACCUUCAGCUCAGUACUUUGCUAGGAAGCCUCCUCAAACUUUGGAGAAGCUGCUCCAGAAGAUGGACGAGUAUAUUCGUGCCGACAAUGAUUUUCGUCAAAGAAGGGAGGAGGCUUUCAGGUUUUCUGAAAUGACCAGGGGCUUCGGAGGAAGAUUUUAUCCGAGGCAUGUUAGGUCAAUUCACAACUCUACUCAAAAUGAUGAUAAGGGAAGUCAGCAGCAAAGGCCACAGUGCUCCUCAUAGGCUUCGGGGCAACAGCAAAGCUCCUUCCGGCCGCCAGCUCCAAGAGGCAGAGGCACCAGGGGCUUCGGCGGAAGGUUUGGAGAUCAACCAAGGAGAAUAUUUUGCUUGUUCUGUGGUGAAAACAAGGGCCAUACCACCAGGAUGUGCCAUGUUACCAUCCAAAAGCAAAAGGAGAUAGCCGAAGCUGCAACACAACAGGCUCAUCCGAUGCAAAUCAUGCACACUGCUUCGUAUCAUUCGCCUUACAUCCCAGAAUAUGUAGGCAACCACCCUGCAGUUUCUGUUGCUUCGGCGAGUCAACCUCAAGCUUCCUGGCAACAGCCUCCGCCUCCACCACCGCUGCAACAAGGCCAGCAGCCAGAAGGGGGCCAAUAUGCUCAACACCAAAGGGACUUAAGAGAACAGUCCGAAGCUCACACAGUCAAUAGCACUGUGCCAGAGUCGAAGCACAUCUAUUGACAAAUAUCCUACCUUGAUAGUAGUCUUUUCCAUUCAGUUUUAUUUUCUGUGUAAUAAAGGACAUUUUUUAAAUUUCAUGUAAUAGUUUCGUUGUUUGCCACAAGGAAUAUAUUUUCUCCACAGGCUUAAGUUGUUGAAGCUUAAAGAUUUGCGAUAACAAGGAGGACCUUCGAAUUAUCAAAAAUUCUUCGAAGCAACAAAAAGUCGUUCUAAGGAACACAGAGUAAGUUUGCUGAAGUUACAAAAAGCCGUUCCAAAGGGAGCGCAGUGUAAGUUUUCUGCUCCAAAGUCGUUCCAAAGGGAAUGCAAAGCUUACAGCGAAAAAUAAACGCUGAUACCGCCUAAGUAAAAGGCGAAGCGCGAAAAGUCAACGCGAAUACCGCUAAAAGUAGAAGGCGAAGAAGCUCCUAAGGGAGGCUUACAGCAAAAAAUAAACGCUGAUUCCGCUGAAGUAAAAGGCGAAGAAGCUCCUAAGGGAGGCUUACAGCGAAAAGUCAACGCUGAUUUAAAAAGAUUAUGUGUUUUAUUACAGGGAUGUGCGUGUAUCUUCGGAACAAAUACCAUCUUACAUAGCAUAACAUCAUCACAUCAUUUCGCAUGGCAUAAGCAUCAUACAUCAUGCUGCAUAUGGCACAAGAAGGGGACACAAUAUCGAUCUUUAGAAGAAUGUUUUGAAAAAGGGGAAAAUCAUGCUAAGUCACAAGGAGAUACACUAUUGAUCUUCGGAAGUGUAGCUUCGGAAAAUAUCUUCACGAAGCUUGGAUAUUCAUCAUCAGAACACUACGGAUAUUGUUGUGAUAAAUGAAAAUUCUUCUUCACGAAGCAUGAAAAGAAGGGAAGGUGUUUUUUCGUCAAAGACUAAAAAACAGUACGUAUGUAAAAUUUCAUGCAUCGUAAAGAAUUGAACCAUAAAAACAAGUAUAUUAUAUUCAGGGUUACAAGAUGUUACACAUAUUACAUUUCAGAAGUUUUUACAAUAGCACUUAAUCUUCUCUAAGUACAACUUCCGCAGCUUCGUUCAGGAGCCGAUUAACAACUUCAUCCAUGAUAGCUUCAGCCAUCUUUUUAAUUUCGUCGUCUCCUUUCGGGUGAGGGCCCGGAGACGCUUUAGUAGGAUCUGAAAGAGGACAGGAUACGGCUACAUUGCUAUUACAAAUUGCGAACAAAGUUUAAAACCAAAAAUUACAACACAAUAAAAACCAUUAGUUAAUACCUAUUUGCCCUUCGGGCUCUGCGCUUUUCUCAGUAGCCUCUGCUACUUUUCUAGCAUCAUGGAUGCCCUUUUCGCUUUUUUGGAUAAUUUCUCGGGCCAUUUCUCGACCACCAUUAUCCCAGACAUCGGUGAAAAAUUUUCCACCAACCAUGCUAGCUUCGGCUGAAGGAUCUUUUGCAUCUUCGAAGGACAAGGUAGCUUCGGAUUGCGCUAAAAUCUUUACAUGCUCGCAGCCCUUUUUCUCCAAAAUGGUGGCAAUCCCCCUGGCACCCGAGAAAGCACAUAUGUCUCUGCGGCUAUUUAAAAUUUCCUCAAAGGCCUCAGCUUCGUGAUUAAUCCGUUCGAUGGGACCUUCGGGGUUGCCUCUUGUAAAGUUUUCUUCGCUCUAGAAUGCGCCGACGCUGGCGAAUCUAGCUUUCAUCUUCUUAACACACCCCAUAGAUUUAUCAUAGCAUCUUUUCUUGGACGAACGAAGCUCUUCAACAGUUCCUUCUAAAUGAUUUGCCCAUUGGUCGCUAAGUUCUCGCUUCGUUUCUUCAAGUAUGCGUUCCUCUUUAGCUCUGGCCAGUUGUUUUCGAAGAUCUUCAAUUUCACGCUUCUGAGCCUCAGCUUGACCUUUAAAAGUAGCUUCGUCUUCUUUUAUUCUAUUUAUCAAUGAAUGUAAUAUUUUAUCUUUUUCGAGACCUUCGUUCCUUAGUUCAAUUACUUCGGAACGAAGGUUGCUCAGGACUAUAACGCACCCUUCGUCUUCGGCAUCUUUUUGGGCCCCGAGGGCAUUGCUAAGUAUAAGGCCCUGCAAAGAAAAAUGUGUGUGCGUCAAUAAAUUUAAGCAAACGAAAAAUUUUGGUCUCAAGAAAAAAUACAAAGAUCUCAUUUAUUGCACCUUUAAGCUAUUGUACGCCAGGCUGUCGGCCAGUUCGUUUUUCGACAGCACCGAGAGCCCGUCUUCUAGUGUUGGGAAUCCGAAGCUCUUGCUCAUCUCCCAACAGACAGAAAUCUCCUUGCUAUCAGGGAGACAAUACAAGAAGUCUUCUUCUCCGCUGCCGUUGAAUAUUAACGCCCCCUUUGGAUACUUCAGUUUUUGGGCGUAAAGCUGGGCCUCUUGCUUUUCUUUUUCUGAUAAUUUUUUCCCCGAAGCAUGUCGAACAAUAUAAUCAAGGACUUUGGGGAAUGCUUCGGGGGCAACAGCACUGAUUUCUUCAACAAGAAUUCGCUCUGUCAUUUUUUCUUCCUCAGUUUCCAAGGAUUUUACCUUCGUGGGCUCUGAGGGCCCAGCUUCAGCCUCAGUUUCUUGCUUAGGAGCAUUAGUAUCAAAAAUUUCAGUUUUCGCUUCGGAAGUUUCAACAGUCUUCUUCGGAGUUGUGCUUGAAGACUUAAUUGUCUCCAGAACAUCUAGCACAUUGACCAUUCUUUUUCUUUUCGGAGUCACCGCUGGACCCUUUUGGUUUUUUAUUGUCUCAACAUUUGCUGAAGGACUUAAAACUUCUGAUAUUUUUGAUCCCUCAGUUGAUCCUUUUGCUUCUUCCAUUUUUUCUGUCGAUGGCGCUUCGGCCAUCUCUUUGGUUUCUGGUAACAAAAUCUUUGGUUCUUCCAAUUCUGUUCUUGUUGGCGCUUCGGCCAUUUCUGCGACUUCUGGCAGCAAGGUUGGCUCUUCAGCCUCGGUGACCGAAGAGGUCUCUCCGGUGAACUCAGGCACCGAGGCUAGUUCAAUAUAGCGUGGCCGAUGUGUGAGGACCUUUAUCCUUUUUCUUUUCGGUGCUGGCUCACUAGGAGCAGCUGCAGCUUCUUCUUUCGCAGAAGUCGUGCCUUUUCUUUUCUGCCCUCGAAUGGGAUAACGAUAGUCAGGGUAGACGAACCCGAUUGCGUCAAACACUCGGUUCAGUCUUUUCUUUUUCCGGCCUCCGAAGGCUGCUGACAAUGCAGUAUCUUCGGCCUUCGAAUAAGCCCCAAGUAGUUCAUCACUUACAUUUUCAACGCUUUUUAGCCAGUCAUCAUCUGGCUCAACGAAUUUAUCUCCGAACUUGAAAGUAUACUUCAGCCUGAUAAGACCACCUUCGUCAGCCUCCUUUAUGGUCUCUUGCGGCAUUUCCCAUUUUUCCACGAGCGGCCAUACUCUGAAGGCAAUAUGCUCUUGGACCAAAUCUCUCGUUCCAAUAAAAGAACAAAUAACUCCGAAGGCUCUCUGGCAUUCUUCGGCAGCUUCAUUCAUUUCAACCUUCGGCCUCCGCAGGCCGAAGCUUUGCCAAAUAGGGCGCAUAAUUAUACCUUUAAUAUCUUCCUGUGUUUUCAGGUCAUUCUUCACAUAAAACCAUUCUGUCAUCCAGUCGCCGGGCCAUCUCUUCCGAAAGGUUGGCACGGGACAGCUUGACCCAGACCGAGAAACGAAAUUGUAGCAGCCAAAAUUAUUGUGAUACUGUUCCUUACCCCAGGGUUUUGUUUCGUAUGAUAAUUCGUGUAUGUUGCAGAAACUUUUCGCAUCAGGUUCCAGACCUUGGCUUCUCACGGCCCACACGAAGAUAUUCAGCCUUAUGAUUGCUUCGGGGGUAAGUUGGUGAAGAUAGACUUCAAAUAUUUUCAGCACCUCUACGACAAAGUUGCUGAGGGGAAAUCGAAGUCCAGCUUUCAAAAAGCUUCGGUACACUACGACUUCAUUUUCUUCAGGGUUCGGACAAGUCUUUUCUCCUUCGUCAGCCCUCACAACGGACAAGUCCCGGAAAUAUCUUCCCCUCAUGUUGACAAGAUGAUUUUCUUUGAUACUUGAUUUGCCGAAAACCGCAUGGCUUGGUCGCCAAGGGCGAUCUUCGGAGUCUUCACCACCACUAUCCACAUCAUAACUGUCGCUGUCAUCAGUAUCUUCAGACAAACCUUCUAAAAUCCCUUUGGUGAUUUUUUCUGUAUUGGUCUUCGACAUUGCUAUAAGAAACCCUAGGUUUUUCUCUUCAGAGAGACUCAGCUUCAUCUCGGCAGCAGCCUUCUUAUCUGAAGACAUCUUCGGAAACCCUAAAAAACUGUUUUCAACGCCGAAGCUUAAAAACUUAAAAAGCUAAGCAAGUCUUGGUGCGCAAGAGCUAAAAAUUGAGUGAGCAAGAGCAGAUGGCAAGAGAGCGUACCAAAUGAGCUCGCGGUAUGCUCUUAUUUAUAUGCCCAGUGCGUUGAAAAUUGAAAACCCCGCUUGUCAGUGAAUGUUGCUAUUCUAGCAAAGGGAAGGUGUUUUUUCGGACCUUCGGCUUAAGGCCUUCGUCCAUGUCGCAAUCUAAAUUUAUUAUUCUAACAAAUUAAUAUUGCGAGGGGCUACUGUUGGGGGCCUUCGGCUUCCGAAGGUCCUCAAAAACAAGAUUUAACAGUGUUUCUGGAGUAUAAUGUGUGAACAGGUAUCUUCGGACUCGAGUCGAUAUCACAAGUAGGAGAAGCCCAAAUAAUACGAAGGUUGAUACAGCGCCGAAGAUGUGAGCAGGAAAGCUUCGGCGUGGUAGCAGAAAAGGAAACCGACUUAAAGAUGAAAGGGCUAUUCAGACCUCGGUGGAUUACUAUAGAAUUACUACCAAAUGUAAAGGGCAUGGAUGUAAUUUUAUAUGGGCUGCGUCCCGUGCCUAUAAAUAGGUGAACAGUACCCCCGUACUACUGAUGCUGACUUGGCAUUUUGCUUUUGCGUCACGCUUGUACUUUCGCCUUCUUUCAAACCGAAGGUACAUUUGUAAUAUGAUGUUAUUUCUACUUUUCUAUAAUAAUAAUACAGAAAUGAGUUGAUAAUAAUACAUAAUGUUUUAUGCUAUCUUUUGUGUCUCAUAUGAUUCCUUCUUCAUUAUUAUAUGUUGAAUUUGUGAAGGUAUGUCCUUCAUAACCUUCGUCCGAAAAUCAUUAUGUCCUAAGGGAAAUAAUGCUUCGAAGGACGAAGGGCUUUAACGUUUAACAUUUCUUGUGUUGCCUUGUUCUUAAUUCAUAGCAUUUGAGAACAAGUCCCCAACAAGCACGCCGAUAAUUUGGAUAUGAAUUCCACUGAUUGAGCAUAAUCAUUUUGAAAAAUGACAUUUCCUGUCAAUUUUGAACUUUUCCAAAUGAUAACUGAGCCCCCCGAGUUCCCCAUCGAAGGAACAUAGGCAAAAGAAUCAAAAUGAUUAGGACAGAAGUUUUUUAGAUAGACUAUAUCAAUAAGUUCCUUUUUAGUUUCUUGUAAGCAAAUAACAUCACAGCCAGAUUCCUGAAUUGCACAACGAAUGCCAUUCCAUUUAACACUGGAAUUAAUUCCUCUAACGUUGUGACUCAGAACAGACCACUCUGAAUAAUUAGCAGCAUUAAAAUUAUUCAUUAAGUAAAAUUGAAGGUUUUUUGCCAGAGAGAGACCCAAAUCCAAGCACCGAGUGGGUAAAUAAGUGCCAAUCAACAAGUAAAAGAGUAUCAUAGGCAGAAAACAUGCACACCCAGGUGCCAGCCAAGGAACAUAAAGUUCUGAGAUUAACCAACCCAAAAACCCAGAACUUCAAAAGACAAAAGCCAGACUCCAACCAGCACUUCUUCAACCUAUUGUUUGUCUUCUUUAGUGGUAUCAUCAUUCUUCUCAUUUUUCUUGUCCUUUUUGCUCGUCUUCUUUGGACCGAUAGAUCCUGAUGAAAAUUUCUUCUUCUUCAAAUUGUUGUCAGAUAAGUCUUCAUCUGACAUGUUACAGAAUUUGGUCCCCAGGUUCCGGAUGACCUUGGAAAAUAGAGAUGGGGGACCAUCAAAGUUAUGAUGGCACAUCAGACAGUUCCUUUUUGGGAAAGAACCCUGUCUGAACCCAGCUCUGGAGUCUUUCAGGCGCUUACUCCUUCUGAGCUCUGAUUCCACAAUGAUUGGGGUACGGACAUCAAAGUUGUUCUUUUCCUGCUCAGAGUUUGUUGACUGGGUAUUCUCCGAACAAACAUCAUCUAGGAAUUUAUCUUUCGGGCAUCCCUUAGGAAUGGCAAAAGAUAAGGACUCAAGUUCUGGCUCCAGCAACAAUGAAGGUAUUUCUGAUGACAAGAAGGACUUGGACCAGUUAAAAGCUUCCGGUUGAAGCAAAUUUGAUAGGAAGAAGGGUGCCCAUUUUUUGGGAAUCUUCACUGAAAUGUCUGGGAUUCCUGCUGGAGCAAAAUAAUUGGCCCAAAUCCUGUAAAGCUAAGCAGACCUUUUCCUCUCCAAGUGCAUCUGAAACACUGGAUCUGGUUGCCACUCCAGAGUGAACAUGAAGUUCAUUUCCAUAUUGUGAAAGAAAUGAUUAUUAUUUUGUCCCCCAUCUUGGGCCUCUGGUGGCUGGUCAUCAUUAACAGCAAGAGGGUCCAUCUGAAUAACUGGGCCAUCAGCUUCUUGUGGCCCAUUAAUAGGAGCAUCAUUUAGAGCAGGCCCAUUCCCUGGCAUCAUAGGCCCAACCUCUAAAAUGUGGCCAUUCUGAAGGGGUGCAUCCUGAAUGGGUCCUAUGGAGCUAUCCGACGACAAUCUAGAGUGUUGAUUGCUAAGUUGCUGCUCAUCCGGUUGAAUGGGCUGCGGGACCUGCUGUUCAGGGUGAAUAUUUUCUAUCCAUUGAUCCCACUCCCCCUAGACAUUGUCCUCUUGAAGGGCCGACAUUUCUCCUCCCAAAGGAACCAGCGGGAAGUUGAGGUCGAGGCCAACUGGUGGCAUAGGUUGACCCAAACCAAAAAAACGAGAGGAAGCUGUUGACCAUCUUCCAGAGCAAGCGGAAUUGGGUCCGCAUUUUGAGCUUGCCCACCAAGCAUGUUUUGUUGGAUGAUUUCACACUAGACUGUCCAGGAAUCCCCAAUGAAACCAUCUGCUUCCGAAAAACAAUGAACGGAGGGACUUCUUCAAGGGAAGUGACACGGACAUGAAGCAAUGUCCUGGUGACAUUAUGGUGAUCCUCCUCCCAAAGAAUCAACCUGCCAAACGAACCAAUAGCUUCUUGCAGGUACUCUGAAGAACGGUAGUCCAGAGGAAAACCCAAUAACAUGAGCCAACAUUCACGAUUGAAAAAAAGAGCCCGAUGAUUCCAAGCGUCAUUAUGAUGAAGAGCAGUGAAAGUAGCAUCCAGGUACUAUUAAGGACCAAGCAAAACAAGGUUAUCACGCUCCAAAACACUAUGAAACUGCACCAGCACCUGACCCAAGUGAGAACGCUGAAUAUCUCUCACCCCUAUCCUUCGAUGCUCCACUAAAUAUUCCCUAAUCACAUCUCUGACCGCAGGAAAUAAGACCUCAUGCUCAGGUAAAGGAUGGAUAUUAAUAAUCACCCAAUCCUCAUGCAUUGGCGGAAGUCUCCGCGAGACUGACCUGGUCAUGAUUUCACGAUGCUGGACCGCCAUGGCGCUGAAGCCUGGCGGGAGGAAAGGCUCAGGGUCGACACACCGGUACGCCAUUGCAAUAGUUUCCGAAGAUCGCCAGCGAACAAGAGGCAAAAGAGCGGUUUGGGGUUUUGGUGAAGUGACACCCAGCGAGAGCUCAAGGACGCGAUAGGUGUCUGUUCGGAUUUUUUAAAUAAAACCACCCUGGCGAACUCUUCAAAGCAACCAAACUUAGGGGAGACCCAUCUGUCAGGGACCCUAGGAGAGGGCGGAACCAAGAACUGUAGUCUAGGAAAUUUAACGUCCCUUCCAAAAUGCAACCGCACUCAAAGGAAGGGAACGAAGAGAGAGGAAAUCCGAAAUCUGUUUUAUUUAAAUUACAAAAUAAUUCCAAAUGUCCCUUGACUUUACAAAAGUGGCAUUGAAAAGCUGAAGGGUCCCAACCAAACGAACCAGUCAUCACAGAGAUGUUUGAGGCCGCAGGCCCAGGCCCAGACGUGAAAGGCCAUUCCGCAAAAUGGGCCGCCAUUGAAGCUUACGAGCUCUAGGUAAAUUUGAAUUUGAAUUUGAAAUGUGGCAAGCAUCGCGCCCGCGACGACCGCGGCUAAUCAUGCCUCCAUUAUGAUUAGAGUAACUCACCAUGGAGAACAUCCAGCGAGAAGGAAUACUCAUGGGAAUUGCCAAGUUCUUCGCUUUGAAUGAAUUCCGAGAGCCCAGAAAUCUUGAAGGAGAACCUAAUCGCUUGAAGACAGAAAGCCUUGUCUCAUCAAAAUUCCCAGCAGAGUGAGAAAGCAUCUUACUACGAUGAAUCAGGAUAGCAUUUGCACCAGAUAACAGAGGAAGCUUAACAAUAUUGGCAAAAGAAAUUUUCUUCUUGCCCUUAACAAUCCACCAAUUGGCAUUUUCUUCCUGAAUGAAUUUCCUGUAUUCAUAAGUCCAAUUUGGUCCACCAUGAUUCCAAAGAUUGAAGAAAGCCCUAAAUUCCGAGCGAUCAAUGCAUUUAGAAUUGUAGAUAUGAAAACCAACGGCCUUGGAGGAUACCGAGAAGCGAAAAACCCGAUCAGAGAGCUGGGAUACAUUGAAACCCUUUGCAAAACCUCCCAGAGCGGCUUGAAGAAGAUAACCCACUGCAAUCGAGUCAAGCUUGAAGAAGCAGCGACCAAAAGAGAUGACCAACCAAAAUGUCAAAGGAAUAUCCGGAUGCCCAGGACACACUGGAGAAGCUAAGUGGCGCCUAAUAUCAUCCUCGAAGAGUAAUCCCGACCGAAAAUCCAAUUUUGCCAGAUCCAUCUAGAAAAAACGAAGAAGACCAAGUAGGAGAAGAGAGGGGGAACAGAAAAGCACUUCAAAGCAGACCAAUCCCGAGAGCUAAUUGAAGAUGAAGAGAGUGCGGAGAACAAUUGAGAUCCACCCGCCAUACUCAUCCGCUGAUGAAGAAGGAGCUGGCAGCCAAAUCUUCCCAGAGGAGGAGGGAUGGGGAGGAGGGAAUCGCCAUCAUCUUGUAUCACAGCUCGGAUUGGCUCCACGGAUUGGCUCCACUUCUUAAUUUAUGUUGCUUUGUUUUUUAUAUGAAAAAUGUAGCCAACAUAGCAUAAAUAUAUGUAUUUCAUUGACGAGUAAAGUAAAUGUGACGGUUCUUCCAAAUCACGCACUUUUGAUUUUUACAAUACCAACUGUUACUGAAAAUUUGGUACGAUUCACCGUCAAGCACUUGGACCACCAGGCUAAGACGUCGAAGGAAAAAUAGCAGCCUCAAUCUCAAGAAUCAAGAAGCGAUAGCGUGGAUGCUUCCACCACGGCCGCCGGCGCCUUCUGAAGCGUCCCGAUCCUUUGGGACUCAAAUGUGAUACAAUUUCUAGUCCCAGGAGGCUAGUAAUCACAUUCAUUACUUCAAAUAGUUACAGAGUCUGAAUAAUGUUAUUACAAUACCGGGGGAUACAAGCUCGGAAGUGAGCCGAGAAACAUAAGGCGCAGUGGAAGAUAAAAUAGCCCAAGCCACAGGCAGAACUGGGUGAAGACACAGCCCCAUCAAUCAAGCAUAGCAGAAAAGAAGUCUUCAGCUGCUAAAAAACAUAAAUAAAUCUGGGUGAAUACACUAGGUAUUCCGCAAGCCCACCCGGCUCCCGUAAAGAGAAAGUGACCUAUAUGGUACAUGCUUUAUAUGGUGGAGUUGAAGUCACUCAUACUUUUUCAGAGAAGGGCAGUAUUCGUUAUUUAUGGUUUUCCCAAGACAAUAGAAGUAACACUUGCUUGACCACCACUGAGCUUCCUGCUCCCGUGGUACCACUUUCUUUUCAGAACAUACACACACAUUUCCCUGUUCCCGGUUGUAGUAGAAAAACUAAUUGUCAUACCAUACCAGACUCGUCCAUACCAGUGGACACGGCCUAUUCGAAUAGGUUUAGACUCUGCGCAGAGGGGUACACUUUACCCACUAGUCCGGCUCUGCGAUCUCAUGGCCAAUGAGACCCGAAUCCGAAACUCUUUCCUUCCUUGUACGUCCGAACCUUAACGGUUAUACCGGAAGGAGUCAGGCCACCGCCAUGUCCAAACCGGACAAAACAUUCCCCCUCCUUAUCCUCCCGGUGCUACCCCAGCCUUCAUAACCCUGGGGUUGGACCGUACGAGUUUAGAUCGAGUGGUUGCCCACACAGCCUCAAGUGGUUGUACUUUUUGAGAGCACAGGUAAUGAAAGAUGACAAACCGGUCCUUAUACGAGAGGACGAUCCUUCUGCUCACGCCUAAACCAGCUGAGCCAGCACCUUAGGCCCUCCCCUAAACCAGGGAGUCCCUGAUCAUCCUACUCACCAGGUGAUGAGGGUGAGUACCCUUCAUCGCACACAUUGGGAAAACAUUCCACUUGUACCCUUUUCACUUGCCCCAUAUCUUUUAAUCAAAGUAAUAGUUAAUGCGGGCCCUCUCGUGCUCACCAUGCAAUUCGAUUCCCAUCCCAUAAUCCAGGCUUAGGCAGUGGUAGAGACAAAUAGGUAAAUAAUGCAUCAAGGGAAGGAUGGACUUGCCUUCGUCGAAGCUUUCCUGGCACAAGAGGUUAAUCUCGGAGGGGUCGGGUUCUUGCCCUUCUUCCGGAUCUAAGAGUUCCGGAGGAUCGGAUCCCUCUUCCGCUAAUUAAACACAGAUAAAAAACAAUACAUCAAACAUAGUGACCUUUGUGGGGUGUGCAAAUUUUUAUACUUUAUUAUUUUUGUGCCCUAAUAAUUUAUUUAGACAAUUUUUGGCGCAUAAAAUAUUAGCAUCUAAAUAUAUAUGUGAAAAUGAGAAAAAGAAAUAGGAAAAAGAAAAGAGAAGGAAUUCUCCAGCUGACUGGGCCAGGGGAGGGGAUUUCGGCCCACUCAGCGCGGGCGCACUUGCGGCCCAGCUGUGAGGGAGUGACGGCGGGGAACGGCGCCGUAGCGCGGGCCCACCAGCCAGAGAGAGGGGGGCUAACGGCGUUGACGGCAACGGAGGGGGGGGGGGGGGAAAGGGGCUCGACCGGGGCCGGUCGACGGCGAGCUCCACGGCGGUUCUCCGCCGCCGGUCCGGUUUUGCGAUGGGGAAACGGUGGCGGAGCAUGAGUGGUAGAUGGGGAUCACAGGGGCGGGGCGAAUUUCGCCUGCGGGGGCCUAUGGCGGCCGGUCCGCGGCACAGUGGCGGGUGCCCGCGGCGGCGAAGCCGCCGGUGAAUUUUCUGGCCAUAAUUGAGUGGGGGAAGUGGCGUGUCGUGAACGUGGGAGUGUGGCGGAGCUCUUGGCACGACUUAAUUGAACGGAAGAUCGCCAGAGAGGGAGAGGGGAGCUCACCGGAGCGGUGAAGGGAGCACGGCGGCGCUUGCUUGAAUGGCUCGGGGAGGAGGGCAGUGGGGGUGGCUGGAGUUGUGUGGCGAAGACGGGGCUCGGGCGGGUCCUUUUAUAGGCGCUCGGGGAAGGGAGGGGGAUGGGGGAGACGGCGAGCACCGGCGAGCUCGCCAUGAUGGUGGAAAUGGCGCUAACGCCGAUUGGGACGGCUCGGGCAGGCUGAGGGGGUGAGAGGUCGGCUCAAGCACAGUGGCGGGGUUGUCGCGGAGGCUGGCGAGCAUUAAUGGCGAGGCGACGAGGCGAGGGGGCACUCGGCGGCGGACGCGCCGGUGAGGGUUGGGCGAGGGAGAUGGAGCUGACGAGUGGGCCCUGGCUGCCAGCGAGAGGAGUCUGCGCGAGAGGGAGGGGGUGAGGCGCUGACGGGCGGGGCCCGAGUGUUAGUGGAGGGGAGCGGCGCGCGGAUUGGGCCGCCUGGGCCGGGAAGAGAGGGGGGGGAUGCGGGCGCGCGCGAGCUGGGCUGGAAAUCGGCCCAGUCGAGGGAGGGGAGAGGGUUUUCCUUUUUCUUUUCUUAUUCUAAUUCUUUUCUUUUCCCUUUUCUACUUUUGUGUCUUUUUGUUUCUUUUUCCCUUGCAACAAAAAUUCUCUAAAUGAACUUGGGUGAUAAAUAUGGUCUAUGUGAGGUGCUUCAAAUUAUUUUAAGUGUAUGCAUAUGAUUAGGUGACCUAGGGGUAGAGUUAAGGGAGAAGGAUCAAAUGAGGGGGGGAAUUAGGGGGGUUAGGGUUUCAAACCUCGGGUUGGGAUUUUUGGGAUGUUACAAACCUACCCCACUUAAAGGAAUCUCGCCCUCGAGAUUUAGACGGGAUUUGGGAAAAGAUAAGGGUAUUCCUUCCUCAAGAAGUCCUCACUCUCCCAGGUAGCUUCCUCUUCUCCUUCUCUGCUCCACUGAACUUUACAGAGCUUUACUUCUGAGGUGCGGGUCUUUCUGACUGCUGAAUCAAGAAUCUUCACUCGUUUUUCACGGUACUGAAGGUCUUUCUGAAUCUGUACUGUCUUUUCUUCGAGGUGACUUUCUGGUGCUUGCAGGCAUUUGCGGAGCUGGGAUACGUGAAACACAUUGUGGUCGUCGGACAUGGAUUCUGGUAACUCCAGACGGUAUGCUGCGGGUCCUACCCUGCCAAUGAUGGGAUAGGGACCUACAAAACGUGGGGCUAGCUUCCCUUUGACUUGGAACCUCCUGACACCACGCAUUGGAGAAACCUUGAGGUAGACGAGGUCUCCCUCCUAAAAUCGGAGUUCCCUCCGCCUGUUGUCUACAUAACUCUUCUGUCAACUCUGAGCUUCGAGAAACCUUCUGCGGAUCAGUGCAACUUUCUCUUCUGCCUCUUUGACAAAGGCAGGUCCUUCUAGUGCUUUUUCCCCCACGUUGGACCACAUGAGAGGGGUCUGGCAUUUCCGUCCAUACAGUGCUUCGAAUGGCGACAUCUUGAUGCUGGCCUGAUAGCUAUUGUUGUAUGAGAACUCUGCGUAGGGUAGACUGGAUUCCCAACUUCUAUCAAAAGCUAACACACAUGCUCUUAACAGGUCUUCAAGGACUUUGUUGACUCUUUCUGUCUGCCCAUCUGUCUGAGGGUGAUAAGCGGUACUGAAAUCUAGCUUGGUGCCCAUAGCUUUCUGAAGGCUUGUCCAAAAUUUGGAUGUGAACUGGGUUCCCCUGUCUGACACUAUCUUCCUUGGGAUGCCAUGGAGUCUGACUAUCUCCUUGAGAUAAAUCCGGGCAAGGGUGGCUCCUCCAAAGGUAGUUUUCACUGGGAUGAAAUGGGCUACCUUGGUGAGGCGAUCUAUUAUUACCCAGAUGGAGUCAUUCCCUUUUUGCGUCCGGGGCAGUCCGGUUACGAAGUCCAUGCCUAUUUCUUCCCACUUCCAUUCAGGUAUCGGAAGGGGUUGUAAUAGGCCUGCAGGUUUUUGGUGUUCGGCCUUCGUCCUUUGGCAGAUGUCACAUCGGGCCACAUACUGAGCUAUUUCUUUCUUCAUCCCUUUCCACCAGUAUCUGGUUUUGAGGUCCAGAUACAUCUUGGUAGUUCCUGGGUGGAUGGAGUAGGCCGAGUCGUGAGCUUCCUUGAGUAGGACUUCUCGGGCCUCCCCCUUUGGUACACACAGACGAUGUUUGAACCAAAGGACUCCUUGGUCAUUUGUCCUGAGGUCCGGGAGUUGUUCCUUGCGGGCUUUCUCCACAAGCCUUGCUGUCUCUGAGUCUAGACGUUGAGCUUUGCAGAUGAGGUCUUCUAGCAUUGGUUUGACUUCAAGACUGUCGUUGUUUCCCAGACAUGCAUUUAGUUGUGCUGAUUCUUUCUUCCAGUCUUCUAGAAAGUUGGUUCCUUUUAUUCCGAAUGGUUUUCGACUGAGGGCGUCGGCUACCACGUUGGCCUUCCCGGGGUGAUAGUGAAUUUCUAGGUCAUAAUCCUUGAUCAACUCUAACCAUCUUCGCUAUCGGAGGUUGAGAUCUGGUUGAGUGAAUAUAUACCUCAGACUCUUGUGAUCGGUGAAAAUGUGGCAUCUGUUUCCGAUUAGGUAAUGCCUCCAUAUCUUCAAGGCAUGCACUAUGGCUGCUAAUUCCAAAUCAUGGGUGGGGUAAUUCUGUUCGUGCGGCUUGAGUAGGUGUGAUGCGUAAGCAAUGACUUUCUCGUUUUGCAUUAGCACACACCCUAAGCCUUGCCUCGAGGCAUCACAGAAGACGACAAAAUCUUGAUGAAUAUCUGGCAGUGAUAGAACGGGUGCUGUUGUAAGUUUCUCCUUUAUGAUUUGGAAACUUCCUUCACAUUUUGGGGUCCACACAAAUUUAUGGUCUUUCUUGAGAAGUUCUGUCAUUGGUCUUGCUAUGCUGGAGAAUCCUUUGAUGAAGCGGCGGUAAUACCCUGCCAUUCCUAGGAAGCUUCGAACUUCACUGACGUUGGUUGGUUGCCUCCAUUUUGAUACUGCUUCCACCUUGGAAGGGUCCACUUCUAUCCCUUCUGCGGUUAAGAUAUGCCCAAUGAAGGCUAUCUUUUCCAACCAGAAUUCACAUUUACUGAGUUUCACAUAAAGUUGGUGUGCUCUGAGUUUUCCAAGGACGAUCCAAAGGUGACGCUUGUGGUCUUCGCGGUUCUUGGAGUAGAUAAGUAUGUCGUCGAUGAAGACUAUGACAAACUUAUCUAGCUCUUCCAUAAACACUUUAUUCAUGAGGUUCAUGAAAAAGGCGGGUGCGUUUGUCAGUCCGAACGGCAUCACUGUGAACUCAUAUUGCCCGUAUCGGGUGACAAAUGCAGUCUUUUGGAUGUCUGCUUCCUUGAUCCUCAAUUGGUGGUAACCGGACCUUAGGUCUAUCUUGGAGAAAUACUUGGCUCCUUGAAGCUGAUCGAAGAGGUCGUCAAUCCGAGGGAGUGGAUACUUGUUCUUGAUGGUAACUUCAUUUAACGAGCGGUAAUCAAUACACAUUCUCAUGCUUCCAUCCUUCUUAGAGACAAACAAGACUGGUGCUCCCCAAGGCGAUGAGCUGGGACGAAUGUACCCCUUUUGCUGAAGAUCUACGAUUUGAAGCUUCAGUUCUGCUAACUCGGUUGGAGCCAUGCGGUAUGGUCUCUUUGCGAUAGGUGUCGUUCCAGGGAUCAGAUCUAUGUAGAACUCCACUUCUCUUUCUGGUGGCAUUCCUGGUAAUUCUUCUGGAAAUACGUCCAUGAAUUCUUCUACUACUGAUAUACUUUCUGUUGCCAGAUUGAACAUCAUUGGGUCACUGGCGGGUGGCUGUGCCUGACAAGAGACUGACUUUCCCUGCCGGUUGGUGAGGAGGACUGUCUUGUCUGCGCAACUGAUGAUGCCUUUGUGUUUAGUUAGCCAAUCCAUCCCUAGGAUCCCAUCAAUUCCUUUGGAUGGCAAGACGGUUAAGUCUGCCAGGAAUACUACCCCACUUAAAAGGAUUCUGACUUGGGAGCAUUUUAGCUGGCAUAGAAGGUCGGACCUUGUUGGGACUAUGCUUCGUCGCCGAAGGUCUGGUAGGAAGAAACAGCUUCGGCUGAAGCUGUCCGCAUGUGAUGACCGAAGGUCCUCUUCAUGAAGCUUCGGAAUUUACAAACCGACAUAAAAGUAGAAUGACCUUUUAGUCCAUAAAUGUUUGAGUCGCUGUUGUAAUCCCUUAUGAGGGGCAUAAUUGUAAUUCCUCACAGGCUGCGCCCUGUGCCUAUAAAUAGGUGAACAGUACCCCUGUACUGUUCACGCAAUCUUGUAAUUACUGGCACAUUACGCUGGGAUUAUUGCUUUCUGCCAAGACGAAGGUAUAAAUGUAUUUAAAUAUUAUGUUUUAAUAUCUAGGUUCAUAUAAUAAAAUAUGUGAACAAUGCUAUUUAUUUUCGGUAUGUCUUUCCAUAAUGUUUCAUGUGUUAUAUUUUACUUCAUAUUGUUUUUCAAGUCUGAUCACGAAGGUAUAACCUUCGUGAUAUUUUGCUUAUGGCCUUCGUCUGAAGCUCAUUAAAUCCUUGGGGAGAUAAUGCUUCAGCGGACGAACGGCAUUAAUAUUUAACAUUUUAUGUUGCUUUGUUCUUAAUUCAUAGCAUUUGAGAACAAGUCCCCAACAUUAGCGCCCACCUCCGGUCAACUCACUUCCACUUUUUGAGCUGAUGGCUUCGAUUAACGAUCAAGUUGGAGCUGCUUCGGCCCCGAAGCUGGUGCUCCCGAUAACAGGUGGUUCGUGCUCAGAACCAGCCAACAAAAAGCAGAAGAAAGAGGCGCAGAGAAGGGUACAACAUGUUGGAGUGCAGGGACCCUUCAUCAAGUCAAGAUGGUCCCACAUUCCAAUCACCUUCUCCCAAGAGGACCUUCAGCUCAAGGAUUUUCCUCAUAACGAUGCUAUGGUUAUUUCUUGUGUUAUCAAAGGGUUUCUGGUCCACAAUGUCUUGGUUGAUACAGGCAGUGCAGCUGAUAUUAUAUUUGCUAAGGCCUUCAGACAAAUGCAAGAGCUAGAAGAUAAGAUUCAUGAUGCUACACACCCUCUCUGUGGCUUCGGAGGAAGACAGAUUGUAGCACUGGGCAAGAUCACCAUGCCAGUGACCUUCGGAUUCAUCAACAACACCAGAACUGAGCAAGUUGUGUUUGACAUUGUUGACAUGGAAUACCCUUACAAUGCAAUUAUUGGUCGUGGCACCCUCAAUGCUUUCGAAGCAAUCCUUCAUCCUGCUUACCUUUGCAUGAAGAUACCUUCGGAUCAAGGACCCAUUGCUAUUCAUGGAAGUCAGGAAGCUGCCAGAAGGGCCGAGGGAAACUAGACUAACUCAAAAGCAAUCCAUAAUAUAGAUGAAGCUGAAACUUGUGAACAGUACAAAUUCAGAAGGGAGAAAGCAGCUUCGGCAGAUCAGCCGAAGCCCAUGCUCUUAUGUGAGGACAUAGCAGAGCAGAAGGUGCUGUUGGGCUCUCAAUUAUCCGAAGAACAGGAGAAAACCUUGAUAAGGUUUUUGUUCAACAACAAAGAUGUUUUUGCAUGGUCAGCCAAUGAUCUUUGCGGAGUUAACAGGGAUGUUAUUGAACACUCGCUCAAUGUUGACCCAUCCUUUAGACCCAGAAAGCAGAGGCUUCGGAAAAUGUCUGAAGACAAGGCCGAAGGAGCUCGCAACGAAGUCAAAAGACUCCUCAGUGCAAGAGUUAUCAGAGAAGUAAAGUACCCAGAAUGGCUAGCUAACACUGUUAUGGUAAAAAAGGCCAAUGGAAAAUGGCGAAUGUGUAUCGACUUUACGGAUCUCAACAAGGCCUGUCCGAAGGACGAAUUCCCAUUGCCAAGGAUAGAUUCCUUAGUUGAUGCAGCAGCUUCGUUAGAGCUUAUGAGUCUUCUAGAUUGUUAUUCAGGCUAUCAUCAAAUUUGGAUGAAGAAGGAGGAUGAGCCGAAGACCAGUUUCAUAACCCCCAGUGGAACAUAUUGUUACCUUCGGAUGCCCGAGGGGCUCAAGAACGCUGGAGGAAGUUUCAGCCGAAUGACUGUGAAGGUUCUUCAGUCUCAGAUAGGCAGAAAUGUGCUAACUUAUGUUGAUGAUAUCAUUGUAAAAAGCACGAAACAAGAAAAUCACAUUGCUGAUUUGCAAGAGACAUUCGCUAGUUUUAGACAAGCUGGUCUAAAGCUGAAUCCAGAAAAAUGUGUCUUCGGAGUAAAGAAGGGGAAAUUUCUUGGAUGCUUGGUUUCAACAAAGGGAAUUGAAGCUAAUCCAAGUAAAAUUGAAGCUAUACUUCGAAUGGAGCCACCAAAUACAAAAAGGGGGCCCAAAGACUGACAGGGAGGCUGGCAUCUCUCAAUAGAUUCAUAUCCAGAUCAGCAGAGAGAAAUUUACCAUUUUUCGAAGUGCUGAAAUCAGCCGAAGUCUUUCAAUGGGGACCAAGCCAACAAAAAGCCUUCGAGGAACUGAAGCAAUAUUUGAUAGAUUUAACAACAUUAACUCCACCAACACUAGGGGCUCCUUUGUUAUUAUAUGUGGCAGCUUCGCACUCAGCGGUAAGUGCAGCACUUGUCCAGGAGAAGCUUGAUGGCCAAGUCAAGAGGCAGGUCCCAGUAUAUUUUGUAUCUGAGGUUCUUAGUUUAUCGAAGAAAAACUAUACAGAAUUGGAAAAGGUGUUAUAUGCUGUUUUGAUGGCAUCCAGGAAGCUUCGGCAUUACUUUCAAGCAUACAAUAUUGUUGUUCCUUCUUCGCAACCGUUGAAUGAUAUUAUGAGAAAUAGAGAAGCUACUGGACGGAUUGGAAAAUGGGUUGCAGAGCUCAAUGAAUUUUGCAUUGAUUAUGUGCAUAGAUCUUCGAUCCAGUCUCAAGCGUUGGCAGAUUUCAUUGCUGACUGGACGCCAGGGGCUCAGGAUGAAGAAACAAAUAAAAAUGCCGAAGUAUGGACAGUGUUUUGCGAUGGGUCUUGGGGAACCUUCGGAGCAGGAGCAACCGUUGUGUUGGUCUCACCAUCCAAAGUUAAAACUUGUUAUGCGGCACGACUCGAUUUUAGUUGUACAAACAAUAUUACUGAGUACGAAGCCCUGCUUUUGGGCCUUCGGAAGUUAAAAGCAAUGGGAAUCAGAAGGGCCAUUCUUAAAACUGAUUCCCAGGUUGUUUCGGGUCAUAUCGACAAGAGUUGUAAGGCUAAAGAUCCGAAGCUUGAAAAAAUAUCUAGACACGGUCCGAAGGAUUGAAUCUUCCUUCGAAGGAUUCUCUGUCAAAAAUAUCCCUCGAGGACAAAAUGAGCAUGCUGAUUUGCUAGCUAAGUCAGCAGCACAGGGGCUGCCCUUACCUUCGGAUGUGUUCUUCGAAACAAUAAAAGCACCUUCAGUGGAACUUCUUGAAAGAGCAGUCCUCAAUAUAUCUCCUGUUUAUAGUGAAGAUUGGAGAACUGAGAUCAUUUCUUACCUUCAGGGUAACUUCCUUUCAGAUGACGAAACUUAUAACAGGAGGAUAGAGGCAAGAGCUCGUCCAUAUGUCAUGAUAGAAGGGGAGUUGUACAAGCAUGGAGUCUGUGCUCCACUACUCAAGUGUUUAUCUAGAGCCGAAGGCAUAGAAUUGAUGAAAGAAAUACAUGCAAGCCUGUGUGGAUCUCACAUUGGAUCUAGGCCGUUACUUGGAAAAGUUUUUCGUCAAGGGUUUUAUUGGCCGAAGGCAGCUUCGGAUGCAACGGAAUUAGUUCAAAAGUGCGAAGGUUGUCAGAAAUGUGCAAGAGAUCAAAAACAACCUUCGUCUUUAACUCAGCUGAUACAACCCAUCUGGCCAUUGCAAAGGUGGGGCCUUGACUUGUUAGGUCCGUUACCACCGGCCCAAGGAAACUUAAGAUAUGUUGUAGUGGCUGUGGAAUAUUUUUCUAAAUGGAUUGAGGCAAAACCUUUAGCCACAAUAACUUCGGCCACCAUUCAAAAGUUUUUCUGGCAGAAUAUUGUUUGUCGUUUCGGAGUACCAAAGGCCAUCACUGUAGAUAAUGGAACGCAGUUUGACUCCGAAGCUUUCAGAGAAUUCUGUGAUCAAAUUGGCACGAAGAUCCAUUUUGCAUCAGUCAGGCAUCCAGAGUCAAAUGGACUUGUUGAAAGAGCCAAUGGCAUCAUAAUGACAGGAAUAAUGAAGUUAAUCUUCAAUCAACCCAGGGGAAAGUGGCCAGAUCAAUUAAUCAAAGUGGUAUGGAGCCACAACACAACAACAUCAAGGUCAACAGGCUUUACUCCAUUCAAAUUAUUGUUUGGUGACGAAGCAAUAACUCCAGAGGAAGCUAAAACUGGAUCAAUAAGAAUAGUAGCUUCAGCAGCAUCAGAUUCUGAAGCUGAUCAUUCUGUGGAAAAAGAUGCUAUAGAAGGGAUCAGGAUUCAAGCUGUGGAGAACAUCAAUAAAUAUCAAGCCGAAACAAUCAAAUGGCGUGAUAGAAAGGUUCGGCUAAAGAAUAUUGAGCCAGGACAUUUGGUGCUUCGGAGGGUGGCUAACCCAGAUACAGUGGGCAAGUUGCAGCUGAAAUGGGAGGGACCUUUUUUGGUAGUAUCUUCGUCAAGACCCGGUUCAUACAGGACGGCAACGACAUUCCUAGAUCUUGGAAUGCGGAUGAGCUUCGGCGAUAUUAUGUAUAACUCGAUGUAAUUUUUUAUAUUUUUUAUUUUUCUUUCAUGGCACCCUUUUCCUUUCUGAAGGGGGAGAAAAGUUUUUAAUGGGGCCAUCACAUGUAAUUUCCUUUUUUAGUUCUAUAAGAGCAAAAUCUCCCAAAGAUGUAAAUGUAAAAACUGAGAACGCACCAUCGAGUGCCGAAAAGAAACAGAGAAGAAGCUCGAAAGUCGUCCCUAAGGGGAUGCGGAGCACGACGAAGCUACUAAAGAAGUCACUCCAAAGGGAGCGCAGUGUAAGUUUUCUGCUCCAAAGUCGUUCCAAAGGGAAUGCAGAGCUUACAGCGAAAAGUCAACGCUGAUACCGACGAAAGUAAAAGGCGAAGAAGCUCCUAAGGGAGGCUUACAGCGAAAAGUCAACGCUGAUUCCGCUGAAGUAAAAGGCGAAGAAGCUCCUAAGGGAGGCUUACAGCGAAAAGUCAGCGCUGAUAUGUGAUUGUUUUUAAGGAAAUAACGGUUGUGAUUAUGGCUUCGGAUAUGUGUUUGGACAUUCAUUUGCACACCACAUUACAUCAUAACAUUUGCAUUCAUAAACAUUCAUCCAGGCAUAUGUAGGAUAACCAUCGUCAUAGCAUAAGUGGUUGCUUCGGCAAAAAGGAAAAAACUGUCCUUCAUACUUCGUUGUGUACGAAAAGAAGAGCUUCGGCAAAAAGAAAAAGCUGUUUUUUAUGCUUCGCUGUGUACGAAAAGAAGGGAAGGUGUUUUUUCGCCUUUCAUCUCAAAAAGAUAAUUUCGUCCACAUCAAAGCACCACAUACAUUAAUGGAAGGGUAAGAGCAUAUUACAAGGUAUGAGAAAAAUUCAUUAAGAACCGUUUAGCCAUAUUUACAAAAGUUAUUUCAAAAGUUUCUUGAGUUUUUCUACAGUCUACUUCUACUGAUCUUCAUGGGGCCUCAGCUUUGGCAUCGUACUCUAAGCAUCGGUCUUGGCUUCGUCAUCCUACAUGAAUUAAGUUGCUGAGAGUCAAAACCAAGUUUGAAGGAAAAGGUAAGCACAAGGUAUGAUUUCUUACUGGUUCAAGAUGACUCCGAGCUUCGUCUCCAGCCUUUUCUCGCCCGCCUUUUGUCCAUAUCAUCUUUACAAAUCUAUUAGAAAUACUUCGGGCGAGGUCAGGAAUAUCAUCUAAAAUUGAUGGUGAUAGAGUGAAAUUGGGCCUAUUCACAAUUUUUCCAUGGUCGCAGCCAGCUUUCAGAAAAGCUGCAGCAGUGCCCCGAGAAGCUACCCAGGCACAGAAGUCACCGUGCCCGGCUAUAACUUCGUCAAGCUCAUCAAUUUCACCCUCAAUAUGUUCGAAGGUUUUUGGUAAAUCUUCAGUUGACGGGGUGAACUUCCCACUGCUAGCCCCGACUGAGUGGAAGAUUUUUCUCAGUCGUUGAAUACAUUUAUUGCUAAACUCCAAACAUUUGUCUUGAAGGCUUGCCAAUAAUUUUUUCAAAUCUGAAUUUUGUUGGACUUCGGCUUCAAGUUUCGCAUUAAGUUCUUGUUUUUCUUGUUCAAACUGUUCAGAUUGGUAGAGAAGCUUCGUAUUCAAUUCUGUUAUUUUAGCUUCGGCUUCUGCCAAUAAGCCUUCAGUUGCCUGAAGCUCGAAGUUCUUCUUUUCAAUAGUAGCUGAUUGCUCUUUUAUUUUGCUCUCCAAAUUUUCAAUUAUAACCUCGUGUUUUUUGUUUUCCAGAUCUUGCUCCAUUUUCAAAGCUUUACUCAACAGCAUACUCUGCACAUAAACAACCUUCGUUAGAAAUGUCUUCGUUAUUAAAAACAAUAAAAGUCAAGGGAAAAGUAGUUCACCUUGAAAUUGGAAUAAAAUAAACUACCAACGAUAUGUUGUCGUCGGUAGCGGCUAAUAUCCGUUUCUAGCUUCGGAAAACCGAUACUCUUUGAUAGAGUACCGAUAAUCUUAGCUCCAGUUUGAUCCCGGAUACAGUCUAAUUUUUCAUCGUCAAUACCCCCGAAGAGGAGUGCUCCUGGUUUAUAUCCGCAAGAUUUGGCAUAUUCUUUAAGCUCUUCUAUUUCGGUUUUUGACAGUUCUUGUCCAACUAAAUUUUGAAACAUGAAGGCUUCGUCCUCUGAAGUUUCGUCAGAGAUUUCCUUUUCUUUCCCAGACACUGCGGCCAUGGUCUCCUCGGCGGCAGUCGUAACUUCUUCUAUCAGUAUUUUGUCGAUAUGUUCGAUUGUUGUUUCCAAGUUCAAAUCUUCGGUUGAGGUAGCUUCGGUAGCCGCGAUCUCCGAAGGUGCGACUUCAAUAUUUGUUAUUUCCUCAGCAGCUAGUAUCUUCCGGGUUGAGGCUCUCGGUGGUGUCUUGUUAAUGACUUCUGUCACUGCGAUGAUUCUUUGUCUCUUUGUUUUAGUUGUUUCCUUCGUUUUUUCGGGCUCCUUUUCCUUCUGAAAAAACUUCGUCAGUUGAGGCCCUAAUGGACUUAGCUUCACAGGCAGAGAUUCAGUCAUUACCUUCAAAAUUUCUUCCACGUCAGUGGCAGAGCGUGAUGCGGGAGUCUCUUCUUCGUCGGAUACUUUUCGCUUCGGAGAUGAUACUUUUCUCUUCUUCGGAAUUUUCUUCUCUUUUGGUGGUUCUUUCUCAUCUUCAUUUAAAGCUUCGGCUACCCUUUUCCUUUUCCGGCCUUCGACACCUUUAUUCAGUUGUUCGUAGUCAGGGUAUUCGAAACCCAAGGCGUCCAGCACUCGAUUCAGUCUUCGCUUCGGACGGGUACCGAAGGCCGCAGUCAUCAACUGAUCUUCUUUUUUGGAGUAAUUACCGAGUAUUUCAUUGCACAUUAUUUCAAUUGUGUCCAGCCACUCUUGGCAAGGUGUCUUAAAGUAUUUCUUAAACUUGUAAUAGUAAGGUAACUGCACAAGUUCCCCUUCUUUCUUCUCCCCCUCUAGCUUCGGCAUUUCCCAUUCUUUUAAAGUAGGAAAAACCCUGAAGGCCAAGAACUCUUGAACCAGGUCUCUUGUGCCGAUAUGCUCUGAAAUAAUUUUAAAUUCAGCCAGUGCAGCCCAAGUGGGACCUUCUAAUGACAUUUGGCAUCGCGGUCUUGUUUCUCCGAAGAUCAAUUCAAGAGGGCUUUGUACUAGCUUCUCUUUGUCUUCAUCAACCUUCACAUAAAACCAUUCCGACUUCCAACCUGCCGGCCAUUUGCUUCGGUAGCUGAUUACAGGAAACUUUGUGGUUUUCCGAUAAGCAAAAUUAUAGCAACCAAAGUUAUCGUGCAAUCCAUCUUUUCUAGCUUUCGUCUGGUAGUGCAGCUCAUGAACUCGACAAAAGCUGUCGGCAAACGGCUCCACCGCUUGGCUUCGGAGGGCCCAGAUAUAAACACUAAGCCUAACGAUAGCGUUAGGAGUCAGCUGAUGAAAGUAGAUCCCAAACUUCUUCAAUACAUCUCCAAUAAUCCCAUGUAGGGGGAAUCUCAACCCAGCCUUUAGAAAGCUCUUGAAAAUGACUAUCUCAUCCUUCUCCGGCUUCGGGGUAGUUUCUUCCCCCCCCGAAGCGAAGUAGCUUCUUCUGAUUCUCACUGAAAUAACCCGACUUCACCAUCUUGGAGAGAUCAGCCUUAGAGACAGUCGACUUUCCGAAGUCCAAAUGGCUGGGCUUACUUGGCAUGGCAAUAUGAUAAUCAUCUUCGGAAUCAGUUUCCUCAAUGUCUCCUUCUUCCGCUUCGGCAGUUGCCUGUUCUGUUUCAGCAGUGGGGAUUUCUUCCGUGAUUACCAGUCCGUAUCGUUGCAUCGCUUCGGAGAUGGGAACAGUCUCCGAUCCUUCAGCUUCGCCUCCCUCACGCUCAACUCUAGCGGUAGAGCGCACUCUAGCCAUUUAAUUCUGAUUUUUUGGAAACUAAAUACUUUUCUUCCGAAGCUUUUUUCUUCUGACGAAGUAGGCUUCGAGCUGGAGCUUCGUUUGAUUUCGAGAGUCAAGCUUCGGCUAUAGUUAAAAAUUUUGGCAGCAAAACUGUGCAAAUAGCAAUGAAUGCUGUGGUAACUUCACACCUACCCGUCUGUUUAUAUAGUAAUGCAGGUAAGAAGGUGAAUCACCAGGAUUUCUGCACCAGGCGAACAGCUGCUUGCACCCGCUGUGUGGUGGACCGCAGAAGCCAAAUAGUAACUCUGCAAGGUGGGACCGCUACGCGCUCGGAAACUGAAUCGUUUCUCGACAACGAGCUCAGGGAAGGUGUUUUUUGGACCUUCGGCUUCCCGAAGCCUAAGAUACUUUUUUCACGGAUCAAGCUCGUUACGAAAAACGAUCUAGCACCGCGAAGGGGCUACUAUUGGGACUAUGCUUCGUCGUCGAAGGUCUGGUAGGAAGAAACAUCUUCGGCUGAAGCUGUCCGCAUGUGAUGACCGAAGGUUCCUCUUCAUGAAGCUUCGGAAUUUACAAACCGACUGUGACGGAACCUCCCAAGUAAUUAGGCCCACCUACAGUUGUCCUUGUCCAACGGACUUCAGACAACCCUGUAGGUGCCCCUGAACUACUUGACAAGCUCGGUAUCUUUCCUUACCUCACCAGGAACGCUUUACCCGUCUUGCAGACAUUACAGAACAUCGGAGAUAAAGAAAUGCGGAAGCGAAUUACAUAAACUUACAUUUAUUUCAAAAGCAAGCUUGAGUUAUUUUAUUACAGACCAGACUAAAAGUGAGUGCAGAGUAGUAACAUUAUACAAACCAGGGGAGGCACGAACUCCUCCCGAUAAGUCAUAAGUAAAAGAUCCUAAGUGGAGGACCGAGUUCUCCCGCACUUCAGUCAUGUCUUUCUUCUUUUGGAACCACCUUGGCACAGAAGCAGCAAAAGUCUGCUACUUCCUCACCUAAAAACAACGAAGGGAUAAACCCUGAGUAUGGAAUACUCAGCAAGUCUUACCCGACUAAAGAAAAGACUCUCAAGGGUAUGCUGGUUAUAUGGGAGUCAAGGUAAGGCUUUUCAAUAUUCAAAGACUCUGUUUUGCAGAAAUGCUUACUAAAGUGGAUCCUUAAAAAUCCAAUUUUAUUUGUCAAGUUAGGUAAAAUUACCUGGACUAGAGUUCUUUCUACCCUAGUUCAAUCACUGGUCCUGUACUAGCCAAUUUCUCAACAAAAACCCUUUAUCUUUAGUGGAAUGCUACGUGUAAGUCAGUGGCCAAGUCUCCAUAACCGCGGAGGUACGGCGAUCCGAAUCGAUUAUACUCAGCUGAGGAUCUCCAAUCACACGACAUAUGUAGCACUUAACCCUUGCAUAUGUCAACCCGCCACCGGGGUUCUUAAGACCGGAUCAGGUUCACGCAAACCGAGAGCACAGCUACACCACCGUCCAGCCUCUUGCCACGGAGGGUACACGCUACUCUCGCCACCGCUCCACGCCCAUUUCGUGUUAUCUUAUUCCGGCCUUAGUCUACCCGAGGCAAGGCUUACCCAUGACGAGGCAUGUGACCAGUUAAAGGGUCCUCGGUCAGCAGGCCUACAUCGACAAGGUCCUUAAUCGACUCAGACGGAGACACUACACCGAGACUCUCUUCUCGUGCAAGUCACCCGCCCGGUCUCAGCUUAAUCAUUUAACCCAAAACUUGGUACCUGGCAGAGGUACAUCUUUUCCGAUGUUGAACCCAUCAGGGCCCUGAUGGAUCCACCAUCAAAUUUUAUUUUCGAAAACAGCCCACCCUCUUUUGCCACAACAUCUUUUGUAAAAAAAAACUUUUGUUUUUCUAAAGCAAAGCUAAGCAUCAAAAAGCUUUUGUAAAACAGGUGAUCAAGGAAGGUAAUCAGAUUCAAGGAAGGUAAUGCAGGAAGGGUUUUAUCAAGCAACUCCUAUCACCUAAUGCAUUAAUCAAGUGAGAAAGAUUUUAAAAUAGCAAGGAAGGUGGCAAAUGCACCGGGGCUUGCCUUCGUUUACAGGUGAUUCCGGUUCGGAUCCACAGAUAUCGAAGUAGAAACUAUUCCCGGCCUGGGAUUCCGAAGGUGGUGGUGUCCUGUCUUCGGGGACUUCUACCUCUUCUUCACGUUCUAAUCAUAACCAAACAUAAGUAUAAGAAUGGAUGCCAUGGGAUGCUCAUGAGGAUGCAAAGAUAGCAUAAACUUAUUAUUUAUGUCUUGAAUACAACUUUCCUUCACAGAGUUCCGGGAACUUAGGGUUUCCGGAGUCGGUAAAGGAGUUCAUAGGGCAGGGGGGUGUUUUGGGGUUUGGUGAUCAAACAAGGUCCAAAUCAAUUCAAACUCUACCCAAGGCUUCUAAAUAGUGUAUAACACUCAUAUAAAAAUUUUGGGCAUUUUAGGACUUACCAAUUAUUUUCUAAAAAUCUAUAACCAAGACUUUUAACUACUUUAAAUACCUUAAAAUUUCUUAUUUCCACUAAAAAUCACAAAACUAUUUUUAUUAAAUACUAGGGAAAAUAACAAGCCUAGGAAAAUUAGUUUCACAAUUUUAGCAUUUUUCUACAUUUUUCUACAUAUUUCUCAAGUUUUCCUGAAAAAGAAAAGGAAAAGGGUUAAACAGAACUGGGCCGGAUUCAGCCCAGCGGCCCAGGUCCAGGGAGGAAAGGCGCCCACGCGCCCCGCGCCCUGGCGGUUUUGCAGAACGACCCCCGCGUUUUUAACUAAAUGAAAAUGAGUUUCUUCACUGUUCCGGUGUGUCGCUGACAAAUUACAGAAACGCCCUCAGGUUUCUAAUCCUUCACAGAGGGAGGUCCACGACGAGGAACAGCCCUCGCCGCACCCCAGCGAGCCAAUUCCGGCCGGCCAACGCCAUGGCUGGAGCUCCCGUGCGACAGGGACACAAUUAAACUCCUACCGAACACUUCCCCUAAAUCAAUUUCACCAACGACGCACUACAACGUCCUGGCCACGGUGACAGUGCGGGUGAUCCAAAGAACAACGCGUUCCCAAAGAUUGGUGGCAGUAUAAUUCAAUUGGGUGGGUCGGUGAGCAUCACGGGGUUGUGGAAGCACUCAAACGAGAAGGCAUAGAAGAUGAACUGACCGGGAUUGUGCUGGCCGCAGUACGGUUGUUUUCACGGUGGCGGGGACUGUAAUUGGGGGAAACGAGCGAUUCUCGGUCCCAGGUGAAUAAUCCGGGGCAAGGUUUGGUGCAACUGAUGCGUGAUUAUCCUACGGAGCCGCGGGGACACUCAAUUUAUAGUGAGGGUAAGCGGUGGCGUCUAAUUUUGCGCAGAGAGACCGGCGGCCGAGACGAAGGGUGAGUCAUCGGCGCAGUCUAUCGUGGCGCGCCCCGAGGUGAUUCCUCCGGCGAGGAACUAACCUACGCAGGAUGUCCUUGGCGACGUGGUAGAUCGCCAAAGCACGUGGCGUUCACCAGGUAAACGGCGAGCUCCGGUGAGGAUAAACUCGGCCGGCCGUGCGGCAAGUAGAUGAGAUGGCCGGACCAGCUAACAGUUGUGAUCCAUCCCGUGCUAGAUCUUUUUACCCAUCCCCGGUGUUAUCCAUUCCUCCCUGAGCACGAAUCGGAACGGCAGUGGCACGAAUCGCGGCGGAUAGGUCAUCGGCGGCGAGGACCCUGCGCUGGCGGUCUGAUCCUUAUCGGACUACUGUACCAUGGGAUAUGUUCAUCAGUGUGCCUGACAGUCAUAGUUUAGGACCAAAACUCUCUAAAGUUUCUCUAGUAACUCACUCCACUCUCUGUAGCAAAGUUUCAAAGCUACAAACCAGCUACAAUUCGACUAUAGGGAUUGAACUCAUUUGAGCACUGGAUCCAAAUCAAAAUCGAGCUCAAAGUUCACCUCAUAACACUGUAACUCUGAAAUUCAACUUCAAGCAGUCUGACAGCCCAUCUUUGAUUGGGUUUUUCUCCAAAUUUCACAUAAGACCAUGGCUUGAAUCCUUAAACAAAGUUGUUCCCCUAAGAUUGAUCUUCAACUUUGAUGUGGUCACCUAUCAUGAAUUCUCACUAUUUUGAAAGCUACACAGCCCCAAAGUUGGGCCUACAACCCUGUUUUUAGACUUAGCAUAGGAAUCAAAAUCAAGGUCCUUUUUGCAAAUGAGUCCAAAACUUAGGGUUUGGCUUUCAAGUCCACAUAUUUGUGAACCAAUUGACUUCAAAUACUUAUUUGGCUUGGUUUUUGCACUUUAGUCCAAAAGUGGACUAAUUUUGCAUAUAAGCCCCUAGGGUUUGGUUUUAGGGUUUUCCAGGGUUCCAAUUAGGGUUUCUGGUAUCCCAGGGGUAUAAAAGUGAUUCAAGUUUAUUCUUAGGGUCAUUUUAUGACUUUUACCCUAAAGCUUUUAGGGUUUCUCAACUUGGGUUAAGUUUUACCCCUUUAACCACCAUUUAGGGUUAAGUCCUUUAACCAGGGUUCCAUUUGCAAAACAUUUAAAACAAUACAACUUGUUUGAAAUUUUUACCUAGUGAAUGCACUCUAGGUGUGUCAAACAUAUGCAAAUGCUAAUGUUUAUGAUGUCAUGCUCAAGUUUUAGUUAUAGUAACACCAGGGGUGUUACAUCCUUCCCCCCAUAAAAGAAUCUCGUCCCGAGAUUAAAAAUCCUAGGGUAGGUAAUGGUAAAGGAAACGCAUCACAUUUUUAUUUCCUUAAUUUUGGUACAAGGCAGGGGUGAUGUGGGGGUCACUUCUUUAGUACACAGCUAUACAGACUUUACAAUUUACAUGAGGCUAAAAAGCCUGGGAAAUUCUUUUCUAGAAAAUCUUGGGUUUCCCAUGUAGCCUCAUCUUCAGAAUGCUGGUUCCACUGUAUCUUGUAAAAUUUGAGAGUCUUUCUUCGGGUGACCCUGUCCUUUUGAUCCAGAACUCGAAUAGGAUGUUCCGAGUAUGUUAAAUCUGGUUCCAGGACAACAUCAGUCACUUCAACGGUUCGAUCAAGAACCCGAAGACACUUCUUCAAUUGUGACACGUGGAACACAUUAUGCACAGCAGACAAUGUUUCGGGGAGCUGAAGUCGGUAUGCCACUGGUCCACAUUGCUCAAGCACCAGGAAUGGACCAAUGUACCUGGGUGCAAGUUUCCCUUUAACCCCAAAACGCGAUACACCUUUCAUUGGUGAGACCUUCAGGUAAACAUAGUCUCCAUCCAGGAAAUAUAAGGGCCUUCGCCGUUUGUCUGCAUAACUCUUUUGACGAGCUUGUGCCUUCUUCAUAUUAUAAAUAAUUUUCUGAACCUUUUCUUCGGCCUCCUUUACCAUAUCAGGCCUAAAGAAGUACCUUUCUCCAGGUUCAGACCAAUUUAGCGGAGUUCGACACCGACGUCCAUAUAAAGCUUCAAAAGGUGCCAUCUUGAUACUUUCUUGAUAACUGUUAUUGUAUGAAAACUCCGCUAGGGGCAAACAUUCAUCCCAUUUUGGUGAGAAGUCCAGGACACAUGCCCGCAACAUAUCUUCAAGUAUUUGGUUCACUCUCUCAGUCUGCCCACUGGUUUGAGGAUGAUAGGCCGAACUGUGGAGUAACUUAGUACCCAAGGAUUUGUGAAGUGCUUCCCAAAACUUGGCUACAAAUUGAGGUCCACGAUCCGACACUAUGGUCUUUGGAACACCAUGCAGACUAAGAAUACGAGCAAUGUACAAUUGGGCGUAGACAGUAACUGGGGAAUUUGUCUUGACUGGCAGAAAGUGAGCAACCUUUGUAAGCCGAUCAAUUAUAACCCAAAUAGAGUCAUACCCUUUUAUCGUCCUGGGCAGUCCCACAAUAAAGUCCAUACUAAUGUCUUCCCAUUUCCAUGUUGGGAUUGGCAAAGAUUGUAAUGGACCAGCAGUUUUCAUGUGUAUGGCCUUGACACGUCUGCAAGUGUCACACUUAGCCACAUAGCGUGCAAUUUCAAUCUUCAUCUUUGUCCACCAGUAAUGUUGCUUUAAGUCUUGAUACAUCUUAGUGCUUCCGGGAUGAAUAGAAUAACGACUAAGAUGUGCUUCAUCAAGAAUUUGCUGGCGGAGUUCUUCGUUCUUUGGCACUACUAUGCGGUUUUUAAACCAUAUCACACCUUGAUCGUCUUCCUUGAAACACAUGGCUACUCUAGCCUUUAUCUUCUCUCGAAUGUGCUUCAUACCCAGAUUAUCUUUUUGAGCAUCAAUUAUCCUUUGCAAAAUGAUUGACUCAAGCUUUAGUUGAUUUAGAGUCCCUUGUUGGAUGAUUCCCAGGUUUAGCUUUUCCAUUUCUUGACACAAAGUGUUCUCGGAGGUCUUCGCCAUAAGACAGUGGCAGGAAGUCUUACGACUCAACGCAUCUGCCACCACAUUGGCCUUGCCUGGGUGAUAAUGGAUCUCCAGUUCAUAGUCUUUAAUGAGCUCAAGCCAUCGUCUUUGCCUCAUAUUUAACUCUGACUGGGUGAAGAUAUACUUCAAACUUUUAUGAUCUGUAUAUAUGUGACAGAUAUUUCCCAGCAGAUAGUGACGCCAAAUCUUUAGGGCAUAAACCACAGCAGCUAGCUCUAGAUCAUGAGUUGGAUAGUGCUCCUCAUGUCGGCGCAACUGCCUUGAAGCAUACGCAAUUACUCGGCCCUCUUGCAUCAGUACACAGCCGAGCCCACUGUCAGAUGCAUCACAAUAAACAUCAAAAGGCUUGGUGAUGUCCGGUUGAGCCAAUACCGGAGCAGUGGUCAAUAGUGUCUUCAGUUGCUCAAAAGCUUCAUUACACUUAGAAGACCAAUUGAACUUAAUGUCAUUCUUCAACAAACUUGUGAUUGGCUUCACAAGCUUAGAAAAAUCUGGUAUGAAUCUGCGAUAAUACCCAGCUAGUCCAAGAAAACUCCGGACUUGGUGAACAGUUGUUGGGGGUUUCCACUCCAGAAUAUCUUUGACCUUGCUAGGAUCUACCGCAAUUCCUUUAGCCGAUAACACGUGCCCCAAAAAUUUAAUUUCUUCCAGCCAGAAUGCGCACUUGCUGAACUUGGCAUAUAGUUGGUGUUCCCUGAGGCGCGUCAAUACAAUCCGUAAAUGCUGAGCAUGGUCUUCUUCAUUCUUGGAAUAUAUCAAGAUAUCGUCGAUGAAGACUACCACGAACUUAUCCAACUCGGGCAUGAACACCGAGUUCAUCAAAUAAGUGAAAUGGGUAGGAGCAUUUGUGAGCCCGAAAGACAUUACCAGGUAUUCAACCAAUCCAUAUCGCGUAGUAAACGCGGUCUUCGGUAUAUCCUCGGGCCGAAUACGGAUUUGAUGAUAGCCCGACCUGAGAUCAAUUUUAGAAAAUACCCUCGCCCCAGUCAGUUGAUCAAAUAAGAUGUCAAUCCUUGGAAGAGGGUACUUAUUCUUGAUGGUGACCUCAUUUAGGGGUCGAUAAUCCACGCACAUUCUCAAGGUUUGAUCCUUCUUCUUAACAAAAAUGGCGGGGCAACCCCACGGGGACGAGCUUGGCCGGAUGAAUCCCUUAUUCAGUAGAUCUUGUAAUUGAAUUUUCAAUUCCGCUAAUUCAUUAGGGGGCAUGCGGUACGAUCUUCGGGAGAUGGGAGCCGUACCGGGCUUUAGCUCAAUUACGAAUUCUACAUCUCUUUCAGGGGGCAGUCCAGGCAAAUCUUCCGGAAAUACAUCUGGAAACUCACAUACUACCGGAAUGUUCUUGAUCUCCGGUACAAUGGCUUCAUAGACUCUACCAGAAGCUUUGGCUGGAUUGGUUGCGGGGAGAGUCAAAAGAAUCUCUUCUUGGUUAUAGCUCAACCUGACGGUUCUGAGUUCAGUGUUGAGGAUUGCCUUGUGUUGGGUUAACCAAUUCAUACCCAAGAUUACAUCUAUAUCCUGGCCCUUCAGAACAAUCAUGUUAGCAGGAAAGUUCCGUCCGGCCAUUGUUACUGGCACUCCAUAGGCCACUUCUCUAGUAUAAAUGUGUCCCCCAGGUGAAUGAAUUUUAAAUCCCUCUUUCGAUUCAUGGUAUGCAAUAUGAUGUUGUUCCACAAACUUCUUGCUAAUGAAUGUAUGUGAAGCACCAGAAUCAAAAAGAAUAAUUGCUGGGUGACUGGCCACGGGAAACGUACCCAUCAUCACCGGUUCUCCUUCCGGUGUAGUAGCCACUUGAGUGUAAUACACACGCCCCGUCUUCUUCGUAUUUUUCCCCAUAGCAUUUCCUUUGGGCUGAGUUGAUUUCCCAGAUCCUUGCGAAGCAUUUGAUUGAUUUUGCCUAGGAUAUGGGCAGUCUUUGAUAAAAUGUCCCGACUUGCCGCAAUUAAAACACCCAGUGGAAGAACUAGGCAAGGCAGGGAAUCGAGUGCCUGGGGCACCCGGCUGUUUUGGGGUAGUGGGGGUAUUGUUGGGGCGGAUAAUGAUUGGCUGUUUAAAGGGGAAUGAGGGUGGACAAGAAAAAGUGCGAUUUUGGUUUGAAGGUCGAAUCACAAACCGUUGCUUCUUCGCCUGGCCCUGAUUAGGCCUCUCACCACCGAAUCCCUUAUUCUUCCCAGAAUUUGUGUAUUGGGCUUCAACAGAUAAGGCCGUGCUGACAGCCUUUCCAUACGUGAGAUCUAUGCAUGUGGCCAUUUUCCUUUGUAGCCGAUCAUUCAGUCCCCGCAUAAAACAGUUCUUCUUCUUUAAAUCCGUAUUCACCUGGUCGAUGGCAUACUGCGACAGGUGAUUAAAUUUGUUGAGAUAUUGGUUGACGGUAUCUCCACCUUGUUGUAACUUCAUAAAUUCCUCUUGUUUCAUAUGCAGCACUCCUUCGGGGAUAUAGUGUUCACGGAAGGCUGCUUUAAACUCAUCCCAGGUGACUUGAUGGUUGACAGGUUGAAUAGCCACAAAAUUUCCCCACCAGGUACUGGCAGGACCACGGAGUUGUUGUGCUGCAAAUAACGGCUUCUGCGUCUCUGAGCAACGGAGAAGACCAAACUUUUGUUCAAUGACCCGAAUCCACUCAUCAGCUUCUAGGGGAUCUUCUGCCUUGACGAAUAGAGGUGGACGGGUUUCCGAGAAAUCCAGAUAGGUGGUCUCACGGGGGCCUUGCGGGUAACCUCUUCCCGCCUGCUACUGGAAUUGCUGCUGACCCGCCAUUUCCCUAAGGAAGCGGGUAUUGUCUGCGGUGGCAUUCACCAAGGCGGCGAUCGCCUCGGCUAACGUGUGAGGAACCGGAGGUGGGUUUGGGGUAACAUCCCUGCCCCCAGAAGUUCCGGCUGCGUCCUGUCCUCGAGUCCUGGUCGGCAUCUGUGGCAAAGAACAUUUGAAGUAAACAAAAUGUGCCAGAGAAAACCUUCCAUUUUACAUUACUAUAAAAAGUAAUGAUACAGACUCGAUAUUACAUAACAGGAUACAAUACCCAUUAUACAAAAGUUCAACCUAUUAUACAACAGUACACCCUACAAUACCCUAGUCUACUUUUACUUCUAUUACACUCUUAUUCCUGCUUUCCAUUAGUCUUGGCGGCUUCAUCGUCAGGUGUGGGAGUCCAGACAUCAACCAACCUCAAAGAAGGAGGGGGCUCAAAAAGGUCUAACUCCCCACCCAGCGCACGUCCCGCAACGUGAGAUGGUCCAGCUUCCGCCUCAGCAGGUUGUGCAGGCUCACUUGGGUGUAGUUGUGAGUAUAGUAUAUGGACUUCCUCGUGCAACGUAUUGCAGUAAACCUGCAGGUUAUCAACCGUUGAGCUAAGUUCUUUAAUUCGGGCCUGAGCCCUUGCUUCCUUAGCACACAUUAGCAAAUGAGACUGUACGGCCCAGUCAAGUGCUAAGUCUCGAUCAGCGAGUUGAUCCUGCAAGUGUCGGAUGUCCCUUCUCAGUUCAUUGAUUCUAUCUCCGUCAGCGACCCAAGCAUCGGUCCUAUGUUGCAGCGCUGCUUGAAGUCGACUCACACGGGCUUCAAGGUCUCCGAUGGGGUCGUUACUUCCACUGCUGCUGCUUUCAUGUCGGGGAGCCAAUUGAUGCCGAGGCACCCCAAUCGGUCCCGAAGACUUGCGUGCCGUUAGCCUGGUACGUGGCGGCAUCUUUUCUAAGGGGGAAAAUGUUAUUAGUAUAGUGCUUAGCAUGAUGCAUGUAUAAUUACAGAAUCAACCUUAGUCGAUUCAACCUUCUAUACGUUGCACUCUUCCUAUCUGGUCUUUAAGAUAGACUUCUUCAGAAUACUUAGGUAAGAAGAGAAAAGAGUUCUUUGGUAAGACUUUUGAAAAUCCUUUUGAAGAUGCCUCAUAAUAUCUGCCAAGAAGGGCUACGCUCCGAUACCAGCUGUGACGGAACCUCCCAAGUAAUUAGGCCCACCUACAGUUGUCCUUGUCCAACGGACUUCAGACAACCCUGUAGGUGCCCCUGAACUACUUGACAAGCUCGGUAUCUUUCCUUCCCUCACCAGGAAUGCUUUACCCGUCUUGCAGACAUUACAGAACAUCGGAGAUAAAGAAAUGCAGAAGCGAAUUACAUAAACUUACAUUUAUUUCAAAAGCAAGCUUGAGUUAUUUUAUUACAGACCAGACUAAAAGUGAGUGCAGAGUAGUAACAUUAUACAAACCAGGGGAGGCACGAACUCCUCCCGAUUAGUCAUAAGUAAAAGAUCCUAAGUGGAGGACCGAGCCCUCCCGCACUUUAGUCAUGUCUUUCUUCUUUUGGAACCACCUUGGCACAGAAGCAGCAAAAGUCUGCUACUUCCUCACCUAAAAACAACGAAGGGAUAAACCCUGAGUAUGGAAUACUCAGCAAGUCUUACCCGACUAAAGAAAAGACUCUCAAGGGUAUGCUGGUUAUAUGGGAGUCAAGGUAAGGCUUUUCAAUAUUCAAAGACUCUGUUUUGCAGAAAUGCUUACUAAAGUGGAUCCUUAAAAAUCCAAUUUUAUUUGUCAAGUUAGGUAAAAUUACCUGGACUAGAGUUCUUUCUACCCUAGUUCAAUCACUGGUCCUGUACUAGCCAAUUUCUCAACAAAAACCCUUUAUCUUUAGUGGAAUGCUACGUGUAAGUCAGUGGCCAAGUCUCCAUAACCGCGGAGGUACGGCGAUCCGAAUCGAUUAUACUCAGCUGAGGAUCUCCAAUCACACGACAUAUGUAGCACUUAACCCUUGCAUAUGUCAACCCGCCACCGGGGUUCUUAAGACCGGAUCAGGUUCACGCAAACCGAGAGCACAGCUACACCACCGUCCAGCCUCUUGCCACGGAGGGUACACGCUACUCUCGCCACCGCUCCACGCCCAUUUCGUGUUAUCUUAUUCCGGCCUUAGUCUACCCGAGGCAAGGCUUACCCAUGACGAGGCAUGUGACCAGUUAAAGGGUCCUCGGUCAGCAGGCCUACAUCGACAAGGUCCUUAAUCGACUCAGACAGAGACACUACACCGAGACUCUCUUCUCGUGCAAGUCACCCGCCCGGUCUCAGCUUAAUCAUUCAACCCAAAACUUGGUACCUGGCAGAGGUACAUCUUUUCCGAUGUUGAACCCAUCAGGGCCCUGAUGGAUCCACCAUCAAAUUUUAUUUUCGAAAACAGCCCACCCACUUUUGCCACAACAUCUUUUGUAAAAAAAAACCUUUUGUUUUUCUAAAGCAAAGCUAAGCAUCAAAAAGCUUUUGUAAAACAGGUGAUCAAGGAAGGUAAUCAGAUUCAAGGAAGGUAAUGCAGGAAGGGUUUUAUCAAGCAACUCCUAUCACCUAAUGCAGCAAUCAAGUGAGAAAGAUUUUAAAAUAGCAAGGAAGGUGGCAAAUGCACCGGGGCUUGCCUUCGUUUACAGGUGAUUCGGGUUCGGAUCCACAGAUAUCGAAGUAGAAACUAUUCCCGGCCUGGGAUUCCGAAGGUGGUGGUGUCCUGUCUUCGGGGACAUCUACCUCUUCUUCACGUUCUAAUCAUAACCAAACAUAAGUAUAAGAAUGGAUGCCAUGGGAUGCUCAUGAGGAUGCAAAGAUAGCAUAAACUUAUUAUUUAUGUCUUGAAUACAACUUUCCUUCACGGAGUUCCGGGAACUUAGGGUUUCCGGAGUCGGUAAAGGAGUUCAUAGGGCAGGGGGGUGUUUUGGGGUUUGGUGAUCAAACAAGGUCCAAAUCAAUUCAAACUCUACCCAAGGCUUCUAAAUAGUGUAUAACACUCAUAUAAAAAUUUUGGGCAUUUUAGGACUUACCAAUUAUUUUCUAAAAAUCUAUAACCAAGACUUUUAACUACUUUAAAUACCUUAAAAUUUCUUAUUUCCACUAAAAAUCACAAAACUAUUUUUAUUAAAUACUAGGGAAAAUAACAAGCCUAGGAAAAUUAGUUUCACAAUUUUAGCAUUUUUCUACAUUUUUCUACAUAUUUCUCAAGUUUUCCUGAAAAAGAAAAGGAAAAGGGUUAAACAGAACUGGGCCGGAUUCAGCCCAGCGGCCCAGGUCCAGGGAGGAAAGGCGCCCGCGCGCCCCGCGCCCUGGCGGUUUUGCAGAACGACCCCCGCGUUUUUAACUAAAUGAAAACGAGUUUCUUCACUGUUCCGGUGUGUCGCUGACAAAUUACAGAAACGCCCUCAGGUUUCUAAUCCUUCACAGAGGGAGGUCCACGACGAGGAACAGCCCUCGCCGCACCCCAGCGAGCCAAUUCCGGCCGGCCAACGCCAUGGCUGGAGCUCCCGUGCGACAGGGACACAAUUAAACUCCUAUCGAACACUUCCCCUAAAUCAAUUUCACCAACGGCGCACUACAAUGUCCUGGCCACGGUGACAGUGCGGGUGAUCCAAAGAACAACGCGUUCCCAAAGAUUGGUGGCAGUAUAAUUCAAUUGGGUGGGUCGGUGAGCAUCACGGGGUUGUGGAAGCACUCAAACGAGAAGGCAUAGAAGAUGAACUGACCGGGAUUGUGCUGGCCGCAGUACGGUUGUUUUCACGGUGGCGGGGACUGUAAUUGGGGGAAACGAGCGAUUCUCGGUCCCAGGUGAAUAAUCCGGGGCAAGGUUUGGUGCAACUGAUGUGUGAUUAUCCUACGGAGCCGCGGGGACACUCAAUUUAUAGUGAGGGUAAGCGGUGGCGUCUAAUUUUGCGCAGAGAGACCGGCGGCCGAGACGAAGGGUGAGUCAUCGGCGCAGUCUAUCGUGGCGCGCCCCGGGGUGAUUCCUCCGGCGAGGAACUAACCUACGCAGGAUGUCCUUGGCGACGUGGUAGAUCGCCAAAGCACGUGGCGUUCACCAGGUAAACAGCGAGCUCCGGUGAGGAUAAACUCGGCCGGCCGUGCGGCAAGUAGAUGAGAUGGCCGGACCAGCUAACAGUUGUGAUCCAUCCCGCGCUAGAUCUUUUUACCCAUCCCCGGUGUUAUCCAUUCCUCCCUGAGCACGAAUCGGAACGGUGGUGGCACGAAUCGCGGCGGAUAGGUCAUCGGCGGCGAGGACCCUGCGCUGGCGGUCUGAUCCUUAUCGGACUACUGUACCAUGGGAUAUGUUCAUCAGUGUGCCUGACAGUCACAGUUUAGGACCAAAUCUCUCUAAAGUUUCUCUAGUAACUCACUCCACUCUCUGUAGCAAAGUUUCAAAGCUACAAACCAGCUACAAUUCGACUAUAGGGAUUGAACUCAUUUGAGCACUGGAUCCAAAUCAAAAUCGAGCUCAAAGUUCACCUCAUAACACUGUAACUCUGAAAUUCAACUUCAAGCAGUCUGACAGCCCAUCUUUGAUUGGGUUUUUCUCCAAAUUUCACAUAAGACCAUGGCUUGAAUCCUUAAACAAAGUUGUUCCCCUAAGAUUGAUCUUCAACUUUGAUGUGGUCACCUAUCAUGAAUUCUCACUAUUUUGAAAGCUACACAGCCCCAAAGUUGGGCCUACAACCCUGUUUUCAGACUUAGCAUAGGAAUCAAAAUCAAGGUCCUUUUUGCAAAUGAGUCCAAAACUUAGGGUUUGGCUUUCAAGUCCACAUAUUUGUGAACCAAUUGACUUCAAAUACUUAUUUGGCUUGGUUUUUGCACUUUAGUCCAAAAGUGGACUAAUUUUGCAUAUAAGCCCCUAGGGUUUGGUUUUAGGGUUUUCCAGGGUUCCAAUUAGGGUUUCUGGUAUCCCAGGGGUAUAAAAGUGAUUCAAGUUUAUUCUUAGGGUCAUUUUAUGACUUUUACCCUAAAGCUUUUAGGGUUUCUCAACUUGGGUUAAGUUUUACCCCUUUAACCACCAUUUAGGGUUAAGUCCUUUAACCAGGGUUCCAUUUGCAAAACAUUUAAAACAAUACAACUUGUUUGAAAUUUUUACCUAGUGAAUGCACUCUAGGUGUGUCAAACAUAUGCAAAUGCUAAUGUUUAUGAUGUCAUGCUCAAGUUUUAGUUAUAGUAACACCAGGGGUGUUACACCGACAUAAAAGUAGAAUGACCUUUUAGUCCAUAAAUGUUUGAGUCGCUGUUGUAAUCCCUUAUGAGGGGCAUAAUUGUAAUUCCUCACAGGCUGUGCCCUGUGCCUAUAAAUAGGUGAACAGUACCCCUGUACUGUUCACGCAAUCUUGUAAUUACUGGCACAUUACGCUGGGAUUAUUGCUUUCUGCCAAGACGAAGGUAUAAAUGUAUUUAAAUAUUAUGUUUUAAUAUCUAGGUUCAUAUAAUAAAAUAUGUGAACAAUGCUAUUUAUUUUCGGUAUGUCUUUCCAUAAUGUUUCAUGUGUUAUAUUUUACUUCGUAUUGUUUUUCAAGUCUGAUCACAAAGGUAUAACCUUUGUGAUAUUUUGCUUAUGGCCUUCGUCCGAAGCUCAUUAAAUCCUUGGGGAGAUAAUGCUUCAGCGGACGAAGGGCAUUAGUAUUUAACAUUUUAUGUUGCCUUGUUCUUAAUUCAUAGCAUUUGAGAACAAGUCCCCAACAGACCUUGGGGUUCGGGUGACCAAGGGAAUCUCUAGAGGAGUAGAGGGAAUGCCAUACUUUUCCACAAAACUAGUGGCUAUGAAGGAGUGGGAUGCUCCAGAAUAGAAAAGUACGGUAGCGGGAGUAAAUUCAAUAAGGAACUCACCGAGUACUACUCCCGGAGCCUGCUGAGCUUCCUGGGCAUCGACAUGAUUUACACGUGCCCUUCCUUGGUACAGAGCCUUGUUCUGCUGGCUGACGGCGGAGGGCGCCUUGGGGGCGGAUGCCGAGGUAUUCUUGGGGCCAUUCACCGAGUUGGAGUAGGCGGGUACUGGUGGCUUCAGCUGCGGACAGUUGUUCUUGAAGUGACUGGGAUCACCACAGUGCCAACAUGCAUUUGCCGGGGGUUGGUUGCUUGCCACUGAGGGGAAUGGAAAGAGCUCUGACUCUGCUGGCUGAAUCGCGACGGAGUGGGUCCAGCUGGUCUACUGAAGUUUGGCCCCUUGGGUGGAAACCCAAAUGAUCGAGUCUUCUGGUGCCGGUCCUGCUGCUGUGCCCGGAGAACCUGGAACUUCCUUUUAAGAUGCCCUUUUUCUUCCUCCUUUGCCAUUUCAACUUGCAUGGCCUUGUUGGAAAGGUGAGAGAAGUUGAGGAAGUCUUGGCUAGCCAGGAUUGUCUUGAGUUCUGGACUGAGUCCCUUCAGGAAACGGGCCAUCUUUUUGCUCUCGGUACUAACAUCAUCUGGCGCAUAGCGGGCUAACUCUGUAAACUUGUGCACAUAUUCGCUGACAGAUCUUCCGUCUUGAGUCAAUUCUCGGAACUCGUCCUCCUUAAGCUGUACCAGUCCUUGGGGCACAUGGUGCUCCCAGAAAGCUGCUUCGAAUUCCGCCCAGGUAGCAUCUCUGAUGGUGACGUUGAAGGUGUCCCACCAGGCUAAGGCCAUCCCAAAAAGUUGGUGGGCAGCCAGUUGAACAUGCUGAUUUUCUAGGCAACCAAUGGCUUAUAGUUUUCUUUUGAUCGUGCGCAUCCAAUCGUUUGCAUCGAGGGGGUUGCUUGAUCCGGCGAACGUGGGAGGUUUGAGUCUCAGGAAAUCCCCCAUUCUGUCUUGUGGUCUUCCACCAUUCGGCCGUUGAUUUUCUAGAUUUCGAGUGAGGACCUCGAUGAGUCGGGUUUGAUUGGCUAGAACUUGGGCUAGAUCUAAGGGUAAUGGUGGAGGUGCGGGGAGGUGGGUUUCACUUUCUUCUCUAACGACUUCCCCUUCAGCUCUCAUGGGAAACCCUGCUCCAAUACCAGAGGCGGUAGGCGUGGUUUUAUCCGAAGCCAUCUGCCAGGGAAGAGAGUCACUAUUAUGCACAUGCAAAUUGUUUUUAACCAAGUUAUUUUAUUCAUUACACCAUCGCAUUACAAGCCUAAGACUACUACAGGUGGAACUACACGAGAGCGUUCCCCGAGGUACUAGCGAAUUCCUUAUCUAAGGUGUCCCCAAAUGCCUUGAGAAGAUCAUCGAGGCUUGCUAGGGAUACAUCCUCGUCGUCGGACCAAUCAUCUAUUCUGGGGGGAGGUAGGGCUAGAGGGGCCUUCUUCUUCUUCUUCUCUAUCUGGCAUCCUUGGUUGGUGGUCUUCUUCUGGAUUUUCUUCUUGGGGGCGAGUUUCUUUAGCUUCUUAUCAUAGUCCAUCUUUAAAGUCCGAUAGGCUUCACGGGUGUUGGCUUCCUCGCCUUCUGCUAUGUUGAGACUUUCCUGGAGGGAUGCCUUCUCUUGCUUAAGUUCUUUGACUUGCUGCUCUAGGCUUUCCACUCGGGAGUUUAGGUGGGUGCAGUGGGAGGAGAGCUCGUCGUAGUGGUUGUCGAGGGUGUGGAGGUAUCCGGCCAUGUAGACGAUAGUGGGGUCAUCUUCUGUGGGGUUUCCUCCUGACAGAGCCUGGAGACUUUUCCUCCAGGUGGGGGUGUUUUUGUUGUAGGGUGGGAAAUAUCGGAGGGGGGUCUCGGAAAUCUCUCGACUAUAGUUUUGGCACAGUUGUUUGAGGGCUUUUCGAGCGACGCUCUGGCAAGUGUCUGGGAAGCGGUGCCCGAUGAAGGUAAUUUGGAAGGGAGGGUGGUUUGGGUAGUUCCGGCUUUCUCCCAAGUAGACCGCCAUAGAGCACUUUUCUAUUUCAUUUUCACGGUACUCCUUCCAGACAUAUUCGGGCUUCUUGCGGAUCCCCAAGCGUAGCGUGCAACUCCGAAGAAGGUGAGGAAAGCCUUCCUCCUCUGAGCAAUAGGAUGUCCUAAUCACCCAGGGGUUUUCCAUCUGGUAGACGAAAAGAAAGGUCUAUCAAUAUCGGGGAAAAGGGGAAGAGUGUUUCUUGGGGGUAAGAGGUGUUUUCUUGUUAAGGCAACUUUUAAGGUCAGGGCUGUGGUCUACGGCCAUUCCUAUAGGCUUUGAUACCACCUGAAGCGUCCCGAUCCUUUGGGACUCAAAUGUGAUACAAUUUCUAGUCCCAGGAGGCUAGUAAUCACAUUCAUUACUUCAAAUAGUUACAGAGUCUGAAUAAUGUUAUUACAAUACCGGGGGAUACAAGCUCGGAAGUGAGCCGAGAAACAUAAGGCGCAGUGGAAGAUAAAAUAGCCCAAGCCACAGGCAGAACUGGGUGAAGACACAGCCCCAUCAAUCAAGCAUAGUAGAAAAGAAGUCUUCAGCUGCUGAAAACAUAAAUAAAUCUGGGUGAAUACACUAGGUAUUCCGCAAGCCCACCCGGCUCCCGUAAAGAGAAAGUGACCUAUAUGGUACAUGCUUUAUAUGGUGGAGUUGAAGUCACUCAUACUUUUUCAGAGAAGGGCAGUAUUCGUUAUUUAUGGUUUUCCCAAGACAAUAGAAGUAACACUUGCUUGACCACCACUGAGCUUCCUGCUCCCGUGGUACCACUUUCUUUUCAGAACAUACACACACAUUUCCCUGUUCCCAGUUGUAGUAGAAACACUAAUUGUCAUACCAUACCAGACCCGUCCAUACCAGUGGACACGGACUAUUCGAAUAGGUUUAGACUCUGCGCAGAGGGGUACACUUUACCCACUAGUCCGGCUCUGCGAUCUCAUGGCCAAUGAGACCCGAAUCCGAAACUCUUUCCUUCCUUGUACGUCCGAACCUUAACGGUUAUACCGGAAGGAGUCAGGCCACCGCCAUGUCCAAACCGGACAAAACAUUCCCCCUCCUUAUCCUCCCGGUGCUACCCCAGCCUUCAUAACCCUGGGGUUGGACCGUACGAGUUUAGAUCGAGUGGCUGCCCACACAGCCUCAAGUGGUUGUACUUUUUGAGAGCAUAGGUAAUGAAAGAUGACAAACCGGUCCUUAUACGAGAGGACGAUCCUUCUGCUCACGCCUAAACCAGCUGAGCCAGCACCUUAGGCCCUCCCCUAAACCAGGGAGUCCCUGAUCAUCCUACUCACCAGGUGAUGAGGGUGAGUACCCUUCAUCGCACACAUUGGGAAAACAUUCCACUUGUACCCUUUUCACUUGCCCCAUAUCUUUUAAUCAAAGUAAUAGUUAAUGCGGGCCCUCUCGUGCUCACCAUGCAAUUCGAUUCCCAUCCCAUAAUCCAGGCUUAGGCAGUGGUAGAGACAAAUAGGUAAAUAAUGCAUCAAGGGAAGGAUGGACUUGCCUUCGUCGAAGCUUUCCUGGCACAAGAGGUUAAUCUCGGAGGGGUUGGGUUCUUGCCCUUCUUCCGGAGCUAAGAGUUCCGGAGGAUCGGAUCCUUCUUCCGCUAAUUAAACACAGAUAAAAACAAUACAUCAAACAUAGUGACCUUUGUGGGGUGUGCAAAUUUUUAUACUUUAUUAUUUUUGUGCCCUAAUAAUUUAUUUAGACAAUUUUUGGUGCAUAAAAUAUUAGCAUCUAAAUAUAUAUGUGAAAAUGAGAAAAAGAAAAGAGAAGGAAUUCUCCAGAUGACUGGGCCAGGGGAGGGGAUUUCGGCCCACUCAGCGAGGGCGCGCGGGCGUGGGCGCGCUUGCGGCUUAGCUGGCCCAGCUGCGAGGGAGCGACAGCGGGGAACGGCGCCGUAGCGCGGGCCCACCAGCCAGAGAGAGAGAGGGGGGCUGACGGCGUUGACGGCAACGGAGGGGGGGGAAGGGGCACGACCGGGGCCGGUCGACGGCGAGCUCCGCGGCGGUUCUCCGCCCCGGUCCGGUUUUGCGACGGGGAAACGGUGGCGGAGCAUGAGUGGUAGAUGGGAUCACAAGGGCGGGGCGAAUUUCGCCUGCUGGGGGGCCUAUGGCGGCCGGUCCGCGGCACGGUGGCGGGUGCCCGCGGCGGCGAAGCCGCCGGUGAGUUUUCCGGCCAUAAUUGAGUGGGGGAAGUGGCGUGUCGUGAACGUGGGAGUGUGGCGGAGCUCUUGGCACAACUUAAUUGAACGGAAGAUCGCCAGAGAGGGAGAGGGGAGCUCACCGGAGCGGUGAAGGGAGCACGGCGACGCUUGCUUGAAUGGCUCGAGGAGGAGGGCAGUGGGGGUGGCUGGAGUUGUGUGGCGAAGACGGGGCUCGGGCGGGUCCUUUUAUAGGCACUCGGGGAAGGGAGGGGGAUGGGGGAGACGGCGAGCACCGGCGAGCUCGCCAUGAUGGCGGAAAUGCCGCUAACGCCGAUUGGGACGGCUCGGGCAGGCUGAGGGGGUGAGAGGUCGGCUCAAGCACAGUGGCGGGGUUGUCGCGGAGGUUGGCGAGCAUUAAUGGCGAGGCGACGAGGCGAGGGGGCGCUCGGCGGCGGACGCGCCGGUGAGGGAUGGGCGAGGGAGAUGGAGCUGACGAGUGGGCCCUGGCUGCCAGCAAGAGGAGUCUGCACGAGAGGGAGGGGGUGAGGCGCUGACGGGCGGGGCCCGAGUGUCAGCGGAGGGGAGCGGCGCGCGGAUUGGGCCGCCUGGGCCGGGAAGAGAGGGGGGGAUGCGGGCGCGCGCGAGCUGGGCUGGAAAUCGGCCCAGCCGAUGGAGGGGAGAGUGUUUUCCUUGUUCUUUUCUUAUUCUAAUUCUUUUCUUUUCCCUUUUCUACUUUUGUGUCUUUUUGUUUCUUUUUCCCUUGCAACAAAAAUUCUCUAAAUGAACUUGGGUGAUAAAUAUGGUCUAUGUGAGGUGCUCUAAAUUAUUUUAAGUGUAUGCAUAUGAUUAGGUGACCUAGGGGUAGAGUUAAGGGAGAAGGAUCAAAUGAGGGGGGGAAUUAGGGGGGUUAGGGUUUCAAACCUCGGGUUGGGAUUUUUGGGAUGUUACACCUUCUGCCGGGUGACUAGGCGGCGCGGGCCCUCGCAUAAGCACACUUGCGCUCGACAUCGCCGCCGGGGACACGACAUGAACCUUUCUGCCGCUGCCUUUCUUAGGGCGGCCCGGCGGAGCAGGUCCUCGCAUGGCCGCGCGCGCUUUCGCCGCCGCCGGUGCGCCAUGCGUUUUGCCGCCGCCGCCUUGUGCCGGGAGACCAGGCCGGGCGGGUCCUUGCGUCACCACGUGCGUGGUCGCCGCCGCCGCCAUCACGGUGUUCGUGGGCGGCAUAACCGCGCUUGCUAUCGUCGCCAUCGCCGGAGCUUCGUGGACUUGCCCGCCGCUCCCCUGCCUCGGGGCGCCGGGGCACCCUUUCGGUGACGGAGCGGGCCUGGUGGUGAGACGCCGCCAGGGCCACGUCGUCCGCUCCCCGCGGCACGCUUGGCCGGCUGAUGGUUGGAGCUGAGCGGUGGAAGGCGGCGGCGACUAGGCCGAACGACACGUGGCGCAGCAGCUGGCGCGCAAGCGGGCUUGUCGCUUGCGCAGACGGAGACAACGCCAUGGCCGUGAUGUGCUGGCUUGGAGAGUUGGAGUCGUUGGUGAUAUGCGUCCGAAGAAGUGACGAUCGAUGUGAUCGCUCCCUUGCAGCGUUGCGAGGGUAGAUGAACCGGAGCUGCUGCCCAAGUGCCGAUGCCGAUGCGUUGGCGGCGUCGGUGGUUGUCUCUGCGGUCUGCACUGGGAAUGGAACGAGCAUUGCUUUAUAGUAGUAGGCGAUCGAUGGGCAUGGGCGGAGGCAGCGAGCCAGCGAGUGGGGAACUGGGGGUGGCGUCUGACUUCGACUAGUUAUGAAGUGGACCGCAGUCAACCUCAAUUUCGUGCGUAUUUUACCACUUCAAAGCGGCUACCAAGAACGAAGUUUGAGCAUUGACCCGCUCAAGCGUGUGGCCGUAGGUACGUACGAACGAUCCGGUCCGGUCCGUACACCCGUGCCACUGGGUGGCUGAAGACUGUACUUGCCGUCAAAAAAUGUAUACUAGUCAAGUGCUCUGGAGUUGCAACGGUAAAUAAAAUAUUCGACAAGGAUGGGAAAAUCCUGAACCGACCGUUAUCAUAUAACCGAUUUUGUUAGUUUUGUCCCGAUCGAUUUCGAACCCGAUAUAAAAAACGAAAAUAUGAUGGAAAAAUCCUGAACCGACCGUUAUCGUAUAACCGAUUUUGUUAGUUUUGUCCCGAUCGAUUUCGAACCCGAUACAAAAAACAAAAACGGAACGAAAACGUGAUAUACAAAACGAUAAACGGAAACAGUAGAGUUGUUUUUCCGAACGUUUAACCGGAUCCCGUUUUUAAUCGGGAUGAUCCCGUUUUGUUACCGUAUUUUAUAAUUCAGGAUCACUUCAAUACGGCCUGCUCCAAUCUAGAUAUAACUUUGAGGCCCAGCCCAUCUAAACAAAAACCUAACCUAGGUUACCUAGCGUCGUCCGCUCCUCUCUCCGCUCUCUCCCAGCCGUAGCAAACGCCGCCGUCCGCCCUCCACAGCUUCACUGCUCGUCUGCUCCAGCGACCAGCGGGCAGCUGGGCACCGUUCUCCUGCUCUCUCUCAGCCGCGCGUGAGCUGUAGCAAACGCCGUCGUCCUCUCCUGCUCUCUGGUCUCCCAGCGGUGAGCCAUAGCAAACGUCACUGUCCUUAUAUGCUACAUUAAACUAUGUGUGCUCCAGAUUUACAUGGCUUUUAUAGUUUUAUCUAUGUUUAAUUAAGACUUGUGUUUACAAUUUUUUAUUUGUUGUUAAGUUUUGAAUAUAUGGUUUCAUUGUAUGAUUUUACCGAACAAAAAUACCGGUUCCCAUCCGAUUUUGGCUUUAACCCGACCGGAUCGUAUCGUUUUUUUGAUUCCUAUAUUUAUCCCGUUCGUUUUCGUUACCGAUAUAUCCCGUUUUCGUCCCGCAAGGUGUCAAGGACCUGGAAUCCCCGACUUGCCGGACCACGGCUACGUAGCUCGUAGCCGUCGGCCGUCCUCUCCGGUUGGGGUUAUGCCCCCCUAACCGCAGGCUUGUGAGGCUGGAGGUGGAAGAAGAGACAAAUUCCUUAUUGCUAUAACCGUGCAGCAUAGCUGGGUAUAUAUGGCCGUCGGCCACCUACAAAUGGAGCAAGUCUCCUUGAUUUUCUCUAGCCUGAUUGAUUGCUUCUUUCCUAUUCUUAUCCCUCUUUCCUAAUCUCAGCCCCUGCUAUCUGUGGCUGAUUUGCAGCACCUGAUUUUAGCCCUCUUUCCUAAUCUCAGCCACUUGCCAUUGGUGGCUGAUUUGCAGCAUGCGCUGCUGCCUGCUCUGCGGCCGCGCGCUCGGUUGCUCGCCGGACAUCACGCGCGCGCCUGCGCCUAGUGAAUGUAUUACCGUACAUGACAUCUCUCCCGGCCUCGAAAACCAGCUCGUCCUCGAGCUGGAACUGUGGAAAGCUGGCCGUGAAGUCUUCAAGCUCCUCCCAAGUCGCUGCCGUCGCUGGUUCACCCUGCCACUGAACCAGGACCUGUUUAACGCCGCGAGCUAGGCGGCCAGCCAAGACCCGUGCAGGUGCAGACACGGCGGCGCCGUUGAGCGUGGCUGGCAGCGCCGGCGGUUCGGAUGGUGGCGAUCCCACAAACUUUCUGAGAACCCCCACGUGGAAGACGUCGUGGAGUCUGGCGCCGGCCGGAAGCUGUAGGCGGACUGCCACGUCGUUGAUGACUUCCUUGACGCGGUAGGGCCCGACAUAGCGCGGCUUGAGCUUGCCUGCUGCCGAGCGUGGCAGUGUCGCGGACGGCCGCUGCCGUAAGCGAAGAAGGGCCCAGUCGCCCACCUGGUAGAUGACUCGCCGGUGGUGUUGAUCGUAGGCGCGGCGCUGGGACUCUUGAGCCUGGUGGAGACGGUAGCGGACGUCGUCGAGGAAAGCAGCGCGCUCCUCCAUCUCUUGCGCCACCGCGGGAAUGCGUGCAUCGCCCGGCUCAUAGGAUCGGAUGGUUGGCGGGUCGCGGCCGUACACCACCCGGAAUGGCGUGUCGCGGAGUGAUGACUGGAAGGCAGUGUUGUAGGUGUACUCCGCCCACGGAAGCCACCGGAGCCACUGUCGAGGGCGGUCGCCGGUGAAGCAGCGAAGGUACAUGGCGAUGACGCGGUUGGCUGCCUCCGACUGGCCGUCUGUCUGGGGGUGGAAGGCGGAGGACAUGAAGAGCUUGGUGCCCGUGAGCUCCAUCAGCUCUGUCCAGAAGGCCGAAGUGAACACGGCGUCGCGGUCCGAGACGAUGGACUGCGGAACGCCGUGCAGCCGCACCACUUCGGCGAAGAACGCCUGCGCCACCGAUUCUGCCGUGUACGGGUGCGCCAGCGGGAUGAAAUGGCAGUACUUGCUGAAGCGGUCGACGACGGUGAGGAUGACCGUCUUGCCUUGGGCGCUGGGCAGCGCCUCGAUGAAAUCGAUGCCGAUGUCGGCCCACACCGCCGAGGGGAUCGGCAAGGGCUGUAGAAGACCGGCCGGCCGCAAGUGAUCAGACUUGUAUUUUUGGCACGUGCCGCAUGCCUUGACGAAAUCCUGCACAACACGGCGCAUGUUUGGAAAAUGGAAGUCGCGCUUCAGCCGAUGUAGGGUGCGUAGGACGCCUUCGUGGCCAUCGUCGUGUAUGGCAGCCACUAUUUCCUGCAGGAGAGGGGACGAUGCCGGGAUGUAGAGGCGCCCAUGCAUGGCGACCAUCCCGCCCAUGAUGGACCACGGCGCCGUACGUGUGCCCGCGCGAAUUUCCUCGCAGAUGGCGACGAGGGCCGGGUCCGUAGCUUGGGCUUGGCGUAGCCGCGUGAUGAAGUCGAAGCGGGGUGCGGAUAUAGCCAUCAGCGCGCCCUCCUCGGUGUCUUUUCGGGACAGGGCGUCGGCGACGGUGUUCGUGGCACCCGAGCGGUACUCCACCUCGAAGUCGAAGCCCAGGAGCUUUCCCACCCAAUGGUGUUGAGGGAUGGUGGCCAGCCGCUGGUCGAGGAGGUACUUGAGACUGAAAUGGUCAGUCUUGACGGUGAAGUGCCGACCCCACAAGUAUGGCCGCCAAUGGCGAACGGCCUGGACCAAGCCGAUAAGUUCGCGCUCAUAGGCGGCGAGGGCGCGAUGCCGGGGAGCGAUUGGCCGGCUGAAGAACGCGACCGGGUGUCCCUCCUGGACAAGCACCCCGCCGAACCCUGUGGCGGACGCGUCGCACUCCACCACGAACGGCUUGCUGAAGUCCGGCAUGGCGAGCACCGGGGCGGAGGACACGGCUGCCUUGAGUGCUGCGAACGCUGUCAUAGCCGCGUCGUCCCAGACGAAGCCAUCCUUCUUGAGGAGGGCCGUCAACGGGGCAGCCACGGUGCCGUAGUUGUGGACGAAGCGGCGGUAGUACCCGGCAAGGCCGAGGAAACCGCGAACUGCCCGGACCGAGCGAGGUGGCGGCCAGUCGCGGAUGGCGGCCACCUUGGCCGGAUCCAUAGCCACCCCGGCUGCCGAGAUAAUGUGGCCGAGGUAGGAGACGGCCGGCGCGCCGAAAGAGCACUUCGAGCGCUUGACGAAGAGCCGGUGGCGCUGCAGCUCGUCGAGAACCGCCCGGAGAUGGCGGAGGUGAUCGGCCCAGGUUUUGCUGUAAAUUAGAAUGUCGUCAAAGAAUACCAGGACGAAACGGCGGAGGAAUGGUCGGAGCACGUCGUUCAUCAGCGCCUGGAACGUAGCCGGAGCGUUGCAGAGUCCGAACGCCAUCACGAGGAACUCGUACAGGCCAUCGUGCGUGCGGAAGGCGGUCUUGUGCACAUCCUCCGGCCGCAUCCGCACCUGAUGGUAGCCGGACCGAAGGUCGAGCUUAGUGAAGAACUUGGCGCCGUGGAGCUCGUCGAGCAGCUCCUCUACCACCGGGAUCGGGAACGCGUCUUUGAUGGUGAGGGCGUUCAGGGCUCUGUAGUCGACGCAGAAACGCCAGGAGCCAUCGGGCUUCUUGACCAAGAGAACCGGUGACGAAAACGGGGAGUCGCUGCGGCGCACGAUCCCUUGCUCGAUCAUCGCGGCGCACUGACGCUCCAGCUCGUCCUUGUGGGCAGCCGGGUAGCGGUACGGGCGGACAGCCACCGGCGAUGCGUCGGGCUUGAGGAGGAUGCGAUGGUCGUGGGCGCGCUUGGGAGGCAAGCCCGAAGGAGCGGCGAAGAGCCCCCCAAACGAGUCCAGGAGAGCCUCCAUCAACGCAUCCCCCCCUGUCAUGGUGCGCACCGCCGGCUGCGCUGCGCGUGGGGUACCCGUCCAGGAGACCGAGCGCCCUGGGCGCUGAAACGUCAUGCGGCGGGUGGCGAGGUCCCACACGAUCGGUCCCAGGGCCCCCAGCCAACGCGUGCCGAGGACGACGUCGUACCCGGCCAACGGCAUGACGAAGAGAUCGGCCGGGUAUGGUUCGCCCUCGACGAGGAGCGGCGCGUUGCGGAGGACGCCGGCACAGGAGAUCCGCUCGCCGUUAGCCACCAUGGCCGUGAGACGUGGACGGCGCUGGAUGGGGAGGCCCGACCGGUGUGCUGCCGUCGCGGAGAUGAAGUUGUGUGUACUGCCCGAGUCGAGCAGCGCCACCAGGGAGGCCGGACCGAGGGUGACCGCGAUCUGCAUGGUGUCAGUCGGCGCCACCCCGGCCACCGCCUGCAGGGAGAAGAGCGGGGCGUUGGGCUCGGCCGCGCCCGUGUCCCCGUCGACCCCGGUGUCAUCGAUCUCCACCCCAUCCACAAAAAAGAGACGCCUGCAAAAACGAUUGUGGCCCCGAGAGUACUUCUCGUUACAAUUGAAACAUAAGCCUUGCCGACGACGAUCCGCCAUCUCCUCGGGUGACAGGCGGCGAGCGCCCUCGCCGCGCGCGUGUGCUGCACCCACCGGCGGCGCUGGCAGGGCCAAGGGAGGAGGUGGCGCCGGUAGUGUCGGAGCGGCUGGUCGUGGAGGGGGCGCCGGCAGAAUACCCCGCGCUGCCGGUCUUGUCGCCGCCUGGACGCGGGCGAUCUCCAGCUGUUCCACCUCCCGCGCCAGGCUCAUCGCGGCGCUGAGAGUGUCGGGGUGUAGGAUGCGCACCGAGUGACUGAGCGGCGGCAGCAACCCCCCCGUGUAGAGCUGGACGCGCUGCGCCUCCUCCAUCGGACCGGCGUGGGGUAGGAGUUCCUGGAAACGGUUGGAGUACUCUUCGACCGAGCCGGUGCGGCGGCAUUUGGUGAGCUCGAAGAAAGGCGCGGACCGGCUGGUCGGCCCGAAGCGCAGGUUGAGCUGCUCCUUGAACCGGCGCCAGGACGGGGUGCCGUCAUCCUCUUGCAGCUGCAUGUACCAUAGUUGCGCGGUGCCUUCGAGACUGUAUGAGGCCAUCCACACUUGCUCCUCUGGCGAGGAACGAUGUUGGCGAAAGUAUGACUCACACUUGUUGAUGAAGAGGAGAGGAUCGGUCUUGCCAUCAAACCGAGGGAAGUCCCAUUUCUGGAACUUAGGCAGGCGGUCGGUGUCGCGAGGGCGUUCCUGCAUGGUGCCGCCGGCGGACGACGACGCGGACUUCUCUUUGAGGCCGGAGAUGUCGGCCUGCAUCUCCUGCAUCAUCUUCACGACGUCGGCAAGGGUGUACUCCGACAUGGUGCUGGGGGCAGAGGAGCGGGUGGGAGAUGGUGGUGUUGUGCGGCUGGUGGGGGGUUCGGUGGACUGGGAAUUGCUGGACGAAGAUCGCCGGACUCGUGAUACCAAGCUGUCAAGGACCUGGAAUCCCCGACUUGCCGGACCACGGCUACGUAGCUCGUAGCCGUCGGCCGUCCUCUCCGGUUGGGGUUAUGCCCCCCUAACCGCAGGCUUGUGAGGCUGGAGGUGGAAGAAGAGACAAAUUCCUUAUUGCUAUAACCGUGCAGCAUAGCUGGGUAUAUAUGGCCGUCGGCCACCUACAAAUGGAGCAAGUCUCCUUGAUUUUCUCUAGCCUGAUUGAUUGCUUCUUUCCUAUUCUUAUCCCUCUUUCCUAAUCUCAGCCCCUGCUAUCUGUGGCUGAUUUGCAGCACCUGAUUUUAGCCCUCUUUCCUAAUCUCAGCCACUUGCCAUUGGUGGCUGAUUUGCAGCAUGCGCUGCUGCCUGCUCUGCGGCCGCGCGCUCGGUUGCUCGCCGGACAUCACGCGCGCGCCUGCGCCUAGUGAAUGUAUUACCGUACAUGACACAAGGUAAAUAUGAAAAUGAAAACGGUAGAGGUAUUUUUCCGACCGUUUUCAUUCCUACGUACGAACGAUCCGGUCCGUACACCCGUGCCACUAGGUGGCUGAAGACUGUACUUGCCAUCCAAAAAUGUAUACUAGUCAAGUGCUCCGGCGUUGCAACGGUAAAUAAAAUAUUCGACAAAGUAUUAGUGCACAACGAUUACAUAAAAAUAAAUAUCACAUAUUAUUGAUCUCAAUCCUAUAAAUUCUUUGUUAACAACCAAUACAAAAUUUCAGGGAGCAGGUCGUGGGGAGGGCACGAGAGGUUGGGGACGAAGAUGGUUUGGACCCGAAGGCAGGUAGGACAGGGAAGUGCGUAUGACAGCAGGUUGAUUCGUAGAAUUUUAAGGGGUAUUUGUAAAAGUAGUCCAUAUUAUUGCCAGCUACUAUCCAAAUUACUGCUUUUGUUUAUCUGAACAUUUUAGUAAUCUAAAAUGAUGAAUACAUUCAUAGCAAAUGCAUGUUAGCAACAUGAUUUUUUUUGGUUCACAUAGGAGCAGGAGAUAACCUCAACCAAAAUGCCAUGUGUUUCUAUUUUCUAACCAGCAGGAGCUUUGUACAUCACAAAAAAAUAUUGCAUAAAUGAAUUUCUAUCAAGAUGAUAAGGAGUAUCAGUAAGUCUCUACAACAAAUAGCAUCAUGUGUUAAAUUCAUCACUUAUUGUAACUUUUCUGUCGAAGAAAUAACUGAGAAUAGCAUCAAGCCACAGACGAUUGUAGUAAAAAAAUUGAUGCUCCUUCCAAAAAUUGAUGCAAGAAAAAACAUAGGGGAAAAACAAAAAUAUUUGGAUAGUAAUAAAGAAAAAAUAUCUAUGCACAUGUAGCUUCAUCAGAUCGAUGUACAGCCACAAUUAGCAAGGUGCUAGAACCAAUUUCAUGUCAAAACAGAAGGCGACACAAUCACAUUUAGGUUAGUUGGAGACUCACUAGACGGUAUAUUGUGAGGCGGAGGGGCUCAAGACGGUAUGUUGUGAGGCGCAGGGUCUCGAGAACAGGAUGUUGGAAGUGUUGCUGCUCCAGCUCGUGGCUACUGUGGGGUGAGCUACAUAAGGCUGCCAGGACGGCGGUUGGGAACGCAGACGAGCAAGGAUGGUGGGCACGAUAAGGUUGGCGCAUGUGUUGAACGAGGGCUAGUGAGGGUGGAGGGUGUGAUAAGGCUAUUGGGUGAGCGCAAAAUGCGUAGACAGCGGGUGGGCGAGAAUGGCGGGUGCGGCAUGCACGGACGCGGUUAGAGCAGACACGGCAAGAACGAAGCAUGAUGUGGAUUUUGUGAGGCCGCGGAUGGAGCACAUGCGGUUACUUGUGGGUUCAUGGCGAGCGGAGGGGUUGCGAGAUUUCUAGGGCGCUCGGGCCGGUUGGAAGCUCCACGACAAUGGAGGCAUGGUAGAGGCGGCGUGGGGAGGGAGGUCGCGAGGAGGCGACAGGCGGAUCAUUGAAGUGAGGAGGGAGGUCGCGCGGAGAUCCGGAUGAGCGGAGGCAUGGCGGAGGUGGAGUGGGGACGGAGGGCGCGGGGAGGUGGCGUGGGGAGGUAGGUUGGGGAUGACCGUCUUUUUUGCUUUUUGGCCCUUUUGGGGAAAGUUUUUCACAAGUAAGCCCUUUUUAGUUUCAAUUCAGAAAAUGGACCCUUACCUCGACGCCAUCAUUAUUUGCGCCAAGGUUACACGUCUCGAUGCCAAUAUAAAUGGCACCAAGGUAUCGCUCCGGAGCGCUGAUGUGGCACAUACGUGGUAGGGGUUGGCGCUGUCACUAUUGACGCCGACCCCUGCUGCCCGCAAACGGCCGCUUGGCCCUUGCGUUCGUGCGUUAGUAGCCCUCCUAAUAACGACAGACGUCUAGGAUAAGUUGCCCUUGCACUAAUGGACGUCUAGGAUAAGUCUUAAACGCUUCCUGGAUUUAUUUCCCGUUCCUUCACGUUAGUAACCUGAAAAGAAAACACGUACAAUGGCAAGUACCUAUCAGUUGGCAUGUAGCUGAAAUUAAAACUCGUAACACUAUGGCUAUGACCUGGAGCACGUACAUAUGAUUGCUGGAGACAACGAAAAAUAGAAGUUGUUGACAAACUGUUGUAAAUAGAAACUGCGUGCUAAUAUAUAUAGAUAUGAUAUUAGGAGCCCUAGGCUUCCAAUAGCUGGGCGAAAGCCCUGACCGGAUGUUGCCAACCGGUUCAGCCGCACCAGGUCCGAAGCAUCUAUAAAAGAAGCUCCAGAUCGCUAGGGUUCAGUUUUAGCGACGCCGGCAGUUACGCCCCCAUCCUCGAGAGGUGCGCGCGGCGGCGGAUCCUGGGAGCAAGCGCGCGACAGCGAAUCUGGGGGACAUGCUCGCGACGGCGCAUCCGGGGAACACGCUCGCAGCGGCGGAUCCCUAAGGCCAGCGCGCGGCGAUGGCCCCCCUGAGGUGCGCACAACGGCGAGGUGGGAGCGGCUGCGACAUCGGAUCCCGAGGGCACAAACGCGACAGCGGCCCCAUGAGGUGCGCACGACGGCGAGGUGGGAGCGGCCGCGUGGCAGAUCCCGAGGGGCACAAGCGCGGUAGCGUCUCCUUGAGGUGCACGCGGCAGCGACUGCUUAAGGUGCGCACGACGGUGACGUGGGAGCGGCUGCGGCGGCGCGACGGCUGAUCUCGGGGGCACGUGAGCAACGACGGCACCCCUAAGGCGUGCAUAACGACGAGGUGGAAUGGCUGGUGCGAUAGAUCUCAGGAUGCACGCGCGCGAGGGUCAACCCCUGAGCGUGUACUACUGCGAUGUCAUCCAAGGUGGGAGUGGCGAUGGCGGACUUCCCUAGGCGUGAGCGACGAUAGCAGCCUCCCUAGGCACAAAGUGGUGGCGCAUCCUAGAUGUGAGGUGGCGGUUUCGCAGGGCAGUGGUCCUAUUUUUAUGCUAUUUUGUAUAUAUAUUUAUGCCAAUGUCAAUAGGUUUUUAAGACCUAUAUUUCAGUUCAUGGCUCCGCUUCCAUCUAUUUGUCUGUUUAUGAUAUUUCUAUUGACAUUAUACGCAAACGAUUUAUUGAUUUUAUGCAUUAUCUCGUUUACUUAAUCCAGCGUGUUUUGGGUUUCUACCAUUUAUGCCAUAUGCAUAAGAUAAAUUUACGACUCACACAUUUACACAACAAAAUAGAAAUUUAGAAAAAGGUAACCGCUCUAAGAAAUGAGGUCAUUUGCCACGAUUCCAUAAAUCUCGCGUAUGCCGGUCCAUUUCCUUUUCAACCCACAUUUUUGCCAUUCUAAAUUUGUGCACAUGCAGUAGAAAACAGAUUGUUUUACCAGUCUACCGUAGGGCAUAAAUAACUUCACCAUGUUGUAUAAUUAGUAUCAAUAUAUAUCAUAAACUGGUUCUAAUGAGCUUUGAUGCAUGGAUGUUGGAGAUAUCCUAUAUUUAUGGAGGAAAUAAAGCAUUUAAAUCAGAUUUUUCCCAUACAUGUUUUCGUUAUGAAAUAGAUCGAUGAUUUACACUAAAAUUCAUACCCAUUUACGCUGUUUUGGUUCACAUUUUACGCUGAAAUCCACCUGAGCUCCCACACACGACCCGAUCCAUAUCUUCUGUUUCGAUAUAUAUGGUAACUUCCAGCUUCGUGGGCGCGCUAAUCACGGUGGUGUGUGGACCCACCUGAACGAACCAAUGAAAAGUUUGUUGUCGCUCUCCUGUUAUGCAAGUCUAAACCAUUAAAUAUGCUAGCAUAAACACGAGUAGGAACCAACUACCCGACCAGCGAACACGACGCUGGCCCACCUUCGUCCAUCCUAACUCGACCCCAUCACGUGCGGACCUUCUGUUUACGCAAAACAUAACACAUGUUUACGCAUGCAUAAACGUGUCCCACAAUCGCGCGGACGCACAUGCCCCACUGGCCUGACCUGACCACGCGCGUAGAGAUGGCAAUGCGUACCCGGAACUCGAAACCCGAUGGGUUUUUACCCCAUUAGGGUACGUGUUUGGGUCAAUUUUCAUACCCAUGGGUUUGUUAAUGGGCAUAAAUGUAUACCCGACGGGUUCAUGGGUACGAGUUUGUUCCUAUAGUACCCAAACCCGUGAACCCGUGGGUUUUUUAAACCCGACCAAACCUAGUGCAUAUUGUCAUUUUAUUUUAUAAACGAACAACAAACAUGUUAUCUACCUAUUUACUUCCUAAUUUUUGUUAAAUAGUGAAUGUAUAAGUAGUUGGUGAGAGUGUUGCUUGCUUGCUAUUAUACGCGCGUGACCACUACCCUGGCUGGGACUUCCCAUGUCUAUCGGAAGCCCAGGACUUACAUUACCGACAUCAUAUAUAUAUAUAUAUAUAUAUAUAUAAUAAGGAUUAAGCUGAAGUCUUCAGAAAGUUCGAAUUCCUCAAUAAUCCAUUGUGCUUUUGUGUGAAAAAAAUAGACCGUACACAUACCAACAGCUUAAUGUGGAUAUUAGUUUGUGUUUUCGAAAUCAAAUAAGUGAUUAAGCAUGUCCAUCAAACAAUACCAAUGCACGUCAUCAAAUCACUUGUUCAAAUAAAUGUUUUUUUUGUUUAGCACAAGCAAGCAUUAGUUGUGUUGGUUACAGACGUUAGCAUUAAUCUUUGUCGUCGUUGGUUCAAACCCCAAUAGACUCAUGUUUUUUGGUGUCUCCAUUUAUUUUGUACACUGUAAUACCCAAAGUUGUAGACCAUAGAAAACAAGGAUAACACUCUUGUGUAUUUUGCUUCAAAAUACUAUCAUAUGAGAACACUCACUUUUAAAAGAAAAAUAUCAACAAAAGACACAUGAACAACUUAUGCAUCAUAUUGGAGUUUUGUUUGUGCAUUGAAUAAUAAUAACACUAAUAAAAUAUAAUAUGAGUUGAAGAUUUGGAUCAAAACCUAAAUUUGAAAUUGGGAUUUGAAAAAUGGAAAAGAAGAGAGAAAUACUAUAAAAUACAAAAUGAAUUUAUAAAUAAAUAGACUCAACCCAUAAAGGAAUGUCCAAGUCAUACAUUCAAAUCUAAGUACAAAUUCACUACAAAAUUUGAAUUCAAAAUUGAGACUCAAAAAUAAAAAGGAAAAGAUAAUAAAGAAAAAGAAAAAGAAAGGUGAUAGCUACUCGGGCUGGGAUGCCAUUUUGGCCCAUCUUCACUCACCGCGCAGCCCACCCGCGGAAGCAGUCGCCGACAACUGAGGCCUAGUCGUCAGAGGCUAUUCUUGCGCUCGCUCGCGUAUACAACUAUCACCAUAGCGCGGACCCACUCUGUCAGCCUCACUUCGCGGUGCGCUCUCCAUGCUAGCCUCAUACCAACUGACCAGUGGGGCCCCUUUACUGCUCAUCUUCCGUCGCGGUAAUAGAACUCCGAUGGCCCCGGGAGCACGGUGCUAACUCCGGAUCCAAUCCUCUUGGGGAUAAAAGCUAGCCCUCGCGCCACUCGUCGACUAGACAUACCUCCACGUCGUGAGCCUCUUGUGCAUCAGCCUCUCCUCCAUCAUCGAGCGAUGUGGGUGAUUGUCGGUGCACAACGAAGAAGGAGACCGCGGCCACCGUCAGUGGGACCACGACCGCGCCGAAGUUCAGCCCUCGAGCCUUGGACCUUUGCCCGUCCCCAGGGAACAUCUCAGUGUCGUUGGGUGAGGGUGGGAGGCUGUGGAGGACCUUGGAUUAUCGUCGGUGCCCCAGAACCACCGUAGAGCCACCGGACAUCGUCGCCUGACCCCUGAGCCGCUCAAUCGUCGGUAAGGAGUGGUCAACCAUAUUCGCCAUGGUCCCUACUUUGUUUAUCCUCUAGCAUAUUUGAGGGAUCAUGUGUUUGGGCCUGGUUCAUCGUCGCGCCGGCAAUGGCGCCGCCGUCGGUGCUCGGGCGUCGGCGGGUCUCAGCGAUAGGGUGGCGGUCGGAUCGCGACCGUUGGAUUGGAAAUAGACGAGCGAGAUUAGAAGGUCCAUACCCAUUCAGCUGUUGAAUCCGCGCCGUUGGUGUGGAUCUUGCGGCUACGAUUUAAUUUCGCCUCGGAUCGAUCUAUGUCGUAGAUUAGCGAUUGUGCGACCAAGAGAGAGGGAGAGAAGAUCGUGCGCCAUGGGUCGUGGAUUUCAGAUCCGACGGUGGUGAGUGAAAGCGGGAUUUUAACCAAAGCCGAUCUAAUAUGGGCCAUUCGUGCUCGAUCUAACGACUGAGAUCGACUUAUACCCCUUCGUUGUGCACGUUUUGCAGAAAAGCCCUUCUAUUUUUAGAAAACCAACCUGCAGUCCAUCUCGGGUUUGCACUGAGUCUGGGGAGAAUUGCGAGUUAGACCCUGUGUUUCUGAGUAAAUGACGCACAUUCCAGAGGGAAAAAAAAUAGAGAAACAAUUCGGGAUACUGAUUUUCAAUACAAAAAAAUUUAGAAACUUGUAUAAAUCAUAUUAAAUUCAUUUUAGCUCCAAUUUGAUCCAUUCCAGUUACAUUAAUUUUGUUUUAAUAUUGUCUAUCACUUAGUACCUCUAUUUAGCCAUGAAGCUUGAAUUAAAAUUGUUCAUUUGAAUUAAUCUAUUCUAAGUGCUAAAUAACUUCAUAAAUGCAUAACUUAAUAACCAUAGAUCCGAAUUUAGUGAUUCUUGUUCCUACGAUCUCGUUACACAACAUAGAAUAUUAUUAUGCAUUCUAUUCUACUGUUUGGUGUGAUGUUAAUUUUUGCUAUACUUUGUAUUUUUGCAUUGAUGCGAAUAGACGAGCAAGCCACAGAGGAUCCAGGGGUUCAUAAGGUGGAGACUGUUGAGUAGGAGCUCAUUGAAGGCAAGUUGUGCCCUUGACCACUUCUUUUUACCUAGUCAUGUUCUUAUUAAUCAUAAUGAUCUGCAUAGGUUAAUUUUGAUGGGACCCAAUAGGUUACCCUAGUUUGGCUAUCUUUAUGCCUUGUUUUACCACUGAAUUUUUGGGUAGUACAUGCUAUUGCUUUAUGUGGUUUUGGGUAUGGAGAUAUACAUUACUCAUGUUCACACUUUUAUUAUUAGUUUAUUAUUUACUGUUCAUGAUAAGAUCAUUAUGUUAAUUGGAACAUGGAGAACCACCCGGGAAAACAGUGCUACCACAAGGGUGGUAUGGGACGCCCUUGGCUGACUAACUAGGAAAGCUAGUGGAGGACUACCUUACCCGAUAGGGGCAAGGGCAGUAGGGGAGUGGUCAGUGUGGGGAGGCCCUUGGGUUGAUUUUGCUGCGAUGGCGGUCAGGCGAAGGGUCCCUGCACUGGAGCUUCCUAGAAACUAUAGCGGGGUUUCAGAAGCUUGUGGAACUUUGUAAAGGCCUCGUAGUGGAACCCUGCUUCGCUUCCUUGGUAGAGGUGUAGGGGUCUGAUCAACUCCGUGGCAAAUGGGUACAUGACUUGUGGGUAAAGAUGCGCAACCUCUGUACAGUGUAAAACUGGUAUACUAGCCGUGCUCACGGUCAUGAGCAGCUCGGACACUCACAUGAUUAAUUUAUGGAAUUAAAUUCAAUUUGUCAAUUGCAUUGCAUUGGGAUUAUUUAUUAUUAUUUUGACUUACUAUUACUAUGGUUUGGUAUUUACUUACAUUUAGUAACUACUAAUAAAAUUUUGACCAACUUAUAAAAGCAAUGCUCAGCCUUAACCUUUAUUUAUUGACUAGCCUUACACUUCACAUGAACUCCCACCUUUAGUGAGUUCAUGCACAUUAUUCCCCACGACUUGUUGAGCUAUGAUCUUUUGUGAGCACACUCUUGCGAUACAUAAAGCCCCCCACAGGUGAAGAGCAGGUGGUCGAAGAGGAACCACACAACGAGGAGUUCGACCUGAUCUAGGUGGCGUCUCUCAGUUAGCUUUAUGGCGUCAGGGAAAUAAUAUUUAGUUUGCUUUAUUUUUAUCAUUUAUUUUGCAAGACUUUCGCUAGGUAAUAAGUACAUUUAUGAUAUUUAUGACAUUUAUCUCUAUACAUUCUGUCAUUAUAUGUGUAGUUCUUCCUUGGCGCACAUAUGAGACGCACCUGGCUUUAUCCUUUAAAUUCGAGUGUGACAUACACAUGACCAUGCACGGGCGCGGGCGUGAAGCUGGGCCUGGUCAUUUGUGGGCACCGGGGAUCCGCACCAUGACAUUGACCCCUGCCACAUAGGUGACACGUCAACGCUCCGAAGCGAUACCUUGGUGGAAUUCAAACUGAAAAGGGCAUACGUGUGAAAAACUUUCUCAAAAGGGUCAAAAAGCAAAACAUACGGUUGGGGAUGGCGGCGUGAGGAGCGAGGUCGAUGAAAAUGGUGUGGGCCCAGAGGAAGGCGGGACAGAGAAGUGUGCAGGACAGUGGGUUGAUUCGUAGAAUUUCAGGGGGUAUUUGUAAAAAAUGACGCAUGGCGACUGUUGAAACUGGUGCUUUAAUAUAGUAGAGAUAAUCGAAAGACAUAACACGAAUCAGAGUAGGUAGUCGCCAGAGGACGCCGUCUAGGACACAAGAAUGGAGGGAGGUCGUCACUUGGGCCACCUGAACUGCGCCUGUAUUGGAGGAUGUCACGUGCGACCGUCGUCGCGAACACCUCGCGCCUUCGGUGAUGCCGCUUGAACACCUCAUGCGGCGCCGUCGUUCGUGGGUUAGGGUGUGUCACCGUCGCUCGGGUCUAGGGGUGUGUCCCUGCUUGCCCGCCCGCCUUGGGAGUGUCACUGCUCUCACCCGCCUCAGGCCCCCGGGUAGCCGCCGCUUGCCCGCACUAUGGCCUCAUCGUCGCUCGCCCUUUGGAUCGAGGAGUCGCCGCCACUGCGCUACCGAUCUGGGAACCAUCGCCGCUACUCCGAAUCGAAGCACCAGCUCCACCGCGCGUCUAGGUCGGGGAGCUUCCGCCAUCGUAACCGCCGGACAGAGGUCCACCGCCGCAGGCGCUCUCGAGCAACCGCCGCCAUCGCACGUGCUAGGUUGGGCGUCGUUGCUCCUAAAUCAGGGUGAGGCGUCAAAAACUGAACCCUAGCGCUCUGGGUCUUCUUUUAUAUUCGCUGAGACUUGGUCCGGCUCGACCGGAUGGCACUGUCUAAUCUGGGCUUCCUCUACAUGAGCCGCAUGGCACACUAUAUUUCCCCAUCCUGGAUACACUAGUGGUCCGCAUUCAACAUCUCUGUGCUAGCAGCUAUACUAAAUUUUAAGUUUGUAAAUGAGGCAUAUUUUUAAAAGUGUUGACACAGUGACAAUGUAAAGUAGUGUUUUAUAAUUGUUGAGAUUGAGAUAGAGAAAAAAAAAACUUUUAUAGGGUGUUUGGUUUGAGGAAUGAGCUAGUCCAUUAUCUUCUCACUCUUCACUUUAUUUGUUUGGUUUGUGGAAUGGAAUAAGUUGAUCCAUCAUCACCUCAUUCCUCAUGGUUAGUUAUUACUAAUAUGAGGAAUGUGGUCAUCCCAUCAAAUUUGAGGAAUAGAUCUAUGAUGCACCACCUCAUUUUGGAUGGAGCGAUUCCUCAAACAAACACCCCACUAAUGUCUUAAAAGACGCUGGGAAUUGAGGCCUCCCUCGUGCUUCUGCGGGCGACAACCUAUGCGCAUGCGACACCUAACAAUCUGGACCCAAAAUUUUAUCUUCAAUCAACCUAUUGAUGUUCUGGUUCCGUGCUCCUCUCUCCCUCCCACUCUCCGGUCUCCCAUGUCGUCUCGUCCGCCUCUCUCUCUCUCUUGUUCCAGAUCUGUCGAGCCCUGUCUCCUCCCAACCUCACCACUAGGCAUGUGUCCCUGCUGUCCCCCGUGUUGGACUCAUCCAACCGCUGCUUCAGAACGUGCACUAGGUGGGUUGACCACACGGUGGAUGCGCCCGCCUCCUCAGCCACCUCGCCAUCUUCGUCUUCUCCGAGGCCUCAGCCACUAGUACACAGAGCCUCUAUAGUGGCGGUUCUAGAGACGUUUGCACUGGCGUUUUUCAGUGCCGCCAGUGCUAGGGGCUAGUGGAAAUCGCCAUUUCCACUGACGGUUAUUCAAGAACCGCCAGUGGAAAUAGCAUUUCCACUGGCGGUUUUCUUAAGAAACCGCCAGUGAAAAUAGCAUUUCCAUUGGCGGUUUUAUUAAGAAAACCGCCAGUGGAAAUGUUAUUUCCACUGGCGGUUUGUUUUAUUUAGCCGCCAGUGGAAAGUUUUCCCGCCUUUUUUAAAAUUUUCGUACUGAAAUUUAUAUAUUUACACACACAAACACAUAUAUAUAUAUUGAUAUUGAUAAACAUGUAGUAUUGAUAUUAAAAGCAACAUGGAAUUAAAUUCUAUCAUACAUUUAUAUACAUCAAAGUCUUGUUUACAACCAUGUAUGCAUCACACAUUAUAUACAUCAAAGUUUUCACUUAAGCUCUAAUAACUAUCUCGGCUAAGAGAUAGUCUACUAAUUUCUGUUAGUAUUCUAAACUCUGGCAAAGCUAAUGUUCCGGAAGCAUCGUGAUAUUUCCCUUCUACGGGAAUGACCUCUUUCAAUAUGAAUGUGCACAGGUCCUCAACUAUGCCAUACAAUGCACCUUCAGUCAAGUUCUCCGGGCUUCCUUGUUGAAAUUGCUGUAAAGGAAGUUUAUAAACAUUAUCUAUUUAUACUCAAUAAUAACACAUUUGCAUCUUUAAUGACAUAAAUACAUACGUGACUAUUACUAAUAAUACCUUGCCAGGGUUCGUGAUGUAUCGUCCGUUCAUUCUCAUGAACUCGCACACGUAGAACCCACAUAGGACCGAUCCGGGUGGUUGCUUGUGGCACUACAUAACGGGAGAUUGGUUAUUUAGUUGCAACAUUGUCCUAUGUACGUACAUGUAUGAUAUGUAUUCAUAAAUUCACAUACUUACCGGCCAGUUAUAAUGGAUGUCUAGUGGCACGCCUUUUUUGGACGUGUCGUACUUUCCACCUCGUAGCUUAUAAAACCUAAAUGCCCUGUGAUCUCAAAUAGAAUCACCAUGUUAUUCUACAAUUCUCAUCGAUAUAAGUAUGCAUGCAUAGAAAAGGCUUACAGCUCUAAGAUGCCGAGGAAUUUUGAAUAGGCCGAAGGCUCGGUGUGCAAGGAGUCGAGCACCAGCACCUUUCCAACCUUAGGAUAAAUGAAGAAGCAUAUCCUGUGGUCCCUGUACAAAUCAAACUUGUGAUACAUGUGUAUUGAAAUUAUUAAUUUUAUUUAUGCAAAAUCACACUUACUUAAAGUUGUACGGGGCCACUAUGGAUUCCCUGUCUUGAAAUUGAAGCAUUGCGUGUGCUAUGUAGGUGGCGUAUCUUGCUUCAAAAUCCUUCUUCAGAUCCUGGAUACGCACCUCAAUUUCUUCGUCCGUUAGUGUCCGUUAGUCCCUGUAAUGCUUCGUUGCCUUUUCCGAUUCUAAAAGUGUGGUUAUCCUCGCAUAUCUUUAUUGGGUUGAGAUACCCAACCCUUUUACUAGCACUAGCAUUGGGAUUGGUACCAUAAAGGAUCUCCUGCUGAUCAUGUUGCAUUCUGCAACGCACACGUGCAUGUCAGAUAUUGAAAAUUUAUACAACUCACUAAUAAUAACACAUAUAUGUGGAGUAUGAGUGACACUUACAAUGCAAAUAUGGUUACAAGUUGCACGUCGAGUCUCUGAAGGUUGAUUAACCACAUGUCCUCGAAUGCAACAACGACUUUUUGAUUUGAACCAAUAAAAGCAUGGGCUGGUAUAUUAACACUGAUGGUGUCGAUGCCAACUGAAGAUGCCCGCAUGUACCAAUCAUGCAACCUUUUAAUAUUAGCCGGGACCUUCAUUAGUUUCUCAAAAGUGAGUAGUGAUCUACCCAGCACAUAUUUUUUAGGCACGUUUUUAUAAUCUGCCUUAGUUGGCUUCUUUAUCUUUGCGGCCAUUGCCUCAGCCUUUUUUGCGGACUCCUCGAGAUCGGCCAAAUCUCUGACGUGAGGCUCCGUCCAAUCCCUUUCAAAAAACGAGCUGUGCCAGUAGUGGAUUUACUCUUCUUUUUCUUCUCGAACGGGGACACUAAUUUUGGUAUAGAAACUUUAGAUUUCUUUGAUGGUCGUGGAGAUGGCUGUGGAGAAGGUGGAUCCCUGAAGGGCGAUGUAUGUGGCGGAGACGGUGGGCCACCAUGAGGAUGUGGAGAAGGAGGGUCAGAAAGAGGAUGAGGAGCAGCAUGUGCAGUUUGAGGAGGUGAUGAUGGAUGUACAAUAGGAACAACAAUUUGAGAAGGCGGAGACGGUUGGGCCUGCGAUGACGGCUGUCGUGGUGGAUCAACCAAUUCGACAUCCCUUCGAGGCCAAAGGAUAAAAUUCUUGAUAUCUUGUCCAAGUGUCUCGAUACCUUCGGGCCCAGGGAUGUCUAGCAUGUCGUCCUCGUAUCCUUGGAUGACUGUCGUCACUUCUACCUUGCAAUAUUCUUCUGGAAUGUCGUUUCCAUGGAACUUGCGUCCUGGGAUCGCAAGGCCUGUGGCUACUUUCUUUGUACGCUGAUUGUUAAUACCAUAUCUUAUAACUAGUGUGCAUGCCAUAGGCCUUGUGAUGUCAUCAACUGGAUAGCGGACCUUAUUUCCCGUUGACGAGACAGAGCUUGGGAUGGUCGUACCCUCGGUGGAAGCCGACGUUUGAGCUGCUGGAAUUAUUUGCAUCUGUGGAGUGGUCAUCUAUUGAACAGACAUCGCACUCGCCAUCGCCAAUUGCUGCAUCAAUUCUGGAGGAGGAUUCGAUAGCAUUUCAGACAUCAGGCCUUUGAACUCUUUCUUGGCCUCCUCCUUAAAAUAAUUCGCCAUCUCUUCCUUGUAUCGAUCACGUUUCUUAUACAUACCUUCCCAUUGUGGUCCGAAUCCUUCCUUCCAUCCUUCCUUAGAUGAGAUUCCUCGUACACGACCAGGAUGCUCAGGGUUACCGAGACCAGCCGUUAGAAUGUCUCUCUCCCUUUGCGGCUUAAAUGUUCCUUGGCUCUGCUUAGCUGCAAUUGCAUAUAUGUUUUUUGCCGCUUCUUCGACAGUGGGAUCAUCAAAAGAUACACCAGACUCAGUUUCCCUUGGUUUUCUAGCACGGAUCCAAUUAGCUGUCCUUUCACCAAGUUGCUCGGACAGCGUCGGCAACCCUGCAGCCUUCUUCUCGGCGUCUUCUUGUCUCCAUUUAGGAACCUGACGCUUGUAACCACCUGUGCCAAGGUGGUGGCAGUAUUUGUUCUUCUUAGAUAGUUCCGAAUUUGCCUCACUUAGCGAUAUGAAAUCAGGGCUGCUCUUCUGCUCUUUAAAUACUGCCCACUGACCUGCUGAGAUUUUAUAUUUUUCGUUGGGUCUAGGUCUUUCUUUGCAAACUUUGUAUUCAUCUCAGACCUCCAGUUUCGGAAAUUGAUUGCAAACUGCUUCAUCGUGUAUUUUUUCACGAGUUCUUCUGAACCCCGAGGCAAAAUGAACCUCGUUAUUAGCUUAUUCCACAUUUGAUUCUUGACAUCAUCUAAUACAUCUCUCCACUGUCGGAUUGUGAUGUCAAGAUUAUCUCUAACUAAGAACCCAAGUGCAUUCUGGAACUUAGGCAGUGCCUCUUUUGGAGCUAGGGGCUGACCAUUCGGGCUCACGUCUGCGAUUUUAUAUGUCUUGUCAGGAAACUUGUUUAGCCCCCUGUCACCUCUAUUUCGAUCGCUCUGCUUCCUUUUCCUUGACCUCUCGGUGGUUGUCUCGGUCGAUUUCGGUGCGCCUUGGGUUGGUUCAGGUGCGCCUUGGGUCGGUUCCGGUGCGUCUUGGGUCGGUUCCGGUGCGUCUUGGUAUCGUGCCGCAGCUUUUUCGAGCAUCGCACGAAAUUGAGACAAGACCUCGUAUUCAUGUAAUAAAAUGCACAAGAAAUCAUGCAUGUGUAAUAGACAUUGUGAAAUCAGCUAAUUAAUUAGGUACACACACGAAAUUAAGGAUGUGUAAUUUACCUCAUGGUCUUGUGGAUCAUAAGUAGGGUCACGUUGCAACUCACGCGCAGCGGCCCUAUCUAUGCUAGUGGUAGGAAAAGGGUCGCUAGGCAUUUCAUAUCCUUCACUGCUGGAUUGUUCUUGAGCAACACUCUUGUCCAUGUGGUCGUGCCCUAAUCCUUGAUUGGAGAACUCAUUGAGCUAUAUAUAUACAAAUACAUAUUAACACAUAUUAACAUAAGCAAUAAUUAAAUUCAUAUUAACAAAUACCCUAACCCUUAACCACUAACACUAACCCUAAGCCCUAACCCUAACCCCUAAUAUUGUGAUACGGAUAUUAUCGAGUUACGUAUAGAGAAGGAGAGUCGUAUAGGACGUAGAGAGAGAGAGAUGGAGAGUCGUAUAGAACGUAUAGAGAGGGAGAGAGGGAGAGUCGUAUAGAACGUAGAGAGAGAUGGAGAGUCGUAUAGAAUGUAUAGAGAGGGAGAGAGGAGGAGUCAUAUAGGACGUAGAGAGAGAGAUGGAGAGUCGUAUAGAACGUAUAGAGAGGGAGAGAGGAGGAGUCGUAUAGGACGUAGAGAGAGAGAGAGAUGGAGAGUCGUAUAGAACGUAUAGAGAGGGAGAGAGGAGGAGUCAUAUAGGACGUAGAGAGGGAGAGAUGGAGAGUCGUAUAGAACGUAUAGGAGGAGUCGUAUAGGACGUAGAGAGAGAGAGAGAUGGAGAGUCGUAGGAAAUGGCGUUGUUAAUGAAGCUUUGAUUUUUUUUGCUUUGCUAAUGAAGCUUGAUGCAUACUCUUUGUGUGAGAGAGAAAAAGGACAGGUGAUGAGAACUCGCUCUGGUCAAGUGGGGUUCUGAUGAGUUGCUCUUAAUCGAAGCAACGCAAGUGUGUCGUACGUCGUCUUCUAAUUUCACUAGCUAAUAGUACUACAAUGGAAUACGUUGUUUGAGACAAUCAGACAACUAUUUGCCAGGUCGUGCCACAUGUAGCUGCAUGUCUCAUCGCACAUGCUUGCAGUAGGGAUGAUUCAGGGACAUCUGGUAGAGCUCACAUAACUCUAUAAAGCUAAACGGAUAAAAACUGAAUUGCUCCGUGGCAGAAGUGAAGUGAAUCUAGUCUACAUUUUAUACUAGAGAGUGGAAGCCAAAAAAACAUGCUUUCCGCUGCUCUCUCCUCUCUCUCUCUCUCCCUCUCCCUCUCUUUCCUCUCUCUUCCCUCCCUCCCUCUCCCUCUCUUUCCUCUCUAUUCCCUUUCCCUCUCUCUCCUCUCUCUUGUGGCGGAACUGCCCGAAUUAUUCCAACUUAAGUGCCUAAGUCCCGCCUUAGAGGCUAGACCACACUUAAAUGGGAAUAACCCGUCAAUCCCUCGGAUCUAGUCCGACACGGCUACUGACAGGAUCAAGUACCACAAUCUCACUCGAUGGUGAGUCACAGAGCAAAUACAAUAAAGCAUAAAACCAUGCAUUAAGGAGUAUUAAAUUAUUACAUCAUCAUCGGAGUUUUGCAAAAGUAGUCAUCAUUGUUUGAAGUGCAGUGGAAAUAAAAUAACGAUAAAUAAACAGAGAGAUGGGGAAGCCUGUCCCAUCACUCCUCAUGCUCCUCCUCAGCCGAGGCAGGGUCCCACUCGACAGUCCAACCCGGUGGCAAGAUGGACGGCCAAGUCACUCCAGCAACCAUGUCCUCCAGAGAACCUAUAAAAUUAUGCCACGAGCAAGGCUGAGUAUACUAAUUGUCGGCGUUUCGAGACCGAGGGGUCCCUGGGCCGACGAGUGAAUGUUGCCCCGUGCCCCAGCCCAGAUGGGUCGAGCGCGAGGGCGAGCGCGAAGGGGGGAGAGCGAGGCGGCCGGAGACCGGCGUGAGAGAGGUGGGAAUCCCGCGGCCUUCGUGUUCGUCCCGCGCCCAGGUCGGGUGCGCUUGCAGUAGGGGGUUACAAGCGUCCACGCGGGAGAGGGAGCGAGCGGCUCCAAGCGAGCGCCUGUCUCGUCCUCGUCCCCGCGCGGCCAACCCUCUCUAAGAGGGCCCUGGUCCUUCCUUUUAUAGGCGUAAGGAGAGGAUCCAGGUGUACAAUGGGGGGUGUAGCAGAGUGCUACGUGUCUAGCGGAGGAGAGCUAGCGCCCUAAGUACAUGCUGUUGUGGCAGCCGGAGAGAUUUUGGCACCCAGCUGGUGUGAUGUCGUGGCCGUGAGAGGAGCGAUGGAGCCUGGCGGAGGGACAGCUGUCGGAGCGGUCGAGUCCUUGCUGACGUCCUCUUGCUUCCGUAAGGGGGCUGAGAGCCGCCGUCGUCACAGAGUACGCGGGGCGCCAUCAUUGCCUGUCUUGCGGAGCUAGCCAGAUGGGACGCCGGUCUUGUUCCAUGCGGCCCGAGUCAGCUCGGGGUAGGGUGAUGAUGGCACCUCCUGUUGACGUGGCUGGUCUACGCCCUAGGUUGGGUGAUGUGGAAGCUCCUCCGAAGCCGAGGUCGAGUCUGUCUUCCGUGGUCGAGGUCGAGUCCGAGCCCCUGGGUCGGGCGAGGCGGAGUUCGUCGUCUUCUGGGGCUGAGCCCAAGUCCGAGCCCUGGGUCGGGCGGAGCGGAGUUCGCCGUCUUCCGGGGCUGAGCCCGAGUCCGAGCCCUGGAUCGGGCGGAGCGGAGUUCGCCGUCUUCCGGGGCUGAGCCCGAGUCCGAGCCCUGGGUCGGGUGGAGCGGAGUUCGCCGUCUUCCGGGACUUAGCCCGAGUCCGAGCCCUGGGUCGGGCGGAGCGGAGAUCGCCGUCUUCCAGGGCUGAGCCCGAGUCCAAGCCCUGGGUCGGGCGGAGCGGAGUUCGCCGUCUUCCGGGACUUAGCCCGAGUCCGAGCCCUAGGUCGGGCGGAGCGGAGAUCGCCGUCUUUCGGGGCUGAGCCCGAGUCCGAGCCCUGGGUCGGGCGGAGCGGAGUUCGCCGUCUUCCGGGACUUAGCCCGAGUCCGAGCCCUGGGUCCGGCGGAGCGGAGCUUCCUAUGAUGCCUUCGGCAGGGCCUGACUGCCUGUCAGUUUCACUCUGUCAAGUGGCACCGCAGUCGGAGCGGCGCAGGCGGCGCUGUCCUCCUGUCAGGUCGGUCAGUGGAGCGGCAAAGUGACAGCGGUCACUUCGGCUCUGCCGGCUGGGGGGCACGCGUCAGGAUAAAGGUGUCAGGCCACCUUCGCAUUAAAUGCUCCUGCGAUUUGGUUGGUUGGUGCGGCGAUUUGGUCAGGGUUGCUUCUUAGCGAAGGCAGGGCCUCGAGCGAGCCGGAAAUAUGUUCGUCGUUGGAGGGGGGCCUCGGGCGAGACGGAAAUCCUCCGGGGUCGGCUGCCCUUGUCCGAGGCUAGGCUCAGGGCGAGGCGUGAUCGAGUCGCUCGAAUGGACUGAUCCCUGACUUAAUCGCACCCAUCAGGCCUUUGCAGCUUUAUGCUGAUGGGGGUUACCAGCUGAGAAUUAGGAGCCUUGAGGGUACCCCUAAUUAUGGUCCUCGACAGUAGCCCCCGAGCCUCGAAGGGAGUGUUAGCACUCGCUUGGAGGCUCUCGUCGCACUUUUUUGCAAGGGGACCAGCCUUUCUCGGUUGCGUUUUGUUCUGGUGGGUGCGCGCGAGCGCACCCGCCGGGUGUAGCCCCCGAGGCCUCGGAGGAGUGGUUUCACUCCUUCGAGGUCUUAAUGCCUCGCGUAAUGCUUCGGCUGGUCUGGUUGUUCCCUCAUGCGAGCUGGCCGUAGCCCGGGUGUACGGUCGGGUCCCAAGUUCUCGGGCUGGUAUGUUGACGCUGUCAAUGGUUCGGCCGGAGCCGGGUUUGCGAGAGCAGCCCCCGAGCCUCUGCACAGGGCAAGAGGGCGAUCAGGGACAAACUCGGCUUUUUUACAUACGCCCCUGCGUCGCCUUUCCGCAAGGAGGAGGGGGGGAAAACGCCAUGUUGCCCUCGAUGGGCGCCGAACAUGGUGUCUCCGGUGAGCUGCAAGUGGGUGAUCCGAGUGGACGUCCGUGCUCCGUUCGUUAGGGGUCGGCUAGGGGCCCAGAGGCACGCCCAAAAGUACCUGCGGGUGAUCUGCCGGACCCGGUCGCCUGGCGACGGGGUCCGAGGGCUCGAUGCCUCCCUCCGAUGGGAUUCCGUUACAAGAUCGUUCCCGCUGGUCUCGGAAAUGUCCUAGGGUACCUCGGGAGCGCAGCCCGAGCCUUGGUUAUGUAUCGAACGUACCCAUGGUCAUCCCUCGCUCGGCGUCUGAGGCGGCUAUGAACCCUUUGGGGGCCAGCCUUCGAACCCCUGAUCAGUAAUGGGCGCUGUCGGGGACCAUAAUUAGGGGUACCCUCAAGACGCCUAAUUCUCAGCUGGUAACCCCCAUCAGCAUAAAGCUGCAAAGGCCUGAUGGGCACGAUUAAGUCAGGGAUCAGUCCACACGAGUGACUCGAUCACGCUUCACCCGAGCCUAGCCUCGGCCGAAGGCAGCCGACCUCGAGAGACUUCCGUCUCGCCCGAGGCCCCCUUUUUAUGGCGGACACAUCACCGGCUUGCCCAAGGUCUUGGCUUCGCUCAGAAGCAACCUUGACUAAAUCACCACACCGACUGACCAAAUUGCAGGGGCAUUUAACGCAAAGGUGGCCUGACACCUCUAUCCUGACACGCGCCCCCGGCAGAGCCGAGGUGACCGCCGUCACUCCACCGCUCCACUGGCCAGUCUGACAGAAGGACAGCGCCACCUGCGCCACUCCGACUGCAGUGCCACUCGACAGAGUGAGUCUGACAGGCAAUCAGGCCUUGCCAAGGGCGCCACGACGAACUCCGCUCCGCUCGACCCCAGGGCUCGGACUCGGGCUAAGACCCGGAAGACGGCGAACUCCGCUCCGCCCGACCCCAGGGCUCGGACUCGGGCUAAGACCCGGAAGACGGCGAACUCCGCUCCGCCUGACCCCAGGGCUCGGACUCGGGCUAAGACCCGGAAGACGGCGAACUCCGCUCCGCCCGACCCCAGGGCUCGGACUCGGGCUAAGACCCGGAAGACGGCGAACUCCGCUCCGCCCGACCCCAGGGCUCGGACUCGGGAUAAGACCCGGAAGACGACGAACCCCGCUCCGCCCGACCCCAGGGCUCGGACUCCGCCCUGGCCUCGGCCGAACGACCUCCGCCUCGCCCGACCCCUUGGCUCGGGCUCGGCCACGGCAACUGAAGGCAAGACUCAACCUCGGCUUCGGAGGAAACCCCACGUCGCCCCGCCUAGAGCACAGACCGCCACGUCAACAGGAAACGUCAUCAUCAUCCUACCCCGAAUCGACUCGGGUCACGGAGAACAAGACCGGCGUCUCGUCCGGCCAGCUCCGCCAGAGGGGCAAUGAUGGCGCUCCACGAGCUCUAUGACGACGGCGGCCCCCAGCUCUCUUACGGCAGCAGGACAACGUCAGCAGGGACUCGACCGCUCCAACAGCUGUCCCUCCAUCAGGCUCCGCCGCACCUCCGAUAGCCACGACAUCACGCCAGCAGGAUGCCCAGAUCUCUCCGGCUGCCACAUCGGCAUGUACCUAGGGCACUAGCUCUCCCUCCGCUAGACACGUAGCACUCUGCUACAUCCUCAUUGUACACCUGGGUCCUCUCCUUACGACUAUAAAAGGAAGGACCAGGGCCUUCUCAGAGAAGGUUGGCCGCGCGGGACCGAGGACGGGACAGGCGCUCUCUUGGGGCCGCUCGCUUCCCUCACCCGCGUGGACGCUUGUAACCCCCCUACUGCAAGCGCACCCGACCUGGGCGCGGGACGAACACGAAGGCCGCGGGACUUCCACCUCUCUCACGCUCGGCUCCGGCCGCCUCGCCUCUCCCCCCUCCGCGCUCGCCCACGCGCUCGACCCAUCUGGGCUGGGGCAUGCAGCACACUCACUCGUCGGCUUAGGGACCCCCCUGUCUCGAAACGCCGACAGUUGGCGCGCCAGGUAGGGGCCUGCUGCGUGCUGACGAAUAGCUCCCCGUCAAGCUCCAGAUGGGCAGUCUCCAGCAACCUCUCCGGCCCGGGACGGUGCUUCGUUUCGGGGCUCUCGAGUUCAUGUCCUUCGACAGCAGCUACGACAUGAUACUUCUUCCACCGCCGUGCGACCACGACAAUGGCGGCCGACAACCCGCCCGCCGGCGGCGGAAUCGACGACGUCUUCCCCGCAUGGUGGAAGAGCCAUAUUCGGGCUCGCUCCGUUCUCUCCCCCGCCAACGGAGGGGAAGGCGGAGCCGUCAAGGCCAGACGGGAGGCCGCGCUUCGUCAGCCAUCGAGCGAAUCGACGCCCCCGACGCCCCGACGGGAGGCACGCCGGACGUCGACCUCGUGUUCGAGACGGAGGCGAGCGCCGUCCCCCCGUGGCACGCUGACCCUGAGCAAGAAGACGACGCCGGCGCGCUCGCGGAAAGCCUGCAGGACGUCGCCCUCGAACCAGAGAUGACGGCGCAACCAGUCCUCGAUGUGACUACGUCGCUCCUCGUCGACCAAAAGGUAACGACUAACUCCCAUCUUGCGUCAUUUCGACUCGGCCUCCACCCGCCAAACGACCUCGGUUUGGCGGGCGCUCUCAUUGAGGCGAGUGCAACCCCACUGAGGUUCUGUAUGCGGUCGCCUUGGGACCGACUGACGGACGUCUCGACCUACGGGCCCUCUGGGUCCGAGGAAGAUGACGACCCCAGCAUCGGUUGGGAUUUCUCCGGACUUGGCAACCCCAGUGCCGUGCGGGACUUCAUGGCCGCAUGUGACUACUGUCUGUCCGACUGUUCCGAUGGAAGCCGCAGCCUUGGCGACGAGAGCUGCGGCCCAAGCCGCGAAUGUUUCCACAUCGAGUUAGGGAAUCCCACCGAAGGCAACCAUCUUGGCAUGCCGGAGGAUGGUGAUCUCCCUAGGCCGGUGCCUCGCGCCGACAUCCCACGGGAGCUAGCUGUGGUCCCCGCUCCGGCGGGGGGUUACGACCCACAACUCGAGCAAGUCCGCGAGGCGCAGGCCAGGCUCAACGAGGGAACGGGAGCGCUUGAGCCGAUCCGUCGGGACGUCGGACAGGCAUGGGUGGGCCAACCCCUGGCCGGAGAAAUACGUCAUCUGCCCCAAGGUCUCCAGCACCGCGUCGCCAACGACGUCAGGAUCAGGCCGCCGCCCGCAUCCAGCGGGGUCGGUCAGAACCUGGCAACCGCAGCAAUGCUCAUCCGCGCGAUGCCGGAGCCGUCAACCACCGAGGGUCGGCGGAUCCAGGGAGAACUCAAGAAUCUCCUGGAAGGCGCCGCGGCCCGGCGGGCCGAGAGCACAGCAUCCCGAAGGCAAGGAUAUCCCUCGGAACCUCAUGCCGCGACUUCCCGAUUCAUGCGGGAAGCCUCGGUCUACACCGGGCGCACGCGCAACACCGCGCCUGCGGCCCCGGGCCACCUCGGCAACGAGCACCAUCGACGCGACCGUCGGGCUCACCUCGACGAACGGGUGCGCCGAGGCUAUCACCCCAGGCGUGGGGGACGUUACGACAGCGGGGAGGAUCGGAGUCCUUCGCCCGAACCACCCGGUCCGCAGGCUUUCAGUCGGGCCAUCCGACGGGCGCCAUUCCCGACCCGGUUCCGACCCCCGACUACUAUCGUAAAGUACUCGGGAGAAACGAGACCGGAGCUGUGGCUCGCGGACUACCGCCUUGCCUGCCAACUGGGUGGAACGGACGACGACAACCUCAUCAUCCGCAACCUCCCCCUGUUCCUCUCCGACACUGCUCGUGCCUGGUUGGAGCACCUGCCUCCGGGGCAGAUUUCCAACUGGGACGACUUGGUCCAAGCCUUCGCUGGCAAUUUCCAGGGCACAUACGUGCGCCCCGGGAAUUCCUGGGACCUUCGAAGCUGCCGGCAACAGCCGGGGGAGUCGCUCCGGGACUACAUCCGGCGAUUCUCGAAGCAGCGCACCGAGCUGCCCAACAUCACCGACUCGGAUGUCAUCGGCGCGUUCCUCGCCGGCACCACUUGCCGCGACCUGGUGAGCAAGCUGGGUCGCAAAACCCCCACCAGGGCGAGCGAGCUGAUGGACAUCGCCACCAAGUUCGCCUCUGGCCAGGAGGCAGUCGAGGCUAUCUUCCGAAAGGACAAGCAGCCCCAGGGCCGCCCAUCGGAAGAAGCCCCCGAGGCGUCUGCUCCGCGCGGCGCCAAGAAGAAAGGCAAGAAGAAGUCGCAAUCGAAACGCGACGCCGCCGACGCGGACCUUGUCGCCGCUGCCGAGUAUAAGAACCCUCGGAAGCCCCCCGGAGGUGCAAACCUCUUCGACAAGAUGCUCAAGGAGCCGUGCCCCUACCAUCAGGGGCCCGUCAAGCACACCCUCGAGGAGUGCGUUAUGCUUCGGCGUCAUUUCCACAGGGCCGGGCCACCCGCCGAGGGUGGCAGGGCCCACGACGACGACAAGAACGAAGAUCACCCAGCAGGGGGGUUCCCCGAGGUCCGCGACUGCUACAUGAUCUAUGGAGGGCAUGCGGCGAGUACCUCGGCUCGGCACCGCAAGCAAGAGCGCCGGGAGGUCUGCUCGGUGAAGGUGGCGGCGCCAGUCUACCUAGACUGGUCCGACAAGCCCAUCACUUUCGACCGGGCCGACCACCCCGACCAUGUGCCAAGCCCGGGGAAAUACCCGCUCGUCGUCGACCCCGUUGUCGGCGAUGUCAGGCUCACCAAGGUCCUGAUGGACGGGGGCAGCUGCCUCAACAUCAUCUACGCCGAGACCCUCAAGCUCCUGCGCGUCGAUCCGUCCUCCGUCCGAGCAGGCGCUGCGCCCUUCCACGGGAUCAUCCCUGGGAAGCGCGUCCAGCCCCUCGGGCGACUCGACCUCCCAGUCUGCUUCGGGACACCCUCCAACUUCCGAAGGGAGACCCUGACGUUCGAAGUGGUCGGGUUCCGAGGAACCUACCACGCCGUGCUAGGGAGGCCAUGCUACGCGAAGUUCAUGGCCGUCCCCAACUACACCUACCUGAAGCUCAAGAUGCCGGGCCCCAACGGGGUCAUCACUGUCGGCCCCACGUACAAACACGCGUUCGAAUGCGACGUGGAGUGCGUGGAGUACGCCGAGGCCCUCGCCGAGUCCGAGGCCCUCAUCGCCGACCUGGAGAACCUCUCCAAGGAGGUCCCAGACGUGAAGCGCCAUGCCGGCAACUUCGAGCCAGUGGAGACGGUCAAGGCCGUCCCCCUCGACCCCAGUGGCGACACCACCAAGCAGAUCCGGAUCGGCUCCGGGCUCGACCCCAAAUAGGAAGCAGUGCUCGUCGACUUUCUCCGCGCGAACGCCGACGUCUUUGCGUGGAGUCCCUCGGACAUGCCCGGCAUACCGAGGGAUGUCGCCGAGCACUCGCUGGAUAUUCGGGCCGGAGCCCGACCCGUCAGACAGCCUCUGCGCCGAUUCGACGAGGAGAAGCGCAGAGCGAUUGGCGAAGAGAUCCACAAGCUAAUGGCGGCAGGGUUCAUCAAAGAGGUAUUCCAUCCCGAAUGGCUUGCCAACCCUGUGCUUGUGAGGAAGAAAGGGGGGAAAUGGCGGAUGUGUGUAGACUACACUGGUCUCAACAAAGCAUGUCCGAAGGUUCCCUACCCUCUGCCUCGCAUCGACCAAAUCGUGGAUUCCACUGCUGGGUGCGAAACCCUGUCCUUCCUCGAUGCCUACUCAGGGUAUCACCAGAUCCGAAUGAAAGAGUCCGACCAGCUCGCGACUUCUUUCAUCACGCCGUUCGGCAUGUACUGCUAUGUCACCAUGCUGUUCGGCUUGAGGAAUGCAGGUGCGACGUACCAGCGGUGCAUGAACCAUGUGUUCGGCGAACACAUCGGUCGCACGGUCGAGGCCUACGUCGAUGACAUCGUAGUCAAGACUCGGAAGGCUUCCGACCUCCUCUCCGACCUUGAAGUGACAUUCCGGUGUCUCAAGGCGAAAGGGGUCAAGCUUAAUCCUGAGAAGUGUGUCUUCGGGGUGCCCCGAGGCAUGCUCCUAGGUUUCAUCGUCUCCAAGCGAGGCAUCGAGGCCAACCCGGAGAAGAUCGCGACCAUCACCAGCAUGGGACCCAUCAAGGACUUAAAAGGGGUACAGAGGGUCAUGGGAUGCCUCGCGGCCCUGAGCCGCUUCAUCUCACGCCUCGGCGAAAGAGGUCUGCCUCUGUACCGCCUCUUAAGGAAGGCCGAAUGUUUCGCUUGGACCCCUGAGGCCGAGGAAGCCCUCGACAACCUGAAGGCACUCCUUACAAAGGCGCCGGUCUUGGUGCCGCCGGCGGGCGGAGAAGUCCUCUUGGUCUACGUUGCCGCGACCACUCAGGUGGUUAGCGCCGCGAUUGUGGUCGAGAGGCAGGAGGAAGGGCAUACAUUGCCCGUUCAGAGGCCGGUCUACUUCAUCAGCGAAGUGCUGUCCGAGACCAAGAUCCGCUACCCACAAGUUCAAAAGCUGCUAUACGCUGUGAUCCUGACAAGGCGGAAGCUACGACACUACUUCGAGUCCCAUCCGGUGACUGUGGUGUCAUCCUUCCCCCUGGGGGAGAUCAUCCAGUGCCGAGAGGCCUCGGGCAGAAUCGCAAAGUGGGCGGUGGAGAUCAUGGGCGAAACGAUCUCGUUCGCCCCUCGGAAGGCCAUCAAGUCCCAAGUGUUGGCGGAUUUCAUGGCCGAAUGGGUCGAUACCCAACUACCAACGACUCCGAUCCAACCGGAGCUCUGGACCAUGUUUUUCGACGGGUCGCUGAUGAAGACGGGGGCCGGUGCGGGCCUGCUCUUCAUCUCGCCCCUCGGAAAGCACUUGCGCUACGUGCUGCGCCUCCACUUCCCGGCGUCCAACAAUGUGGCCGAGUACGAAGCUCUGGUCAACGGAUUGCGGAUCGCCAUCGAGCUAGGGGUCAGACGCCUCGACGCCCGCGGUGAUUCGCAGCUCGUCAUCGACCAAGUCAUGAAGAACUCCCACCGCCGCGACCCGAAGAUGGAGGCCUACUGCGACGAGGUUCGGCGCCUGGAAGACAAGUUCUUCGGGCUCGAGCUCAACCACAUCGCUCGGCGCUACAACGAAACCGCAGACGAGCUGGCGAAGAUAGCCUCGGGGCGAACGACAGUCCCCCCGGACGUCUUCUCCCGGGACCUGCAUCAACCCUCCGUCAAGCUCGACGACGCGCCCGAGCCCGAGGUACCCUCGGCUCGGCCCGAGGUACCCUCGGCUCAGACCGAGGUACCCUCGGUUCAGCCCGAGGUACCCUCGGCUCAGCCCGAGGUAACCUCGGGCCGGCCCAAGGUACCCUCGGCCCCCGAGGGCGGGGCAUUGAACAUCGAGGAAGGGCAGAGCGGGGCCACGCCAGACCAAGAUUGGCAGGCCUCGUACCUGCAAUAUCUCCGUCGAGGAGAGCUACCCCUCGACCAAGUCGAGGCUCGGCGGGUAGCGCGACGCGCCAAGUCAUUCGUCUUGCUGGGCGACAAAGAGGAGCUCUACCAUCGCAGCCCCUCGGGCAUCCUCCAGCGAUGCAUCUCCAUCGCCGAAGGUCGGGAACUGCUGCAAGAAGUACACUCGGGGGCUUGCGGCCACCACGCAGCACCCCGAGCCCUUGUUGGAAAUGCUUUCCGGCAAGGCUUCUACUGGCCAACGGCGGUGGCUGACGCCACUAGAAUUGUCCGCACCUGCGAAGGGUGCCAAUUCUAUGCGAAGCGGACGCACCUGCCCGCUCAGGCUCUGCAGACAAUACCCAUCACCUGGCCCUUCGCUGUAUGGGGUCUGGACCUCGUCGGCCCCUUGCAGAAGGCGCCCGGGGGCUACACGCACCUGCUGGUCGCCAUCGACAAAUUCUCCAAGUGGAUCGAGGUCCGACCUCUGAACAACAUCAGGUCCGAGCAGGCGGUGGCAUUCUUCACCAACAUCAUCCAUCGCUUCGGGGUCCCAAACUCCAUCAUCACCGACAAUGGCACCCAGUUCACCGGCAAAAAAUUCUUGGAUUUUUGCGAGGAUCACCAUAUCCGGGUGGACUGGGCCGCCGUGGCUCAUCCCAUGUCGAAUGGGCAAGUAGAGCGUGCCAACGGCAUGAUUCUACAAGGGCUCAAGCCUCGGAUCUACAACGACCUCAACAAGUUCGGCAGGCGAUGGAUGAAGGAACUCCCCUCGGUGGUCUGGAGCCUAAGGACGACGCCGAGUCGUGCCACGGGCUUCACGCCGUUUUUCCUGGUCUACGGGGCUGAAGCUAUCUUGCCCACUGACCUGGAAUACGGCUCCCCGAGGGCGAGGGCAUACACCGAACAAAGUAACCAAGCUAGCCGAGAGGAAUCGCUGGACCAGCUGGAGGAAGCUCGGGACAGGGCUUUGCUACACUCGGCGUGGUAUCAACAGUCCUUGCGACGCUACCACGCCCGAGGGGUCCGGUCCCGAGAACUCCAGGUGGGCGACCUGGUGCUUCGGCUGCGACAAGAUGCCCGAGGGAGGCACAAGCUCACGCCCCCCUGGGAAGGGCCAUUCGUCGUCGCCAAAGUUCUGAAGCCCGGAACAUACAAGCUGGCCAACAAUCAAGGCGAGAUCUACGGCAACGCUUGGAACAUCAAACAGCUACGUCGCUUCUACCCUUAAGAUGUUUUCAAGUUGUCCAUAUACCUCGCACCUACGCAAAGUUUAGUUGUCAAGGAAGGGUCGGCCUAGCCCCGGCAAAGCCCGACCCUCCCUCGGGGGCUAAAAGGGGGGAGACCCCCUCUGCGUCGAAUUUUUCCUCGAAAAAGGAUCUCUUUUUAGCAGGGUUUCUUCCGUGCCUCUUGACUACUUCGGAAAGCGGAUCCUGGAAACGACGAGGUACACGUAAGCAGCCAAGGCUGACCGAGCCGAGGGACUCCUACGCCUCCGGGAUACGGAUACCUCACUCGUCCCUUUCUGCGAUAAGUAACUUGCGCUCGGGUAAAGCGACUCCGUGGACCGAACGAGUCAUCACGUUCGGAAGCUCUCCUGCCGAAGCAGUCCUUCAAGCUUUCCCGACUAAGUCGGGGACAGGGCCUCAUGGACGGGUGAAAGUACGCGUAAGUGGCAAGGCCGACCGAGCCGAGGGAUUCCCACGCCUCUGGGAUACGGAUACCUCACUCGUCCCUUCCGCGAAAAGCAACUCUUGCUCACACAAACGUCCCUGUUACCGACAGAGUCCAGAUGCUCGAAGCAGGAGGAAAAAAGACGCAGCUUCGCAAGCGCGGCGAGGGCGUGUUCUUCUGGCCUCGGCGGCCGCAGAAAGCGCACGCUACAAGAUGAUCUGAUCCUGCAGGCUCGGGUCUUCACGCCGAAGGGAGCCGUAGCACCCUCGGCAUCGACGACGUCUACAGCAAAGCCCGACCCAGCCUCGGGCGGCGCCGAGGUCCAGGGGCCCCUCCAGGAAUCCGGCCCGAGCAGGCGGCUCAACCGGUUACCCCUGAGGCCUCGGGCAACCGGCUUCCAAGGGCGCUAGCCCGAUCCGAGGUCUCGACUGACCGACUUGGGCGUCGGCUCCGCUGACGGGCAACACGGCUAGGCUCCGGCCAACCAGGUUCCCCAUUCUCGAGUCAACUCCGCCUCUGUUCAUACUGAUGUCGCUACCCCCAGCCUCAAUCCACCAAAGGGCGGCCGAGGGGUCUCUUCAACUAAGCUAGAGGAGCCUCACAUAACAAGGCCGAACGGGCCGAGGGAUUCCUACGCCUCCGGGAUACGGAUACCUCACCCGUCACCUUGACAUGGGGCAACUCAUGCUUGGUGAAGCGGUUCAGACAAUCAAACAGGCGAGACUUAGUGCUCGAAAAUGAGGAAAAAACACGGCUCCGUGCCAAAAUUACAUACACGUUCAGGCCUCGACAGCCACAAUGAACGAACUCACUGGCAUUCAAAGUGCCAUUACAAACGGAACUCCGGUUCCCCCUCCGCAGGUACGAACAACCCCACUCCGAGGGGGAAGGCCUGCGGAGCAACGGAAGACCGACGAACGGCGCGCCGUCACCUGCUCCAGCAGUGGCGACGACGGCGACUUCUGCUCCGGGGGGCCGAACAGCGGCAACGCUGACCUCAGGGUGGAUGCCGCUGUCAGGAGGCCCCCGCCCGUGCCAAAACUCGUGAGGCAAGGACGGGCAGAAGGCCGUAGAAGUUGGAGGUCAGCCCGUGGCCGGUCCCGGCCGCCGCGCCGGCGGAAGAACCUCUUCCGGCUGCCGUGGCAGACGCCGACGCCGCAAGGGGCCCCGAAGCCACUCGCGGCUGAAGACUAGGCACGCUGCAGCUGCCGGACGCCACGGGCAAUGCCCGCUUCUCCCCCCAUCACUGAGUGAAGGAGCGGGCCACCGCCCACGCAGGGGCCGACCCCAACUCGGCACUCUCCCCUCCCCAGCCUUGGUGAUGAAAAUCCUUGAGGCUGAGGAAGGGGCAGAGGCCGCAGCCCGGCUCGCUUUCCCCCACCAUCAAGCUGGAGGUCGCCAUCUCGGGUGACCGCCGGUGAAGGGGUGCGACCGGGCUGCGUGAUGAAAAUCCUUGAAGCCGAACGAUGGCUGAGAGGUACCAACUCCCAUGGAGUUGCGUUCCUCCAACGAGGAGGCGGAAAGGCGGCGGAUAUCCCCCAUCCGGGGGCUUGGAAGACGGGAAGACCCGGCGCUUAAGGGAGGAAGAAGACAUGGUUGCCUUACGAAAGGAGCCUCCCUCCUUUUAAAGGCAACUCCCCCUACGUGCGCCCCCAGGCGCCGCGGGCCGAGUCUUCUCCAACACGCUCCAAGGCCCUCCCCUGCGACUCGGGGGCUGGGUCCCGCAUGUCAUGCAAGCCGGCACAGGGCAGAAGAAGCCAAACCGCCGCGCAUGGUGCGUACGACCGUCCAGCGGUUACAGGCGACCCCCCAUUUUCGCCCAGACCAACGGGCAGAAGGGGCGGGCAGCCAUGCAGGCGGCAUGCAACCGUGCCAGAUGGACGCGCUUCUCCGACUUCUGACACGCCAGCUUGGAACCCAGGCCCACGCGUCGAGCAACCGGCACGCCAGUUGCUGCAUGCAAGCAACCGCACCGCCACUUGUGCCACCAUCGCGCCUCUUCGGUUGCGAAGCCUAUGCACGACUCGAGGCGACCCAACAGCGCCAGACUGGCGCGUCGGUCAAAGCGACCGAAAGUGGGCCGGCAGUAAUAGCGGUGGCAGGCGGGCGGGCGCAGCGGUCACGUCGUCAGUCAGGCUCACGUCCCAUCCUGAGACAGCAAGAGAGCCUCCUCUCACGGCGUGAAGACGGUGCACCCGUGACCCGUUCCUCGAACGGAUCACCCGCGCGCAACGGCCGCCCCGCCAACCACUCGCCCCGUCGCAUUAACUCCGCGGCGGGACACGCGGCGCCUCUGGUAGGAGGAGCGCGCGACGCUUCACCUUCGCCGUAAUAACCGCUUCAGAAAAGGUACGCCACGUCGUCCGAUUUCGUAUCCUUUUCCGUUUUCCUCUUUCUCUAUCUCUUGCAACAGGGACCGGGGAAGGGGGAUACCCCGAAAGGGAUCCUUCUCCGCGAAGGAACCGGGCUCCGAGCCCCCCAUUACUGAUCAGGGGUUCGAAGGCUGGCCCCCCAAGGGUUCAACAGCCGCCUCAGAUCGCGUGGGCCCGACACCCACUACUGGUCAGGGGUUCGAAGGCCAGCCCCCCGAAGGGCUCCAUGGCCGCCUCAGGCUACUCGGGCUCCGCGCCCAUUACUGAUCAGGGGUUCGAAGGCUGGCCCCCGAAGGGUUCACAGUCGCCUCAGACACCGAGCGAGGGAUGACCAGGGGUACGUUCGAUACAUAACCGAGGCUCGGGCUGCGCUCCCGAGGUACCCUAGGACAUUUCCGAGACCAGCGGGAACGAUCUUGUAACGGAAUCCCAUCGGAGGGAGGCAUCGAGCCCUCGGACCCCGUCGCCAGGGGACCGGGUCCGGCAAAUCACCCGCAGGUACUUUUGGGCGUGCCUCUGGGCCCCUAGCCGACCCCCAACGAACGGGGCACGGACGUCCACUCGGAUUACCCGCUUGCAGCUCACCGGAGACACCAUGUUCGGUGCCCAUCGAGGGUAACAUGGCGCACUCCCCCCCUCCUCCUUGCGGAAAGGCGACGAAGGGGCGUAUGUAAAAAGCCGAGUCUGUCCCUGAUCGUCCUCUCGCCCUGUGCAGAGGCUCGGGGGCUGCUCUCGCAAAAACCGGCUCCGGCCAAAUCGUUGACAGCGUCAACAUACCAGCCCGAGAGCUUGGGCCCCGACCGUGCACCCGGGCUACGGCCAGUUCGCAUGAGGGAACGACCAGACCAGCCGAAGCGUUAAGCGAAGUAUUAAGACCUCGAAGGAGUGUAACCACUCCUCCGAGGCCUCGGGGGCUACACCCGGCGGGUGCGCUCGCGCGCACCCACCGGAAUGAAAUGCAACCGAGAAAGGCUGGUCCCCUUGCAAAAAAGUGCGACAAAAGCCUCCAAGCGAGUGCUAACACUCCCUUCGAGGCUCGGGGGCUACUGUCGGGGACCAUAAUUAGGGGUACCCUCAAGACGCCUAAUUCUCAGCUGGUAACCCCCAUCAGCAUAAAGCUGCAAAGGCCUGAUGGGCACGAUUAAGUCAGGGAUCAGUCCACACGAGUGACUCGAUCACGCUUCACCCGAGCCUAGCCUCGGCCGAAGGCAGCCGACCUCGAGAGACUUCCGUCUCGCCCGAGGCCCCCUUUUUAUGGCGGACACAUCACCGGCUUGCCCAAGGUCUUGGCUUCGCUCAGAAGCAACCUUGACUAAAUCACCACACCGACUGACCAAAUUGCAGGGGCAUUUAACGCAAAGGUGGCCUGACACCUCUAUCCUGACACGCGCCCCCGGCAGAGCCGAGGUGACCGCCGUCACUCCACCGCUCCACUGGCCAGUCUGACAGAAGGACAGCGCCACCUGCGCCACUCCGACUGCAGUGCCACUCGACAGAGUGAGUCUGACAGGCAAUCAGGCCUUGCCAAGGGUGCCACGACGAACUCCGCUCCGCCCGACCCCAGGGCUCGGACUCGGGCUAAGACCCGGAAGACGGCGAACUCCGCUCCGCCCGACCCCAGGGCUCGGACUCGGGUUAAGACCCGGAAGACGGCGAACUCCGCUCCGCCCGACCCCAGGGCUCGGACUCGGGCUAAGACCCGGAAGACGGCGAACUCCGCUCCGCCCGACCCCAGGGCUCGGACUCGGGCUAAGACCCGGAAGACGGCGAACUCCGCUCCGCCCGACCCCAGGGCUCGGACUCGGGCUAAGACUCGGAAGACGACGAACCCCGCUCCGCCCGACCCCAGGGCUCGGACUCCGCCCUGGCCUCGGCCGAACGACCUCCGCCUCGCCCGACCCCUUGGCUCGGGCUCGGCCACGGCAACUGAAGGCAAGACUCAACCUCGGCUUCGGAGGAAACCCCACGUCGCCCCGCCUAGAGCACAGACCGCCACGUCAACAGGAAACGUCAUCAUCAUCCUACCCCGAAUCGACUCGGGUCACGGAGAACAAGACCGGCGUCUCGUCCGGCCAGCUCCGCCAGAGGGGCAAUGAUGGCGCUCCACGAGCUCUAUGACGACGGCGGCCCCCAGCUCUCUUACGGCAGCAGGACAACGUCAGCAGGGACUCGACCGCUCCAACAGCUGUCCCUCCAUCAGGCUCCGCCGCACCUCCGAUAGCCACGACAUCACGCCAGCAGGAUGCCCAGAUCUCUCCGGCUGCCACAUCGGCAUGUACCUAGGGCACUAGCUCUCCCUCCGCUAGACACGUAGCACUCUGCUACAUCCCCAUUGUACACCUGGGUCCUCUCCUUACGACUAUAAAAGGAAGGACCAGGGCCUUCUCAGAGAAGGUUGGCCGCGCGGGACCGAGGACGGGACAGGCGCUCUUUUGGGGCCGCUCGCUUCCCUCACCCGCGUGGACGCUUGUAACCCCCCUACUGCAAGCGCACCCGACCUGGGCGCGGGACGAACACGAAGGCCACGAGACUUCCACCUCUCUCACGCUCGGCUCCGGCCGCCUCGCCUCUCCCCCCUCCGCGCUCGCCCACGCGCUCGACCCAUCUGGGCUGGGGCAUGCAGCACACUCACUCGUCGGCUUAGGGACCCCCCUGUCUCGAAACGCCGACAGGCGCGGAGCCCGAGUAGCCUGAGGCGGCCGUGGAACCCUUCCGAGGGGCCGGCCUUCGAACCUCUGACCAGUAGUGGGUGUAGGGCCCACGCGAUCUGAGGCGGCUGUCGAACCCUUCCGGGGGGCCAGCCUUCGAACCUAUGAUCAGUAGGGAGGCUCGGAGCCUGGUUCCUUCACGGGGAAGGAUCCUUUUCGGGGUAUCCCCCUUUCCCGGUCCCUGUUGCAAGAGAGAGAAAGAGGAAAAAAGGAAAAGGAUACUAAAUCGAAUGACGCGGCGUACCUUUUUUGACGCGGUUAUUAUGGCGAAGGUGAAGCUUCGCCUGCUUCUCCUGCCAGAGGCGCCGCCUGUCCCGCCGCGGAGUUAAUGCGACGGGGCGAGUGGUUCGCGGGGCGGCCGUUGCGCGUGCGCGAGCCGUUCGAGGAACGGAACACGGGCGCGUUGUCUUCACGCCGUGAGAGAGGGUUCUCUCGCUGCCCCCGGAUGGGACGUGAGCUUGGCUGACGACGUGACUGCUGCUCCUGCCCGCCUGCCACCGUCAUUACUGCCGGCCUAUUUUUGGCCGCACUGACCGCCGUGCCAGGCUGGGGCUGCUGGGUCGUGCGCUGGGUCGCCUCGAGUCGCGGUAUUGGUUCCGCAGUCGAGGAGGCGCGGUGGUGGCACAAGUGGCGGUGCAGUUGCAUGCACGAAGCAUUCGGCGCACCGGUUACAUGACGCGUGGGCCUGGGCCUCCAUGCUGGGCGUGUUGAGAGUCGGAGAAGCACGCCCACUUGGCGCGGAUGCAUGCCGCCUGCAUGGCUGCCCGCCCCUUUCGCCCGUCGGUCUGGGCAAAAGUGGAGGGUCACUUGUAACCGCUGGGCGGUUGGGCGCACCGCGCACGGCGGUUUGGCUUCUUCUGCUCUGAGCCGGUUUGCAUGACGUGUGGGACCCAGCCCCCGCGCCGCAGGGGAGGACCUUGGAGUGUGUUGGAGAAGACUCAGCCCGCGACGCUUGGGGGCGCAAGUAGGGAGAGUCUCCUUUAAAAGGGGGCGACCCCCUUUGGAAGGCGACCAUGUCUUCGCGCUCCCUUAUGCAUCGUGUCUUUCCACUUUCCAAGCCCCCGGAUGGGGGAUACCCGCCGUCUUUCCGCCUCAUCGUUGGAGGAAUGCAACUCCGUGGGAGUUGGUACCUUUCAGCCAUCGUUCGGCUUCAAGGAUUUUCAUCGCACAGCCCGGUUGCACCCCUCCGCUGGUGGUCACCCAAAACGGUGACCUCCAGCCCCUGGAUGGGGAGAGGCAAGUCGGGCUGUGAUCUUGGUCCCGCCCUCAGCCUCGAGGGUGUUCGUCAUCCUCGCUGGGGCGGGGAGCGAGGCGAGCCGGGGCUCUACCUCCCGUGCGGGCCGGCGGGCCACCUCUUCUUCCAGCUUCUGGUGGUGGCAACCAUCCUCUAGCUCUGCGGAGGAGACGUCCUCCAGCCAUGCCGGGGAAGGCGAACUGUUGCUGCCCAGCUAGGAUGCAACAUUCCGUCCUCUUCCUCGCUUUCGUGGCGAGGACAGGGGCGAGGACCUGCCGGUGCGCUUUGGAGCAGCCCGCUCUUUGGCUUUAAUAGCUAGUUCGCGUCCCUUGAGCGGGAACGCGAACAAGAGCCCUCCGGCGGCCGCGUCCAUCCUGGGACCAUGGCUGCUGCUGCAGAGGUCACUGGUGGGUCCCCUGGUGCUCGUUGCCCCGCAGGCUCCCCGAUGUGGAGGUUGUACAUACCCGCGGGGACGGAACCAGAGUUCCGUCUGUAAUGGCACUUCGAAUGCCAGUGUUUUUGUUCAUUGUGGCUGUCGAGGCCUGAACAUGUAUGUAAUUUUGGGCACGGAGCCGUGUUUUUUCCUCAUUUUCGAGCACUAAGACUCGCCUGUUGGUUGUCUGAACCGCUUCACCAAGCGUGAGUCGCCCCGUGCAAAGGUGAUGAGUGAGGUAUCCAUAUCCCGGAGGCGUAGGAGUCCCUCGGCUCGGUCGGCCUUGUUGUCCGAGGCUUCUCUUGCUUAGUUAAAGGAACCCCUCGGCCGCUCUUCGAUGAGCCGAGGCCUGGGGUAGCGGUGUCAGCACGGACAGAGGCAGAGUCGGCUCGAAAAUGAAACCUGGUUGGCCGGAGCCUGGCCGGGUCGUCCGUUAGCGGGACCGACGCUGGAGUUGACCAGCCGAGGCCUCGGGUUGGGCUGACGCCCUUGGAGGACAGCUGGCCGAGGCCCCGGGGUGACCGGCCGAGCCGCCUGCUCAGGCCGGAUUCCCGAAGAAAACCCUGGCAGUGAUUGCCCGGGCGUGGUGAUGACGUCGUCCUUUAGAGUGGAGAUCCUCAGACCGCGUCGCCGUCCGAGGCCAGGUCGGACCUCGCCGAAGGUGUCGUCGAUGCCGAGGGUGCUGCUGCCCCCUUCCAGCGUCAAGACCCGAGCCUGCAGGAUCGGAUUGUCUUGUAGCGUGUGUCUCCUGCGGCCGCCGAGGCCAAAACACACCCUCGCUGUGUUGUAAAGCUGCGUCUCUUUUCCUCUUGUUUCGAGUAUCUGGACUUUUUUGUCGGUAACAGGGAUGUUUGUGCGAGCGAAAGUUGCUUCUCGCGGAAGGUGAUGAGUGAGGUAUUCGUAUCCCGGAGGCGUAGGAGUCCCUCGGCUCGGUCGGCCUUGCCGCUUACGCGCACUCUUACCCGUCCAUGGGGCUCUGUCACCGACUCGGUCGAGAAGGCUCGAAGGAUCGCUUCGGCAGAAGAACUUCCGAACGUGAAGACUUGUUCGGUCCGCGGAAUCACUUAUCUGAACGUGAGUUACUUAUCGCAGAAGGUGAUGAGUGAGGUAUCCGUAUCCCGGAGGCGUAGGAGUCCCUCGGCUCGGUCAGCCUUGGCUGCUUACGUGUACUCUGUCGUUUUCAGGAUCCACUUUUCGAAGUAGUCAAAAAGCACGAAAGUCAUUCUGGCAGAAAAGAUCUUUCUUCGAGGAAAAUUUCGACACAGAGGGGGUUCCCCCCCUUUUAGCCCCCGAGGGAGGGUCGGGCUUUGCCGAGGCGAGGCCGACCCUUCCUUGAUGACUAAACUUUGUGUGGGUGCGAGGUAUAUGAACAAGUUGAAAACAUCUUAAGGGUAGAAGCGACGUAGCUGUUGGAUGUUCCAAGCGUUGCCGUAGACCUCGCCUUGACUGUUGGCCAGCUUGUACGUUCCGGGCUUCAGAACCUUGGCGAUGACGAACGGUCCUUCCCAGGGGGGCGUGAGCUUGUGCCUACCUCGGGCGUCUUGUCGCAGCCGAAGCACCAGGUCGCCCACCUGGAGGUCUCGGGACCGGACCCCUCGGGCGUGGUAGCAUCGCAGGGACUGCUGGUACCGCGCCGAGUGUAGUAAGGCCUUGUCCCGAGCCUCCUCCAGCUGGUCCAGCGAGUCUUCUCGGCUAGCUUGGUUGCUUUGAUCGCUGUAGGCCCUUGUCCUCGGGGAGCCGUAUUCCAGGUCUGUGGGCAAGACGGCCUCGGCCCCGUAGACUAGGAAGAACGGCGUGAAGCCCGUGGCUCGGCUCGGCGUUGUCCUCAGGCUCCAGACCACAGAGGGGAGUUCCUUCAUCCAUCACUUGCCGAACUUGUUGAGGUCGUUGUAUAUCCGAGGCUUGAGCCCUUGUAGAAUCAUGCCGUUGGCACGCUCUACUUGCCCAUUUGACAUGGGAUGAGCCACGGCGGCCCAAUCCACCCGGAUGUGGUGAUCCUCGCAGAAGUCCAAAAACUUUCUGCCGGUGAACUGGGUGCCGCUGUCGGUGAUGAUGGAGUUCGGGACCCCGAAGCGAUGGAUGAUGUUGGUGAAGAAUGCCACCGCCUGCUCGGAUCUGAUGCUGUUCAGAGGUCGGACCUCGAUCCACUUGGAGAAUUUGUCGAUGGCGACCAGCAGGUGCGUGUAGCCCCCGGGUGCCUUCUGCAAGGGGCCGACGAGGUCCAGACCCCACACAGCGAAGGGCCAGGUGAUGGGUAUCGUCUGUAGAGCCUGAGUGGGCAGGUGGGUCUGCCUCGCAUAGAAUUGACACCCUUCGCAGGUGCGGACAAUUCUAGUGGCGUCGGCCACCGCCGUCGGCCAGUAGAAGCCUUGUCGGAAAGCAUUCCCGACAAGGGCUCGAGGCGCUGCGUGAUGGCCGUAAGCCCCCCAGUGUAUCUCUCGCAGGAGUUCCUGACCUUCGGCGACGGAGAUGCAUCGCUGGAGGAUGCCAGAGGGGCUGCGGUGGUAGAGCUCCUUCUCAUCGCCUAGCAAGACGAACGACUUGGCGCGCCGCGCCACCCGCCGAGCCUCGGCUCGGUCGAGGGGUAGCUCUCCUUGGUGGAGAUAUUGCAGGUACGGGGUCUGCCAGUUUCGAUCAGGCGUGACCCCGCUUUGCUCCUCCUCAACGCGCAGUGCCUCACCCUUGAGGGCCGAGGGUACCUCGGGCUGGACCGAGGGCGCCUUGGGCCGAGCUAAGGGUGCCUCGGGCUAUGCCGAGGAUACCUCGGGCUGGGCCAAGGGUACCUCGGACUGGGCCGAGGGCGCCUUAGGCUCGGCCGUGUCGUUGAUCUUGACGGAGGGUUGGUGCAGAUCCCGGGAGAAGACGUCCGGGGGAACCGUUGUUCGCCCCGAGGCUAUUUUAGCCAGCUCAUCCGCAGUCUCGUUGUAGCACCGAGCGAUGUGGUUAAGCUCGAGCCCGUAGAACUUGUCUUCCAAGCGCCGAACCUCAUCGCAGUAGGCCUCCAUCUUCGGGUCACGGUAGUGGGAGUUCUUCAUGACUUGGUCGAUGACAAGCUGCGAGUCACCGCGAGCGUCGAGGCGCCGGACCCCUAGCUCGAUGGCGAUCCGCAACCCGUUGACCAGAGCCUCAUACUCAGCCACAUUGUUGGACACCGGGAAAUGGAGGCGUAGCACAUAGCGUAUGUGUUUCCCGAGGGGCAAGAUGAAGAGUAGGCCUGCGCCGGCUCCCGUCUUCAUCAAUGACCCGUCGAAAAACAUGGUCCAGAGCUCCGGUUGGAUCGGAGCCGUCGGUAGCUGGGUGUCGACCCAUUCGGCUACGAAGUCCGCCAAGACCUGGGACUUGAUGGCCUUCCGAGGGGCGAACGAGAUUGUCUCGCCCAUGAUUUCCACCGCCCACUUUGCAAUCCUACCCGAGGCCUCUCGGCACUGGAUGAUCUCCCCCAGGGGGAAGGAUGACACCACAGUUACCGGAUGAGACUCGAAGUAGUGUCGCAACUUCCGCCGCGUCAGGAUCACUGCAUACAGCAGCUUCUGAACUUGUGGGUAGCGGAUCUUGGUUUCGGACAGUACCUCGCUGACGAAGUAAACUGGCCUCUGAACGGGCAAUGCAUGCCCCUCUUCUUGCCUCUCGACCACAAUCGCGGCGCUAACCACCUGAGUGGUCGCGGUGACGUAGACCAAGAGGGCUUCUCCGGCAGCUAGAGGCACCAAGAUAGGCGCCUUUGUGAGGAGCGCCUUCAAGUUCCCGAGAGCUUCAUCGGCCUUAGGGGUCCAAGUGAAGCACUCAGCCUUCCUUAAGAGGCGGUACAGAGGUAGACCUCUUUCGCCGAGGCAUGAGAUGAAACGGCUCAGAGCCGCGAGACAUCCCAUGACCCUCUGUACGCCUUUCAAGUCCUUGAUGGGCCCCAUGCUGGUGACGGCUGCGAUCUUCUCCGGGUUGGCUUCGAUGCCCCGCUCGGAGACGAUGAACCCCAAGAGCAUGCCUUGGGGCACCCCGAAGACACACUUCUCGGGAUUGAGCUUGACGCCUUUCGCCUUGAGACAUCGGAAUGUCACUUCAAGGUCAGAAAGGAGGUCGGAAGCUUUCCUCGUCUUGACUACGAUGUCAUCGACAUAGGCUUCGACUGUGCGGCCAAUGUGUUCGCCGAACACAUGGUUCAUGCACCGCUGGUACGUCGCGCCCGCAUUCCUCAAGCCAAACGGCAUGGUGACAUAGCAGUACAUGCCGAAGGGUGUGAUGAAAGAAGCCGCGAGCUGGUCGGACUCUUUCAUCCUGAUUUGAUGAUACCCUGAGUAGGCAUCGAGGAAAGACAGGGUUUCACACCCAGCAGUGGAAUCCACGAUUUGAUCGAUGCGAGGCAGAGGGUAGGGAACCUUCGGACAUGCUUUGUUGAGACCAGUGUAGUCUACACACAUCCGCCAUUCCCCCCUUUCUUUCUCACAAGCACAGGGUUGGCAAGCCAUUCGGGAUGGAAUACCUCUUCGAUGAACCCUGCCGCCAUUAGCUUGUGGAUCUCCUCGCCUAUCGCUCUGCGCUUCUCCUCGUCGAAUCGGCGCAGAGGCUGCUUGACGGGUCGGGCUCCGGCUCGAAUGUCCAGCGAGUGCUCGGUGACCUCCCUCGGUAUGCCGGGCAUGUCCGAGGGACUCCACGUGAAGACGUCGGCGUUCGCGCGGAGAAAGUCGAUGAGCACUGCUUCCUAUUUGGGAUCGAGCCCGGAGCCGAUCCGGAUCUGCCUGGAGGCGUCGCCGCUGGGGUCGAGGGGGACGGCCUUAACCGUCUCCACUGGCUCAAAGUUGCCGGCAUGACGUUUCACGUCUGGCACCUCCUUAGAGAGGCUUUCCAGGUCAGCGAUGAGGGCCUCGGACUCGGCGAGGGCCUCGGCGUACUCCACGAACUCCACGUCGCAUUCGAACGCGUGUUUGUACGUGGGGCCGACGGUGAUGACCCCGUUGGGGCCCGACAUCUUGAGCUUCAGGUAGGUGUAGUUGGGGACAGCCAUGAACUUCGCGUAGCAUGGUCUUCCCAGUACCGCGUGGUAGGUUCCUCGGAACCCGACCACCUCGAACGUCAGGGUCUCCCUUCGGAAGUUGGAGGGCGUUCCGAAGCAGACGGGAAGGUCGAGUUGUCCGAGGGGCUGGACGCGCUUCCCGGGAAUGAUCCCAUGGAAGGGCGCAGCGCCGGCUCGGACGGAGGACAGAUCGACGCGCAGGAGCCCGAGGGUCUCGGUGUAGAUGAUGUUGAGGUCGCUGCCUCCGUCCAUGAGGACCUUGGUGAGCCUGACGUCACCGAUGACGGGGUGGACGACGAGCGGGUAUUUCCCCGGGCUCGGCACGUGGUCGGGGUGGUCGGCUUGGUCGAAGGUGAUGGGCUUGUCGGAUCAGUCUAGGUAGACUGGCGCCGCCACCUUCACCGAGCAGACCUCCCGGCGCUCUUGCUUGCGGUGCCGAGCCAAGGCAUUCCCCGCUUGCCCACCGUAGAUCAUGAAGCAGUCGCGGACCUCGGGGAACUCUCCUGCUUGGUGAUCUUCCUUCUUGUCGUCGUCGUGGGCCCUGCCACCCUCCGCGGGUGGCCCGGCCCUGUGGAAGUGGCGCCGAAGCAUGACGCACUCCUCAAGGGUGUGCUUGACGGGCCCCUGGUGAUAGGGGCACGACUCCUUGAGCAUCUUGUCGAAGAGGUUGGCACCUCCGGGGGGUUUCCGAGGGUUCUUGUACUCGGCGGCGGCGAUAAGGUCCGCGUCGGCGGCGUCGCGUUUCGCUUGCGACUUCUUCUUGCCUUUCUUCUUGGCGCCGCGCUGAGUCGACGCCUCGGGAGCAUCUUCCGAUGGGCGGCCCUGGGCUGCUUGUCCUUUCGGAAGAUAGCCUCGACCGCCUCCUGGCCGGAGGCAAACUUGGUGGCGAUGUCCAUCAGCUCGCUCGCCCUGGUGGGGGUCUUGCGACCCAACUUGCUCACCAGGUCGCGGCAGGUGGUGCCGGCAAGGAACGCGCCAAUGACAUCCGAGUCGGUGAUGUUGGGCAGCUCGGUGCGCUGCUUCGAGAAUCGCCGGAUGUAGUCCCGGAGAGACUCUCCCGGCUGCUGCCGGCAGCUUCGGAGGUCCCAGGAAUUCCCGAGGCGCACGUACGUGCCCUGGAAAUUGCCGGCGAAAGCUUGGACUAGGUCGUCCCAGUUGGAGAUCUGCCCCGGAGGCAGGUGCUCCAACCAGGCGCGAGCGGUGUCGGAGAGGAACAGGGGGAGGUUGCGGAUGAUGAGGUUGUCAUCGUUCGUUCCACCCAGUUGGCAGGCCAGACGGUAGUCCGCGAGCCACAGUUCCGGUCUCGUCUCCCCCGAGUACUUUGUGAUAGUAGUCGGGGGUCGGAACCGGGUCGGGAACGGUGCCCGUCGGAUGGCCCGGCUGAAGGCCUGCGGACGGGAUGGUUCGGGCGAGGGACUCCGAUCCUCCCCGCUGUCGUAGCGUCCCCCACGCCUGGGGUGGUAGCCUCGGUGCACCCUCUCGUCGAGGUGGGCUCGACGGUCGCGGUGAUGGUGCUCGUUGCCGAGGCAGCCCGGGGCCGCAGGCGCGGUGUUGCGCGUGCGCCCGGUGUAGACCGAGGCUUCCCGCAUGAAUCGGGAAGUCACGGCAUGCUGGAAGCCCUGGGGCAGAUGGCGUAUUUCUCCGGCCGGGGGUUGGCCCGCCCAUGCCUGCCUGACGUCCCGGCGGAUCGGCUCAAGCGCUCCUGCUCCCUCGUCGAGCCUGGCCUACACCCCGCGGAUUUGCUCGAGCUGUGGGUCAUGGCCCCCCGCCUGAACGGGGACCACAGCUAGCUCCCGUGGGAUGUCAACGCGGGGCACCGGCCUAGGGAGAUCACCAUCCUCCGGCAUGCCGAGAUGAUUGCCUUCGGAGGGACCCCCUAGAUCGACGUGGAAGCAUUCGCGGCUUGGGCCGCAGUCCUCGUCGCCGAGGCUGCGGCUACCGUCGGAACAGUCAUAGAGGCAGCAGUCACAUGCGGUCAUGAAGUCCCGCAUGGCACUGAUGUUGCCAAGUCCAGAGAAAUCCCAACAGAUGUUGGGCUCGUCGUCUUCCUCGGACCCAGAGGGCCCGUAGGUCGAGACGUCCGUUAGCCGGUCCCAAGGCGACCGCAUGCGAAACCCCAGAGGGUUUGGACUCGCCUCUACGAGAGCGCCCGCCAAAGCGAGGUCGCUAGGCGGGUUGAGGCUGAAUCCAAAUGACGUGGGAUGGGAAUCGGUCGGUACCUCUUGGUCGACGAGCAGCGAUAAAGUCACGUCGGGGACUGACUGCACCGUCGUCUCAGGUACGAGGGUGACGUCCAGCAAGCUUUUCGCGAGCGCGCUGGCGUUGUCCGCUUGCUCGGGAUUGGCGUGUCGCGGGGAGUCAGCGCCGUCUUCGUCUCAAGCACGAAGUCGAUACCCGGUGCGCCCCCCGUUGGGGUGCCGGAACUGUCGACUCGCUCGACAGCCGACGAGGCGCUGCCUCCUGCUUGGCCUUGGUCGCCCUGCCUUCCCCUCCGUCGGCGGGGGAAAGGGCAGGAUGAGCUCGAAGGUUGUUCUUCCACCACGCGGGGAAGACGUCAUCGAUUCCGCCGCCGGCGGGCGGGCUGUCGGCCGCCAUUGUCGUUGUCGCGCGGCGGUGGAAGGAGUAUCAUGUCGUAGCUGCCGUCGAAGGACAUGAACUCAAGACUCCCGAAAUGGAGCACCGUCCCGGGUUGGAGAGGUUGCUGGAGACUGCCCAUCUGGAGCUUGACGGGACGCUGUUCGUCAACACGCAGCAGGCCCCUACCUGGCGCGCCAACUGUCGGCGUUUCGAGACCGGGGGGGUCCCUGGGCCGACGAGUGAAUGUCGUCGCGUGCCCCAUCCCAGAUGGGUCGAGCGCGAGGGCAAGCGCGAAGGGGGGAGAGCGAGGCGGCCGGAGACCGGCGUGAGAGAUGUGGGAAUCCCGCGGCCUUCGUGUUCGUCCCGCGCCCAGGUCGGGUGCGCUUGCAGUAGGGGGGUACAAGCGUCCACGCGGGAGAGGGAGCGAGCGGCUCCAAGCGAGCGCCUGUCUCGUCCUCGUCCCCGCGCGGCCAACCCUCUCUAAGAGGGCCCUGGUCCUUCCUUUUAUAGGUGUAAGGAGAGGAUCCAGGUGUACAAUGGGGGGUGUAGCAGAGUGCUACGUGUCUAGCGGAGGAGAGCUAGCGCCCUAAGUACAUGCCGUUGUGGCAGCCGGAGAGAUUUUGGCACCCAGCUGGUGUGAUGUCGUGGCCGUCGGAGGAGCGAUGGAGCCUGGCGGAGGGACAGCUGUCGGAGCGGUCGAGUCCUUGCUGACGUCCUCUUGCUUCCGUAAGGGGGCUGAGAGCCGCCGUCGUCACAGAGUACGUGGGGCGCCAUCAUUGCCUGUCUGGCGGAGCUAGCCAGAUGGGACGCCGAUCUUGUUCCCUGCGGCCCGAGUCAGCUCGGGGUAGGGUGAUGAUGGCGCCUCCUGUUGACGUGGCUGGUCUGCGCCCUAGGUUGGGUGAUGUGGAAGCUCCUCCGAAGCCGAGGUCGAGUCUGUCUUCCGUGGUCGAGGUCGAGUCCGAGCCCCUGGGUCGGGCGAGGCGGAGUUCGUCGUCUUCUGGGGCUGAGCCCAAGUCCGAGCCCUGGGUCGGGCGGAGCGGAGUUCUCCGUCUUUCGGGGCUGAGCCCGAGUCCGAGCCCUGGGUCGGGCGGAGCGGAGAUCGCCGUCUUCCGGGGCUGAGCCCGAGUCCGAGCCCUGGGUCGGGUGGAGCGGAGUUCGCCGUCUUCCGGGACUUAGCCCGAGUCCGAGCCCUGGGUCGGGCGGAGCGGAGAUCGCCGUCUUCCGGGGCUGAGCCCGAGUCCGAGCCCUGGGUCGAGCGGAGCGGAGUUCGCCGUCUUCCGGGACUUAGCCUGAGUCCGACCCUGGGUCGGGCGGAGCAGAGCUUCCUAUGAUGCCUUCGGCAGGGCCUGACUGCCUGUCAGUUUCACUCUGUCAAGUGGCACCGCAGUCGGUGCGGUGCAGGUGGCGCUGUCGUCCUGUCAGGUCGGUCAGUGGAGCGGCGAAGUGACGGCGGUCACUUCGGCUCUGCCGGCUGGGGGGCGCGCGUCAGGAUAAAGGUGUCAGGCCACCUUCGCAUUAAAUGCUCCUGUGAUUUGGUCGGUUGGUGCGGCGAUUUGGUCAGGGUUGCUUCUUAGCGAAGGCAGGGCCUCGGGCGAGCCGAAAAUAUGUUCGCCGUUGGAGGGGGGCCUCGGGCGAGACGGAAAUCCUCCGGGGUCGGCUGCCCUUGUCCGAGGCUAGGCUCGGGGCGAGGCGUGAUCGAGUCGCUCGAAUGGACUGAUCCCUGACUUAAUCGCACCCAUCAGGCCUUUGCAGCUUUAUGCUGAUGGGGUUUACCAGCUGAGAAUUAGGAGCCUUGAGGGUACCCCUAAUUAUGGUCCCCGACACUAAUACUCAGCUAGACUUACCCGGUGUGAGGAGUCUACUCCUCUACCUCUAGACAUGCAGCUGUUUGGCUGUGGGGUUUGGUUGCCAAAAGCACUAGCUGAGUUUCUAAGUCAAGUUUUAACUUUGUCAAAUUAAGUGUGACUCUCUUAAGGCUAAAAGUGUACUAUCUACUCAUACAUGGUAGCAAGCAUUAUUAGCAAUCAACAGCUUGUAUCAACUCAUCAUAUUUCCACUUGUUACUCAAUGCAGUACAAUGGAUCAAGCAGUCUCAUUAGCUGCGAGAAGCAGACGAUUCGAAUCGAGUUUUUAUCCUUGCAAGGUAAACCUAAACACACGACAUGUAGGGGCACUCCGUCCCCACACACAUCAACCGUCCCCAUCGAUUCCCUGUCAGCAGAACAGGGCUCACCGCCUUGGCGUACAAUGCCUCACUGACCCCGACUGCCGUCGUGCAGUGACCGCACUUGUACCCACCAUAACCGGAAUGGGAGACCACGUCUCAGGUCGCGUGAGGGGCAAAGUCUACUGCUAGGUUCAAUCAGGUACUAGGCUUACCGAUUUACCAUAUUUCUCGGCAUGUGCUUAGUACGUUCAAUCGCUUGACACAGGUAUCCGCACGUUAAUCCUUAUUCCAAUUUCACCUCGCAGACCACGCAUCCCCAUGGAUCCGUGUCCACCAACCAACUAUCAAUAUGAUAUGAAAAGUGGGUACAACCAAUUCCUGAUCUCCUGCGAGUGCUAGAAAAAUCACUCGUCUUCUACCGAGAUCCUAAUUCAAUAAAGCAACUACUCGACCUAGCAUAUUAGUAUCCAUCUCAAAAGGAUUCCUGAGAUCAUGCAAGUAGGGUUUCAAACAAUUCCUACACCUAAGUGCACAAUCAAUCCUACAAUCAUUAAGUGAAGUAAAAUAGCAUAAAUAACAGGUUAUGCAUAAACCGGGGCUUGCCUUCCAAAGCAGUGGCAGACAGGUCCUCUAGUGCAGGCUCUGGUGCUGGAUCUGGGGCUACCUCCUGAGCAGCUCCUUGCUCCGGCACGAGGACGUACUCUCCGUCAGCAAGGUUACAGUCUAUCGAAAUGCAAUGAACAUGUAUGUCAUGAUUAUGCAGGAUUAAUAACAUUAUGCUAAAAAGAAAGCUAAGUUAAAUAGUAACUUAGGGUUUCUUAGUCAUGCGGGUCUUCCAGUGGGUUAUGCUUAUUACUUUUAGGCUUAGGUUUUCAUUGAGGAUAACCUAGUGGAUUUGUAUUGUCUUUAUACAUUUCAUUGGACAAAUUACAAGGGUUUUAGGAUGACACUAAUUACCAUUCUUCAUUUUCCUUUCUUUAAUUUCUCCUUAGGGUUUCUAGUGUAGGUUUGAACUAUGACAGUGGUUUAAUAUUUUCCAAAAAUUCUGUAAAAAUUACAGUGGGUUGCCAUCUGCUAUUCUAGCCUGUUUUCAGAAUUUGAGGCUUAAAACAUAAAGGCUAUGCUUUAGACAAAAAUAACAAGAGUUGUGUAAAAGGGGCCACUUUACAUUACAUCUCUUAAUUAGGGGUGAGUUCUGCCCUAAGGGUUAUUUUUGUUGGCAUCUAACAGUAAUAAUAGGCUUCUGUGCAAAAAAUCACAGCAAGCUAAGGGGUGGUUAUUUAGUUAUGAUUUUCUAAAGUUUAAUGUCAAAAAGGCACUUUCUACUACAUUGUUAUUUGAAAAAUGCCAAACAGCAGAUUUCAUAUUUUUUCUAAGUUUUUAAUAACAAAAAAUUAACUAUCCCAAGGAUGGGGGUGUUUUUACCUUGGGGUUAUUUUUGUAGGGUUUUUCUAUGGAGGCCAUUUUCUUACUAAGACAACUUAUGGAGAGAUUCAGAGAACAAAAGAAAGACCUGCUUAUGGUCUUCAUAGACUUGGAGAAGGCUUAUGACAAAGUACCUAGGAGUGUAAUGUGGUGGGCCUUGGAAAAACACAAAGUAGCAACAAAGUACAUUAAUCUUAUUAAAGAUAUGUACACUAAUGUUGUGACAAGUGUCCGAACAAGUGAUGGAGACACCGAUGACUUUCCAAUUAACAUAGGACUACAUCAAGGGUCGGCUUUGAGCCCUUAUCUUUUCGCUUUGGUGAUAGAUGAGGUCACAAGGGACAUACAAGGAGUUUUACCGUGGUGUAUGCUUUUUGCCGAUGAUGUGGUACUUAUUGAGGAGAGUAGGAGUGGUGUUUCUCAAAAGUUGGAAUUGUGGAGGCAGACGCUGGAAGCAAAAGGUUUUAGGCUUAGUAGGUCUAAAACAGAGUAUAUGAAGUGUGAUUUCAGUGCCAUGGGGUAUGAGGAUGGCGAUGUUAGUCUUGAUGGGCAAGUGGUACCCAAGAAAGACACUUUUCGUUACUUAGGAUCAAUGCUUCAAAAGGAGGGAGACAUCGAUGAGGAUGUCAGUCAUAGAAUUAAAGCCGGAUGGUUGAAGUGGCGACAAGCUGCGGGUGUCUUAUGCGACCACCGGGUGCCACGCAAACUAAAAGGCAAAUUCUACAGGACAGCAAUCCGGCCGGCUAUGUUGUAUGGAGCAGAAUGUUGGCCCACUAAAAGACGACAUGUCCAACAACUAAGUGUGGCAGAGAUGCGUAUGUUGCGCUGGAUAUGUGGCCACACAAGGAGAGAUCGAGUCCGGAAUGAUGAUAUACGAGAGAGAGUAGGAGUGGCGCCAAUUGAGGAGAAGCUUAUGCAACAUCGCUUGAGAUGGUUUGGACAUAUCCAACGAAGACCUGAAGAGGCACCAGUGCAUAUCGGAAUAAUUAGGCGUCCCGAAAAUGUGAAGAGAGGUAGAGGUCGACCAACUUUGACGUGGACAGAGGCUGUGAAGAGAGACCUGAAGGAGUGGAAUAUUGACAAAGAGCUCGCCGCAGAUAGGAAGGGGUGGAAGUGUGCAAUUCACGUGCCAGAACCCUGAUUGAUAGUUUCGCUUUUCCUCCUUAAUCGUUUGACCUUUUUCUUGUGUCCAUUUUAGAUCUUGCUGGUCCUUGUGGGUUUUAUCUCUUUUAUGUGUUUCCCCGUUUCGUUGUUUUCGGUUCUCCUUUGCCUUUGUUUCCCUUUUCUGUUCUUUGGGGGUUGAGCUCUGAGGUUUUCAUACGGGGUUUCAUCUCUAGCCUACCCCAACGUGCUUGGGACAAAAAGGCUUUGUUGUUGUUGUUGUUGUUGUUGUUUUCUAAGUUUUCAUUGUUUUAUUCAAAUAAAAGGUAUCCCACUUAUUUUAUACUCAACCAGGGUAUGAUAGAUUUUUCCAGUGAACUAUAUUGAAUAAGUAUCCUAACAAAAAUAGGGGUGCCCUCUGGUUCAUUAUUUGAAUCACCUUUUCUAUUUUUCUUAUCCUUAAGCAUAUUAUAGAAUAAGGGGUAAAAACUAACUUAAUGGAGUGGACAGAGAGGUUUAACAUUUUUAAACAGGUCAGUAGGUAGAUUUAAACUUCCCCAAAUUUUUCUAAUCCUAGUCAAAUAGUACAACUAUUUUUUCUUUCUAUUAUUGAGCUUUUGGCCAAAACUAUACUUAAAUAAGAACCUUAUAGUUUUCUACAGUACAUAGGGGUUUUGUAUUUUUCUUAAGCAGGUUACAUUAUUUAGAGUCUGACAAAAUUGGUUUGACCAAAUUUGGAUGAACUAAACAGAAGUUAUGAAUUUUUAAAGCUUCUGUUCAAUUUAAAAACAAAGAUUGAAUAAGAGUUUCCUGGAAAAACAGUUUACACUGAGGCCCCUGGGUUUAGACUAAAUCAACUCGCACAAAUCUACCCCUGCGCCACUGUUCCCUUGGGUCGCUGACAGUUCAAAAAGCCCCCUGACCUUCUCUUCCUCUCACCCGCAGUCCUUCCCCCAAUGUAAACAGUACCCGCGGGAAAGAAAAGGGUGGCGCGGCUUACCGGCGGUGAGAUAGGUCCAGCGAAGGGCAGGGUUGGCUCGGGGAGGCUCUGGCGGUCACAGCGAGGUGCGGCUCGACGGCGGGGAUGGCCGGAAUCGCUCGGUCCACGUGCGCAGGCGGGUGUUCUCAUCGGCGGCGAGUGUACCGGCCAAACCACGGCGAUCUGGUUCAAUCCAAGGGCACGGUGAGCUUCCUGGGGUGACGUAUAGGCUAUCUGUGCAGUGAAUCGAGAAAUGGCUCAGUGAUUUACCCGGUCCACGCACUCCGGCGGGGUUGUGAACUCCGGCGGGGUUGUGAACUCCGGCGACCGUGGACUGGCCUCUCCGGCGAAGUAGGCUUCGAUUCCUCGCCCGGGGAGCUUCACCGAGGUGUGCUUACUCGUCUCAGAGGGUUGGAUGGGGCUGGGGAAAGCUGGACUGGCCGGUCUACGACGGCAGUGGCUCGGGUGGCCGCGGACACGCCGCGCACGAGCAAACGGCGGUGAACUGAGCUCCGGUGAGGUUUGAGCGUGCGCGGAAGAGUGUAACCGACGCCUGGGUGGGCUUUAUAGGCGCGAGCGCGGGACAGGGCGCCGGCUGGCCGUUGGCGCGACGCGGGGCACGCGGGGGCGCGCGCGGGCGUGCUCUGGCGAGCUCAGAGCACGUCGAACACGUGGCUCGUUGCUUCUGCCCGUGUUCUUCCCUCUGCUGAGCGGCCAAAACGUACGAAUCUUACCCUAUCGCCUGUGGGAGAUCUCUUCCCUGCACCUAGAGCUACCUAGUUCAUGUGAGUUCCAAGAGUAGAUGUGGUCGGGUUAGAGAGAUAUGAGGGUGGGAAGUCGGCUGUGUCAGACAGGUCCAAACCGAGACAAAAAUGGUGCGAAGUCAUGUCAAACGUCCUAGGGUAGGUGUCACCUCUUUCCAGGGCAUUCUAGGGUUAAUUUGGCGCCACUUUGUCAAUUGGGUCGAAGUGUUUUGAAUUUUGGAUUAAGGUGAACAUGUGGGAUCUUUGCUCAAGGGUUAGUUUUUAUACUUAGGCAAAUUCUGAUUUUUUCCCUUGUGCUCAACAUUUGGUGAACUUUUUGGGACUUUUCUGAAAUCGUUUUGGGGGUACUUUCUUACUAUUAUUUGUAGGUUAUGAAGCAUACUACAACUUUUAUAUUUGGCCCAAGCCAUGAUCAUAAGGUGUACAUGACCUUUUGAUCCUAGCUUCAAUUAGGGUUCCUAUUGCUCAAGGAGGGUUUGCUUUAGGGUUUUGGGAAAUCCCCCCCCUUAGAUGUGCAUGAAAAGCUAGGGCAUGAUAUCCAAGAUGGUUUGCACUUGCUUAGGACCUUGAAUUCCAUGUUUGAUGUACUUUGCCCAAAUCAAUCCUCAUGUGAUAAUAGGUUAAAAGGGGUAGCCCUGGGUGGACACCCUGAGUAACACCUGGGGUGUUACAGCCCUCCCCCCUUAAAGGAAUCUCGUCCCGAGAUUUUAGGUAUAGUCCCUUGGAGGGGUGCUUGAAGGUGUGCUACUUUUUCUCUUACUCAAGUUUCUCUGGUUAUCUGCUCUUCGAAUGUCAUUCUCUUUCCAACUUCAGAAGGAAGCCCUUUUUAAGUUAAGUCCACAACUUAGACUAUCCUUGUUACCUAAGCUUUUCUUAUAAUUGAAUUCAAAGGGCAGGUGGGGGUGGGGUUUUGGGGUUACGUACCGACUCCUUUGGGUAGAAAGUCGGGGAAAUGAGAGCGCAGAAAAUCCUCAGUCUCCCAUGUGGCUUCUUCUGCUGAAUGGUGACUCCACUGAACCUUAUACAUUCUGACCGACCUUGCCCGAGUUGAUCUCUCCUUUUGAUCUAAUACCUUGACGGGGUACUCUUGGUAGGACAAGUCUGGUUCUAUCUUAAUAUCUGGUUCUGGCAGCACUUCAGUGGGUAGACGAACACAUUUCCGCAGCUGAGAUACAUGGAACACAUUGUGAACUGCUGACAUGUGAGGUGGCAAUUCCAACUGAUAGGCUACAGGUCCACAACUUGCUUUGAUUUCAUAGGGUCCAAUGUAGCGAGGAGCUAACUUGCCCUUGAUCCCGAAUCUCUCGACACCCUUGGUGGGUGACACUUUAAGAUAAACAUGAUCUCCCACCUCAAACUGUAGAGGCUUCCGCCUCUUAUCAUGAUAGCUCUUUUGCCUGGCCUGAGCAGCUUCUAGGUUCUUCUUGAUGAUCCUGACCUUUGCCUCUGCUUCAAGUACCAAGUCUGGCCCAAAAAUUUCCCUCUCUCCUGCUUGAGACCAAUUCGGUGGGGUCCUACACCUUCUCCCAUAUAAGGCUUCAAAAGGUGCCAUCUUCAGACUGGACUGAUAGCUGUUAUUAUAGGAAAACUCUGCCAAAGAAAGACACUUGUCCCAAUCCUUCCCGUAGUGUAGUGCACAUGCUCGCAACAUGUCUUCCAGAACCUGAUUCACCCUUUCUGUCUGACCAUCUGUUUGGGGAUGGUACGCUGAGCUUCGUAUUACUUGGGUCCCAAGUGGUUCUUGCAGCUGUUCCCAAAAGCGUGCCACAAACAGUGCUCCUCUGUCAGAUAUGAUGGUCUUUGGAAUACCAUGUAAUCGCACUAUUUGAUCAACAUAAAUUUCUGCAUACUUCUCCGCCUUGUGGGUGGUGUGCACUGGCAAGAAAUGAGCGGUCUUGGUCAACCUGUCCACAAUAACCCAAACGGAGUCAUGGUGCCUGGAGGUAUUGGGCAAUCCUACGAUGAAAUCCAUGCAAAUGUCCUCCCAUUUCCAAGAUGGUAUGGGAAGGGGUUGCAAAGGACCCGCUGUCUUCAAGUGACUAGCCUUGAUUCUCUGGCAGGUGUCACACUCGGAGAUGUACUUGGCAAUUUCCCUCUUCAUUCUGGUCCACCAAUAUAAAGUUCUGAGAUCAUGGUACAUCUUGUUGCUACCAGGGUGCAUGGAGAAUUUGGAAAGGUGAGCUUCAUCCAAUAUCCUCUUUCUGAGCUCAGGGUCCUUGGGAACAACCAAUCGGUCUCCAAACCAUAAAAUUCCCUUGUUGUCCUGACGGAAGCACUUGUAUUUCUCUGCCUUUUGCUUGAUCAUUUCCUUAAUCAUUUGAACACCCUUAUCCUCAAUCUGUGCCCUCACUAUUUGCUCUUGCAAUGUGGGUUCCACCGAGAUAUAACUCAAGUCACCUGAAGAAACAACUUCCAGGUUCAGCUUGCACAGCUCAUCGCACAGGGUGGUAACUCUUGUAUCCAUGCUUAUACAAUUGCACUGGGCCUUUCUGCUCAAGGCAUCUGCCACAACAUUGGCUUUGCCAGGAUGGUAAUGCACUUCCAAAUCAUAGUCCUUGAUUAACUCCAACCAUCUCCUUUGCCUCAUGUUCAGAUCUGCCUGAGUGAAGAUGUAUUUGAGACUCUUGUGAUCAGUAUAGAUGUUACAGUGAGCUCCCAUCAAAUAUUGUCUCCAUAUCUUAAGAGCAUGAACCACAGCUGCCAACUCCAGGUCAUGUGUAGGGUAGUUCUGCUCAUGGGGCCUGAGGGCUCGGGAAGCAUAAGCAAUGACUCUGUUCUCUUGCAUCAAGACACAUCCCAAUCCUGUACCAGAAGCAUCACAAUAAACUUCAAAUGGCUUGGUGUUGUCAGGUUGAGCCAGCACUGGGGCUGUUGUCAAAUGCUGCCUCAAAGUAUGAAAGGCAUCUUCACACUUUUGGCUCCAAUCAUACUUGACUCCUUUCUUCAACAAUUUAGUCAUUGGUUUGGCAAUCCUGGAGAAAUCCGGAAUAAAUCGUCGAUAAUACCCUGCCAAUCCCAGAAAACUCUGAAUUUGCUUCACUGUAGUCGGGGGUUUCCAAUCCAUCACCUCUUGCACCUUCUCAGGAUCAACUGAUAUCCCAUCCUGAGAAAUUGUGUGACCCAAAAAUUUGAUCUCCUUUAGCCAGAAUUCGCAUUUAGACAACUUAGCAUAAAGACGAUGAUCGCGCAGUCGCUAGAGCACGAUGUGCAGGUCCUCAGCAUGUUCGUCUUCAUUCUUGGAAUAGACCUUAAUAUCAUCAAUGAAAACGACCAUGAACUUAUCCAACUCUGGCAUAAACACUGAGUUCAUCAGGUACAUGAAAUAAGCCGGGGCAUUGGUCAGCCCAAAAGACAUCACCAAAAACUCAUACAACCCAUAUCUGGUUGAGAAGGCCGUCUUGGGAAUAUCGCUGGCACGGAUCUUGAUCUGAUGGUAACCUGAGCGAAGGUCUAUCUUGGAGAAUACCUUGGCUCCCACUAGCUGAUCAAACAGAACAUCAAUACGGGGCAGCGGGUAUUUGUUCUUGAUUGUCACCGCAUUGAGAGGGCGGUAGUCAACACACAUCCUCAAACUUUCAUCCUUUUUCUUCACAAAUAAUGCUGGACAUCCCCAUGGUGAAGUACUUGGGCAAAUAAACCCCUUGUCCAACAACUCUUGCAAUUGCUUCUUCAAUUCUGCCAAUUCCGCGGGAGGCAUCCUAUAAGGUCUCUUGGAGAUAGGAGCAGUCCCGGGUUGUAACUCGAUUGCGAACUCAAUGUCUCGGUCUGGUGGCAUCCCUGGCAACUCAUCCGGAAACACAUCCGGGUAGUCACGGACCACUGGGAUCUUUUCCACUGGGGACUCUAUCAUAACGAAGGCACAAGAACGGGUACAACCCUGGUCGGGCAGAUAUAAGGUAAUCUCGCCAUCCAAAGGAGAGUGGAUUUCUAUGGCUCUGGCUGCAACAUCAAUCACCGCGUGGUGCCAUGAUAACCAAUCAGUCCCUAAGAUGAUAUCCACACUAUCCAAUCCCACUAUUAAGAGAGUGGUUUUGAAAAUGAAACUACCCAGCUUAAUUGGUACGUGUAUAUUGAUCUGAUAGGUGGCAACCCUGCCUCCUGGUGUUGAGAUUGUAAUGCCCCCAUUGGUGUGGUGAAAAGGCAAUUGACACUUGGCACUAAAUUUGGUACUGAUAAAACUGUGUGAUGCACCAGAAUCAAAAAGAACAAUAGCAGGAUAAUUCAAAACUGUAAAGAUACCAGUCAAGAUGGGUGCUCCCUCUGGAAUAUCGGCCAUGGUGGUGAAGUUUAGCCUGCCCUGCCUCACUUGCACCUUCUGCCUCUUGCCUUGGUUCUGAUUAACAUUCUGCCCCUGCCUCUGCUGGUUCCUGGGGCAAUUUUUGGCAUAAUGUCCGGUGUUGCCACAUGUGAAACACUUGUUAUCAUUUGCCUGGCGGUACUGCUGCUGCUGCUGGUUGUUCCUCUGAGCUGGAAACUGGGUACGGUUGGGUGCCUGCUGCUGCUGCUGUGGUCGGAUCACCCAUCUUCCUUGCUGCUGCUGGGGUCCCCUGUUUUGUGUGUCGGACACAAUCCUGAAGCGUUGUGGCUGAGCUGAGGGUCCUGCCACAGGGGUCUUCCUCUUCUUUUCUGCCUGUCGAGCUGUAAUGCAGUCCUCCUGGGAGAUAGCCAUGUUGACCAACUCAUUGUAGCUGUUGGCCCUGACGGUGUUGAGACGCUCACGGAGCUUAGUGCUGAGCCCCCUCCUGAACCUGUCUCUCUUCUUCUCAUCCGUGUCUGCGUGAUAUCCAGCAUACUGGCACAAGUCAUUAAAAGCCUGGGCAUACUGCAACACUGUCAUGUUGCCCUGAGUGAGUGCUAGAAACUCGUUGAGCUUUCGGUCCAUAAUCCCGGCUGGUAUGUGGUGUCCUCUGAAAGCUGCCUUGAACUCCCUCCAUUCCACCUCUCGAUCUUCUGGCUGCAUGGCAAGAAAAUGGUCCCACCAAGUCCUUGCGGGUCCGCGAAGCUGCUGGGUGGCGAACCUGACUUUAGUGACCUCUGAGCAAGCUCCAUGGAGUAGCGGGAAUUUGGAUUCCACCACUCGCAACCACACAUCUGCGUCAAGUGGGUCCUCUGCCCUUGUGAACAAUGGGGGCUGAGUACUGAGGAACUCCUGGUAGGUAGCUGCCGCGGGGUGACGCUGAUGGUCUCCGCCACCAUAGUGCUGAGGUGGUGGCUGACGCUGAGCUAGCUGCCCCAAGAUCUCAUUCUGCUGAGCCAUCAGCUCCUGCAGAGUGGGAGGCGGUGGCGGCGGUGGAGGGACGCGCUCAUUCUGGCCACGACGCUGCCUCCCGGCCAUCUGAAAAACCACAUAUAUACUUAACACCAUAACUCCAAGUUUAAGGCUUAAUCGCGGCGAAAAGAGUUAAAAGCAAAAUGAUAGAUUCCAACUUAAACCGAAAGGAUUUAAAAAGGCAUAAAUUUUUCCUUCCAAAUUCAAAACUGAUAACAGCAUCAAACAUGCUUCCAAGAGGGUUUGUCACGAUUACAUCAAUUGUCCCAAAAAGACUCAACUCUAUCUAGCCUAGUACCCCAAGGGUGCAAAAGCUAAGCUAGCUGCGAGGAGUUCUACCAUCCGACUUCUAACUCUGUCCUGAACCCUAGUGAGCGAACGAGGCAACACUCGACUCGGGGGAAGGUGGUCUCCCUGAGCCAGCAGUGUCCACACUAGAGGCAGGCUCCUCUCCUCCCUCGAUGUCGACGUCCUCGUUGGCCUCCAGGUCCUGGAUCUCCUGGUGAUGCAUAUCCAGGUGCUCAUUAGCCUCAGCAAGCUGUUGCUGGGUGUUAAUGAGCUGAUCCUCGAGAACCUCGAUGGUGUUCUCCCUGGUGCCCACUAGUUCCUCCAACUCUUGGAUAUCAGUGGAUAGCUGCUCCACCUGCAAGUCCUUCUCCACCAUUUCAGUAGACAAAUCAACCACAAGCUCCUCCCUGUUGUCCAGCGUAAUCUUUGUCGCCUCCAAUAGUGCCAUCAGAUGGGACAUCGCCUCGCCGCGCAUCACUUGCAGACGGUACAGAGCAUUCAUGCAACGUACUGUCAAGUGCGCAGUCUGUCCUGGGUAGAUGGCCCAGAUAUCCUUGGUAUGCUCCACCCGAUCCUUCCACAUUGGGUCGUCCUCCCUUUCGGCGGGGAACAAGCCAAUGGGGUGGGUAGCCAGCUCCAAAGGAUGGAAUCCGCAGAAAGUGGUCAACCCGUGUAGAGCGAUCGCCUCGAUCGUGUCCUCAGCUCGAUCUCCAAAAGACUCGGAGUCCAACGAGUGCCAGCCUGGCUGCAGGGGAUGAGGCUCCAAGGUCAUCCUCACCCUACAGCGGGGUACUCGGUGCUUCUCGAACUGCUGCACCGCGUACUGAGGGGGUGUCGUGUAUCCAGCCCCCUGAAGUACCUCCCACAAAAUGCGGGGAAAGCCCUCUCGUGCAAGUCCGUCAGUGUGGGACAGUGCAUUUCCGUCCUCUGAGGAUCCGUGGGAAGUCAUCUGUGUACGGUUAAGCGUAAGUAAAAGAAAAAGAAUUAUAAAAAGAACAAGAAAAAAUAAAACUCUGCCUUUCUCUAGUUAAAUAAAUAAUAAAAAUAAAAAAAUACUGGGGACCUAGUUGGUUAUCAUUUUGUAAUUAGGUCCUCACUUAAUUUUUCAUUUGUUAAAUUUUAAGAAUGCAUGCAUGCUCGUCCUGAACGACCUCACAACAAGAUAGAAGGAAUAGGGAAGAACUCCCAUCCUGUAAAAGUGGCCUGUAGGGCCUAAUUACUUAGCCACCUAGCUACCCUUCUAUCAUCCUAAGGCUUCACGUCCUAGGUCUAUCCUGCUCGUCCUACUAUCUAUCCAACAUUGUUCCUAUCAAGUUUUAUUUUGGAAAAAUGAUGGUAUUCACAUUUUAUUGAUUCCUCUGUGGUGGUACAAGCUCCGAUACCAGCUGUGGCGGAACUGCCCGAAUUAUUUCAACUUAAGUGCCUAAGUCCCGCCUUAGAGGCUAGACCACACUUAAAUGGGAAUAACCCAUCAAUCCCUCGGAUCUAGUCCGACACGGCCACUGACAGGAUCAAGUACCACAAUCUCACUCGAUGGUGAGUCACAGAGCAAAUACAAUAAAGCAUAAAACCAUGCAUUAAGGAGUAUUAAAUUAUUACAUCAUCAUCGGAGUUUUGCAAAAGUAGUCAUCAUUGUUUGAAGUACAGCGGAAAUAAACUAACGAUAAAUAAAUAGAGAGAUGGGGAAGCCUGUCCCAUCACUCCUCACGCUCCUCCUCAGCCGAGGCAGUGUCCCACUCGACAGUCCAACCCGGUGGCAAGAUGGACGGCCAAGUCACUCCAGCAACCAUGUCCUCCAGAGAACCUGUAAAAUUAUGCCACGAGCAAGGCUGAGUAUACUAAUACUCAGCUAGACUUACCCGGUGUGAGGAGUCUACUCUUCUACCUCUAGACAUGCAGCUGUUUGGCUGUGGGGUUUGGUUGCCAAAAGCACUAGCUGAGUUUCUAAGUCAAGUUUUAACUUUGUCAAAUUAAGUGUGACUCUCUUAAGGCUAAAAGUGUACUAUCUACUCAUACAGGGUAGCAAGCAUUAUUAGCAAUCAACAACUUAUAUCAACUCAUCAUAUUUCCACUUGUUACUCAAUGUAGUACAAUGGAUCAAGCAGUCUCAUUAGCUGCGAGAAGCAGACGAUUCGAAUCGAGUUUUUAUCCUUGCAAGGUAAACCUAAACACACGACAUGUAGGGGCACUCCGUCCCCACACACAUCAACCGUCCCCAUCGAUUCCCUGUCAGCAGAACAGGGCUCACCGCCUUGGCGUACAAUGCCUCACUGACCCCGACUGCCGUCGUGCAGUGACCGCACUUGUACCCACCAUAACCGGAAUGGGAGACCAUGUCUCAGGUCGCGUGAGGGGCAAAGUCUACUGCCAGGUUCAAUCAGGUACUAGGCUUACCGAUUUACCAUAUUUCUCGGCAUGUGCUUAGUACGUUCAAUCGCUUGACACAGGUAUCCGCACGUUAAUCCUUAUUCCAAUUUCACCUCGCAGACCACGCAUCCCCAUGGAUCCGUGUCCACCAACCAACUAUCAAUAUGAUAUGAAAAGUGGGUACAACCAAUUCCUGAUCUCGCGCGAGUGCUAGAAAUAUCACUCGUCUUCUACCGAGAUCCUAAUUCAAUAAAGCAACUACUCGACCUAGCAUAUUAGUAUCCAUCUCAAAAGGAUUCCUGAGAUCAUGCAACUAGGGUUUCAAACAAUUCCUACACCUAAGUGCACAAUCAAUCCUACAAUCAUUAAGUGAAGUAAAAUAGCAUAAAUAACAGGUUAUGCAUAAACCGGGGCUUGCCUUCCAAAGCAGUGGCAGACAGGUCCUCUGGUGCAGGCUCUGGUGCUGGAUCUAGGGCUACCUCCUGAGCAGCUCCUUGCUCCGGCACGAGGACGUACUCUCUGUCAGCAAGGUUACAGUCUAUCGAAAUGCAAUGAACAUGUAUGUCAUGAUUAUGCAGGAUUAAUAACAUUAUGCUAAAAAGAAAGCUAAGUUAAAUAGUAACUUAGGGUUUCUUAGUCAUGCGGGUCUUCCAGUGGGUUAUGCUUAUUACUUUUAGGCUUAGGUUUUCAUUGAGGAUAACAUAGUGGAUUUGUAUUGUCUUUAUACAUUUCAGUGGACAAAUUACAAGGGUUUUAGGAUGACACUAAUUACCAUUCUUCAUUUUCCUUUCUUUAAUUUCUCCUUAGGGUUUCUAGUGUAGGUUUGAACUAUGACAGUGGUUUAAUAUUUUCCAAAAAUUCUGUAAAAAUUACAGUGGGUUGCCAUCUGCUAUUCUAGCCUGUUUUCAGAAUUUGAGGCUUAAAACAUAAAGGCUAUGCUUUAGACAAAAAUAACAAGAGUUGUGUAAAAGGGGCCACUUUACAUUACAUCUCUUAAUUAGGGGUGAGUUAUGCCCUAAGGGUUAUUUUUGUUGGCAUCUAACAGUAAUAAUAGGCUUCUGUGCAAAAAAUCACAGAAAGCUAAGGGGUGGUUAUUUAGUUAUGAUUUUCUAAAGUUUAAUGUCAAAAAGGCACUUUCUACUACAUUGUUAUUUGAAAAAUGCCAAACAGCAGAUUUCAUAUUUUUCCUACGUUCUUAAUAACAAAACAUUAACUAUCCCAAGGGUGGGGGUGUUUUUACCUUGGGGUUAUUUUUGUAGGGUUUUUCUAAGUUUUCAUUGUUUUAUUCAAAUAAAAGGUAUCCCACUUAUUUUAUACUCAACCAGGGUAUGAUAGAUUUUUCCAGUGAACUAUAUUGAAUAAGUAUCCCACCAAAAAUAGGGGUGCCCUCUGGUUCAUUAUUUGAAUCACCUUUUCUAUUUUUCUUAUCCUUAAGCAUAUUAUAGAAUAAGGGGUAAAAACUAACUUAAUGGAGUGGACAGAGAGGUUUAACAUUUUUAAACAGGUCAGUAGGUAGAUUUAAACUUCCCCAAACUUUUCUAACCCUAGUCAAAUAGUACAACUAUUUUUUCUUUCUAUUAUUGAGCUUUUGGCCAAAACUAAACUUAAAUCAGAACCUUAUAGUUUUCUACAGUACAUAGGGGUAUUGUAUUUUUCUUAAGUAGGUUACAUUAUUUAGAGUCUGACAAAAUUUGUUUGACCAAAUUUGGAUGAACUAAACAGAAGUUAUGAAUUUUUAAAGCUUCUGUUCAAUUUAAAAAAAAGAUUUAAUAAGAGUUUCCUGGAAAAACAGUUUACACCGAGGCCCCUGGGUUUAGACUAAAUCAACUCGCACAAAUCUACCCCUGCGCCACUGUUCCCUUGGGUCGCUGACAGUUCAAAAGCCCCUGACCUUCUCUUCCUCACCCGCAGUCCUUCCCCCAAUGUAAACAGUACCCGCGGGAAAGAAAAGGGUGGCACGGCUUACCGGCGGCGAGAUAGGUCCGGCGAAGGGCAGGGUUGGCUCGGGGAGGCUCUGGCGGUCACAGCGAGGUGCGGCUCGACGGCGGGGAUGGCCGGAAUCGCUCGGUCCACGUGCGCAGGCGGGUGUUCUCGUCGGCGGCGAGUGUACCGGCCAAACCACGGCGAUCUGGUUCAAUCCAAGGGCACGGUGAGCUUCCUGGGGUGACGUAUAGGCUAUCUGUGCAGUGAAUCGAGAAAUGGCUCAGUGAUUUACCCGGUACACGCACUCCGGCGGGGUGGUGAACUCCGGCGACCGUGGACUGGCCUCUCCGGCGAAGUAGGCUUCGAUUCCUCGCCCGGGGAGCUUCACCGAGGUGUGCUUACUCGUCUCAGAGGGUUGGAUGGGGCUGGGGAAAGCUGGACUGGCCGGUCUACGGCGGCAGUGGCUCGGGUGGCCGCGGACACGCCGCGCACGGGCAAACGGCGGUGAACUGAGCUCCGGUUUGGUUUGAGCGUGCGCGGAAGAGUGUAACCGACACCUGGGUGGGCUUUAUAGGCGCGGGCGCGGGACAGGGCGCCGGCUGGCCGUUAGCGCGACGCGGGGCACGCGGGGGCGCGCGCGGGCGUGCUCUGGCGAGCUCAGAGCGCGUCGAACACGUGGCUCGUUGCUUCUGCCCGUGUUCUUCCCUCUGCUGAGCGGCCAAAACGUACGAAUCUUACCCUAUCACAUGUGGGAGAUCUCUUCCCUGCACCUAGAGCUACCUAGUUCAUGUGAGUUCCAAGAGUAGAUGUGGUCGGGUUAGAGAGAUAUGAGGGUGGGAAGUCGGCUGUGUCAGACAGGUCCAAACCGAGACAAAAAUGGUGCCAAGUCAUGUCAAACGUCCUAGGGUAGGUGUCACCUCUUUCCAGGGCAUUCUAGGGUUAAUUUGGCGCCACUUUGUCAAUUGGGUCGAAGUGUUUUGAAUUUUGGAUUAAGGUGAACAUGUGGGAUCUUUGCUCAAGGGUUAGUUUUUAUACUUAGGCAAAUUCUGAAUUUUUCCCUUGUGCUCAACCUUUGGUGAACUUUUUGGGACUUUUCUGAAAUCUUUUUGGGGGUACUUUCUUACUAUUAUUUGUAGGUUAUGAAGCAUACUACAACUUUUAUAUUUGGUCCAAGCCAUGAUCAUAAGGUUUACAUGACCUUUUGAUCCUAGCUUCAAUUAGGGUUCCUAUUGCUCAAGGAGGGUUUGCUUUAGGGUUUUGGGAAAUCCCCCCCUUAGAUGUGCAUGACAAGCUAGGGCAUGAUAUCCAAGAUGGUUUGCACUUGCUUAGGACCUUGAAUUCCAAGUUUGAUGUACUUUGCCCAAAUCAAUCCUCAUGUGAUAAUAAGUUAAAAGGGGUAGCCCUGGGUGGACACCCUGAGUAACACCUGGGGUGUUACAUCUCUGUCCCUCUCCCUCCACUCUCUUUCCUAUAUAUACACUCCCUCUCCCUCCUCUCUCUUCUCUCUCUCUCUCCCUCCCUCCACUCUCUUUCCUCUCUCUUCCCUUUCCCUCUCUCCUCUCCUCUCUCUUCCCUCUCCCUCCUCUCUCUUCCCUCUCCCUCUCUCCCCUCCUCUCCCUCUCUCUCACUCUCUAGAGACGCGCGUAGGGUUUACACUCUUCCCUCUCUCUUCCCUCUCACUCUGUCACUCUUCCUAGGCCUAGGGUUUACACGCGCGGCGGCGGCGUGUGCACGGCGGCGGCGGCAUGCCCGAGCGAUCAUAGUCGAAGAAGGGAGAGAGAGAGAGGAGAACGUACCUACGGCGUGGGGACGACGACGUCGACGACGGCGGCGCACGGCGGAGAAGAUCGCCGGGGCGAAAUUUCGGCAGCCUGACGGCGGGAAGUGUGAAAGGGAAUUAGGCUUACACCUAUUUCCUAAUUGAUUUUGGUGGUUGAAUUGCCCAACACAAAUAAUUGGACUAACUAGUUUGCUCUAGUCUAUAAGUUAUACAGGUGCCAAAGGUUCACACUAAGCUAAUAAAAAGACCAAGAAAAGGGUUCAACAAAAAGAGCAAGGGACCACCGAAGUGUGCCCUGGUCUGGCGCACCGGACUGUCCGGUGUGCCACCGGACAGUGUCCGGUGCACCACCGGACAAUGUCCGGUGCACCCGGGAACUCCAAGCUAAACUUCGCACCUUCGGGAAUUCUGAGAGGCGCUUCGCUAUAAUUCACCGGACUGUCCGGUGCCCCAGGGGAGAGCGGCUCUGAACUCGCCAGCUUCGGAUUUCUGCUCCGCUAAAAUUGACCGGACAUGUCCGGUGCACACCGGACUGUCCGGUGAGCCAGCGGAGCAACGACUACUUCGCGCCAACGGUCGACUACAACGCAUUAAAUGCGCGCCUGCGCGCGCAGAGGAGCAGUGCACGCGCGGGUGGCACACCGGACAGUCUACAGGACUUGUCCGGUGCGCCACCGGACAGCCAGGCGGGCCCACACGUCAGAGCUCCAACGGUCGGAACCCAAUGGCCUGGUGACGUGGCUGGCGCAUCGGACAGUGUCCAGUGGCGCACCGGACUGUCCGGUGCGCCAUGCGACAGCAGCCUCCACCAAACGGCUAGUUUGGUGGUUGGGGUUAUAAAUACCCCCAACCACCCCACAUUCAAGUGAUCUAAGUUUUCCACCUUCCAACUACUUACAAGAGCUCUAGCAUUCAAUUCUAGACACACCCAAGUGAUCAAAUCCUCUCCCAAUUCCACACAAAGCUUUAGUGACUAGUGAGAGAGAGAUUUGUUGUGUUCUUUUGAGCUCUUGCGCUUGGAUUGCUUUCUUUCUCAUUCUUUCUUGAGAUCAAACUCACUUGUAAUUGAAGAAAGAGACACCAAUCGUGUGGUGGUCCUUGUGGGAACUUUGUGUUCCAAUUGAUUGAGAAGAAAAGCUCACUCGGUCCGAGGGACCGUUUGAGAGAGGGAAAGGGUUGAAAGAGACCCGGUCUUUGUGACCACCUCAACGGGGAGUAGGUUUGCAAGAACCGAACCUCGGUAAAACAAAUCCGCGUGUCACACUCUUUAUUCGCUUGUGAUUUGUUUUGCACCCUCUCUCUCGGACUCAUUAUUAUUUCUAACGCUAACCCGGCUUGUAGUUGUGAUUAACUUUGUAAAUUUCAGUUUCGCCCUAUUCACCCCCCUCUAGGCGACUUUCAAUUGGUAUCAGAACCCAGUGCUUCAUUAGAGCCUAACCGCUCGAAGUGAUGUCGGGAGAUCACGCCAAGAAGGAGAUGGAGACCGGCGACAAGCCCACUACAAGCCACGGGAAGGCUUCAUCGGAAGAGUCCCGCAACAAGGGGAAAGGGAAGGAGAAGAAAGCCUCUUCCCACAAGUCGCAUCGGAGUGGCGACAAGAAAAAGAAGAUGAGGAAGGUGGUCUACUACGAGACCGAUACUUCAUCACCUUCCACCUCCGGCUCCGACGCGCCGUCCAUUACCUCUAAGCACCAUGAGCGCAAGAAGUUUAGUAAGAUCCCCCUACGCUAUCCUCGCAUUCCUAAACAUACGCCUUUACUUUCCGUCCCAUUAGGCAAACCACCAACGUUUGAUGGUGAAGAUUAUGCAAGGUGGAGUGAUUUGAUGCGAUUUCAUCUAACCUCACUCCACAAAAUUAUAUGGGAUGUCGUUGAGUUUGGUGUACAGGUACCAUCCGUAGGGGAUGAAGACUAUGAUGACGACGAAGUGGCCCAAAUCCAACACUUCAACUCCCAAGCCUCAACUAUACUCCUCGCCUCUCUAAGUCGAGAGGAGUAUAAUAAGGUGCAAGAGUUGAAAAAUGCUAAGGAGAUUUGGGACACACUAAAGACCGCGCACGAAGGAGACGAGGUGACCAAAAUCACCAAGCGGGAAACGAUCGAGGGGGAGCUCGGUCGCUUCCGACUUCGCCAAGGGGAGGAGCCACAAGACAUGUACAACCGGCUCAAAACCUUGGUGAACCAAGUGCGCAACCUCGGGAGCAAGAAAUGGGUGACCACGAAAUGCUUAAGGUUAUUUUAAGAUCACUCGUUUUCCUUAACCCUACUCAAGUUCAAUUAAUUCGUGGCAAUUCUAGAUAUACACUAAUGACUCCCGAGGAAGUAAUCGUGAAUUUUGUGAGCUUUGAAUUGAUGAUAUAAGGCUCAAAGAAGAUCAACGAGCUUGAUGGCCCCUCCACGUCCGAAGCACAACCGGUCGCAUUCAAAGCGACGGAGGAGAAGAAGGAGGAAUCUACAUCAAGUAGACAACCAAUCGACGCCUCAAAGCUCGACAAUGAGGAAAUGGCGCUCGUCAUCAAGAGCUUCCGCCAAAUCCUCAAGCAAAGGAGGGGGAAAGACUACAAGCCCAGCUCCAAGAAAGUUUGCUACAAAUGUGGUAAGCCCGGUCAGUUUAUAGCAAAAUGUCCUAUUUCUAGUGACAGUGACAGGGGCGAUGACAAGAAGGGGAGAAGAAAGGAGAAGAAGAGGUACUACAAGAAGAAGGGCGACGAUGCCCAUGUUUGCCGGGAGUGGGACUCCGACGAGAGCUCCAUCGACUCCUCCUCCGACGAGGACGCCGCAAACAUCGCCGUCACCAAGGGACUUCUCUUCCCCAACGUCGGCCACAAGUGCCUCAUGGCAAACGACGGCAAAAAGAAGAAGGUUAAAUCCAAAUCCUCCACUAGAUAUGAGUCCUCUAGUGAUGAUAAUGCUAAUGAUGAGGAAGAUAACUUACGCAUUCUUUUUGCCAACCUAAACAUGCAACAAAAAGAAAAGUUAAAUGAAUUGAUUAGUGCUAUUCAUGAGAAGGAUGAUCUCUUGGACACCCAAGAGGACUUCCUUAUUAAAGAAAAUAAGAAGCAUGUUAAGGUCAAAAAUGCUUAUGCUCUAGAAGUAGAAAAGUGUGAAAAACUAUAUAGUGAGCUAAGCACUUGCCAUGAAACUAUUGACAACCUUAGAAAUGAAAAUGCUAAUUUGUUAGCUAAGGUUGAUUCAAAUAUGUGUGAUGUUUCAAUUUCAAAUCCUAGCAAUGAUAAUGUUGAUUUUCUUGCUAAGAUUGAAGAAUUGAACUUUUCUCUUGCUAGCCUUAGAAAUGAAAAUGAAAAAUUGCUUGCUAAGGCUAAAGAAUUAGACGUUUGCAAUGUUACUAUUUCCGAUCUUAGAGAUAAAAAUGAUAUAUUGCGUGCUAAGAUUGUUGAACUUAAUUCUUGCAAACCCUCUACAUCUACCACUGAGCAUGUCACUAUUUGCACUAGAUGUAGAGAUGUUGAUGUUAAUGCUAUACAUGAUCACAUGGCCUUAAUUAAACAACAAAAUGAUCAUAUAGCAAAAUUAUAUGCUAAAAUUGCCGAGCAUGACUUAGAAAACAAAAAAUUUAAAUUUGCUAGAAGCAUGCUCUAUAGUGGGAGACGCCCUGGCAUCAAGGAUGGCAUUGGCUUCCAAAAGGGGGACAAUGUCAAACUUAAUGCCCCUCCUAAAAGAUUGUCUAAUUUUGUUAAGGGCAAGGCUCCCAUGCCUCAGGAUAACGAGGGUUACAUUUUAUACCCUGUCGGUUAUCCCGAGAGCAAGAUUAGGAGAAUUCACUCUAGGAAGUCUCACUCUGGCCCUAAUCAUGCUUUUAUGUAUAAGGGUGAGACAUCUAGCUCUAGGCAACCAACCCGUGCUAAGUUGCCUAAGAAGAAAACUCCUAGUGCAUCAAAUGAUCAUAACAUUUCCUUUAAAACUUUUGAUGCAUCUUAUGUGUUAACUAACAAAUCCGGCAAGGUAGUUGCCAAGUAUGUUGGGGGCAAACACAAGGGAUCAAAGACUUGUGUUUGGGUACCCAAAGUUCUUGUGUCUAAUGCCAAAGGACCCAAAACCAUUUGGGUACCUAAAGUCAAGAACUAAACUUGUUUUGUAGGUUUAUGCAUCUGGGGGCUCAAGUUGGAUCAUUGACAGCGGGUGCACAAAUCACAUGACAGGGGAGAAGAAGAUGUUCUCCUCCUACGAGAAAAACCAAGAUCCCCAACGAGCUAUCACAUUCGGGGAUGGAAACCAAGGUUUGGUCAAAGGAUUGGGUAAAUUGCUAUUUCAUCUGACCAUUCCAUUUCCAAUGUUUUUCUUGUUGAUUUAUUAGAUUACAAUUUGCUUUCCGUAUCUCAAUUAUGUCAAAUGGGCUACAACUGUCUUUUUACUGAUGUAGGUGUCACUGUCUUUAGAAGAAGUGAUGAUUCAGUAGCAUUUAAGGGAGUGUUAGAGGGUCAGCUAUACUUGGUAGAUUUUGAUAGAGCUGAACUCGACACUUGCUUAAUUGCUAAGACUAACAUGGGUUGGCUCUGGCACCGCCGACUUGCCCAUGUUGGGAUGAAGAAUCUUCAUAAACUUCUAAAGGGAGAGCACAUUUUAGGAUUAACAAAUGUUCAUUUUGAGAAAGACAGGAUUUGUAGCGCAUGCCAAGCAGGGAAGCAAGUUGGUGCUCAUCAUCCACACAAGAACAUCAUAACGACUGACAGACUGCUGGAGCUCCUACACAUGGACCUAUUCGGCCCGAUAGCUUACAUAAGCAUCGGCGGGAGUAAGUACUGUCUAGUUAUUGUGGAUGAUUAUUCUCGCUUCACUUGGGUGUUCUUUUUGCAGGAAAAAUCUCAUACCCAAGAAACAUUAAAGGGAUUCUUGAGACGAGCUCAAAACGAGUUCGGCUUAAGGAUAAAGAAAAUUAGAAGCGACAACGGGACGGAGUUCAAGAACUCACAAAUCGAAGGCUUCCUUGAGGAGGAGGGCAUCAAGCAUGAGUUCUCUUCUCCCUACACCCCACAACAAAAUGGUGUAGUGGAGAGGAAGAAUAGAACUCUAUUGGACAUGGCAAGAACCAUGCUUGAUGAGUACAAGACUUCGAAUCGGUUUUGGGCCGAGGCGGUCAACACCGCCUGCUACGCCAUCAACCGGUUGUAUCUACACUGAAUCCUCAAGAAGACAUCAUACGAACUCCUAACCGGUAAAAAGCCCAACAGUUCAUAUUUUAGAGUCUUUGGUAGUAAAUGCUUUAUUCUUGUUAAAAGAGGUAGAAAAUCUAAAUUUGCUCCUAAGACUGUAGAAGGCUUUUUACUAGGAUAUGAUUCAAACACAAGGGCAUAUAGAGUCUUUAACAAGUCCACUGGACUAGUUGAAGUUUCUUGUGACGUUGUGUUUGAUGAGACUAACGGCUCUCAAGUAGAGCAAGUUGAUCUUGAUGAGAUAGGUGAUGAAGAGGCUCCGUGCAUCGCACUAAGGAACAUGUCCAUUGGGGAUGUGUGUCCUAAGGAAUCCGAAGAGCCUCCAAAUGCACAAGAUCAACCAUCCUCCUCAACGCAAGCAUCUCCACCAACUCAAAAUGAGGAUGAGGCUCAAGUUGAUGAAGAAGAAGAUCAAAGAGAUGAGCCAUCUCAAGAUGACGGCAAUAAUCAAGGGGGAGACGCAAAUGAUCAAGACAAGGAGGAUGAAGAACCAAGACCGCCACACCCAAGAGUCCACCAAGCAAUCCAACGAGAUCACCCCGUCGACACCAUCCUCGGCGACAUUUAUAAGGGGGUAACCACUAGAUCUCGUGUUGCACAUUUUUGUGAGCAUUACUCUUUUGUUUUCUCUAUUGAGCCACACAGAGUAGAGGAAGCACUACUAGAUUCGGAUUGGGUGAUGGCGAUGCAAGAGGAGCUCAACAACUUCACUAGGAACGAGGUAUGGCAUUUAGUUCCACGUCCUAAUCAAAAUGUUGUAGGAACCAAAUGGGUUUUCCGCAACAAGCAAGAUGAGCAUGGUGUGGUGACAAGGAACAAAGCCCGACUUGUGGCCAAGGGAUACUCCCAAGUCGAAGGUUUGGAUUUUGGUGAAACCUAUGCACCCGUAGCUAGGCUUGAGUCAAUUCGCAUAUUACUUGCCUAUGCUACUUACCAUGGCUUUAAGCUUUACCAAAUGGACGUGAAAAGUGCUUUCCUCAAUGGACCAAUCAAGGAAGAGGUCUAUGUUGAGCAACCUCCCGGUUUUGAAGUUAGUGAGUACCCUAACCAUGUUUAUAAACUCUCUAAGGCGCUUUAUGGGCUCAAGCAAGCCCCAAGAGCGUGGUAUGAAUGCCUUAGAGAUGUCCUUAUCACUAAUGGAUUCAAAGUCGAAAAGGCUGAUCCUACACUCUUUACCAAAACACUUGAAAAUGAUUUGUUUGUAUACCAAAUUUAUGUUGAUGACAUUAUAUUUGGGUCUACUAACGAAUCUACAUGUGAAGAGUUUAGUAGGAUCAUGACACAGAAAUUCGAGAUGUCUAUGAUGGGAGAGUUGAAGUAUUUCUUGGGAUUUCAAGUAAAGCAACUCCAAGAGGGCACCUUCAUUAGCCAAACGAAGUAUACUCAAUAUAUUCUAAGCAAGUUUGGGAUGAAGGAUGCCAAACCCAUCAAGACACCCAUGGGAACCAAUGGGCAUCUCGACCUCAACACAGAAGGUAAAUCCGUCAAUCAAAAGGUAUACCGGUCGAUGAUAGGCUCUUUACUCUAUUUAUGUGCAUCUCGACCGGAUAUUAUGCUUUCCGUAUGCAUGUGUGCAAGAUUCCAAGCCGACCCUAAGGAAGCUCACCUUACGGCCGUAAAACGAAUCUUGAGAUAUUUAGUUUAUACUCCUAAGUUUGGGCUUUGGUAUCCUAGGGGAUCCACAUUUGAUUUGAUUGGUUAUUCACAUGCCGAUUGGGCGAGGUGUAAAAUUAAUAGAAAGAGCACAUCGGGGACUUGCCAGUUCUUGGGAAGAUCCUUGGUGUCUUGGGCUUCAAAGAAGCAAAAUUCCGUAGCUCUUUCUACCGCCGAAGCCGAGUAUAUUGUCGUAGGACAUUGUUGCGCGCAACUACUUUGGAUGAGGCAAACCCUUAGGGACUACGGUUACAAAUUAACCAAAGUUCCUCUUCUAUGUGAUAAUGAGAGUGCAAUCCGCAUGGCGGAUAAUCCGGUUGAGCAUAACCACACUAAACACAUAGCCAUUCGGUAUCAUUUCUUAAGGGAUCACCAACAAAAGGGAGAUAUCGAGAUUGCAUACAUUAAUACUAAAGAUCAAUUAGCCGAUAUCUUUACCAAGCCACUAGAUGAACAAACCUUUAACAAACUUAGGCAUGAGCUAAAUAUUCUUGAUUCUAGGAAUUUCUUUUGAUGUUUUGCACACAUAGCUCAUUAAUAUACCUUUGAUCAUGUCUCUUUCAUAUGCUAUGACUAAUGUGUUUUCAAGUAAAUUUCAAAGCAAGUCAUAGGUGUAUUGAAAGGGAAUUCGAGUCUUCGGCGAAGACAAAGGCUUCCACUCCAUUCCAUAACUCAUCCUUCACCGUCGCUCCGCAUCACUCUUCAACUUUGGUAUAAUCUUCACUCAUUUAUUUAUGACCAAAGGGGGAGAAAGUAAUUAAAAGGGCUUAUAUAUCACUCAAAGUAUCCGUUUUUGGCGAUUCAUGCCAAAGGGGGAGAAAGUAUUAGCCCAAAGCAAAAGGACCGCACCACCACCUAGUUUUUAAAACUAAUGAUUUUCAAUUAGUAAAUUUUAAAUUGGUAUCUUAUUGUGUUCAAAAGGGGGAGAAAGUAGUAUUUUCAAAAUCGAUAUCUUAAAACCCUCUUGAACACUAAGAGGAGGAUUUCAUUAAGGGGGAGUUUUGUUUAGUCAAAGGAAAAGCAUUUGAGACAGGGGGAGAAAAUUUCAAAUCUUGAAAAUGCUUUGCAAAAUCUUAUUCAUUUACCUUUGACUAUUUGCAAAAGGACUUUGAAAAAGGAUUUGCAAAAACAAAACAAGUGGUGCAAGCGUGGUCCAAAAUGUUAAAGAAAAAGAAACAAUCCAUGCAUAUCUUAUGAGUAGUUAUAUUGGCUCAAUUCCAAGUAACCUUUGCACUUACAUUAUGCAAACUAGUUCAAUUAUGCACUUAUAUACUUGCUUUGGUUUGUGUUGGCAUCAAUCACCAAAAAGGGGGAGAUUGAAAGGGAAUUAGGCUUACACCUAUUUCCUAAUUGAUUUUGGUGGUUGAAUUGCCCAACACAAAUAAUUGGACUAACUAGUUUGCUCUAGUCUAUAAGUUAUACAUGUGCCAAAGGUUCACACUAAGCCAAUAAAAAGACCAAGAAAAGGGUUCAACAAAAAGAGCAAGGGACCACCGAAGUGUGUCCUGGUCUGGCGUACCGGACUGUCCGUUGUGCCACCGGACAGUGUCCGGUGCACUAGGGAACUCCAAGCUAAACUUCGCACCUUCGGGAAUUCUCAGAGGUGCUUCGCUAUAAUUCACCGGACUGUCCGGUGUACCACCGGACAGUGUCCGGUGCCCCAGGGGAGAGCGGCUCUGAACUCGCCAGCUUCGGAUUUCUGCUCCGCUAAAAUUCAUCGGACAUGUCCGGUGCACACCGGACUGUCCAGUGAGCCAGCGGAGCAACGACUACUUCGCGCCAACGAUCGACUGUAACGCAUUAAAUGCGUGCCUGCGCGCGCAGAGGAGCAGUGCACGCGUGGGUGGCACACUGGACAGUCUACAGGACUUGUCCGGUGCGCCACCGGACAGCCAGGCAGGCCCACACGUCAGAGCUCCAACGGUCGGAACCCAACGGCCUGGUGACGUGGCUGGCGCACCGGACAGUGUCCGGUGGCGCACCGGACUGUCUGGUGCGCCAUGCGACAGCAGCCUCCACCAAACGACUAGUUUGGUGGUUGGGGUUAUAAAUACCCCCAACCACCCCACAUUCAAGUGAUCUAAGUUUUCCACCUUCCAACUAUUUACAAGAGCUCUAGCAUUCAAUUCUAGACACACCCAAGUGAUCAAAUCCUCUCCCAAUUCCACACAAAGCUUUAGUGACUAGUGGGAGAGAGAUUUGUUGUGUUCUUUUGAGCUCUUGCGCUUGGAUUGCUUUCUUUCUCAUUCUUUCUUGAGAUCAAAAUCACUUGUAAUUGAAGCAAGAGACACCAAUCGUGUGGUGGUCCUUGUGGGAACUUUAUGUUCCAAUUGAUUGAGAAGAAAAGCUCACUCGGUCCGAGGGACCGUUUGAGAGAGGGAAAGGGUUGAAAGAGACCCGGUCUUUGUGACCACCUCAACGGGGAGUAGGUUUGCAAGAACCGAACCUCGGUAAAACAAAUUCGUGUGUCACACUCUUUAUUCGCUUGUGAUUUGUUUUGCACCCUCUCUCUCGGACUCAUUAUUAUUUCUAACGCUAACCCGGCUUGUAGUUGUGAUUAACUUUGUAAAUUUCAGUUUCGCCCUAUUCACCCCCUCUAGGCGACUUUCAAAGUGUAAAAGACUGGGCGCCAAAGACUUAGCGAAAUUUUCGGCCCCGCGCGCGCUCCUUUAUAUAGGAUAUAUUUCUACUGGCGGUUGUCAUCGAGAACCGCCAGUAGAAAUGCCUUCCACAGACUGUGGAGGCCAUUUCUACUGGCGGUUUUCGUUGUGAACCGCCAGUAGUAAUAUUUUAGUAUAUUAUUUUUUAUUGUAUAUUCAUAUAUUAAGUAUAUAAAAUUUUAUACAUAUUAAAUAUAUAAAUAUAUAUAUAUUUAGUAUACAUAAUAUAUAUAUAUUACUUCUCUCUCUCCCUCCUCUCUCUCUCCUCUCUCUCUCCUCUCUGUCCUCUCCCUAGCUCCUCUCUCUCCCCUCUCUCUCCUCUCUCUCCUCUCUCUCUCCUCUCUCUCCUCUCCCUAGCUCCUCCCUCUCCCCUCUCCCUCCUCUCUCUCCCUCCUCUAUCUCUCCCUCUCUCUCCUCUCUCUCUCUCCUCUCUCUCUCCUCUCUCUCUCCUCUCUCUCCUUUCUCUCUUCUCUAUUUCUCCUAUCUCUCUCUCUCCUCUCUCUCCCUCUCUCUCUCCUCUCUAGAAAGUCACCAGAAUGCCCGUUCUUGCAGUGUUUAAAUACUACGUCGUCUCCUGGCUUCGCGUCUCUCGUCACCAUUGGUGUGAAGUUCUUUCACAAGUAUCAGAUCUGGUAAACAUCUUUCCAAGUUCUUUCACAGCAUGUUCUUUGAAGAUGCUUGUUUCUUACUGCCUGAUAUAUAUAUAUUUAUUAGUCGAAUAGUCCUCCCUACUUUUAUUUUACCUCGUGUUCUAGGUGAUAAACCAUGACCGGCAAAAAGACCACGACUUCCUCUGACGGCGGCACUCCAAAGAAAGCCAAGGUGGUGGUGGAGGAUGAGGAAGAGGCGGGGUUGGAGGAUGAGGAAGAGGCGACUGUGACACUAUCCGUGGAGAAGGACGCGCUGAAGAACGGGCAUUCUGGAUGUGCAAAGUGCUGCAUCCGCACGGACGGUAAGUGCUGGACCUGCUCCGAGCGCAUUGGCAACAAUAGCUCUCUCUCCCUCUCCCUCUCCUCUCUAGAAAGUCACUAGAAAGUCAUGUAAAAUUACAUGCUUCGGUUUGUCGCUAACAAUAAUCAAUUACAUGACAUGUCCUAACAAUAAUCAAUUACAUGACAACUAUAUAAUCUAGGGAGCUAUUGUUCUGCCUUGUCCAUCGUGGCGUACCCAGGGCAUCGAAUUGCGUGGGAUGCUUCGCUCAACGUUCCUUAUCUUGGUUGGAUGGUCUAUGAAAAGAGACAUGUCGUUGAACUGGUUAAAAUCCUCUAAAUCAGAUACACCAUCAACUCCUAUAGCUUGUUGUUUUCCAGGAAAACUACAUACUUCGGUUUGUCGGUUCUUUUCUUCUCAUUGUUAGAAAUGAUUUGUUCAGCAUAGAAGACAUGUGCAGCAUGAUUAGCAAGGAUCCAUGGGUCAUCUUUGUAACCUACCUUACUUAGAUCAAGAACUCUGACCCCAUAUUUGUCUACCGUGACAUGUUUGUCUUCAACCCAUUGACAUCGGAAAACCGAGAUCCGAAAUGUAUCAUAGUCUAGUUCCCAUAUGUCCUCAAUAAAGCCAAAAUAUGUAAUAAUCUCACCAGUUUCAUCAUCUAUGGCCUCGCAUCGAACACCACUAUUUUGUGACAUGCUCUUUUUGUCCUUGGACUUGGUACAAAAUGUGAAUCCACUAAUGUCAUAGGUUUGCCAUGUUGUGACCUGGCGUGAUGGUCCAGAUGCCAACCCCUUGAUGGUUUUUUCUUCUAAUGUUUCUCCACGUGGAAUGUCCUUCACCAUUAGCCAUGUGUUGAACUGCUGCUUAUGUUGCUUCAUUACCCAAUCAGCCGUAUGCCCAGGAUUUUGCUCGUGAAGCUCAUUGAUGUGUUGUUGGAUAAAUGGCUCUAUUAUCGCUAGCUGAUGUAGGAUGCUGUGAUGUGCCUCAAGUACUGUAUUGUAAUCUGGUGGGAUGAAAGAUUUCCGUCCCAUCCUCUCGCUUCCAUACAAUCUACCCUCGUGUCGUGAUGGAGGCAGACCUAUUGCAACCUGGUCUUUUAGGAUACUAUUGCAGAAUGGACCUCCGGACUCAAUGGCCUCUUCGGUAUAGUACCCCUCUAUCAUGGAUGCCUCGGGACGAGCACGGGUUGAUACAUAGCCAUUCAGUAUUGACAUGAAAUGCUCAUACGUCCACAUUUCAUGCAAGUACAUAGGACCCAAUGCCUCUAUUUGUGGCACCAAGUGCACCACAAGGUGCACCAUAAUAUCAAAGAACGAUGGAGGGAAACACAUCUCAAACUGUGAUAUUGUCUCCACUGCGAAUUCCUGAAGAGAUGCCAACUCAUCACGGCCAAUUACCUUUUGUGAAAUUUUGUUGAAAAAGUAGCACAACCGUGUGAUUGCCAUCUUUAAAAACAAAGGAUUAUAGCCCUGAUGGCAAUAGGUAGGAAUGUAGUCAGCAUGACAUGACAAUCAUGUGAGUUGUAGUUGGUGACUAUCAGGUCUUUCAUUGACACAAUACUCCGUAUGCUAGAGCAGAAUCCAGAUGGGACUUUCAAAUUCUUAAUCCAAACACACAUCGCAUGUUUCUCAUCUACAUUGAGAUUGUAGUUUGCUGCUGGGAGAUGGUACUUCCCAUUUUCUUGAAGAACAGGAUGUAGUUCCUUUUUUAUGCCUAAAUUUACCAAGUCCAUGCGUGAAUUGAGCCCUUCUUUUGUUUUGCCCUUUAUGUCUAGCAAGGUGCCAAUUAUGCUUUCAAACACGUUCUUCUGAACGUGCAUACCAUCGAUCGCAUGUCGCACAUCUAACUCUUUCCAGUAAGGCAAGUACUCGAAGAAAAUAGACUUUUUCUUGAAUAUAGCCCCCGGAGCUGGUUUGGCAUCCUUCCUUGUUUUUCCGUCUUUUGUCUUCUUCCCGAAAACAAACUUGAUAUUCCUGACUAUUUCAAAAUCUCUAUGACCUCUAUUGUUACCUAAUGGAGCAGUAGAAUGUAGUUCAGCAUUAUUGUCAAAGUACUUAUCCAUCUUUCGCAUGCGGUACCUGUGUCCUUCCAAUAAAAAGCGUCUGUGCCUCAUGUACACUAUCUUCUUAGAUGCAGUAAGGGACACGUAAGCAGUUUCAUCAAUGCAUACUGUGCAGCCAACCUUUCCCUUAAACUGGCCUGAUAAUGUGAACAAGUGCAGGGUAAUUGUUGAUCGUAACAAAAAUAAUUGCUCUCAGCGUGAAUGAAUCUUUACGAUACUCAUCCAACAUUUGAACACCCGUUACCCACAAUAUUUUCAUAUCCUCCAUUAAGGGCUGUAAAAAUACAUCCAUAUCAACUCCAGGUUGUGUAGGUCCAGAAAUAAGGAUGGUUAGCAAAAUGUACUUCCGUUUCUGCAUCAACCAUGAAGGAAGGUUGUAUAUGGUGAGGAUCACUGGCCAUGUGCUAUGCUUGCUGCUCCUUUCAGCAAAUGGAUUCAUUCCAUCAGUACUCAGUGCGAACCUAAUAUUUCUUGGUUCAUCAGCAAAGUCUCGGUGGUUCUCAUUGAAAUCUUGCCACUGCUUCCCAUUGGCUGGAUGUCGAAGCUUCCCAUCGUUUUUGUGCUCAUCAGAAGCAUGACAGCUCAUAAGUUUGGCAUCCUCAGGGUUAGCGAACAAACACCUCAACCGAUCGACGAUGGGGAGGUACCACAUCACCAAAGAAGGAAUCUUUUUGAGCGCAUAAUAGUCUACUUCUUCUUUUUCUUUGCUCAUGGAUUUUGAAGUCUUCUUUUUGGCUUUCUUUCGCUUCUUCCCUUUAGACACAGAUGCAACACACUCUUCCUCUCGAUAGUCUUUAUUCGUCUUGUACCUACUUGCACCACACUUUGGGCAGCUCUCCAAGUCUUUAUAAUCAUCACCUCGAUAAAGGAUACAAUGAUUUCUACACGCGUGGAUCUUCUCCACGCCCAUAGUGAGUGGACUGAUUAGUUUCUUUGCAUAGUACGUGUUAGCAGGCACUUUGUUCUCCUUUGGAAGCAUGUCUGCGACAAUACUCAAGAACGCAUCGAAGCCAGCAUCAGACAGACCAUAUCUAGCUUUUAACAUCAACAGCUUUAACACAGACCGGAGCGUCGUGAACUCUUUGGUACAGCCCUUAGACUCGUCGUACAAAGGCUCUUCUGCUGCCUUCUUCAGGGACUCCAUACCUUUCAUGAAGAACACCGAUGGAUCUGUAUGACGAUGCAACAUUGCCUCUAACAACUCUGCAUCUUCCUCGUCCAUAACAUUUGGUAGAACAUGGGUUCUUUCACGUUCAUUUCCUCCAGCGUAACCAUGAUCAGUAACAUUUGGCACUACAUGUUCGCUCUGUGGAAGAGGUUGUUGUGUCUCGUGAACGAACUGAAAGCUGUCGUCGAUGUUCGCAGGGUUUCUAGCUGUAUAAGGCGAAGAGCUACCCUCUCCAUGCUUUGUCAAAAUUAUGUAAUCCUUCACAAAUCCUCGGCAUACCAGAUGAGAUAUGAUUUGUUCUGUGUCAUCAAACACAACAGCAUUUUUGCAGUCCAUGCAUGGACAAUAUAUGUGCUUUGUCUUUGUUCUCCAAGCAUGGUUCGUAGCGACAACAAUAAACUUAUGGACCUCAGAUAUGUAUGAUGGAUCUAGCCUUGAUAAGUUAUACAUCCAGGAUAUCCUCUCCAUCAUCACCUGUAAAAAAAGUAACAUAAAACACACAAGACACACAAAUUGGCAAGAGAAACAUAUACCAAUAUUUCCUAACAACUAAAUAUAUCAUGGAUUAAGAAAAUUGGCAAAAGAAACAUGAACAACCUUUCUUAGCGACCUUCUUCCAAAAAAUAAAGAUCAAAACCUCCCCCUUGUAUUUUGUGAAAUCUGGCCUUCCAAUAAAAGUUGGGCUGCGCGCGAGCUACACAGUUUUUGUCGGGAAGGAUGAAGGGGUAUUUAUACAACAAAGGUCAUAGGCGGUUGGAUCGAUUAGGCAACCUAACUACUUUAUCUCUAACAAAUGGUGAAACCCUAGAUCCAAAAUGUGGCUAAAAUGGAGGAAAAAUGAACAAAAUUUGGCAAAAGAAACAUAAGCCAAACUUUCCUAGCAACUAAUAAACAAAAACUCUUAAUACCCAAACCUAUCUCUAACACAUGGUGAAAGCCUAGUUUCAAAAUGUAGUUAAAAUUGAGCAAAAAUGAACAAUAAUUGGCAAUUGAAACAUAAUUAAACCAACCUUUCAUAACAAUUAAUAAAAACAAUCUUAAUUACCAAAACUAUCAUCCUCCCUCUCCAUACAACACAUUCACCAUUCCUUAAGCAACUAAAUAUGUGUCAUGGAUAAACUGAUUUGAGAACUAAACAUGAAAAAGGAGAGGGAAUAGACAAAAUCUAACCAUCUUAAGCAACCUCAUUUGAGGAAAUAGAGAAAAUAACCUAGCUAUACUCUUCUCUCUCACAUGUAAAACCCUAGAUCCAAAAUGUGGCUAAAAUUGAGCAAGAAUGAACAAAAAUUGACAAAGAAACAUAAACCAACCUUUCUUAUCCACCUUCUUCCAAAAAAUGAAGACCAAAACCUCCCCCUUGUAUUUUGUGAAAUCUGGACCUCCAAAAUCGCCUCCAAUGGAAGUUGGAUGCGAGCAUACAACUCCUGUCGGGGGGAAGAAGAGGGGUAUUUAUAACACAUAGUUCACUGGCGGUUGGCUUGAAAAACCGCCAGUGGAAACCUAUUUCCACUGGCGGUUAUCUUAACACAACUGCCAGUGGAAAUAGGAUAUUUCCACUGGCGGUUGGUGUAACAGAACCGCCAGUGGAAACUAGAUUUUCACUGGCGGUUCUGUUACACCAACCGCCAGUGGAAAUAUCCUAUUUCCACUGGCGGUUGUGUUAAGAUAACCGCCAGUGGAAAUAGGUUUCCACUUGCGGUUCCCAAGCCGGGCCCACCUGGUUUUUUUACUGGCGCGCGGUAACUAAAACCGCCAGUGAUAAUUUAUGGGUGCCGCAGGCUUUGAGCUCUUUUCUACUAGUGAGCGCUUCCUGUGAGUGGGAGUCUAUGCACGUGUCGACACAUGCAUCUCUCUCUUGUUCUGGAUCUGCCAUGCCCUGCUUCCUCCUCUCGACCUUGCCACCGGGCCUAGGUCACGGCCAUCGCCUGUGCCGGACUCGUCCAACCUACUACUAUGAAGCGUGCGAAAGGCGGGGGCCGACUGCACGACCGAGAUGGAGGUUACGACCACCUCUAUGGGCCCCGACCACCUCAUCAUUGCCAUCUUUCUCGGGGCAUCUGCACUUUCCGUCGCCGAGAGUCUGUGCACGUGCUGACACAUGCCUCUCUCUUGUUUCGGAUCCGCCACGCCUUGCCUCCUCCUCCUGACCUCGCCACCGGGCCCACGCCCCCCCUCGCCAUCGCCCAUAUUGGACUCAUCCAGCCUGCUGCUACGGAGCGCGCGCUAGGUGAGGGGGUCGAGCGCGUGGCCGAAAUGGAGGUUGUGGUGAGGUGCAUUUAUCUUAUUAGGUAUCACUAUUUUGUUUACCUUCCUAGUAGAUCUACUGUUUGUAAGAUCCAUGGCACGUUUAUCAGAAACGAGUGAAACUGAGAGUAGAUCUACUGUCUAUAACAUCUCCAUGGAUUUAUCAGGUUCCUCUACUUUGCAUUUUAUUGGGACAUGUUUUGUCUUUUCAAUACCUUAUGGCCCUUCAGUUUCAGUAACUUGAGAGGAAACUUUUGUUAUCAACCUUUUAGGUGUCUUUGCUUGCAAAUCGUUUAUUUUCUUAGGGCUGGAAUUAACUGAAUUAGCAUCAAUUUGUGGCAUUUAUGGAUCCUCCAGAUACUUGGGGCACAUUUCCUUAGUCCGCAUAUGCCCAACAUAUACAACAACAAAGAGACACAAAGGCAUGGAACAUAAUAAUAGUUUGAGUUCUGAAGGUCGCAUGCAAGAAAUUGUUUUUCUGGUCCUACCUGACCAUAGGUUCCAUAAACAAGACUCUUCACACCCAAUUUUAGAAGGCAAACCAAAUUCGAACCAUGUACGUGACCGGACCAGAAAUUCACGUACACAACAAUUACAUAAUUGGACAUCAUUUCACAUUGCUCAAAAUAAUAGCGGAAAUAGUACUUUAUUACAUCAAAAUGUCCAAGACAUCCACAGAGUCAUUAACUUAAGUCAUAGACAUAAUCAAAGUGUGAAUACGAAACAUAGUACGAUAAGGCCUUCACAGACAGCUGACUGGGGGUUUGCCACUAAACUAAUCUAGAACUCAUCGAAGUCCUGAAACUCCUAGAAGUCUUCCAUGUUGCCUUCAUCUUCUCUUGAGCAUUGGUUGCAAUGGAGACAACCUAGGGGGUUUGGUGUUUUAAAGCAAGGGUGAGUACACAUCAACGUACUCAGCAAACAUCCCGUUUGGCUAAAGUGGACUAGCUGUAUGUGGAGUUAAACUUAAAGGAGUUGCUUUUAGUUGGUCAAGUAUUUAUUACUAGUAGAAAGCCAAGUUUUAUCAAUAAUCUCAAGUUAUUACCCAAGUGGUACUCCCUCCAAGAGGAAAUACCAAACACCAUAAAGAUAGUCAUCAUCAUUAAGCAUCAUCAUAAAAGUUAACCGGAUUAACUCUAAUCAAAGGAGCUCCCAAGGCUGCUCAUAACCGCGAGCUCGACUAAUAUAUCAGUUUCUAACACUCUGCAGAGGUUGCACACUUUACACACGAGCCAUGAUUCCCUUUCUGCCUGAGGAGCGCUACACCCAUUGACCACUACCUAUGUGGCCUGGCAGGGUAUCACUACGUAGCCUUUACAAAGAUUCCCCUGGUGUGUAGUUGCCCGUUAGGUUUCACUAGUCAUACAAACAUAGUACUCCUUCCUAAGGUGGGUGACUAACAAAACCAAAUCGAAUGAACCUCGGCACCCACCCUUAGCAGAGCAAGCACUAUGCCCCAGCCCCCAUUGAUGGCACAACGACGAAGCCAACUACACCCCAAAGUUUAUCCAAUUAAUCAGCUAAGGGUGUCUCAUUCCACCCUUAUGGUUGUACUGUUUUCCGGGUGGUCAUCCAACGAACAGGUCCUUACGGAGAGGUACUCCGAAAACAACCCGAGUCCCCUAAAAUAUCACAAGUUCAUCAUCAUAAUCAAGAUAGCAUCAUUGUAUCAUAAUUGUUCUCACCAUGUUCAUUGAUUAAAGUAAAGAAAUAACAUAAUACUAAUCGUAGUAACCAAUUCCCAAAGGGUAAACAAGGACAGGAAAACAAAAUACUAGUCAAUCCUUAGGUUGAUCAUGGUAUGCGGGACAGUGAAUUAUAAAGUAAAUAGGACAUAAUGGGUCAGAGGACACUUGCCUGCACCAGGUUGCUGCUCAGGGAAGUCACCUGCAGCACACUCGGAAACCUCAGACUGCUCGUUGUCUACGCAAAACAAUCAUUCAUUCAGCACACUUGGGAAAUGACAAAGGAUCAGUACACCAAUCAUAUGCAAUAGAGUAAACACAGGUUCAGUAAAAGAUACAGGCACACAGGUGAAAUCUAAGUGUUGGGUAGAUUAAUGUUACCUAGUCGUCUGUUGUUUUAUAACUAAGUCUAUUUCAGUAAAUUACAUUACUUAAGAAAACUCAUUCCACGGAUGAGAUUACAUUAAAUGAGGUUAGGUCCACAACUUUAGGCACAAGAACAUCCACUAAGGUUCUACAUUUUAUUUUAAAAUUAAUAAAUAUUCUAUCACCUUAAAUUAACCUAGAGACUAGCCACAAAAUUGAGACAUGAAAACAGUGAAUGAUUAUAAUUUAAACAAAUAGAGAAUAACAUUAUGAAUAUUUUGCAAUUUGAACCACCUAAUUUGGAGUUCAUAUGCAAAAGAUAUGAAAUUUACAAGUUUUAGAAUUCAAAAACACUAAAUUAAACCCAUUUCUAUGAUUAAAAUAAAGUCCAGGCGUCUCUCUGCAAGAAAUCAGGGGCUUGGGCGCAAGAACAUAGGACGACAGGUUAAUACUUGGAAACUCGAGGGGUUUCUUAACAAAAUUUCCAAGAGAACAGGUAUCAAACACUCUCGGCCAUCCGAUCACAGAUCGACAGACGAGAUUAGAUCCUGCGGGCGAGCGUGCGCGGGCGCGAGCGAGCGCUGACAAGCAGGCCAGGGCAGUCAGCGACUCGGGGCGAAGGCGGGCUGACUGGUUGGGCCCAGUGCCAAGGGGCGCAGGCAACCGACGGGUGGGACCUAGAGGCAGGGGUGCGCGCUCAAAGCGGUAUCUGGGGAUCCGAGGCUUUGGAUCGGGAGUUGACGGUUGGGAUCUGGCACACGGGGGUAACAGCACGGCGGCAGGCGCUGCUUCGCCCACGACGAUGAAGCUGCUGGAGCUGAGGUAGGCGCGGCCUCCAGGGGGCUUGAGGCCACCGGAGUUGGCCAGGACCGGUGAGGGGGGCCCGACGAACUCAAUGGCGGGAUUCCGGCCGUGAGAACGGGACUAGGGACGAGGGAAUGACUGAGGAAGCGCUCCGGGCAGGUCGUAGUUACUCCGACGAGCAAUCUCGACCACGGGGAGGCGAAAUCGAGUGCACUGAGGCCAGUACUAGCUCCGAUGAAAGCUGCGGGACACCUACGGCCAGAGCGCGGCCACAGGACGGGACUAGAUUGGCCGGACACUGAGCAGGCACGGCAAACCAGUGCGGCAGAGCUCCGGCGAGCGUGGACUCACUACGGCAAGGCAAAAUCAGGGCAACCAGAGCAUGGGAACGGGUUCCUCACCUCGGGGCGGCGCUCGAGGAGGCUUGGCGCGGCGUCUGGUGCUCCGGGAGACUAGCACGACGAGUGCUUUCCUUCGGCGAGCUCUGGCGACGGUGGCGGCUAAGCAUGAGAGACGGCGAGAAUGGGCGAAAUGGUGCAGGGGAGGGAGAGCGGGUGUGGGUGGGUAGGGGUGUAAACGGAUAUCCGAACUUUUAGGACAAAUUUAAUAUUUUAAAAUAGAUAUGUAUGAAAUUUGAUGCUAAUCUCUUCUUAUAUUAUGAAGCACAUUAUUAUAAAUAAGAAUAAAAUUUUGUAUAAAUUAUUUCAUACAUUAUUUACUCCAUACAACAAAAAAGGUAAAAAAAUAUUUGUAUCCGUAUUCGAUUUGUAUCCAAAAUUUAUAUUUAUUAUUUGAGAAGAUAUAUGAUAGAUUUGAGGUUUACCUUUCAUGAAUCUUUAUAAGCUCAAUACUAAAAACAAGAAUAUAAAUUUGCAUAGCAGAUUCUAUAUUCUAUUAAUUCACAAUCAAAGAAAAAAGACCAAAAAACUGUUAUCUGAAUAAGAAUCCGUUUACACCCCCGCGGGUGGGGCUCAAAAAGGAGCUGGGGACGUGGGUAGGCGAUGUGGCCGGGGUUCUCGCCGUGCGUGCGCGCGGGUCAGUGGCGGUUCGCGGGGAGGGCGGAGCUGACAAGAGGGUCCCACGGCGCAGCGAGAGAUAACGUGGGGUGAACGGGCAACUGCGCUAACGGGCGGGGCCCAUUCCGCAGAGGGAUAAAGGGGCGCGCGCGAGGGGAAAUGGCGCAGACAACUCGGUCCCACCAGUCAGAGAGAGAGAGAGGGAGCGGUUGCGCGCGGGUGAAGGAUACAGCGCCGAUAGGUGGAUCCCAUCGCGCAGCGAGAGAGGGCGUGGGCGCUCGGAGCUGGGCCUAGCUGGGCCGAAAGUUGAGGCUGGGCUGAUCUCUGGUUUUUCUUUUAUUCUGAAUUUUCUAUUGCUUUUCUUUUUAUUUACUCUAUUGAAUUCAAUUCAAAUCAAACCACAAAUUCAAAUUCAAAUAUUUUAAACAUGUGUAUCAACCAAAAACAAAGUUUAAACUCAGCAUGAUGCAACAUUUCAUGUCUCCCCUAGGUUUUGAUAUUCUAAAGAAAAUAAUACACCUCUCAAUUAAAUAUCCAAAACUCUAUUAAAAGAAGAGAGAUAAAAUCUAUAGAGGUUACAAAAGAAGUAACACCUAAAUUUGAUAGAUAUUAAAGAAAAAAUUUAUAUCCCAAAUUAAAGGUGUUACAAAGACUAUCCCCGAUUGUACCUAGUAUCUUCUUCUGAAAAUAUGGAAAAGCAUGGCACAUAAGACCACAAUAGCAAUGACCAGAUCGGCUUCUAUAUGAAUCAAGCGUUUGAGAAAGAAAGCUUCUGAAUGAAUCGUCGAACUAACACAUUCAAAUUCCAGAAAAAUUUAGCAACAUACUUGCAACCUAAUACUUUUAUAGGCACAAUAGCAAACCAAUAUCCAGCAAUACCUUAAAUUGCCACUAUAUUACAAAUACAAACUUGUGCGUUUUGGCAGCUACUUCUGCCUGAAGCCUGACGGAGAGAAAAACACCACAAGUACAACAUAAUUGACGCACUGAAUAUCAUUAUACCAUGUACUUGUAAAAAACAUUAUAUUGGCACUUAGCAAUGGUGCAGGUGUCUAAUAUCAAAAUAGGUAUAUAUAAUGGUGAAAGAAGCUGAUUCAAGCCAAGAAACAAAAAUAUUCAUGCGGUUAGAACUUGACAUACCAGCCAUGUUAUAGGCUUACCUUAGGACCAUCCUUUCCUAGAACACUUCUCUUUUUAACUAGAAGGAUCUCAUUUGCAUCGAGUGUCAUCUUUGGUUUUAGUUUUGAGGGCAAACCCCCCUCAGCAAAAGAAUUUACAACCUGCAUGGAGUAGGAUGAAUAACAUCGUUACAGAUUAUUUCUGUCAGAAUAACAAUAAAUCAAAGGGACAUGAUAAUGAAGACCAGGUAAAGAACCUUGGAUAAACUAAUACCUCUUUUCCUUCUGUUGAUGUGCUCUCCUUUGGGAUUAAUAUCAGUGGACAGUUGGCAUUGUGGUUAGCUGAGAGCUCCAGUGGGGACUAGUGCUUAGAUCAAAGCUUUUUAGAUAUAAGGAACGAACUUUCCAGAACUGUCUAGAUUGUUUAAAAUAAGUAUUCCAAUGUAAUGAUUUGUGAUGUUCAUGUUGUUAAAAUUGAAGAUUCGAAUGAUGCAUCUGUUGUGGUUUCUGCAGUGAUUACAAAUGCUGGUGUUGCUUCCUGUAUUACAAGCGAAGCUCCCUUGGUUAAUAUGCAUUUAGAAGACGUUGCGCCUGAAAUAAAGGACUCAGAAUUUUAAUAGGUCAGUGGGUAGGAUUCCAUUCUGCUCUGCUGGGAGGGCAGUGAGUGCUUCUAACACCUCAAAUCCAUCAAUUUAAAAUAAUACAUUAAUAGUUAUUUAAAACCUAGUAGGGAAUAAAGUAGAAAUUUGAAACAAGUGUUUGACCUCAUUUGUCUUUAGAGAAUGAUUUUUGUUUGCUCAUAAUUGAUUGAUGAUUUUAUAAAAUCCCUUUUAUGUGAAACCCACUUAAUUAAAAUAGGAACUUUGGUCCAAAAAUAAAUAUUUCAAUUAUAAAUAAUUCUUGUAUAAUUAUUAUGAUUUUUUGAAGUAUUUAAAAAUAUAUUUAUUUAUAUUUAUGGGUUAUAAAAAAGAUUUUGGAACCCCUAGCCGAACCGACCGAUUUGGCCCAUAUAGGCCCAGACGCCACUCCCCCUCCUUUCUCCCACUAACGAGCGGGCCACACCCGGCCCCUUCCCCUUCCUCCAGCUGCUCCCAUGCCCGACCCCACGCCAGUGCGUGCGCCCGCGCCUGGCCGGACCGUCCGCGCCCUCUCGGCUGCGCCCGACCCUUGCCUCCCCGCGCCCGAAACAGCUGCCGCCGGUCCUUCCUAUCCCCCACUUCCCCUCUCUCCAUCAAUGGAGGUAACCGCCGCCGCCAUAGCUGGACGUCGGCAUCUCCCUCCCCGGCUCUUCCUCUCCCUCUCCCCCUCUAUAAAAUUGGCCACUACCGAGCUCUCCCCUCUCCUGCCGAGCUCGCCCUCUCCUUCUCCCUCUCUCCCCUUCUCUCUCUCGCUCGGCCACAGCAGCCGCCGCUGGACCGUUCGCUGCCACGUCCGUGCCCCUACCCCGGCCUUGUCUCGGCCGCACGCCCUCGUCUCGGUCGCGUCCGUACAGUCUGCGCUCGUGCCUCACCGUCGACCACUCCCUGCUCGAUGCCGUUCCUCCUCUCCCUUCAUUCGUCGACAAACCGCUCAAACACAAGAACUAGAGGUUGAAGACAACUCGAAUUUUAUUUAAAUUUUCAAAAUCAUGUUUUAUGUAACUAUUUGUUUUAAUUUGUGUAUAUUGUGAUGUGUAUGUAAAUGCUUGAUUUUAAGUGUAUGUGAUGAAUUAGUAUAUUAUUAUCUUUCAUAUGGUGUAUGUUAAUUGUUUACAAUUUUUUAGAAUUUAUGUUUAGAAAGAAGAAUGACAGGAUUUGGUAGACCACGUGUUAGUGAUGAAAACACUAGAUGAGUGAUUUCACAAUUAAAUCUUGUUUAUAAUGAAUUUAGAGUUUAGUCGAGAUGUAUGUACUCAUAGGUUCAUAUACUUAAUUUAGAUCCACUAAAUAAAUAAUAGAAGCUUUAUUAACAUUGAGAUAAUAUAAGUAGUACCCAUGUUCAUAAUAAUCCAAAUAGUGUAGUCUAAUCAGUGGUUUAAUUUACUAAUAAAAUUACUUGACCUCUGAUUAUUAUGAUGACAUUUUUCCUUUAAAAAGAACGGAUAAAACUAAAAGUAGACACUUGUUUAUGGUAGAAAUAAUUAAUUAAUUUAUUUCUGUAGAGUUGGUUAAAUCACUACCUCUAAGCUAUGUUAUGUAAAGUACUUUGUAGUCGAAUUUCCAUAUAUCUUUCACUAGUGAUAAUCCAAAAAUAGAAUUUAUAUUUUAUGUCAUAGCAAAUGGAUGUCAAUAAGUGUAGAUUAAUGAUAUGAUUACGAACUAGGUUUUAUUCUAGACGUUUUUUAGUAUGGUUUGUAUGGUGAAUGUUAUUCAUGUAAUGGGGUAUGUUACUCAUGUAAUGGUGUAUGUUUAUUUAUCGAUCAAUGUUUUCUUUUGUGAAAGCAUCUAGGCCCCUGGUUGGUUUUAGUGAUUAAUGACAACGUAAUGUUAUAUGUGACUAACGUGUGUUUUGCAGAGACAAAUGGUAAGUUAGGUCGCAUUACAGGUAGUACUACAACGGUGAAAACAAUCCCGGAAAUGAGAACUCGAAGCGACGGCUAAAGCGACGAAACAAAAGGUGAAUGUCUACGUAGUCCGAGUGUCAAGGAGUUGCGGACACUCGUGAUUUAGUUAGGUCUUUUAUUUUGUUUUAGCCGUACUAUAAAGUGGGGUUGUCGAUGAGUAGUUUGACCAAGAGAGUUCUAGUGUAGUGUUGGUGCAUAUUCACACUCACAUAUAGUGCUAGGUGACACUCUAGAACAUACUCACAAGUUAGAAUGAAAACCGAUUUGAAAAACAGCGGAAAAUAGAAAAUAGGGUUUCUGACUGUGGGGCACCGGAUUGUCCGUUGCGCCCUCUGCCAGGUGGGGCCGGAUGGCCCGAGGAAGGGUUUCCCCGCGCGUAGAAACUCGAGAGCGCAAGGUUCCCGAGUGGAAUUUUAGUGGCGCAUCGGACAGCACACCAGACAGUGCACCGGACAGUGACUGUUCACUGUCCGGUGUGCCAUCAGCCCAACGGCUAGCUGUCAAAACUAGCCGUUGGAGUCGACCGUUGGCGCACCGAACUGUCCGGUGCGCCCAUGCACAGAACAGUGUUGGUAACAGCUAGUUGGUGGGUGAGGGCUAUUUAUACCCCCUCCACCCACCAUAUUCAAUGUCUUGCUGCCCACAUUAAUUCCUGCACAUUGGAAGAGCAUUGCAAGCACCAAAAUCCUAGUGAGGUGAUUAGAGAAUCUUAAACCCGCAUUUGGACCUCAUUAGCGCUAGCGAGAGCCACCUAGAGCACACACACCACUUGCAUUAGGCUUCUCUUGGUCAAGCGAAAGUCUACGACUUGUUACUCUUGGUGAUCGGCAUCACCUAGACGGCUUGGUGGCGUUGGGAGCUCGGUGAUCACCGUGGAGAUCUUGUUGGUGACCCAACUCAAGUUUGUAAGCGGUCGUGAGGGAUCCACCAUGCCGGAGUGGCAAAGGAUCAUCUCGUAGUGAGCACUUGGUUCUUGCAAGGACCAAGGGGGAGCGAUACCCUUGCGCGGGUGCUCCAACGAGGACUAGUGGAGAGUGCCGACUCUUCGAUACCUCGGGAAAAAUUGGAGGAGUCUUCUAAACCUUGCUUUACAUUCCACACUUAAUUCAAGAAUUUUACAUUGUGUAUUUGUUUAGCAAGUAUUUGAAGUAUUGUCCUAGCAUUGUUGUAUUUCUGUUAUUAUUCUCUUAGUGCUAGUUGUUGGGGUGAAGUUGGGCUCUUGCUUAGGUUUUAAUUAGUGUUGAUUUUUUAGAAAAGCCCAAUUCACCCCCUCUCUUGGGCGUCGUGAUCCUUUCAAUUGGUAUCAGAGCCUUGUUGCUCUUAGAUUAGCUUAAUCGCUAGAGUAACGAUGUCCAGUGGGGAUGGUCCUCCUCCCGUUUUUGAUGGCGACGAUUUUCCAUAUUGGAAAAUUCGUAUGGAAGCAUAUUUAGAGGCUAUAGACAUUGGUGUCUACAAAGCCGCCACACAAGGAUUCCCCGAACCUAGAGAUCCCACAAAUCUUGUAGGUGAAGAGUUUAAUUAUGAGAAAUGGAAUGCUGAGGCCAAAAACACCCUUUUUAGAGGCCUUUGCAAAGAUGUGUUUAAUAGAGUUAGAAAUCUUAAAAAUGCUCAUGAUUUGUGGAUGGACAUUUGUGCUCUACAUGAAGGAACUAGGAGUGAGCGUGAGGAGCGAUAUCACAUUGCUAUGAGAAAGUUAAAUUCUUUUGAAAUGCUUGCUAAUGAAAAUGCCAAUGCUAUGUACUCACGUCUCAAUAUUCUUGUAGAGGAAGUAAAUGGCUUGGGGCUUACACAAAUUUCACAAUCGGAUGUUGUGAGGAAGAUUCUCAAUGUCCUCCCAAUUGACAAAUAUGGACACAUUGUCACUAUGCUGCAUCAAAUGGAUCUUUCAGUUACCACACCUACACAUAUAUUGGGAAAGAUCAAUGCUCAUGAGAUGUACAUGCACAUCAAUGACAAGGAUGAGUCAUCUUCCAAGAGAAAGGAUUUGGCUCUCAAAGCAAAUCAAGAAAGAAAAGGAAAAGCUAAAGUACAAAUUGAGGAAAAAUCCUCAAGGAUGAUGACCUUGAUACUAACAUUGACUUGAUGGUGAGGAAGACCACCAAGAUGUUAAAGAAGCUCAACAGAGAAGGCAUCAAAUUUGAUUCAAGAAAGAAUAAAUUCUUUUCCAGUAAAAGAAAGCCCAUUUCUGAAAUGGAUUGCUACAACUGUGGAGAGCUCGGUCAUCUUGCUCAUCAAUGUAACAAGCCCAAGAAGAACAAGUUCAAGGGCAAGAAAGAAGAUGACAGCGAUGAUGAGAAAAAGGAAAAGAGAUUCUUCAAGAGGAAGGAUGGGAAGUACAAGAGGUUCCACAAAAAAAAAUGGAAAGGCAUAUAUUGUUGGUGACUGGCUCACUGGCAUUGAGUCAUCAAGUGGAUCUUCUUCAAGUGACGAAGAAAAUGAUGAAAAAGUUGCCGCCAUCGCUGGGGACUUCUCUUCACCACCACCAUCGCCAUCAUCGACUUCUCACCUAUGCCUCUUGGCUAGAGGUGAACGGAAGGUGAACUACAAGAUCGGUGGGAGCCAUUGGGUUAUUGAUAGUGGAUGCACACAACAUAUGACAGGCAACCCACGGAUGUUAACCUCACUUGAUGAGAAUGUUGAUGGACAAGACAAAAUCACAUUUGGGGACAAUUCAAAAGGGAAAGUUCAAGGACUUGGCAAGAUGGCAAUUUCAAAUGAUCUAUCAAUUUCAAAUGUUCUCUUGGUUGCACCUUUGAGCUUCAACUUAUUAUCAGUGGGUCAACUCUGUGAUCUUGGACUUCAAUGCUUAUUCACUCCAAUAGAGGUUAUUGUAUCAAAAAUGGAUGAUGAAUCAAUGGUGUUCAAAGGAUUUAGAUACAACAAUCUCUACUUAGUGGAUUUCACCUCAGAAGAUGCAGACUUAAGAACUUGCCUCUUCACCAAAGCAUCACUUGGAUGGCUCUGGCAUAGGAGGCUUGCACAUGUUGGGAUGAGCACACUCAAGAAGGUAUUAAAGAAGGACAUGGUUAGAGGAUUAAAGGAUGUUAUAUUUGAAAAGGACAAGCCUUGUAGUGCAUGUCAAGCUAGGAAGCAAGUUGCUAAUACACAUCCUACAAAAGCUUUCUUGUCGACAUCAAGGCCACUGGAACUACUUCAUAUGGAUUUAUUUGGACCUACAAAUUAUGUAAGUGCUGGUGGCAACCUCUACUAUCUGGUGAUAGUUGAUGAUUUCUCAAGAUACACUUGGGUGUUCUUUCUCCAUGACAAAUCUGAAGUUGCAUCUAUAUUCAAGAAGUUUGCCAAGAAAGCUCAAAAUGAAUUUGAUUGCAAGAUCAAGAAGAUUAGAAGUGAUAAUGGUAAAGAAUUUGACAACACCAACAUUCAUGAAUACUGUGAUGAGAUUGGGAUCAAGCAUGAAGUAUCUGCAACAUAUACACCUCAACAAAAUGGAGUUAUUGAAAGAAAAAACAGGACCUUGAUCACACUUGCAAGAACAAUGAUUGAUGAGUAUAACACACCGGAGAGGUUUUGGGCCGAAGCUGUCAACACUGCAUGUUAUGCAUCAAACAGGCUAUUUCCUCACUGGCUGCUUGCGAAGACUCCCUAUGAACUGCUAAAUGGGAAAAAGCCAGACGUCUCCUUCAUCCAGGUAUUUGGAUGCAGAUGCUACAUUUACAAGAAACACCAUCACCUAGGGAAGUUUCAAAGACGUUGUGAUAUUGUUUUUCUAUUGGGUUAUUCAUUAAAGUCCAAAGCAUAUCGAGUAUUGAAUCAUGCCACUAGCGUGGUAGAAGAAACAUAUGAUGUGGAAUUUGAUGAGACUAAUGGCUCCCAAGAAGCACUUGAAAAUCUUGAUGAUGUAGGUGAUGAGCCACUCAGGGAAGCCAUGAAGAACAUGCCAAUUGGAGCUAUCAAACCAAAAGAAGAUGAAGAAGAGGUGCCAAACAUUGACAGGCCUUCUUCAUCAAGUGUACCACAAGAUGAUGAAAAAGAUGAGAGGCAUGCAAAUGAAGAUACAUUUGUUUCUCAUGAACAAGCAAGGUGUAACACCCCAGGGUCCACAAACACCCCGGAAUGCUACUGAACUACAUAUCUGACAUCCAUAUAUAAAAUUUCGGCAGCAUCUCUUUUGAAAGAUUGCAUAAACGAGGGGCAACAGUGUAUAAACAUAUAUCAUGAAAAAAAACAUACUAAGCAUUAUUAAUCUGCUAGCAAAGGAAAGUUAAACAUAACGAUAUGAACUGAAUUAACCAGUGCACACGACUAGGAAAAAACAAACAUCAUUUGUCAUCGAGUUUCUAAUUAAAUCAUGGCUGCAAGUGGGCAUCGUUAUUAUAAUAGUGAAGGUGAACGUGCUGCUACUUCCCUCAUUCCCAACAUGAAUCAAGUACCUGCAUUGAGUAAUGCAAGAGUGAGAUGAUACAUCUCAGCAAGCAAAUUGUUUUGACGAGAUAUUUAAACCACAAAUUGAAUUAAACAACAUUUUAAAGGAAUCACAAUUGAGAUCAGAAAUACUUGUAGAUAUAGAACUCAAUAGUCCCAAUAUAACCAAUACCAUCUCAUUUCCUCGAACAACCACAAUAGGUUGUAUAACCCUUCCCUGCGUCAACAAUACCUGCAGAUAUCACUUCAAUGUAUGCAUAGGAAUGCAAUGUGUAGGUCAUCUGCCCUCAUACCUCUGAGAGUAUAAAACCACAUCAUCUGCUAAUAUCACUUCAAUGAAUGCAUAUAAAUGCAAUGCAUAUGUCCUCUGCCUUCAUACCUCUAAGGGUAUGAAGCCGCAUCGUACCCCUCCUCGGGAACGUACGAUGCUAAGUUGUACCGGUACGGUCGGACCAUAGGUCACGACCAAACUUCAGAUGCAAAUGAAUCAUGUAAUGCAUAUGGCAUGCUGCAUUUAUCAAUACACUUCACUUCCUUCAGAUACAAAACAAACCUCAAAUAAUACUUCAUCUGCCUUCAGAUACGAUACAGACCUCAAAUAAUACUUUAUCUGCCUUCACGGGUGUAAAUUAAUCUCAUGGGUUAUACUCGAACCAUAAUCAUCAUCAAUAUAUGAUUGAGCAUCAGUAUAAUACAAUCAAGUAAAGCAUCACCAUAGAGUUCAAUUAUGAAAGAAUUCCAUAAUUCUGAAUAUUAGAGUGUUGGCGAUAAAAAAACAACAAUUCAAAACGGUAGAAACCACUGCUACAAUCACUUGCCUUCAUCGAGGAAGAAAGAUGUACUAGGCAUGAUCCGGAGUGUAGCCACCUGCUAGCGGGCAUAAAAUUUAGUACAAAUAUUUGACAAACAUUUGCCAACAAUCAACAAAUCGCUCCUACACUUGAAACCAAGACCCGGUGGAAAGACUCCCACCCUGAACCACAUGCCAAACAACAACAACACUGUUUGUUAAUUUUAUAUCUUUAAAAUUAUAACAGUGGUGAUAUUAAACAAAUACUCUAGGAGUGUAUACACAAAAUACUCUACAACUUCAGUAUUCAAUGGAUAAUUAAAUUCUGCCAUCUAUAAGUUCUAAAACAUCUGAUAAGAUAAAUGUCUGAAUCUGUUUCAGACAGCAACAUAGUUAACUUCAAAAUUCAAUAUCUACCAAACUACUCAACCAAAAAUUAUGAAAUUCUGCUGGCAGUAAGAACUUUUAUCCCUCUACAAAUGUCUCCAUAGUUGGAACAGCCAAUUCGGCUAUUUACUAUAUGAAACCCACCAGUGAACAGACCCGCUCAUUUUUGUCAGGCAAACAGGAACAUCCACAGUAAAACAAACAUACUGGAGUUUCAUAAUUCAUAUGAAUGCGCUCUUUAACAAUCUGGAAAGCUUAUAAAAUUGUCUACAACUUCUUUUACAAUCCUAAAGUUUAAUUCUGUAGAUAAAAUUGCCUAAAUCUUAAGAGAACAGAUUCUGCACAGAAUUAUGAGACUGAAAAACUGCUAUAAUCAAACUGCAAUAACUUUCUGAUCUGAUGUCCGAUUGAGGUGUUCUUCGCGGCCACGGAAAGAUAUACAAAUUAUCUACGACUCAUAGACAGACGUUUUAUUUUUUUGAGGCCACUAAGAUCACGGAAAACUGGCAUGAACAGAAACUGUUGAAUCUGCCAUCCUGCAGAAACUAAUUUCGAGAUCAAAAUCUAAUCUCCCAUCUAAUCCAACCAAAAAAACUAAUUGCAGGGCCUAAAACUCAUCCAAAACAAGAGAAAGCAUUCAUCAAGUGGAGAAAAGAGAGAGACGAAAGGAAAUCCAACCAAUUCUUGGAUAGGAACGACGAUGAUGAGCGACGGUAUGCCCUUAUCUCCCCUCUCUUCUCUUCUCUUCUUUUUUCUUCCUCUCAUCUCUUGGGGCAAGGCACAAAAGGGUGACGGCUGCUAGGGGUGGGAGGACGUGGAUUCUAGGGUUAGGGAGGUAUAAAUAGAAGGAAACUUCCACAAUCCUAAUAUCCAAUGGCUCAGAUCAACCGGCACUCGAAAAGACUCAUCUGGACUUCAAACAAGGCAAACUAGUGAUUGAUCGGAAUCAUCUUGAUGAGAUCUAUACAUCUACGACCUCCGAUCAUCCAUAGGACACACCAUAUUUGGAUUAUAAAAAUGGUUUAUUUUUUUAGGGUGUUACAUUCUACCCCCCUUAAAAAGAAUUCGUCCUCGAAUUCGACCACUCCAAGCAAAACAUCCAAGGUACCCCAAAUAGCACCACCAUUGAAAACAUGGGUCCAUUAUUGGUAUUAAUCAACACAAGAACUUCUACCUCGGACUAAUGGUCUAAGGAAGCUACACAACCUGACAACAAGCAUGAAACAACCUGCAAUGAAGCUCAAAGCAAGUCAUAGAUGCGAUCAACACUACGAUUUCACAACAUCGAAUUUGGAUGCAGCCAUACAUCAGCAUCAAUGUCUUAAAACGACACUCUUUUAUGAAGGAGUAAUAUGCACUAAGCACAACCCUUACCAACUUCAAUAAUUUAUUUUAAUUCAAUGGUAAAACAUCCACACCAGAUGAACGUAUAAAAAGAUCAAACACCUCACCUCACAGCACCACAAAACAAGUGGUUCUAUUGAAACAAAACUCCUAAUCUUCCUAAACCCCGUUCUUGCCAUCAUGAAAAGAUAAUCAUGUAAUCUAACAUUCUUUGCACCCCACAAAAGGGAGAAACUCUACAGAACUAAUGGAGCAAUAAAGCAGACAAGAAGCCCAUAACAUUCUGUGCGGCACAUUUCAUCGAAGAAAUGCCAAAAACUCCACAAAGAGCAUUGAUAGCACAACAACAACACAAUACUUGCUUAACCAAUGUCGCUAUACUUCAUCCAACAACUCAACUAAGAAAAAUAACCAAACUAGUAAGGUUAACCUACAAAUAAUAUAAUUCUUCAUCUACUGUAGUUCAGAAACUUACAUUUCAUUCUAUCAUACGACGCACUCAAAGUACUAGACAUACGAGGUCAAUGAUAACCCCGUAAUCCUUCACACAUUUGACAAACAUCUCAAGUUGAUGUAAAAAACCACAUCAUUUAGGAAUAGGUGACUAACCACACACAACCAACUCUAGGCUAGGCAAUGACUUCAUUCAAACCAAUAGAUAGGUGGUCCAACAAUGGAUCCACCAGCAUGCAUCAGGGAGAGAACCAUCUGAUCCUCAACGUAUUAAUACAUAAUCAAUAGAUCAAGAAAAACAAAGAUUUAUUCUACAACUAGCAUGACUAACAUGCAACCACUUUAAACCACCUCCAACUGUAACACCCUGGGGUCCACAAACACCCCGGAAUGCUACUAAAACACACAAUAGAAGAGAGACAUGUAAGCCAUUCUAGCUUUGUAAAGACUUCCCCAAAAUUCAUAUAAAAGUACCAAUAUUCAUUUCUUUCAGAACUAGUUUCUCGACAUAAACAAUCAUUCUUUGCAAAGAUAGUUGGAACUAUCCACCAACCACUCAACAACUUUAAUUCAAAUUGAUGGUUACCUUGUAACCCAAAACACGCAAUUCACACUCCUCUUAGGAACAUCCUCAAUCAAGCAUAUAUAACAAUAUUAUUGCAAUAAAACUCAACCAUGAAAAACAUGAUGAAAUCAACAUAGGCAUACUUGUAUAUCACAAGCAUAAUAACAACUUCAAUCUUACCAAAGACCAGCGAUAUCAAUCGCAUUAAUAAAACAAUAUAAAGAUUUAGAGAUAAAUCAUAUUAGGCAUUAAGUCAUAAACAACAUACCACAUUACCGUAAAGGAAUAGGGAUGGGUGAAAUUAUUGUCAUAUGCACUUCAAAGACACUAAUAUAUAUCAAAGAUAUUUGAACUCAUACCCUUCCUAUAUGUGCAAGUGUGUCAAAUUUAUUUUCAAAUUGCCAAGAAUCUAAAGCCUAUGCUUUGAUACCAACUGUAACACCCCAGGGUCCACAAACACCCCGGGAUGCUACUGAACUACACAUCUGACAUCCAUAUAUAAAAUUUCGGCAGCAUCUCUUUUGAAAGAUUGCAUAAACGAGGGGCAACAGUGUAUAAACAUAUAUCAUGAAAAAAAAACAUACUAAGCAUUAUUAAUCUGCUAGCAAAGGAAAGUUAAACAUAACGAUAUGAACUGAAUUAACCAGUGCACACGACUAGGAAAAAACAAACAUCAUUUGUCAUCGAGUUUCUAAUUAAAUCAUGGCUGCAAGUGGGCAUCGUUAUUAUAAUAGUGAAGGUGAACGUGCUGCUACUUCCCUCAUUCCCAACAUGAAUCAAGUACCUGCAUUGAGUAAUGCAAGAGUGAGAUGAUACAUCUCAGCAAGCAAAUUGUUUUGACGAGAUAUUUAAACCACAAAUUGAAUUAAACAACAUUUUAAAGGAAUCACAAUUGAGAUCAGAAAUACUUGUAGAUAUAAAACUCAAUAGUCCCAAUAUAACCAAUACCAUCUCAUUUCCUCGAACAACCACAAUAGGUUGUAUAACCCUUCCCUGCGUCAACAAUACCUGCAGAUAUCACUUCAAUGUAUGCAUAGGAAUGCAAUGUGUAGGUCAUCUGCCCUCAUACCUCUGAGAGUAUAAAACCACAUCAUCUGCUAAUAUCACUUCAAUGAAUGCAUAUAAAUGCAAUGCAUAUGUCCUCUGCCUUCAUACCUCUAAGGGUAUGAAGCCGCAUCGUACCCCUCCUCGGGCAACGUACGAUGCUAAGUUGUACCGGUACGGUCGGACCAUAGGUCACGACCAAACUUCAGAUGCAAAUGAAUCAUGUAAUGCAUAUGGCAUGCUGCAUUUAUCAAUACACUUCACUUCCUUCAGAUACAAAACAAACCUCAAAUAAUACUUCAUCUGCCUUCAGAUACGAUACAGACCUCAAAUAAUACUUUAUCUGCCUUCACGGGUGUAAAUUAAUCUCAUGGGUCAUACUUGAACCAUAAUCAUCAUCAAUAUAUGAUUGAGCAUCAGUAUAAUACAAUCAAGUAAAGCAUCACCAUAGAGUUCAAUUAUGAAAGAAUUCCAUAAUUCUGAAUAUUAGAGUGUUGGCGAUAAAAAAACAACAAUUCAAAACGGUAGAAACCACUGCUACAUUCACUUGCCUUCAUCGAGGAAGAAAGAUGUACUAGGCAUGAUCCGGAGUGUAGCCACCUGCUAGCGGGCAUAAAACUUAGUACAAAUAUUUGACAAACAUUUGCCAACAAUCAACAAAUCGCUCCUACACUUGAAACCAAGACCCGGUGGAAAGACUCCCACCCUGAACCGCAUGCCAAACAACAACAACACUGUUUGUUAAUUUUAUAUCUUUAAAAUUAUAACAGUGGUGAUAUUAAACAAAUACUCUAGGAGUGUAUACACAAAAUACUCUACAACUUCAGUAUUCAAUGGAUAAUUAAAUUCUGCCAUCUAUAAGUUCUAAAACAUCUGAUAAGAUAAAUGUCUGAAUCUGUUUCAGACAGCAACAUAGUUAACUUCAAAAUUCAAUAUCUACCAAACUACUCAACCAAAAAUUAUGAAAUUCUGCUGGCAGUAAGAACUUUUAUCCCUCUAUAAAUGUCUCCAUAGUUGGAACAGCCAAUUCGGCUAUUUACUAUAUGAAACCCACCAGUGAACAGACCCGCUCAUUUUUGUCAGGCAAACAGAAACAUCCACAGUAAAACAAACAUAACUGGAGUUUCAUAAUUCAUAUGAAUGCGCUCUUUAACAAUCUGGAAAGCUUAUAAAAUUGUCUACAACUUCUUUUACAAUCCUAAAGUUUAAUUCUGUAGAUAAAAUUGCCUAAAUCUUAAGAGAACAGAUUCUGCACAGAAUUAUGAGACUGAAAAACUGCUAUAAUCAAACUGCAAUAACUUUCUGAUCUGAUGUCCGAUUGAGGUGUUCUUCGCGGCCACGGAAAGAUAUACAAAUUAUCUACGACUCAUAGACAGACGUUUUAUUUUUUUGAGGCCACUAAGAUCACGGAAAACUGGCAUGAACAGAAACUGUUGAAUCUGCCAUCCUGCAGAAACUAAUUUCGAGAUCAAAAUCUAAUCUCCCAUCUAAUCCAACCAAAAAAACUAAUUGCAGGGCCUAAAACUCAUCCAAAACAAGAGAAAGCAUUCAUCAAGUGGAGAAAAGAGAGAGACGAAAGGAAAUCCAACCAAUUCUUGGAGAGGAACGACGAUGAUGAGCGACGGUAUGCCCUUAUCUCCCCUCUCUUCUCUUCUUUUUUCUUCCUCUCAUCUCUUGGGGCAAGGCACAAAAGGGUGACGGCUGCUAGGGGUGGGAGGACGUGGAUUCUAGGGUUAGGGAGGUAUAAAUAGAAGGAAACUUCCACAAUCCUAAUAUCCAAUGGCUCAGAUCAACCGGCACUCGGAAAGACUCAUCUGGACUUCAAACAAGGCAAACUAGUGAUUGAUCGGAAUCAUCUUGAUGAGAUCUAUACAUCUACGGCCUCCGAUCAUCCAUAGGACACACCAUAUUUGGAUUAUAAAAAUGGUUUAUUUUUUAGGGUGUUACACAAGGGUACAAGCCGAAGAUGUUGAUGCUCCAGGAUCUUCUUCCCAAGUGGUUGACAAGAGAACUCAUCACUACUUCAAGCUCACCCUCAAAACCAAAUCAUUGGGAGUCCUUCACAAGGGGUUAUUACUCGAUCACAUAAACAUGCUUAUUUUAUUGAACAUCACUCCUUUGUCUCUUGUGUUGAACCUACAUGCAUAGAUGAGGCGCUACAGGAUCCGGACUGGGUGAACGCCAUGCAUGAAGAACUAAACAACUUCACUCGUAACCAAGUUUGGACCCUAGAGAAGCCCCCACAAGAUGCAAGAAUCAUUGGAACAAAGUGGGUGUUCAGAAACAAACAAGAUGAUCAAGGCGUGAUUGUAAGGAACAAGGCAAGAAUUGUUGCAAAGGGAUUCUCUCAAGUUGAAGGCUUAGAUUUUGGAGAGACCUUUGCACCGGUUGCUCGACUGGAAGCCAUCCGUAUCCUACUCGCAUAUGCAUCAUGCUAUGAUAUAAAGCUUUAUCAAAUGGAUGUAAAAAGUGCAUUUUUAAAUGGCUUCAUAAAUGAACUUGUAUAUGUUGAGCAACCACCUGGGUUUCAAGAUCCUAGAUAUCCUAACCAUGCUUACAGGUUGUCCAAGGCACUAUAUGGAUUAAAGCAAGCUCCAAGGGCUUGGUAUGAGCGUCUUCGCGACUUCCUCAUCGAGAAGGGCUUCAAGAUCGGGACCGUCGACACAACUCUAUUUACAAAGAAACAUAACGAUGAUAUUUUCAUUUGUCAAGUAUAUGUUGAUGACAUAAUCUUUGGCUUGACAAAUGACUAUCAUUGCAAGGAAUUUGGUGAGUUGAUGUCGAAGGAGUUCGAUAUGUCAAUGAUUGGUGAGCUAAUGUACUUCCUCGGCUUUCAAGUCAAGCAAAUGAAAGAUGGUAAUUUUCUCUCACAAGAGAAGUAUACCAAAGACUUGUUGAAAAGGUUCAACAUGGAGAAGUGCAAACCAAUCAAGACACCUAUGCCAACAAAUGGACAUCUCGACCUAGAUGAGGGAGGUAACCCGGUUAAUCAAACUCUCUACAGUUCUAUGAUUGGUAGUUUAUUGUAUCUUACCGCAUCUAGGCCCGAUAUCAUGUUUAGUGUCUACAUGUGUGCCAGAUUUCAAUCAAAUCCUAAGAAAGCUCAUCUUCGCGUUGUUAAAAGAAUUCUUAGGUAUCUCAAACACACCUCAAGCUUUGGUCUGUGGUAUCCCAAAGGAGCUACUUUUGACUUAAUUGUCUAUUCUGAUUCGGAUUAUGCCGGUUGCAAAAUUGAUAGAAAAAAGUACUUCUGGGGGAUGCCAUCUGCUUGGGAGAUCACUAGUAUCAUGGACAUCCAAAAGGCAAAACAAUGUUGCCUUGUCAACUGCGGAAGCGGAAUACAUUGUCGCAGGUGCUUGUUGCACACAAAUUUUAUUUAUGAAACAAACUCUUCUAGACUAUGGCGUAGUUCUAGAAAAGGUACCUUUGUUAUGUGACAAUGAGAGUGUUGUUAAAAUUGCUAAUAACCCUGUACAACACUCUCGCACCAAGCACAUUGAUAUCCGUCAUCACUUCCUUAGAGAUCAUGUUGCAAAAGGAGAUAUCAUUUUAGAAGGAGUGAGGUCGGAAGAUCAAUUAGCGGAUAUUUUCACUAAGCCACUUGAUAAAACCCGCUUUUGCAUGUUGAUGAAUGAAUUAAAUAUACUUGAUCGCAGAAAUUUUAUUUAAGAUGUCGAAUGGUGUUGUCAAGCUUGCAUUGCAUAUUUAAAUUUCUUGUAUUGUAUCUAGGGCUUGUCUAACCUAGUUGAGAUAACCGCCAACAAAGCGAGUGAAAAAGCUUAACUCGGGAUCAAACUUGACAAGUCUUAGUUUUAAGCUUUUAGUACUUAAAUUCUUACUUACUAUACAAUUGUUGGUUCUUGAGAUAUGCAUGAGGUACUGCACUUAGGGGGAGUAUUCAAAACUCAAAACACUAAUGAAAACCCCUAGUGCAAGGCCAAAAUGCAAAUUUCACCAUUUGCCUAUUUUCUCUAAAAAUUAUCUAGCCUAUAGAAAAAUAUUUUGAAAAUUAUGAGAAAAUAUAUGAGGGUGCCAAUACCUGUCCCAAAAAGUGUUAUUUUGUGUGAUUAUAAGUUGGGAUUUGGUUUGGUUGAAAACUAGAUAGAAAAUUUGAAAAAUUUCAAAAUUCUCUCUGUCUGGGCUCACCGGACAGUCAGGUGUGCACCGGACACUGCACUGUGCACUGUCCGGUGCACCGGCAGCCGCGCGCGUAUAUCCCCUCUCCUGUGCGCUGUCCGGUGUGCACCAGACAGGCACUGUAGACUGUCCGGUGCGCCCAUAAACGGUUUUUAAAAAACCUUUCCCCGCCCGAGCCCGAGGCUGGGUGUUUUUUCUCUGGCCACUGCCUCUGCUCUCUCUGUCUCUGGCGACACCCUCUGCCCUCCGGCGACCCUCCCCUCGCCGGCGGCCGUGCUCCGAUGGCCUAGCUCCAGCCUGUGCUCGGCCCCCUCCUCUGGUGAGCUCCUCCCUCAUCUUCUCCUCUCUCUCUGUUUCAAGAAGCAGUGAAGCUCUCUCUCCUUCCUCCUUUUGUGCAAAUUCAAAUCCUUGUGAAAUUCCUGUGAAUCAAAGUGUUGGAUGUGUGUCCUUGUGUCCCAUUGUAUCCCCCUGCAGGUCUUGAGCUCCUUAGGGAGGGUUUCACCACCUAAAAUGGGCAUUUCACUCUAAACCUAAAACACCGCACGCCACAUGCUCGGUGAAAUGCCCAAACCAGCCAAAAAUGUUGCAAUCGAUCCCAAAUUUUUCAGGCACCUUCACAAUACCUCCAGUAACAUAUUUGCUAAAUUUCACGCCAAUUCGAUAUACGAGGCUUCAAUUUCACACAAUUCCCCAUUUCUAGCAAUCAAUUCCGAGUCGAGUGCCCAAAUUCCAUUUUCUUCGCCUAAAAUCAAACCAAGCACACACUUCACUCAUAUUUACCCAUAUAAACCAAUUUGUGAAGUAUCGGCUCAAUUCCCUGUCAUUUCAUGCCUCACUUCAAAUUUCAAACUUCCUAUGGCACUAUUUCUCGUUCAAACGCCGUUUUCGCGUCGUUUGACCUCUCGAUCGCCAUAACUCUCUAUUUCUAUGCCAUAACACUCUAUGUAUGUAUUUAUUCACAUUUCAUAUACUUAUGACUAUGUGACUAAUACGUGCUCACCUCUUCUGUCAUUUCAGUGACUUUGUCUGCCCGUGAGCCAUCUCCUGUCCUGCUUGGGUUCUCUCCCUCUCGUGUGAUAUUUCCAGGUAGCUCUUCGCUCUUUUGUCAUUCUAUCGACUGUUAUCUUCUUGUGCUUAGCUUCUCUCUCUCAUUUGCAGUCGUCAGGUCAGGAUGCCGCGCACGAAGAAUGUGUCGGCGCCAGGGGGAGGAGAUGAUGAGGAUCCUCCUCGCCCUUUCAGGCAGGUCAAGGGGAAGACAGUUUACUUGGAGCAGCAGGAAGGCCGCAAGAAGCGGCGUCUGGACAGAGCAGCCCGAGCAGCAGCGGCAGCUGCUGAGCAGGCAGAGCGAGGAGCUCAGCUACAGAUUCCCUCCGACCAGAUUGCUUACCGAGUGCGUCGCCUCGCAUCUCGGCCUCGCUCCUCUGCACCUACCACUCCCGCCACUGCUACCACUCCACCACCCACUUCGCCCGCUCCAGUCACUCCUGCUCCAUCCACCACCUCAGCCAUACCUACCACCUCCACCACUCCAACUUCCACUGCUCCUCCUCCCGCUCCCCUUUCCGCUCCUCCUAUCCCAUCUGCUCGCUUCUGGGAGUGCGAUGAGACUGAGGUGCAACCUCUGGCUACGGAUCCCAGGCUAUUUGAUCUUCAGCGUGCUACAAUGGCACGGGUACGUCGAUUCAGACACGUACCCGUGGAGACUUGGCUACCGGCUCAGAGGGACCCUGCUGUAGUUGAUCUCUUCAGCACCCGGAUUUAGGAGUCUUUCUUCAGAGCUCAGAUGUCUGCACAGAUUGCUCUGUGAGUGCACCGGCUUCUGGACCUUCCUGCAUUUCUGCUGGCCGCCGGUGCUGACUCUGAGGUACACCUCUCCUAUCUGCCUGGACUUCUCACUCUGUUGACUACCAGCGGCAGAUAUGUUGAGGAAUGGGUCCGAGUUUUCUAUGCUUCAGUAUGGAUAGACCCUGAUCACCAGUGGAUGAGAUUCUGCUUUGAGCGAGAGGAUGUUACCAUUCAUGCCAGCCAGAUUCGCCAGUUGUUUGGAUUCAACGAGUCAUCGACUCGUCUUCACAGCUUGUACUAUGGCACCUCUGAUCCUCCUCGUCGCCCUCACGGUGGAGUUGCUCCUGGUACAGCUCACGUCGCGGCUUUGUUCUGACCGCCCUUCUCAGAUGGGUCGUGAUGUUCUCCGGCAGACUUCACCACAGCGGCCAAGUUUCUAUAUCAGCUCAUGAGACGGACGCUUCUUCCACGGAUGGGUUACAGGGAGGCUGCCACUCAUAUCCCGCUUUGGCUCCUUGGUGCCCUAGUUUCUCACUCAGAGUUUGAUGUUGUGGAUUUCCUCAUUUGUGAGAUCGAGGACAGCGUAUUGGAUGGUCUACGUGCCCGGCGAUAGCUACCGUAUGCUCACUAUCUUUGCCACAUCUUCGCUCAGCUGAUUCGGCCACCACAGUUCUAGGGCACUCUUGAGGCCUCUCGCCUCCUCUUUGGGUCAUACCAUCCAGCUCCAGAGGAUCCUGUGCUGGUACCUGCUCCAGUGGUUGACACUCAGGCCGAGGAUACCGCUUUUCACCAGUUCGAGACUCAGGGUGCAGCAGUCCCUGACGAUGAUGAUGAUGACUUUGGGGUUCCACCCCCGCCUCCGCCUCCUAUGCCUCCACGCACUCAUGAUCAUGAGGCUGGGAGUUCCAGUGGUGCUGCCCCUGCUGCCUAUAGCAUCCCAAAAAUUCAAAUCUUGGAAUCUUCUCAAACUUGCUCUAAAUUCAAAAUGAAUUUCAAAUUUCAUUUCAAAAUGUUUGUUUGUGAGUUGAUAUCAGCAAAUGAAAUAUAGUGGUCUAUAUUCUCUCCAAAAUCCUCCUCAAAAUAUCCUACAAAUAUUUCCCUAGUGAUCCCCCAUUCUUUCCAGAAAUACUACCAAGAUAUUUCACCAGUGAUCCCCUUCAAGUUCUUUCCAGAAAUACUCCCCAGAUAUUCCACUGAUAUAUCUCCAAGUAUUUUCCUCCUAAGAAAUACCUUCAGAAUCAUUUUUCAAGUCCCUACAAAUAUUUUCUUCAUAACUUUCCUCAUGCUCAUACGUACGCGUAUGCCUCCAGUGUCAUACGGUGAGCUCUACAAGCUAAUUACACUCAUAUAAGACAAAUCCAUGCUAAUCUCCCACUAAUCCUCUCAUCCUCCCACUAAUCCUCUCAUCCCUCCCCCUAAUCCUCCCACCAUGGCUAUAAAUAGAGCGGCAAGGGCCUCCUCUCAUCCCACCCCAAGCCAUUUCAUGGCAACUCUCUCCCCCCCACACACACGCCCACUCCAUCUCCCACACAAGCACACACUAGCACAAGGAUCGUUUGGUCGUUCUUCGAUCAUUCGUCCUCCGUUCUUAGUUUGUUCGUUCGUUCGUCCGAUCGUUCAUGGUUCGUUUGUCCGAUCGUUCGUCCGUUCGUUCGUCCAAAUAAUCUUUUUCCUGCCGUUAUGCUGCCAAAAUUCCGAUCGUUCGUUCGAUCAUUUGAUCGUUCAUCAUUCAUUCAUAGUUCCUAUUCAUCGUUCAUCGUUCGUUCAUAGUCCCUAUUCAUCGUUCUUCCAGAUAAUCUUUGUCCUGCCGUUAUGCUGCCGAAAUUCCGAUCGUUCGUUCAUCCGAUCAUUCGAUCGUUCGUCUGUUCGUUCAUAGUUCCUAUUCAUCGUUCGUUCAUCGUCACUAUUCAUCGUUCAUCGUUCGUUCAUACGCUAUUCACUGUUACUAUUCAUCAUUGUUACUACUCAUCGACGCUAUUCAACAGCCUUACUAUUCAUCGUUACUAUUCACCGACACUAUUCAUCAUCGUUACUAUUCAUCGAUGAUAUCUAUGGUACCUUUUCGUCGUCACUAUUCAUCAUUACUAUUCAUCGUUACUACUCAUCGUUACUAUUCAUCGAUCAUCUGAUCACCCCAAAUUUCAACUACUCAUCCGUUAUGCUGUACAGUCCACCUAAGACCAGCCAGACCAAUAUUUCAGUCAUACGAACUCCGGUGACUGUGAUUUUCCUUCUAGUGGGAACUUCCCAUCUGAUCACCCAUCCCAGGUUUCUCCAAGUUGAGCACGCUUAACUUUGAGAUUCCUUCGAACCAGGCUUCCAAACUCCGAUUCUUGUUUCUAAAUUCUUAUCGAAUUAUUCCCUAUCUGUAACACCCGGUUUUUUGAAGGCAAACCGAAUGCGAACCAUGUACGUGCCAGGAUCAGCAAUUCACGUACACAGCAGUUACAUAACAUGGACAUCAUCACACAGUGCUCAAAUAGUAUUAAAAAGGGAAAUAAUAGUCGAUUACAUCAUAUGUCUGAGACAUCCACAUAGUCUUUACAAUAAUCAAACUGCGAAAACGAAGCGUAGAUAAACGCGGCCUUCACAGGCAGCCGACUGGGGGUUGCCGCUAACCCACGCCUAGAACUCGUCGUAGUCUUGGAACUCCUGGAAGUCUCCUUCCACGGCUUCAUCUUCUCCUGAGCAGUGGCUGCAAUGCGGGCAACCUGAGGGGGUUGGUGUGUAGAGCAAGGGUGAGUACACAUCAACAUACUCAGCAAGUGUCAUGUCUGGUUGUAGUGGACUAGCUUUAUGUGGGGGGAAGUCAAGCGGUUGCUUUUAGUUGGUCAGAUUAUUAUUACUAGUAGAGAAGGCCAAGUUUUAGGGUUAACCCACGUUAUUAACCCAAACGUACUCCUUUCCAAACGGAAAGAGUACCACUUACCAUUACCAGAGUCAAAACCAAGAACCAUCAGUCUCAUUGCCACCUGCAAACCGAACAUCUCUGAUCAAGAACCACUAAUCACUGGAGCUCCCUUGGCCGCUCAUAACCGCGAGCACGGCUGAUAUAUCAGUUUCAUAACACUCUGCAGAGGUUGCGCACUUUACCCAUGAGCCGUGAUUUCCUUUUUGCCUCGGGUUGUACGAACCCUUGAACACUCCCAAGGUGAGUAGGCAGGGUAUCACUAUGUAGCCUUUACAAAGAUUCCCCGGGGCUGUAGCCACCCGUUAGGUUUCCUAAAUGUACCGCACUCCUCCCCAAGGGACAAAUCAACCUUGGUAGAGCGAGCCGCAUACACCGAGCCCCAUUGACGGCACGACGGCGAAGCGAACUACACCCCGGAUCCUCUAAUUAUUCAGCUAAGGGCACCCCAUUCCACCCUCAUGGUUGCACUAUUUUCCCGAGCGGUCAUCCAACGAACAGGUCCUUACGGAGAGGCACUUGAGAAACCGCUCGAGCCCCCUUAAAGGCCACAAGUAUAACAUCAUAAUAAGAAGAGGGAAAACAGCGUAUCAUUGAUCAUUCUCAUCAUGUUCAUUGAUUAGAGUUGAGCAAUAGCAUAAGACUAAGCAAUAAUAAUCCAACCCAAAUAGGUAAACAAGGACAUGGAUAACAAAGCUAGUCAAUCCUUAGGUAUAAAUGUGUAAUGCGGGAGGUGAAUUAAAGAUUGAAUAGGACAGAGAUGGGUCAAGGGACACUUGCCUCCACUAACCGACUGCUGCUUAGGGGCUUCUCCUGCGAGUUCUUCGGGCUCUUCAACCGGAUCGUUCUCUAUGCGAGUGCAAACAUACAUACAUCCAUCCAUUCAAAUUAGGAAACAAACAGUACACCAUACAAGAGAACAAGUAGAUUAAACAUGCAUAGAAUAUGACAUACGAUAUUGCAUUUACCAUGGCUAGAAAGAGACGGGGGAAGGUCUCGCAGGGGUUAAAGCUUAUGCUCGAGGCGCAUUACGAGUAGACGAAUAACUAGACGUUACGUGCUCUAGUUCCACUUAGCUCUAACAAAAAGGAUUAGCUACAUGCACUAAUAGAAACAUAACCACUUUCAGUUGAUCAACAUUAAAUGAGAUAGACGAUUAACUAUAUGAAUUAACUAACGUAACCAAUUUUUAAAUUGAGUUUCCUAUUUCAUUAACAUGAACAACGUGAUUAGCGCGCAUAAAAUAUACGGGGGGGUGGACGGGCACGUCUAGGGGUAGACGAGGGCACGGCGAGCCGUGCCAAGGCACCACGCACUACGCGAGCAGCGCGCGCGCAAGGCCGCACACACGCACCGCGAACUAGCCGUGCACACGUCGGGGCCGCGCGCUGGCCGAGCUCAAGGCCGCGCGCCAUAGGCACGCUAGGCCGAGCUUCAAGGCCGCGCCGGGGCCGUCACGACGCGAGCAGGACACGCUGGGGCGGGCGGGCGAGCACGCCGGGGCGGGCGCGCCAUGGCCAUGCGCCAUAGCCGGCGAGGCCGGGCUGCCAUGGCCAGGGCAGGGGGCUCGCCGGGCGGGGCGAGAACGCCGCACACCACGGCGGGCCGCCAUGGCCGCGCCAUGGCCGGGACGGGGCCGAAGCCAGGCGGGCGGGGCGGAAAGUCGGGCGGAGGAGCGCGCGCGGGCGGGGCGGGGCACGCCGCGCCGCCAUGGCCGGCCACGCUGAGGGGAGGGGCGGGGCGCUCGCACCGGGGCGAGACGUCGGGCCGCCAUGGCCGGCGAGGCCGGGCCGAGCGCCGCCGGGACGCCGCGGGCGGGGCGAGCCGCACCGGCGCGGCACGAGGAGGGGGCGGGUCGGCUGGAGGCGGGCGCGCCGCUCCGCGCCACCGGGACGGACGGGGGCCGGAGGGCGCCGAAGGCGGGGGCGGGCGGGUGCCGGCGAGCCGAGGCCGGCGCGGACGGGCCCACGCGGGCGAGCGCUCCCGCGGAGCGGGGAGGGCGCCGGCGAGUCGGGGAAAGGGGGAGGGAGGGGAGAGGGAGGAGGAGAGGGAAGGGAGGCCGGGCUCACCGUGGGCGAGGGCGCAGGCGGGCGGCGGCGCAGGCGGUUCCGGGCGUCGGGGCGAGGUGGAGCAGGGGAGGAGAGAGAGAUUUGGGGCGGGGAGAGAGGGUGACAGGUGGGGCCCGUGGGGAAGAGGCGGCGGCGGGCGUAACCGUCGCGCCGCACGCGGGGGAUGCGGGAGGGGGGCGCGGCUGGGCCGUCUCUUGGGCCCAAAGCGGAGGAGGCGCGGGGCGGGGGGGGGAGGUGGGCCGCGGCACCGCCAGCCCAUGGCGCGAGGGGGGGAAAGGAGAGGGGGCGAGGCCGGUUGGGCCGGCCGGCCAGCUGGGUCGCGCGCCAACAGGGGGGCGGCUAGGCCAAAAAAAGGGAGGAGAGGGAGGGGAGAGAAAAGAAAAGAUUUUCUUUUUCUAAUAUCUAUUUUCUAUAUGAAUGCUUUCACACUUUCAAACAAUCAAAAAAAUGCAUGGUUCAGCAUGGUGCAGCAAACCAAAGAAAAUAACCCUAGGGUUUACUAUUGUCACAUGACUUAAAGUUUUGAAGACGGGUGAGGUUUUAGCGAAAAGAAAUGGGAAAGAGGGGUAACGCCCGAAUUUAGCGAGCGAUAGGAAACGAAAAAAAUUCAACUCGAAAUUCGGGGUGUUACAAACCUAUCCCCCUUAAAAGAAUCUCGCCCUCGAGAUUCAGGGUUGGCCAGCAAAGAGCUCAGGUAUUUGGCCAUCAGAUCUUCUUCACGCUCCCAGGUUGCUUCUUCCUCAGAGUGGUGAUUCCAUCUGACUUUGCACAUUCUUAUGGUCUUCCAUCGGGUGACUCUGUAUGCGGUCUCAAGGAUUUACGUUGGCUUCUCAACGUAGGUCAAGUCCUCCUGGACUUCAAGACCUUCAACUGGAAAUUGCUCCUCUGGCACCCGCAAGCACUUCUUCAACUGAGACACGUGAAAGACAUUAUGCACUGCAGACAAAUUCUCUAGCAGACUGAGCUGGUAGGCCACUUCUCCACGCCUUGCGAGAAUCUGAUACGGGCCAAUGUAGCGGGGUGCUAGCUUGCCUUUGACUCCGAACCUUCUGACUCCUCUGAUCGGUGACACUUUCAGAUAGAUGAAGUCUCCAACCUCAAAACUCAGCUCUCUUCUUCUUGUGUCUGCAUAGCUUCGCUGCCUUGAUUGCGCUAUCUACAGAUUCUCUCGGACCAUCUUGAUGUUCUCUUCAGCUUCAAGCAAAAUGUCUAGCACGACCACUUGCUUUUCUCCAGGCUGAUCCCAUUGCAAUGGAGUUCUACAACUCCUUCCAUAAAGCGCCUGAAAGGGUGACAUCUUCAAGCUGGCCUAGUAACUGUUGUUAUAGGAAAACUCUGCAUAGGCCAAUCUCUUGUCCCAUCCGGACUGAUCUUGCAACGCACAGGCUCUCAACAUGUCUUCAAGGAUUUGAUUGGUCCUUUCGGUCUGACCAUCUGUCUGCGGAUGGUAGGCUGAACUGAAAUUCAGAUGUGUACCCAAGGCUUCAUGCAACUGCUGCCAGAAAUAAGAGGUGAACUGCGUUCCUCUGUCUGACACUAUCUUCUUUGGCACACCAUGAAGACAAACGAUCCGAGACAUGUACAACUCUGCCAAUACUGCACUGCUGUAGUUGGUCUUGACAGGUAUGAAGUGGGCUGACUUGGUCAAACGGUCCACUACUACCCAAAUGGAAUCGUAGCCGGCUCGAGUGCGAGGCAAUCCGACUAUGAAAUCCAUGCCGAUUUCAUCCCAUUUCUACUGAGGGAUUUGCAACGGUUGCAACAAUCCAGCUGGCCUCUGGUGCUCUACCUUGAUCCGUCGACAACUAUCACACAUAGCCACAUACUCUGCGAUUUCCCUCUUCAUUUCGUACCACCAGAAUUUCUUCUUCAGAUCCUGAUACAUCUUCUCACUACUAGGGUGAAUCGAAUAGGCUGUCUCAUGAGCUUCCUUGAGGAUCAACUCCCAAAUAGACUGGACAUUGGGAACGCACAAGCGGUCUUUGAACCAUAUCACACCUUUUGCGUCUUCCCGAAAAUCUUUGCCUUUGUCGUCGAGAAUCAGUCGCCGGAUCUCACUGAUCUUCUCAUCAUUCUUCUGCGCUUCUUUGAUUUCCCGCUCCAGGGUAGGUUCCAACUCAAUUGUGACUCCUCGCGUGUUGUUCAGAAAUCCGAGACUCAACCUAUCAAAUUCUUUGGUCAACUCAUAAGGCAUCGGACGAGCGACCAUCAGAUUGACUUGACUCUUCCUGCUCAAAGCAUCUGCCACUACGUUCGCUUUGCCUGGAUGGUAAUGAAUCUCCAACUCAUAAUCUUUGAUCAACUCUAACCACCUGCGCUGCCUCAUAUUCAGCUCUGACUGAGUGAAUAUGUACUUCAGACUCUUGUGGUCUGUGUAAACAUCACAUUUCUGUCCAUACAGAUAGUGCCUCCAUGUCUUCAAUGCGUGAACCACUGCUGCCAACUCUAGGUCAUGGAUUGGGUAAUUCUUUUCAUGAACCUUCAGCUGUAGGGACGAGUAAGCCACAACUCUUCCCUCUUGCAUCAACACACAUCCCAAACCGGUGUAGCAAGCAUCACAAUACACCGAGAAGGGCUUGUGCACAUCAGGCAAGACUAAGACAGGCGCUGUAGUCAACUUCUUUUUCAGCGCUUCGAAGGCCUCUUGACAUUUCUGGGUCCACUUGAACUCGACCUUGUUGCCUAGCAACACUGUCAAUGGUUUCACAAUCUUUGAAAACCCUUCAAUGAAUCAUCGAUAGUAUCCGGCCAUUCUAAUGAAGCUCUUGAUUCCUCGGGCAUCUGUUGGCGCUUUCCAGUUCAGAAUGUCUGCCGCUUUCUUCGGUUCCACAGCCAAUCCUUCUUUGUUGAUUAUGUGACCCAAGAACAGGACUUCAUUGAUCCAGAACUCGCACUUUCUCAACUUUGCAUACAACUGGUGCUCUCGCAAUCUCUGCAAUACCAUCCUCAAAUGAUCUGCAUGCUCUUCUUCACUUUGAGAAUAAAUCAGAAUGUCAUCGAUGAAUACCACCACAAACUUAUCAAGAUAAUCCAUGAAUACACUGUUCAUCAAGUUCAUAAAGAAGGCUGGUGCAUUUGUUAGACCGAAAGACAUCACUGUGAAUUCAUACAACCCAUACUUGGUAAUGAAUGUCGUCUUCGAAAUGUCUGAAGGUCAGAUCCUGAGCUGAUGAUAACCUGACCUCAGGUCUACCUUGGAGAACACGCUGGCUCCUCUCAACUGGUCGAAUAGAUCUUCUAUUCUGGGCAAGGGGUACUUGUUCUUAAUGGUGACCUCAUUUAGAGCUCGAUAAUCGAUGCACAUCCUUUUGGUGCCAUCUUUCUUCUCCACAAAUAGGACAGGGGCGGCCCAAGACGAGGUGCUUGGCCGGAUGUAACCUUUCUCUGACAGCUCAUCAAUCUGCUUCUUAAGCUCAACCAACUCUGGUCCAGAUAUUCUGUAAGCUCUCUUAAAGAUAGGGGCGGUUCCAGGAAGAAGCUCUAUAGCGAACUCAACUUUCCGUUCUGGUGGCAUACCUGGUAGGUCCUUUGGAAACACAUCUGGGAACUCGGACACAACCUAGAUACUCUCCAUUGGGCCUGCUUCACAGCUAUCGACUGUCAUCUGAUAACAACUUCCUUUCUUCGGCUCAGGUGGAACUAACUCGGUCACCACUUCCUCUCCUAGUGGGGACACCAACUUGAUUGUCCUCUUAUCACAACUGAUAAUUGCCUGAUACUUAUCUAGCCAAUUCAUCCCUAGGAUGACAUCUAUUCCCUGAGUACCCAUCACUAUGAGAUUAGCGGGAAACGCUAUCCCCCUUAUUUCCACACUUACAUUCAAACAAAUGCUAUCGGCUCGAAUUCUACCACCGGCUGAGUCAAUUUGAAUGGGGGUUGACAUGGUAGUUAUUGGACGAUUAUGUGCUUUUACCCAUGAUGCAGUAAUGAAAGAAUGUGUUGCUCCAGUAUCAAAUAACACUUCUGCAAUAUAGGAGUCGACUGGAAACAUACCUACUAUCAUGUCAGGGGUCUCCUGAACUGCUUCAGCCUCCAAGUGGUUCAGUCUCCCAUGGUUAUAGCGUGGCUGAGAGCGGUUGCCUGCUCCAGGCUGAGACACAUUCUGCUUUGCUGGGGCAUUGGGGCCUAACUGCUGCUGAGCUGCCUUCUUCGGACAUUGCAUCACCCAAUGGCCUGGCUCUCCACAGUGGAAACAUGCUCUAUUUCCAACCUGAGCUGGUGCUGCCUGAUUGUUCUGCUGAGUUGCUGGGGCAGGAAGAUGAAGUGCCUACUGAAUCUGCCUCUGAAACUGACCUCCUCCUGACUGAUUGUUCUGACGAUUCUGAUACUGGUGCUGAGGAUACUACCUUUGGAAUUGCUGAUGUUGAGGUGGACGCUGGUUCUGCCUGAACUGCUGAGGUUGAUUGCCUGAGAAACGAGGACGAUUGCUGCUUCCAGGCUGGGGUCCAUGAUCUUGCGCUUGCGAUCCUCCAUCUCCUUACGCUUCCUCUCUGUCAUGAUUGCUCUGUCAAUCAAGUGCUGGAAUGUCAGGAAGGUAUGAUUCAUCAGUUGGUAGUGUAGAGGGUCAACCAAGCCUCUCAGGAAACGGUACUAUCGCUUGGCGUCGGUGUUAACAUCUUCAGGAGCAUAGCGAGACAACUGCAGAAACUUGUUCCGGUACUCACUGACAGACGAUGACCCUUGCUUCAGAGCCAGGAACUCCUCCUUCUUCACUGUCAUCAGACCUGCAGGAACAUGGUACUAACGGAAGCUACCUCUGAAUUAUUCCCAGGUGAUGGUGUCGGGGUUGGCAUGGGUGGCGAGAUAAGACUCCCACCAAGACUGAGCUGCUCCUCUCAACAAACGAGGACCAUACAAGACUUUCUCCCUGUCAUCGCACUAAGCGGUAUGCAACUCUCGCUCCACAGUGUGCAGCCAGUCUUCAGCAUCCAUGGGGUCAGAAGAAUGAGCAAACGUUGGGGGAUGACCUCUCAUGAAUUUAGCAUGUUUCUCCCUCGACAUCUGAGGCAUCUGAGGCUGAGGUGGGGCCUGCUGUUGUUGCUGCUGCUUAAUGGCGGCCAGAGUCUGACCGAUGGCUUGAACUUCUUGGGUCUGCAUCAGAAACAUCUGCUCGAUGGACAUCGGGGGCGGGGGUGGUAGUUGCUAUUGCUGAGGCACCUCAUCCUGCUGAGUGGCUUGCUCCUGCUGAGCACGCCUUCCUCCUCUGCGCCUGUUCUCUGACAUGUGCAGAAUGCAACCACACAUCAGAACUGAUCUUGCGAAUCUUGCAGCAUAAGAAAAGAGUGUAGAAUUCUUCAACAACACUGAACAGAUGAGCAUCUUCAUUGAUCUCCAACACAGACCACACAGCUUCUCAGAUAAAGAGGAAAGUGGAAUAAAAGGCUUCCCAACUAGAUAACUAACUUCAUUAACAUAUAACAGGUAAACCAAAAUGCAGGGGAUACCCACAUUCUGGUGACAGUCAUUACAAAGAUCCAAAUCAAACAUAGUUCAUCAUGACAAACAUAAAUGCACAGGAUAUAACAAACUACCCUGUCUAACUAAGACUAACUAAGAGCGAGACUAACACUAAGACUGAGACUAAGACUAAGACUAAAACUUCUAUAUUAAGCAUUUAUUACAAGACUCAACACUAACGAUCUAUGGUUCUAAAUCUAUCUUGGUCUUGCAGUCGGGAUUGCCAUAAGGCUGGUGUCCACGCCGAGGUGAGCGGUACAGGUGCUGAGUCCCGACGGGAGCGGGGGAACCAUCGUCCAGGUGACGACGUUCCGCGCGCUCAGCCCGUAGCAGGGCGAUCUCAGCAUGAGCCCUACUCAGCUCGUCUAAUGCAUGGUCCAGCUCCGUGUUUAGCAAGGCGGCUAGGUUGACUGUGCUGCUCAACCUAGGAUUGUCCUCUCCGAUAGGUGAAACAAUCACGCCUCCUGUGCUGCCAGAUGGACGGUGGGGGUAAUACUUCAGGUUGAGACCGUCAGCUACCAUGCCGAGCACUGAGCAGUAGUGCGAAAGCGCACGCCGUGCGGCAUCUUGCAUGGCCGCCUCAGCUGAGUCUCGCUCAGAGAUAGAAUAGUGCUUUAAGCAGGCCUCCGCACCCUGGAGACUGUUCUCCGGACGGCGCACCAAGCAGGUCGCCUCCCAGUGGUCCGGGUAGACCCUGCGACUAUGCUGGUAGACCACAUAGUGAUACUCGAUAGACCAAGUACGCCGGUCAAGUGCCCGACGUAGCAGGGUGUCGAGCGUAUCGUGGAAGUGACACCCGCGAGUAGCGUCGCGAGUGAUGGGUCGAGCAACCCAUCCUUCCGGCUCCUGGUCAGCAGAAAAGCUGGUGUCGUGGCUCGAGCUGUCGUCGCCACCUCCGUCGUCUGGGUCUCCUCCAGCAGCUACUCCAGAGGCUAGGGCGCCCAGUGGUGGUGCAGGGGGCGCCUCCAGAGGAAGCACAGGGGAGCAGCUCCUCACAGACUCUAUCUCCUGCUGGAGCGAGAAAGAAGAGCCAUGCUGCUCCUGUCAUCGAUGCUCCUGCUCCUCAUGCAGGCGGUGGUGCAGCCUCUCCAUGUGACUGGACUGACUGGUCAUUGGACGGCGAAGCGGACGUUCCAUGAGACGAGAGGGUAAGAAGGGGAUGACAGACUUCCGUGCAGUGUGUCUAAGACGAGCCAUCUACAAAAGACACCGCAAGCAUAAGAGUGAGAAUAGAACUAGUAUGACCAGCAAGUAAACCAUCAAUAAAUAAGGAAUUAGAAUAAACAAAAAGAUUUUUAGCAAGGUAUAAUAUAUAGUAGAACAUAGGUUUGGUUGAUAUGACCAACUUUUGAAGGGAUUCCAAAGCCAAGGCAGGGACAGAGGUCUAUAAUCCUUAGAACGACCAUUGUACUCUAGGUUAGCGGUCCUACAGUCAGCACGGCUUUGAUACCACCUAUGUCACACCCGGUUUUUAGAAGGCAAACCGAAUGCGAACCAUGUACGUGCCAGGAUCAGCAAUUAAUGUACACAGCAGUUACAUAACAUGGACAUCAUCACACAGUGCUCAAAUAGUAUUAAAAAGGGAAAUAAUAGUCGAUUACAUCAUAUGUCUGAGACAUCCACAUAGUCUUUAUAAUAAUCAAAGUGCGAAAACGAAACGUAGAUAAACGCGGCCUUCACAGGCAGCCGACUAGGGGUUGCCGCUAACCCACGUCUAGAACUCGUCGUAGUCUUGGAACUCCUGGAAGUCUCCUUCCACGGCUUCAUCUUCUCCUGAGCAGUGGCUGCAAUGCGGGCAACCUGGGGGGGGUUUGGUGUGUAGAGCAAGGGUGAGUACACAUCAACAUACUCAGCAAGUGUCCUGUCUGGUUGUAGUGGACUAGCUUUAUGUGGGGGGAGUCAAGCGGUUGCUUUUAGUUGGUCAGAUUAUUAUUACUAGUAGAGAAGGCCAAGUUUUAGGGUUAACCCACGUUAUUAACCCAAACGUACUCCUUUCCAAACGGAAAGAGUACCACUUACCAUUACCAGAGUCAAAACCAAGAACCAUCAGUCUCAUUGCCACCUGCAAACCGAACAUCUCUGAUCAAGUACCACUAAUCACUGGAGCUCCCUUGGCCGCUCAUAACCGCGAGCACGGCUGAUAUAUCAGUUUCAUAACACUCUAUAGAGGUUGCGCACUUUACCCAUGAGCCGUGAUUCCCUUUUUGCCUCGGGUUGUACGGACCUUUGAACACUCCCAAGGUGAGUAGGCAGGGUCUCACUACGUAGCCUUUACAAAGAUUCCCCGGGGCUGUAGCCGCCCGUUACGUUUCCUAAAUGUACCGCACUCCUCCCCAAGGGACAAAUCAACCUUGGCAGAGCGAGCCUCAUACACCGAGCCCCAUUGACGGCACGACGGCGAAGCGAACUACACCCCGGUCCUCUAAUUAUUCAGCUAAGGGCACCCCAUUCCACCCUCAUGGUUGCACUGUUUUCCUGGGCGGUCAUCCAACGAACAGGUCCUUACGGAGAGGCACUCGAGAAACCGCUCGAGCCCCCUUAAAGGCCACAAGUAUAACAUCAUAAUAAGAAGAGGGAAAACAGCGUAUCAUUGAUCAUUCUCAUCAUGUUCAUUGAUUAGAGUUGAGCAAUAGCAUAAGACUAAGCAAUAAUAAUCCAACCCAAAUAGGUAGACAAGGACAUGGAUAACAAAGCUAGUCAAUCCUUAGGUAUAAAUGUGUAAUGCGGGAGGUGAAUUAAAGAAUGAAUAGGACAGAGAUGGGUCAAGGGACACUUGCCUCCACUAACCGACUGCUGCUCAGGGGCUUCUCCUGCGAGUUCUUCGGGCUCUUCAACCGGAUCGUUCUCUAUGCGAGUGCAAACAUACAUACAUCCAUCCAUUCAAAUUAGGAAACAAACAGUACAUACAAGAGAACAAGUAGAUUAAACAUGCAUAGAAUAUGACAUACGAUAUUGCAUUUACCAUGGCUAGAAAGAGACGGGGGAAGGUCUCGCAGGGGUUAAAGCUUAUGCUCGAGUCGCAUUACGGGUAGACGAAUAACUAGACGUUAUGUGCUCUAGUUCCACUUAGCUCUAACAAAAAGGAUUAGCUACAUGCACUAAUAGAAACAUAACCACUUUCAGUUGAUCAACAUUAAAUGAGAUAGACGAUUAACUAUAUGAAUUAACUAACGUAGCCAAUUUUUAAAUUGAGUUUCUUAUUUCAUUAACAUGAACGACGUGACUAGCGCACAUAAAAUAUACGGGGGGUUGGACGGGCACGUCUAGGGGUAGACGAGGGCACGACGAGCCGUGCCAAGGCACCGCGCACUACACGAGCAGCGCGCGCAAGGCCGCACACACGCGUCGCGAACUAGUCGUGCACACGUCGGGGCCGCGCGCCAUAGGCACGCUGGGCCGAGCUUCAAGGCCGCGCUGGGGCCGUCACGACGUGAGCAGGACACGCCGGGGCGGGCGGGCGAGCACGCCAGGGCGGGCGCGCCAUAGCCGGCGAGGCCGGGCUGCCAUGGCGCUGGGCAGGGGGACGGGACCGGGGGAGUAUGAGCGCGCUCGCAGGGCGCCGGAGUCGGGUCAGGGGGCUCGCCGGGCGGGGCGAGAACGCCGCACACCACGGCGGGCCGCCAUGGCCGGGACGGGUUCGAAGCCGGGCGGGCGGGGCGGAACGCCGGGCCGGCGAGCGCGCGCGGGCGGGGCGGGGCACGCCUCGCCGCCAUGGCCGGCCACGCCAAGGGGAGGGGCGGGGGCGCUCGCGCUGGGGCGGGACGCCGAGCCGCCAUGGCCGGCGAGGCCGGGCCGAUGUCACACCCGGUUUUAGAAGGCAAACCGAAUGCGAACCAUGUACGUGCCAGGAUCAGUUAUUCACGUACACAGCAGUUACAUAAUAUGGACAUCAUCUCACAGUGCUCAAAAUGGUAUUAAUAAGGGAAAUAGUCGAUUACAUCAUACGUCUGAGACGUCCAUAUAGGUCUUACAAUAAAUCAAAGUGCGGAAAAGAAACGUAGAUAACCGCGGCCUUCACAGGCAGCCGACUGGGGGUUGCCGCUAACCCACACCUAGAACUCGUCGUAAUCUUGGAACUCCUGGAAGUCUCCUUCCACGGCUUCAUCUUCGCCUGAGCAAUGGUUGCAAUGCUGACAACCUGGGCGGGGGGGUUUGGUGUGUAGAGCAAGGGUGAGUACACAUCAACAUACUCAGCAAGCAUCCCGUUUGGCUGUAGUGGACUAGCUUUAUGUGGGGAUAAGUCAAGCAGUUGCUUUUAGUUGGUCAGAUUAUUACUUACUAGUAGAAAGCCAAGUUUUAGCAUUAACCCAAGUUAUUAACCCAGACGUACUCCUUUCCAAACGGAAAGAGUACCACUUACCAGCACCAUAAUCAUAAUCAAAACCAUCAAUCUCAUAUCCACCUGUACCGAAGUAUCUCUGAUCAAGUAUCACUAAUCACUGGAGCUCCCUUGGCCGCUCAUAACCGCGAGCACGGCUGAUAUAUCAGUUUUUCAAACACUCUGCAGAGGUUGUGCACUUUACCCACAAGCCGUGAUUCCCUCUCUGGCCCGGGCUUGCAAGACCCUUAUUCACUCCCGAGGUGAAUGGCCAGGGAUUCACUACGAAGCCUUUACAAAGAUUCCCCGGGGCUGUAGCCACUCGUUAGGUUUCCUAAAUGCACCGCACUCCUCCCCAAGGGGCGAACCCAAACUUGGCAGAGCGAGCCGCAUACACCGAGCCCCAUUGACGGCACGACGGCUAAGUGAACUACACCCCAGAUCCUCUAAUUAUUCAGCUAAGGGCACCCCAUUCCACCCUCAUGGUUGCACUGUUUUCCCGGGCGGUCAUCCAUAGAACAGGUCCUUACGGAGAGGCAAUCGAGAAACCGCUCGAGCCCCCUUGAUGACCACAAGUACCACAUCAUAAUAAGAGAAGGGAAAACAGCGUAUCAUAGAUAAUCUCAUCAUGUUCAUUGAUUAGAGUUAAGCAAUAGCAUAAAGCUAAACAGUAAUAAUCCAACCCAAAUAGGUGAACAAGGACAUGGAUCACAAAAGCUAGUCAAUCCUUAGGCAUAAAGGUGUAAAGCGGGAGGUGAAUUAAAUAAUGAAUAGGACAGAGAUAGGUCAAGGGACACUUGCCUCCACCAACCGACUGCUGCUCAGGGGCUUCUCCUGCGAAUUCCUCGGGCUCUUCGACCGGAUCGUUCUCUAUGCGAGCGCAAACAUACAUACAUCCACAUAUUUAAUACAAAAGAACAGUACACCAUACAAGGGAACAAAUAAAGCGAAUAUGCAUCAAGUAUAACAUUUGACAUUGCAUUUGUUAUGGUUAGAAAGAAACGGGAAAGGGUCUCGCAGGGGGUUAAAUCUUAUGCACCAAUGAUUAGUUAAAUUAUGCACUCUAGUUUCAAUAGGUUCCUAACAAAAGAAUUCUGUUAUAUGCACUAGUGGGAACCUAAUCAUUUUAAGUUGAUCAACAUCGCACGAGAUAAACAAUUAACUACAUGAAUCAAUUAGCAUAACGGAAUUUUAAAUUAAGCUUCAUAUUUCAAUAACAUUAACAAUGAUUAGCCUACCUAAAAUAAAAUAGCUAUGAUCACAGAAAGUAAAUAAAAUAAAAUAAAAAAAUAAAAAAAACAGAGGGGGGGCGGUUGAACCGGCCCUGCGCAGGGGGCGCGGCCAGGGGCGCGCGGCUGGGCGCGGCCGGGCGGGCGGCCGAGGGCGCGGUCGGGCCAGGGCGCGGCCAGGGCUGGCCAGCGGCCGGCUGGGCGGCCAGGGGGGCGCGCCGGGGCGGCCAGUGGCCGGCUGGGGGGCACGGCCGGGGCGGCGGGGGGCGCGGCCAAGGGCCGGCUGGGGGCGCGGCCAAGGCGGUGGCCGAGGAGAGAGGAGGGGGAGGGGGGAGGGAGGGAGGAGGGAGAGAGGGAGGAGGGGGGGCUCACCGGCGAGGGGCGGCCGACGGCGAGGGCGGCGGCCGGCGCUAGGGCAGGGGGCUGCGCUAGGGCAGGGGGCGGGUAGGGGCGGCGGCUAGGGAGAGAAUGAGAGAGGGAAAAAAUGAGAGGGAGAGGGAGAGGGUUUGGGGAAAAAGGGGAGGUGGGGGGGCGGUUGGGCCUGCCAAGGCCCAAGAGGGGGCGCCAGGGGCGGCUGGGCCGGCCAGGGUUGGCCCACGGCGCGGGAGAGAGAGAAAAAGAGGAGAGAGAAAAAGAAAGAAAAGAUCUUCUCCUCAUUUUCGAAAUCCGAUCUUUCUACAUGAAUGCAUUUGCACUUUCAAAGCAAUCAAAAGAAAUGCAAGGUUCGGCAUGGUGCAUCAAACAACAUAAAGUAUUUAGGGUUUUUCUUACACGGGAAAUCCAAACCGAAUCCCGCUAGAACUUUGGAAAAGGUCAAGGUUUAGCGAGGGAAAAAGAAAAAGAAAAGGUAACGCCCGAAUUUUGGCGAGUAAAGAAAAGAAAAAAAUUCAACUGCAAAAUUCGGGGCGUUACAAACCUAUCCCCCUUAAAAGAAUCUCGCCCUCGAGAUUCAGGGCUGGCUAGCAAAGAGCUCUGGGUACUUGGCCAUCAGAUCAUCUUCACGCUCCCAGGUUGCUUCUUCCUCAGAGUGGUGAUUCCAUCUGACUUUGCACAUUCUGAUGGUCUUCCUUCGGGUGACUCUAUCUGCAAUCUCAAGGAUCUGAGCUGGCUUCUCAACAUAGGUCAAGUCCUCCUGGACUUCCAGACCUUCCACUGGCAACUGCUCUUCUGGCACACGCAAACACUUCUUCAACUGAGACACAUGAAAGACAUCAUGCACAGCAGACAAAUUCUCGGGCAAACUGAGCUGAUAGGCCACUUCUCCACGUCUUGCAAGAAUCUGAUACGGACCAAUGUAGCGGGGUGCUAACUUGCCUUUCACUCCGAAUCUUCUGACUCCUCUGAUCGGUGACACUUUCAGAUAGACAAAAUCUCCGACUUCGAAACUCAGCUCUCUUCUUCUUGUGUCUGCAUAGCUUCGCUGCCUCGAUUGCGCUAUCUUCAGAUUCUCUCGGACCAUCUUGAUGUUCUCUUCGGCUUCAAGCAAAACGUCUGGCCCAAACACUUGCUUCUCUCCAGGCUGAUCCCAUUGCAACGGAGUUCUGCAACUCCUUCCAUAAAGCGCCUGAAAUGGUGACAUCUUCAAACUGGCCUGGUAACUGUUGUUAUAGGAAAACUCUGCAUAAGGCAAUCUCUUAUCCCAUCCGGACUGAUCUUGCAACGCACAGGCUCUCAACAUAUCUUCAAGAAUUUGAUUGGUCCUUUCGGUCUGGCCAUCUGUCUGCGGGUGAUAAGCUGAACUGAAAUUCAGAUGCGUGCCCAAAGCUUCAUGCAACUGCUGCCAGAAAUGAGAGGUGAACUGCGUUCCUCUGUCUGACACUAUCUUCUUUGGCACACCAUGAAGACAAACGAUCCGAGACAUGUACAACUCUGCCAAUACUGCACUGUUGUAGCUGGUCUUGACAGGUAUGAAGUGGGCUGACUUGGUCAAACGGUCCACCACUACCCAAAUAGAAUCGUAGCCGGCUCGAGUGCGAGGCAAUCCGACUAUGAAAUCCAUACCAAUUUCAUCCCAUUUCCACUGAGGGAUCUGCAACGGUUGCAACAAUCCAGCAGGUCUCUGGUGCUCUGCCUUAAUUCUUCGGCAACUAUCGCACAUAGCCACAUGCUCUGCGAUUUCCCUCUUCAUUCCAUACCACCAGAAUUUCUUCUUCAGAUCCUGAUACAUCUUCUCACUACCAGGGUGAAUCGAAUAAGCUGUCUCAUGAGCUUCCUUGAGAAUCAACUCCCGAAUGGACUGGACAUUGGGAACACAUAAGCGGUCUUUGAACCAUAUCACGCCUUCUGCAUCUUCUCGAAAAUCUUUGCCUUUGCCUUCUAGAAUCAGUCACCGGAUCUCACUGAUUUUCUCAUCAUUCUUCUGCGCUUCUUUGAUUUCGCGCUCCAAGGUAGGUUCCAACUCAACUGUGACUCCUCGCGAAUUGUUCAGAAAUCCGAGACUCAACCUGUCAAACUCUUUGGCCAACUCAUAGGGCAUCGGACGAGAGACCAUCAGAUUGACUUGGCUCUUUCUGCUCAAAGCAUCUGCCACUACAUUUGCUUUGCCUGGAUGGUAAUGAAUCUCCAACUCGUAGUCUUUGAUCAACUCUAACCAUCUUCGUUGCCUCAUGUUCAACUCUUACUGAGUGAAUAUGUACUUCAGACUCUUGUGGUCUAUGUAAACAUCGCAUUUCUGUCCAUACAGGUAGUGCCUCCAUGUCUUCAGUGCGUGAACCACUGCUGCCAACUCUAGAUCAUCGAUUGGGUAAUUCUUCUCAUGAACCUUCAGCUGUCGGGACGAGUAAGCCACAACUCUUCCCUCUUGCAUCAACGCACAUCCCAAACCUAUGUAACAAGCAUCGCAAUACACCGAGAAGGGCUGGUGCACAUCGGGCAGGACUAGGACAGGCGCUGUAGUCAACUUCUCUUUCAGCGCUUCAAAGGCCUCUUGACAUUUCUGGGUCCACUUGAACUCAACUUUGUUGCCUAGCAACGCUGUCAUUGGUUUCGCAAUCUUCGAAAACCCUUCAAUGAAUCGCCGAUAAUAUCCGGCCAUUCCAAUGAAGCUCUUGAUUCCUCUAGCAUCCGUUGGCGCUUUCUAGUUCAAAAUGUCUGCCACUUUCUUCGGAUCCACAGCCAAUCCUUCUUUGUUGAUUAUGUGACCCAAGAACAGGACUUCACUGAUCCAGAACUCACAUUUGCUCAACUUUGCAUACAACUGGUGCUCUCGCAAUCUCUGCAACACCAUCCUCAAAUGAUCUGCAUGCUCUUCUUCGCUUUGAGAAUAAACCAGAAUAUCAUCAAUGAAUACCACCACAAACUUAUCAAGGUAAUCCAUGAAUACACUGUUCAUCAAGUUCAUGAAGAAUGCUGGCGCAUUGGUCAAACCAAAAGACAUCACUGUGAACUCGUACAACCCAUACUUGGAAAUGAAUGUCGUCUUCGGAAUGUCCGAAGGUCGGAUUCUGAGCUGAUGAUAACCUGACCUCAGAUCAAUCUUGGAGAACACACUGGCUCCUCUCAACUGGUCGAACAGAUCUUCAAUCCUGGGCAAAGGAUACUUGUUCUUGAUCGUGACCUCAUUCAAAGCUCGAUCGACAUCGGGGGCGGGGGUGGCAGGUGCUGCUGCUGGGGCACCUCCUCCUGUUGACCGGCUCGCUCCUGCUGAGCACGCCUUCCUCCUCUGCGCCUGUUCUCUGACAUCUGCAGAAUGCAACCACACAUCAGAACUGAUCUGGCAGAUCUUGCAGCAUAAGAAAAGAGAAUAGAAUUCUUCAACAGCACUGAACAGAUGAGCAUCUUCACUGAUCUCCAACACAGACCACACAGCUUCUCAGAUAGAAAGGAAAGUGGAAUAAAAGGGGUUUCCCAACUAUAUGACUAACUCCAUUAACAUAAUAGGUAAACCAAAAUGCAGGGGAUACCCACACUCUGGUGACAAUCAUUACAAAGAUCCAAACCAAACAUAGUUCAUCAUGACAAACAUAGAUGCACAGGAUAUAGCAAACUACCCUGUCUAACUAAGAUUAACUAAGACUGAGACUAACGCUAAGACUGAAGCUUCUAUGUAUAUAUAUUUCGUAUUAAUUACAAGAUCCAACUCUAACGAUCUAUGGUUCUAGAGUUAUCUUGGUCUUGCAGUCGGGAUUGCCAUAAGACUGGUGUCCACGCUGAGGUGAGCGGUACGGGUGCUGAGUCCCGACGGGAGCGGGGGAACCACCAUCCAGAUGACGACGUUCCGCGCGCUCAGCCCGCAGCAGGGCGAUCUCAGCACGAGCCCUACUCAGCUCGUCUAAUGCAUGGUCCAGCUCCGUGUUUAGCACGGCGGCUAGGUUGACUGUGCUGCUCAACCUAGGAUUGCCCUCAUCGACGGGUGAGACAAUCACGCCUCCUGUGCUGCCAGAUGGACGGCGGGGGUAAUACUUCAGGUCAAGACCGUCAGCUGCCCCACCGAAAACCGAGCAGUAGUGCGAAAGCGCACGCCGUGCAGCAUCCUGCAUGGCUGCUUCAGCUGAGUCCCGCUCAGAGAUAGAAUAGUGCUCUGAGCAGGCCUCCGCACCCUGGAGACUGUUCUCCGGGCAGCGCACCAAGCAGGUUGCCUCCCAGCGGUCCGGGUAGACCCCACGACUAUGCUGGUAGACCACACAGCGAUACUCGACGGACCAAGUAUGCCGGUCAAAUGCCCGACGUAGCAGGGUGUCGAGCGCAUCGUGGAAGUGGCACCCGCGAGCAGCGUCGCGAGUGAUGGGUCGAGCAACCCAUCCUUCCGGCUCAGGGUUAGCAGAGAAGUCGGUGUCGUGGCUCGAGCUGUCGUCGCCAUCUCUGUCGUCUGGGUCUCCUCCAGCAGCUACUCCAGAAGCUGGGACGCCCAGUGGUGGUGCAGGGGGCGCCUCCAGAGGAAGCACAGGGGAGCAGCUCCUCACAGACUCUAUCUCCUGUUGGAGCGAGAAGGAAGAGCUCUGCUGCUCCUGUCGUCGACGUUCCUGCUCCUCACGCAGGCGGUGGUGUAGUCUCUCCAAGUGGCUGGACUGGCCGGCCACGGGACGGCGAAGCGGACGCUCAGCAAGGCGGGAGGGUAAGAAGGGGAUGACUGACUUUCGUGCAGUGUGUCUAAGUCGAGCCAUCUACAAAAGACAUCGCAAGCAAAAGGGUAAGAACAGAAUUAAUAUGACCAGCAAGUAAUAAGUAAAUGAAGGAUCAGAAUGAAACACAAUUUUUUAGCAAGGUAUAAUAUAUAGUAGAACAUAGGUUUGGUCGGUAGGACCAACUUUUGAAGAGAUAUCAAAGUCAAGGUAGGGACAGAGGUCUAUAAUCCUUAGAACGACCAUUCUACUCUAGGUUAGCGGUCCUACAGUCAGCACGGCUUUGAUACCACUUAUGUCACACCCGGUUUUAGAAGGCAAACUGAAUGCGAACCAUGUACGUGCCAGGAUCAGUUAUUCACGUACACAGCAGUUACAUAAUAUGGACAUCAUCUCACAGUGCUCAAAAUGGUAUUAAUAAGGGAAAUAGUCGAUUACAUCAUACGUCUGAGACGUCCAUAUAGGUCUUACAAUAAAUCAAAGUGCGGAAAAGAAACGUAGAUAACCGCGGCCUUCACAGGCAGCCGACUGGGGGUUGCCGCUAACCCACACCUAGAACUCGUCGUAAUCUUGGAACUCCUGGAAGUCUCCUUCCACGGCUUCAUCUUCGCCUGAGCAAUGGUUGCAAUGCUGACAACCUGGGGGGGUUUGGUGUGUAGAGCAAGGGUGAGUACACAUCAACAUACUCAGCAAGCAUCCCGUUUGGCUGUAGUGGACUAGCUUUAUGUGGGGAUAAGUCAAGCAGUUGCUUUUAGUUGGUCAGAUUAUUACUUACUAGUAGAAAGCCAAGUUUUAGCAUUAACCCAAGUUAUUAACCCAGACGUACUCCUUUCCAAACGGAAAGAGUACCACUUACCAGCACCAUAAUCAUAAUCAAAACCAUCAAUCUCAUAUCCACCUGUACCGAAGUAUCUCUGAUCAAGUAUCACUAAUCACUGGAGCUCCCUUGGCCGCUCAUAACCGCCGAGCACGGCUGAUAUAUCAGUUUUUCAAACACUCUGCAGAGGUUGUGCACUUUACCCACAAGUCGUGAUUCCCUCUCUGGCCCGGGCUUGCAAGACCCUUAUUCACUCCCGAGGUGAAUGGCCAGGGAUUCACUACGAAGCCUUUACAAAGAUUCCCCGGGGCUGUAGCCACCCGUUAGGUUUCCUAAAUGCACCGCACUCCUCCCCAAGGGGCGAACCCAAACUUGGCAGAGCGAGCCGCAUACACCGAGCCCCAUUGACGGCACGACGGCUAAGUGAACUACACCCCGGAUCCUCUAAUUAUUCAGCUAAGGGCACCCCAUUCCACCCUCAUGGUUGCACUGUUUUCCCGGGCGGUCAUCCAUAGAACAGGUCCUUACGGAGAGGCACUCGAGAAAUCGCUCGAGCCCCCUUGAUGACCACAAGUACCACAUCAUAAUAAGAGAAGGGAAAACAGCGUAUCAUAGAUAAUCUCAUCAUGUUCAUUGAUUAGAGUUAAGCAAUAGCAUAAAGCUAAACAGUAAUAAUCCAACCCAAAUAGGUGAACAAGGACAUGGAUCACAAAAGCUAGUCAAUCCUUAGGCAUAAAGGUGUAAAGCGGGAGGUGAAUUAAAUAAUGAAUAGGACAGAGAUAGGUCAAGGGACACUUGCCUCCACCAACCGACUGCUGCUCAGGGGCUUCUCCUGCGAAUUCCUCGGGCUCUUCGACCGGAUCGUUCUCUAUGCGAGCGCAAACAUACAUACAUCCACAUAUUUAAUACAAAAGAACAGUACACCAUACAAGGGAACAAAUAAAGCGAAUAUGCAUCAAGUAUAACAUUUGACAUUGCAUUUGUUAUGGUUAGAAAGAAACGGGAAAGGGUCUCGCAGGGGGUUAAAUCUUAUGCACCAAUGAUUAGUUAAAUUAUGCACUCUAGUUUCAAUAGGUUCCUAACAAAAGAAUUCUGUUAUAUGCACUAGUGGGAACCUAAUCAUUUUAAGUUGAUCAACAUCGCACGAGAUAAACAAUUAACUACAUGAAUCAAUUAGCAUAACGGAAUUUUAAAUUAAGCUUCAUAUUUCAAUAACAUUAACAAUGAUUAGCCUACCUAAAAUAAAAUAGCUAUGAUCACAGAAAGUAAAUAAAAUAAAAUAAAAAAAAAUAAAAAAACAGAGGGGGGGCAGUUGAACCGGCCCUAGGGGCGGUUGAACCGGCCCUGCGCAGGGGGCGCGGCCAGGGGCGCGCGGCUGGGCGCGGCCGGGCGGGCGGCCGAGGGCGCGGUCGGGCCAGGGCGCGGCCAGGGCUGGCCAGCGGCCGGCUGGGCGGCCAGGGGGGCGCGCCGGGGCGGCCAGCGGCCGGCUGGGGGCGGCCAGCGGCCGGCUGGGGGGCACGGCCGGGGCGGCGGGGGGCGCGGCCAAGGGCCGGCUGGGGGCGCGGCCAAGGCGGUGGCCGAGGAGAGAGGAGGGGGAGGGGGGAGGGAGGGAGGAGGGAGAGAGGGAGGAGGGGGGGCUCACCGGCGAGGGGCGGCCGACGGCGAGGGCGGCGGCCGGCGCUAGGGCAGGGGGCGGGUAGGGGCGGCGGCUAGGGAGAGAAUGAGAGAGGGAAAAAAUGAGAGGGAGAGGGAGAGGGUUUGGGGAAAAAGGGGAGGUGGGGGGGCGGUUGGGCCUGCCAAGGCCCAAGAGGGGGCGCCAGGGGCGGCUGGGCCGGCCAGGGUCGGCCCACGGCGCGGGAGAGAGAGAAAAAGAGGAGAGAGAAAGAGAGAGAAAAAGAAAGAAAAGAUCUUCUCCUCAUUUUCGAAAUCCGAUCUUUCUACAUGAAUGCAUUUGCACUUUCAAAGCAAUCAAAAGAAAUGCAAGGUUCGGCAUGGUGCAUCAAACAACAUAAAGUAUUUAGGGUUUUUCUUACACGGGAAAUCCAAACCGAAUCCCGCUAGAACUUUGGAAAAGGUCAAGGUUUAGCGAGGGAAAAAGAAAAAGAAAAGGUAACGCCCGAAUUUUGGCGAGUAAAGAAAAGAAAAAAAUUCAACUGCAAAAUUCGGGGCGUUACAGCCGAGCGCCGCCGGGACGCCGCGAGCGGGGCGAGCCGCACCGACGCGGCACGGGGAGGGGGCGGGGUCGGCUGGGGGCGGGCGCGCCGCUCCGCGCCACCGGGACGGACGGGGGCCGGAGGGCGCCGAAGGCGGGGCGGGCGGGCACCGGCGAGCCGAGGCCGGGGUGGACGGGGUCGCGCGGGUGAGCGCGCCCGCGGCGCUGGGAGGGCGUCGGCGAGCUAGGGAAAGGGGGAGGGAGGGGAGAGGGAAGAGGAGAGGGAAGGGAGGUCGGGCUCACCGCGGGCGAGGGCGCAGGCGGGCGGCGGCGGUUCCGGGCAUCGGGGCGAGGUGGAGCAGGGGAGGAGAGAGAGAUUUGGGGCGGGGAGAGAGGGUGACAGGUGGGGCCCGCGGGGAAGAGGCGGCGGCGGGCGUAACCGUCGCGCCGCGCGCGGGGGAUGCGGGAGGGGGCGCGGCUGGGCUGGCUCCUGGGCCCAAAGCGGAGGGGGCGCGGGGCGGGGGGGAGGUGGGCCGCGGCACCGCCGGCCCACGGCGCAAGGGUAGGGAAGGGAGAGGGGGCGAGGCCGGUUGGGCCAGCCGGCCAGGUGGGCCACGCGCCAAGGGGGGUGGCUGGGCCAAAAAAGGGAGGAGGGGGAGGGGAGAGAAAAGAAAAGAUUUUCUUUUUCUAAUAUCUAUUUUCUAUAUGAAUGCUUUCACACUUUCAAACAAUCAAAAAAAUGCAUGGUUCGACAUGGUGCAGCAAACCAAAGAAAAUAACCCUAGGGUUUACUAUUGUCACAUGACUUAAAGUUUUGAAGACGGGUGAGGUUUUAGCGAAAAGAAAUGGGAAAGAGGGGUAACACCCAAAUUUAGCGAGCGAUAGGGAAAGAAAAAAAUUCAACUCGAAAUUCGGGGCAUUACACUAUCCAACCAUGUCAUCCCUUAAGCAUGGUUCAUGUUCCAGAAAACUCCCAAAAUACUCUUGUCCCAUAUUCUGCCUAUAAUUCUCCUAUUCAUACUAAGUCAGAUGAUUCAUUCGUCACUAUUCUCACCAACAGUGAACUUCACUGUGCUACACCACAUACACCCAGCUAUAAAUACACCCAGCUACCCUCUCCCUCCCCACACACACUCAACACCCUCAACUAAGGCAAACACCCCACCCACUCAGUUACUCUGCUCUGCCGGCUACACGCAUAGUGUCGCUUCGCCUCCAGUCCACCCUCCUGGUAAGCACCUCCACUCCACCACCAGACACAGAUUCUGCUCAAGAAUCUACCCAUCCAUGUAUCGCUAUUCUGACCACUAUACUAAAUAUCUAUUGAUAUACUUGCUGGUUUGUAUGUUUGCUUGUUCAUGAUGCAUAGUUAUCGGAGCGUUCGUGUCGUCUCGUGGAGGCCAGAUCUGCAAGUCUACGCCAGGCGGUGGAGCUAGAAGCCAGUUCCGCGAGCUCCCCUUCUCCCUUCGCCGAAUAAGCACGGCAAGCUCACUGGAUCCCUUUGAUGCAUAAAUUACCUAUGAUUUUUCAACCACAACCCUCAGCCUGUUAUUUUAUGCAUGAUAUGCUUUUGAGACAAGUUAUUAUGGCCACCCAGCUGCUUGACGCAAUCAAUCCUUGAUAUAUUUGUUACAAAUGAUUUAAGAAAAGGUGUGAGUUUUCAAAAGAAAAUGCUUUUCAAAGUGUUUAUGAUGAAGGGUUUUCACCCUUAUCACCUUUGAGUAGGGAUGAUCAGGGACUCCCUGGUUUUGGGGAAGGCCUAAGGUGAUGGCUCAGCUGGUUUAGGUGUGGGCAGAAGGAUUAUCCCCUCACAUAAGGAUCGGUUUAUCAUCCUUCACUACCUGUACUCAUGAUAAGUACAACCACUCGAGACUGUAUGGGCAGUCACUCAAUCUAAACUCGUACGGUCCAAACCCCAGGGUUAUGAAGGCUGGGGAGCAGUGGGAGGAUAAGGAGGGGGAAUGUUUUGUCCAGUUUGGACAUGGCGGUGGCCUGACUCCUUCCGGUAUAACCGCUAAGGUAAGGACGUGUGAGGAAAGAAAGAGAUUCGGUUUCGGGUCUCACUAGCUAUGAGAUCGUAGAGCCGGACUAGUGGGUAAAGUGUACACCUCUGCGCAGAGUUUGAAAACCUAUUCGAAUAGUCUGUGUCCACAGCAUUGGACGAGUCUGGUGUGGUAUGGAAAUUAGUGUUUUGUUUUCAAAAAAAGGGGUGCGUUUGAGAAAAGUGGUUUUUAAAAGGUCCGGCGGUUGAGCCAUGAGCUAUGGUGGACGGGAAGUCCAGUAGCUGUUUUUGAAAAUGAAAAACAGUGGGAAACUACUGAGAUACCUGGAUGGUUUAGUCCAAGGGAUUUUGUUCUAAUAUUGAAAAACUUCCUGCUCCUUUGGGAGAGGAAGCGCUUUGCAAAAUACAAAAUGUUUUACAAAACAACCCUGCAUAAAAUAUUGUUGUUUCUGCAAAAUAUCCUGAGCUCCACAUAUUCCAUGCAUUAUAUCUGAUUUCCCCAUUCCGCGGGUGAAGGUGGGCUGCUGAGUACGUUUGUACUCACCCUUGCUUAUUUGUUGCUUUUCAGAAAAGGAGAUCGGGUAAGAGUUACGACUGUUCCCAACCUUGCUUGUGGCUGUUGGACCGCUGAUUUGCUUCGUUGCGUAUAUCGGGCUACUUCAGCCCCACUCUGAUGAUAUGUCCCGAGUUGUGGACCAACUCUUAAAGUUGUUCACCUUUAUAGGUUUGUCUCGUUUAAGCAGAUUUGGUAUCAUCUGAUGUAUAAAUGUGUUUACUAGCCUCCUGGGACUAGUAAUUGUAUCACAUUUGAGUCCCAGAGGAUUUGGGGCGCUUAAGGUGGUAUCAGAGCUAUUAGGUUGGCCGCAGGACGUAACCCUUAGCCUGAUCCAAAAGUUUUUGAGUCCAAACUAUUUUCUUAAAAAAAUAAAUUCUUGCUCUUAUCCCUUCAUUUCAAAAAUGCUUUCCCCCUUUCCUUCUCUCAAAAGUCAGAUGGAGGUUGAUAAACCCAACGGGUAGAAGGGUGCCCGAUCUUUCGAUGAGAGAUGAUGGAGGUGGAAAACUUGUUGGAGAACGACGUUGGCUGCCCGACUACCACAACCAAGAUGGUGUGGUGCCUUGAGCGACAGGUACACCGUCUCCUGGUAACUACGAUUUGGGGUGGAGGUCGACGUUGUGCUAUCCGACUACAACAACCACAAGGGUGCUGCGCCUUAGCGAUAGUUACACCGGCUCCUGUUGUUGCUGCUCUUGCCGUGCCAAGAACAACCUUGAACCUGCAAGCAAUCGAGAACAAUCAAGAACAAGAUAAAAAGCAGACACUCACGGAUCUGAUAGAGUUGGGGUUCUGUUUCAAGUAUCCGGGUGGUCUAGCCGACACACGCGUUUACAAGGAAGUAGCAAAGGCUAAACUUACAUCAAACAAAAACCCAAGUUCUUUGGUGGCUGCUAGUUGCUUAAAUAGAGGAAUAGAAAGGAGUUUUAAUGGAGAAUGAAACUCUCUCGGCAGUUUCUGGACGCCUCGUUUGGUUUCUGUCAUUGAUUCUUGAUGCACAUGAAAGUAGACGAAGAGAGCUUUCCAACAAGUAGUUAUUUGCACUAAACAACCUUGGGAGUGGAAAGUUAUGCUCCAUUUAAUUUGGUGCAUGCUGCAGUUACGAAAUUGACUUGGGUAGAGCAGGAGUUCACUCGGCAGUUUCUGGACGCUUAGUGUCUGAUCUCUCGUUGAUUCUUGAUCCACUAGAAAGUAGACAAAGAGACCUUUCCAACAAAUGCUUAUUUGCAUUAAACAACCUUGGGAGCUGAAAGAUAUGCCCUCUUAAACUUGCACUUGUUGUAGUUUCGAAAUCCCCUCAAGUGGAGCAACUUUUAUUGCCUUGUUGCCUUCUCAAAUUCUAGAUGGUUCACCUCCCAAACACCUUAGAAUAAUAAAAUAAUCACAAGGUAUUAGUACCUCAUUUAAGGAAUGAUUAGCUUUAACAACAAGGAACGAGUUCACCUGAUAAUUAAAUUUACGUGCACGGACUCGUUUCACUGGUCCAUGAUUAAAUGGUGAAGGAGGUCGCUGGUGUGGUGUAUUGAUGGCAGUGAUGUCCUCAUCAUCCUCCCCUUCUUGUAAUAGAGUCGUCCUCGACUCUAGUGUAUGCUCCUCACCCAAGUAUAUCUUUAAAUUUGAUGAUGUGCUUGCUUUGUUGGAAAUGUUGGAAAUAUCAUUACUUGGUCCCCAAUCAACUUCUUUGUUCCUCAAUGUCUUUGUAGCAGGAGCCAUUAACAUGGUCAUAUCUGUGCGGGUUAUGUUCUCAUCAUUCUCCCCUUCUUGAUAGCAAGCCGUCCUCGGUUUUGCAUCAUGAUUGAUGUUGAUGACUAAGCUUUUAUUAAUGUCUUUCAAAUAUAAACCUGAAACUUCAACUAAAGUACAUGGAAACAAGAGAUUUUUUUCUUCUUGAGAACAUACCAAUAUCUUAUUUGCACAAAGUGAAGAAACAACAUAUCUAGAUGAAAUAGAAAUUCUAUGCACAAGAAAUUGUCCUAUGUUGUUGUACUUGCCAGCAAUAUAAAAUAUAACAUGAGAAGGACAUGGUAUAGUUGUUCUAGCAAAUAAAAUAUUUUCCAAAUUACCGAGCUCAAAAAGAUCAUCAAAUUCAAUAUAGCCCCAAGUAUUUAAAGAAGAGAGCAAAUUUAUUUCUUCAGUUUCGUUUGCAAUACAAAUUACAUGUUCCUUUUUAGCCAAAAUGUUUGGUUCAAUAAUAGAUGUAACAUGUUCAUUUACUAGUUGUUGUCUUAGUACAUGUGAAUCAUUAUCCCACAAAUCUUCACUAUCACAAGUGUCAGCAAUCAAUUCUUCUUGUGAUGAUGGAAAAACAACAGCUGGUUUUAUUAUUUUGUGUUCUUGAUCAGCAUGUAGAGCAGAUGCAAAAGAGGAACUAUGGCUCACAUGUUCAGUGCUUGUAUAAUUGUAUAAUAGAAUCUCAUUUUCAGCUUUACAUGCAAGCAAAAACAAGUGAGAAAUGUGUUUGUAUGCUUCAUGCAUGACUAUAGUCUGAAUUUCAGAAUUGAGUCCUUUCAUGAACCUAGUCAUUAUAUCUUCCAUGCAUUCAUCUAAACGAGCAAACAUGGUACAAAUUUUAAAAUCAUAAUAAUAAUCUUUCACAGUCCUAGCACCCUGCUUUAAGGUGUCUAAUUUAGAAAGCAAAUGAUCAGCAUAGUAUGCAGGAAUGAAUGCAUCUCUAAAAUGAAGUUUGAAGUCUUCCCAAGAUUGUGGAACUUUGUUGUGCCUACAAAUGUAUUUCCAUUCCAUCAAUGCGUGCUCAGUUAACAAAUUAGAGGCAAUAUAAAUCUUUUGUUUUUGAGAUAGAUCAUGCUUAUCAAAUUCCUUAUCUACCUUUAGCUCCCAAUCAAUGUAUGCAUGAGGAUCGAAUUUACCGGCAUAUAAAGGCAAGUGUUGAAUGAUGCCUCCAAUAUAACGUUCGGUUGGGUCAAAAAUGUCCAUAUCACCUGCCAUGUUUAGUAAAGACAAGAAACAAUAAAAAAUAUCUUUGAUUCUAUAAACUAGUAGGAAUCAUUGUUGUAAUCUCUCACUCUCAAACUGGUUAAACAAGUUCUUACAAGUUCUCACCACGCAAAGCAGGAGGCGCUGGCAAACAGCACGAACAACAACAACAGUGGCUGCUAGCACAACCUGGUGGUGUUGUAGAAAAUUUUGUGGAUUUAUAGGUGGUUGUUAAUACAAUAGUUCCAAGGAAUAGCUAGUACCACGUUAGCCACAGCAAGUUGAAUAAACGUUCCACAAUGGUGUUGUGCUGGUCCUAGUCCAAACCGUAAUAGAGACGCGAGCCGUUACACAAAUAGUAUCACCAAAAGCUCAGAACAACAAUCUGAUUUCUGAAACUAUAAAAAGAAGGCACACAAACUGCCUUUUGUUUUGUUGCACUUACAAAUUUUAUCUACCAAAAUUCAGAACUGGUUUUCUCUCUUUUUUGCACGUGUCUUUUUUUGUUUUGCUGAUUAGUGCGGCUUUUUUUAUGCACUCGCCUUUUGCUUUCUCUUCUUUUUGGUUGAAUUGCAGCAAGAGGUCUAAACUGGUGAUUGAAACAAGGUGGUGCGAACUCGAAACUCUAGCAGUAAGAAAACUUUAGACCAGCAACUCGACCCAAAUGCAGCAACUGUGAAUUCAACAAGUCUAAAACUAAGUAGUAAAGCAAAGGCUCAAACUGUUUUUAGGUGAAUUUCUGAUCUAAAUAUAUCUUUGGGCAAAAGUGGACUGUAGGUAAAUAAAACAAGGAAGAUUGAGUUCUCUCACCGAGCAACCUGAAAUCUGAUACCACUUGAUAAACCCAACGGGUAGAAGGGUGCCCGAUCUUUCGAUGAGAGAUGAUGGAGGUGGAAAACUUGUUGGAGAACGACGUUGGCUGCCCGACUACCACAACCAAGAUGGUGUGGUGCCUUGAGCGACAGGUACACCGUCUCCUGGUAACUAUGAUUUGGGGUGGAGGUCGACGUUGUGCUAUCCGACUACAACAACCACAAGGGUGCUGCGCCUUAGCGAUAGUUACACUGGCUCCUAUUGUUGCUGCUCUUGCCGUGCCAAGAACAACCUUGAACCUGCAAGCAAUCGAGAACAAGCAAGAACAAGAUAAAAAGCAGAUGCUCACGAAUCUGAUAGAGUUGGGGUUCUGUUUCAAGUAUCCGGGUGGUCUAGCCGACACACGCGUUUACAAGGAAGUAGCAAAGGCUAAACUUACAUCAAACAAAAACCCAAGUUCUUUGGUGGCUGCUAGUUGCUUAAAUAGAGGAAUAGAAAGGAGUUUUAAUGGAGAAUGAAACUCUCUCGGCAGUUUCUGGACGCCUCGUUUGGUUUCUGUCAUUGAUUCUUGAUGCACAUGAAAGUAGACGAAGAGAGCUUUCCAACAAGUAGUUAUUUGCACUAAACAACCUUGGGAGUGGAAAGUUAUGCUCCAUUUAAUUUGGUGCAUGCUGCAGUUACGAAAUUGACUUGGGUAGAGCAGGAGUUCACUCGGCAGUUUCUGGACGCUUAGUGUCUGAUCUCUCGUUGAUUCUUGAUCCACUAGAAAGUAGACAAAGAGACCUUUCCAAUAAAUGCUUAUUUGCAUUAAACAACCUUGGGAGCUGAAAGAUAUGCCCUCUUAAACUUGCACUUGUUGUAGUUUCGAAAUCCCCUCAAGUGGAGCAACUUUUAUUGCCUUGUUGCCUUCUCAAAUUCUAGAUGGUUCACCUCCCAAACACCUUAGAAUAAUAAAAUAAUCACAAGGUAUUAGUACCUCAUUUAAGGAAUGAUUAGCUUUAACAACAAGGAACGAGUUCACCUGAUAAUUAAAUUUACGUGCACGGACUCGUUUCACUGGUCCAUGAUUAAAUGGUGACGGAGGUCGCUGGUGUGGUGUAUUGAUGGCAGUGAUGUCCUCAUCAGAGGUUCACUACCAAACCAGCUUUUGCCAGAAUGAAGAUGGUUUCCCCAAGUUGCUGAGAGCAUGCACAGUCCGCCUCGGAAUCAGGAGCCAGCCAGAGUAUGAUGGCCGUGAAUUCGUCGAGCAUGGCACAGAGAAGUGUGUCGUGACUGUAUACAUUGGAUCCAGUCCGCACCAUGUGGAAUGGAGUGUCACUGCUGCUGGGCACAGAUUCAAAGACACCUGCCAAGUCGUCGCUCGCAAGGCAUUGAGGACCCUGUGUCAGAUCUAUGAAGAAGAAGUGGCCGACACCCCGCUCAGAUUCUUUCCGCCCUUUCAGAGAGACCGUCCAGUUUGGAUGGCCAGGAUGCGUGCAUUGGAAGGACAGCAGCUGCUUGAGGACGACCCCACAGUCGUGUACCUCACUGUAUACCUGCUCACCCUAGAUGCACAGUAUGAUUUCUUGGCUCGGCACCACCGUCAGAUGAUUGCCCGAGCAGAAGAUGCAGAGAAGCGCAACCGUCAGCUCCAUGUGGAUCUCACCACAGCUCAAGCCCGUGUAGCUGCCUUGGAAAGUCGUGAAGUCAUUGCUGUUGAAGCCCUGAAGCAAGCCAAGGAUGAGCACGUCCAGAAGUUGAUGGUGGCCUACUUGGUAACCCAUAACCAACGUAGAGCCCUGCGGAUCCAAGAGCCCGCUUCAUCCAACCCAGUUCAACCCAGGAGAGCCGAAGAUCCCCAAAUUCUUGAAGGUCACCCGGUCUCUAUCAGAGGAGAAAAGAAGGCUUGGGAACUCCCGAAAAGAGCCAUAGUCUUGCAAGGAAUGCCAGUCUCCCCUAAGGCUAUGGAUAAACAAGAGCACCCUGAAUCCUCAGAAGAUUCUAGCACCGUCCCGUGAGAUCAAAGAAGAAGCUGCAAGCACCCCGCCAGCACCAUCACCCUCUGAGAAGCUACAAGAGUCAGUCCCGCUUGAAGAAGAGUUCGACCCCGUCUUGCCAUCUCUGUCGCUGCCAGAAGAAGUCAUCAACAUCAGCUCCCUCUUGACCAAUCCAAGAGAUAUCUCAGAUUGAAGUUGUGCGCCAGCCUGCCAGAAGAGAAGUUGCCUGGUCUGAAGUUAGUAUGCCCAGUCCUCUGCAUGCAUUGGGUAGUGAGGUUUUUCUUCACUUUGGCUAGAGCCCUGCAUGUAUGAAAGGUAACUGUGUAGACUCGUGUUUUGCAAAACUCUAAUUGUGUGGCCCCCUAGGGCAUUUCAAAAUGAAUUUCACUUGAUGUUUUCUCCCCUUUUGAGUGCAUAUGUGAUGUUUUAACGUUAGUGCUCAUAAGUUCCAUUUAGCAUAGUUCUCAAUUCAGGAGCCAAGCAAUAGUAGUUAUGCUUAGCCCCUGAAUCUGAGUAGUCCGUGCUUUGGAAAAACUCUAUUCUUCCCUUAUUCAAAACAUUUGAUUUGUUUGUGCUUAUCAUUGCUGAGCUUAUGUGUUUUCUUUCUUUUUAAGAAAGGUUUUCUCUAAAAACAUAGAUCACAAAUUAGAGCUAAUCCUCACCUUAUGCUUCCAUUCUCACCUUAACCCAUCUCAAGAGAAAAGCACCUUACCCAAGAAGAUACCAGAAAGCUUACCCUUGAAGCCGGGAAUAAGCUACAGAAGAAACUCGUCCAGCCGCUCAGUCAAAAGGACCGACCUUGGGAAUCAAAGCACUGCCCCUGAGUCAAAGUAAACAAGAAAAGAGGACAAAAGGAGUUAUUACCAUAUAAAGAGGCAAAGAUUCUUGGAACCAGAGACCACAAACAUCAGGGUCAUUGACCCCACCACUCAUCCAUGCCCCCCGCACGCGUGCCUGCCUCCAUGCGCACCACCACCGCCCCACUUCCCCUUUGCAGCACACCCACCGCCAUUACCGCCAGCAACACCACCCCUCCCCUCCGUCGCACCUGCUGCCUCGUGUCACCUGCUCCAUCACCGCCACUUCGCACCCGAGCACCCCCACUCGCCUAUAAAUCCCCCCCAACAACUCCCUCAGUUCCUAUUCCACUCAAAGCAAAACACUCCCGAUAAAAUACCCUCUGUCAAAUCGCAAGCAACUCCAUUUUCCACUAUUCACCGUUACUAUUCAUCAUAGUUAAUAUUCAUCGGCACUAUUCACCAUCAUACUAUUCAUUGUUACUAUUCACCAACACUAUUCAUCAUCGUUACUAUUCAACGAUGAAACCUAUGGUAACUUUUCGUUGUCACUAUUCAUCGAUCAUCCGAUCACCCCAAAUUUCAACUACUCAUCCGUCAUGCUGUCCAGUCCACCUAAGACCAGCCAGACCAAUAUUUCAGUCAUACAAACUCUGAUUACUGUGAUUUUCCUUCUAGUGGGAACUUCCCAUCUGAUCGCCCGUCCCAGGUUUCUCCAAGUUGAGCACGCUUAACUUUGAGAUUCCUUUGAACCAGGCUUCCAAACUCCGAUUCCAAUAAUUCUUGUUUCUAAAUUCUUAUCGAAUUAUUCCCUAUCCAACCAUGUCAUCCCUUAAACAUGGUUCAUGUUCCAGAAAACUCCGAAAAUACUCUUGUCCCAUAUUCUGCCUAUAACUCUCAUGUUCAUACUAAGUUAGAUGAUUCAUUCGUCACUAUUCUCACCAACAGUGAACUUCACUAUGCUACACCACAUACACCGAGCUAUAAAUACACCCAGCUACCCUCUCCCUCCCCACACACACUCAACACCCUCAGCCAUGGCAAACACCUCACCCACUCAGUUACUCUGCUCUGCCGGCUACACGCAUAGUGUCACUUCGCCUCCAGUCCACCCUCCUGGUAAGCACCUCCACUCCACCACCAGACACAGAUUCUACUCAAGACUCUACCCAUCCAUGUAUCGCUAUUCUGACCACUAUACUAAAUAUCUGUUGAUAUACUUGUUGGUUUGUAUGUUUGCUUGUUCAUGAUGCAUAGUUAUCGGAGCGUUUGUGUCAUCUCGUGGAGGCUAGAUCUGCAAGUCUACGCCAGGCGGUGGAGCUAGAAGCCAGUUCCGCGAGCUCCCCUUCUCCCUUCGCCGAAUAACCACGGCAAGCUCACUGGAUCCCUUUGAUGCAUAAAUUACCUAUGAUUUUUCAACCACAACCCUCAUCCUGUUAUUUUAUGCAUGAUAUGAUUUUGAGACAAGUUAUUAUGGCCACCCAGCCGCUUGCCGCAAUCAAUCCUUGAUAUAUUUGUUACAAAUGAUUUGAGAAAAGGUGUGAGUUUUCAAAAGAAAAUGCUUUUCAAAGUGUGUAUGAUGAAGGGUUUUCACCCUUAUCACCUUUGAGUAUGGAUGAUCAGGGACUCCCUGGUUUGGGGGAGGGCCUAAGGUGAUAGCUCAGCUGGUUUAGGUGUGAGCAGAAGGAUUAUCCCCUCACAUAAGGAUCGGUUUGUCAUCCUUCACUACCUGUACUCAUGAUAAGUACAACCACUCGAGACUGUAUGGGCAGUCACUCAAUCUAAACUCGUACGGUCCAAACCCUAGGGUUAUGAAGGCUGGGGAGCACCGGGAGGAUAAGGAGGGGGAAUGUUUUGUUCGGUUUGGACAUGGCGGUGGCCUGACUCCUUCCGGUAUAACCGCUAAGGUAAGGACAUGUGAGAAAAGAAAGAGAUUCGGUUUCGGGUCUCACUAGCUAUGAGAUCGCAGAGCCAGACUAGUGUGUAAAGUGUACACCUCUGCGUAGAGUUUGAAAACCUAUUCGAAUAGUCUGUGUCCACAGGAAUGGAUGAGUCUGGUGUGGUAUGGCAAUUAGUGUUUUGUUUUCAAAAAAAGGGUGCGUUUGAGAAAAGUGGUUUUUAAAAGGUCCGGCGGUUGAGCCAUGAGCUAUGGUGGAUGGGAAGUCCAGUAGCAGUUUUUGAAAAUGAAAACCAGUGGGAAACUGCUGAGAUACCUGGAUGGUUUAGUCCAGGGGAUUUUGUUCUAAUAUUGAAAAAUUUCCUGCUCCUAUGGAAGAGGAUGCGCUUUGCAAAAUACAAAAUGUUUUACAAAACAACCAUGCAUAAAAUAUUGUUGUUUCUGCAAAAUAUCCUGAGCUCCACAUAUUCCAUGCAUUAUAUCUGAUUUCCCCAUUCCGCGGGUGAAGGUGGGCAGCUGAGUACGUUUGUAGUCACCCUUGCUUAUUUGUUGUUUUUCAGAAAAGGAGAUCGGGUAAGAGUUACGACUGUUCCCAACCUUGCUUGUGGCUGUUGGACCGCUGAUUUGCUUCGCUGCGUAUAUCGGGCUGCUUCAGCCCCACUGUGACGAUAUAUCCUGAGUUGUGGACCAACUCUUAAAGUUGUUUGCCACCUUUAUAGGUUUGUCUCGUUUAAGAAGAUUUGGUAUCAUCUGAUGUAUAAAUGUGUUUACUAGCCUCCUGGGACUAGUAAUUGUACCACAUUUGAGUCCCAAAGGAUUUGGGGCGCUUCACUGCCCCUCCUGCCAUUGACCCUGCUCUUGCUGCGAUCCUCCAGACUCUUACUCAGCAGCCGUCUCACUUGGCAGCGGUCCAGCAGCAGAUGUCCGAGUGAAUGAUCUCGAUGUUUCAGACCAUUCAGGACAGACAGGAUACUCUGCAGCAGCAACUCCUCCAGGACCAGGCUGAGAACAGGGCAUUCAUGACUCUCAUGCUUCAGCAUACCGGUGUUCUGGCUCCCCCAGUUCAGUCUUCACCGCCUCCACCUUUUCAGGUUGCUGUUGUGCUAGCCAUUCAGGCAGGACCUCCUCUUCCUACAGUCGGUCCUUCUUCCUCUUCGCUCCGGCCGGUCACCCUAGUUUUCACGUCACCGGUCAUCAGCUCCGUCAGCACUCAGCUGCCAAUGCCACCAGCUCCUGUUGUUACCACUGCAGCUAUGGCGGUGUCUCUGACUUCCUCAGCUCCUGCAGCGCAGCCUCAGUCCAAGUCAGUACCAGCUCUAGCUUCUACGAUAGAUCCUGGAUCCAAGACUGACUCUGACCCGCAGCUAGCGUUCGCUCUACUGCCACGACCGUGACCGGAUGCGCCACCGCCACCUCCUCCCUCUUCUGAUGUGUAGGUUCGGGUUCCCUUUUGGUGUUUGACGCCAAAGUGGGAGAGAUAUGAGUUGUGAGAGCUAGGGGGAGUUAGGGAGUUAGUAGAGAGUCAUUUUGAUGUAAUAUAUGUGCUUGUUACUCUCUUUACUAGCUCCACUUUUGUAUGAUGAUUUUGGCUCACAAACUCUAUUAUAUACUUUCGAUGCUUAUGUUGACUAUGUGUGUAUUAUGUUUUCACCUUAUAUGUUAUCACCAGUCUUCUAGUUCUUGUUCAUCGAUUUGAUUUCACUUUUAUAUGAACAAGAAACUUACGAUGUGUAUGCGCUCAUUCCUAUUAUUAUGUUACACACUCCUGUCAAAGAUUACUGAGUACAACUAACCAUCUUCUCUAUUGACAGAAAUUUCAAAACAAACUACUCUCACAAAUCUUGUAGGGUUGUCAUCAAUCACCAAAAAGGGGGAGAUUGAAAGCAUCUAGGCCCCUGGUUGGUUUUAGUGAUUAAUGACAACGUAAUGUUAUAUGUGACUAACGUGUGUUUUGUAGAGACAAAUGGUAAGUUAGGUCGCAUUACAGGUAAAAGUACUACAACGGUGAAAACAAUCCCGACAAUGAGAACUCGAAGCGACGGCUAAAGCGACGAAACAAAGGGUGAAGGUCUACGUAGUCCGAGUGUCAAGGAGUUGUGGACACUCGUGAUUUAGUUAGGUCUUUUAUUUUGUUUUAGCCGUACUAUAAAGAGGGGUUGUCGAUGAGUAGUUUGACCAAGAGAGUUCUAGUGUAGUGUUGGUGCAUAUUCACACUCACAUAUAGUGCUAGGUGACACUCUACAACAUACUCACAAGUUAGAACGAAAACCAAUUUGAAAACAGCGGAAAAUAGAAAAUAGGGUUUCUGACUGUGGGGCACCGGACUGUCCGGUGCGCCCUCUGCCAGGUGGGGCCGGAUGGCCCAGGGAAGGGUUUCCCCACGCGCAGAAACCCGAGAGCGCAAGGUUCCCGAGUGGAAUUUUAGUGGCGCACCGGACAGCGCACCGGACAGUGCAUCGGACUAUCCGGUGUGCACCGGACAGUGACUGUUCACUGUCCGGUGUGCCAUCAGCCCAAUGGCUAGCUGUUAGAACUAGCCGUUGGAGUCGACCAUUGGCGCACCGGUGGUGCACCGGACUGUCCGGUGCGCCCAUGCGCAGAACAGUGCUGGUAACGGCUAGUUGGUGGGUGAGGGCUAUUUAUACCCCCUACACCCACCAUAUUCAAUGUCUUGUUGCCCACAUUAAUUCCUGCACAUUGGUAGAGCAUUGCGAGCACCAAAAGCUUAGUGAGGUGAUUAGAGAAUCUUAAUCCCGCAUUUGGACCUCAUUAGCGCUAGCGAGAGCCACCUAGAGCACACACCACUUGCAUUAGGCUUCUCUUGGUCAAGCGAAAGUCUACGGCUUGUUACUCUUGGUGAUCAGCAUCACCUAGACGGCUUGGUGGUGUUGGGAGCUCGGUGAUCACCGUGGAGAUCUUGUUGGUGACCCGACUCAAGUUUGUAAGCAGUCGUGAGGGAUCCACCGCGCAGGAGUGGCAAAGGAUCAUCUCGUAGUGAGCACUUGGUUCUUGCGAGGACUAAGGGGGAGCGAUACCCUUGCGCGGUUGCUCCAACAAGGACUAGUGGAGAGUGCCGACUCUUCGAUACCUCGGGAAAAAUUGGAGGAGUCUUCUAAACCUUGCUUUACAUUCCGCACUUAAUUCAAGCAUUUUACAUUGUGUAUUUGUUUAGCAAGUAUUUGAAGUAUUGUCCUAGCAUUGUUGUAUUUCUAGUAUUAUUCUCUUAGUGCUAGUUGUUGGGGUGAAGUUGGGCUCUUGCUUAGGUUUUAAUUAGUGUUGAUUUUUUAGAAAAGCCCAAUUCACCCCACCCUCUUGGGCAUCAUGAUCCUUUCAUUUUGUAUGUACAAUAUUUCAUGGUAGAAGACCAAAAUACGUUUGAAGAUGAUCCGCAGAACACCUUUGUGCAAGGCAAGUGGAUUCUCCCUCUGUAUUUAUGUUUGUACCCAAAUAAUACAUAUAAUCAUUUUUACUUUUUGUUAUCUACAUAAAUUUGAUGUGAUUUGCCUAAAUAGGAUGUAAGACCUAAAAUUUGUAGGAGAAAAUAUAUAUAUAUAUCAUAAAAUAAUAAAAUGAAGAACCAAAAAUAUAUAUAAUAGUGUGGUGAGAAUUUUUGAAGACCUUUGAAAAUCUAUUACAGCCCGUUUGGAUGUUGGCAUUCAACCUUAGAAUUCAGAAUUGAUAUUGGACAACUCGAAUACCGUUGUUUGGAUGUACGAGAAUCCAGAAUUGGAAAUGGUGCCCAAUACCAGCUCACCAUUCGAUGCACAUGUGCCCUACUGCCACCAAUUCGGAGCCUCUUCCCUCCUAAUUGUAGGGAAUCAGGCUGACGCUCGUUGCUCCUCUGUACAAAUUCAAUUCCAUGUUUUGUGCAUCCAAACAGAAAUUGAGUUUGGAUGGCUCUUGUGAUUCCAAAAGCCAAUUUUAUGGCCGUCCAAACAACGGUUUUCAUUUGUAAUCCAUUUCAAUAUCAAGCCUGAUUUGGUAUUCUCUCCAAUUCAUUUCCUUCCCUUUCAAUACCGACAUCCAAACGAAGUAUUAGGAUUCUUCCUUCUAAUAUUCAAACAAUAAUAUUAAAUUAGUUAAAGUAACUAAUAAAUUAAUAAAGAAAGGUUGAUCUCUUGAUGAUGAAUUUUGUGGUGAUGCAUUCUAUGGAACACAUAAACUUGACCUCCAAUUUUAAAUAAAAACAUAAAAUAUAAAAUGAAAGGAAAUGUUUAGGAAACCAUUUAUUCAUCCCAUAAAUAAAUGACAAGGAAAAUAAUAAAUAAUAAUAUUGGAAUCAAUGGAAGAUGUAUUCACAAUUGAAUGGUAAUUAAUAUUUGAAAAUCUGGACUUCAAAACAGAAAUUAAAAACUUAGUUUGAAAUCUUUAAAUUUGGGAUUUGAAAAGAAAAUAGAAAAAAGGAAAAGAAAAGGAGAAAGCAGCUUGGGCCAAAACCCACAUUCUGGCCCAUCUUUGUCCCCCCCCACCGGCCCGAGUCUGCUGUCGCGUGGCCUGUGAACCCACACUCACUGACAUGUGGGCCCGUCUUCUUCGCGCGCGCCGCUCUCAGCUUAUGCCGCUACCAGGUGGGGCCGUCUGUGUCAGCUUCUUCCUCAACAAAACACCGCGAAGAUGGCGUGCGCCAGCCUUGGUCAUUGCUCCCUCCCCGGAUUCCUCGCGCCUCUCGGUGUAUAAAACUAGAGCCCCAUUUCCUCCCCUACCCUCCAUCCAACCAGAGAGCGUCUACGUCGAGCACAGGGAGAAGAAUGAGUGGUAGAAGGUUCCGUCGCCAAGGAUCUUGCCCACGUCGCCGCUUGGGAUUCAAUUGGGGACCUGGAGGGUUUCGUCCUGGUGUGGGGUCGGCGCACCUUGCUUCGCUGUGUGAGAAUUUGGGCUGGAGGUCCGAACAAUUGAUCGUCGGAGGCCGAUUCCGCCGCUGGACCACAUCCCAUCGUGGUCGGUCCUCACCACCGCUUAAUCACCAGUAUGAUCAUGUUUCCCUAAUUCGCCAUCGACCCCUCUUCUUGUAGCAUCCGUCCAAUCGGGAUUUGGGGCACGGGCGCGCUAAUUCAUCGCGCUGCGGCGAGCUCGCCGGCAGUGCUCCGGUUGCCCUCUCCCUAUCGCAACCGGGAGGUGGGAGACGAUACAUUGGUCGUUGAUCCCCUAGCAAGCGGUUAGGAUUAGAUAAUGGGCGGACUGUUGAUCCGGGGAUGUGAGGUGGAGAAUCGAUCUGGCGUACCCCUUCGCGCGUGCAGAUUCGGCCGUGGAUCUGUGAUCCGAUGGCUAGAGCAGUUAAAGCUGGUGAGAGUCUCCUAUGUCCGUUGAUCGCGGAUCCAUCGGCUCUGGUAGCAUACCGGUUGGAUUCAACGGCAGAUCUAAUCUGGAGCGUUGGUUUUUAAUCGUGCGGCUGGGGCGCAUGCAUACCCCUUUGAUCCUGUACAUUUGCAUAAGAGCCCCUUGGCUUCGAGAUAAUAAACCCACCAUCCAUCCAUGUGUAGUAGAAUCAAAUGAAUCCCAGAAACUUACAAAGCAGCCCCUGUGCUAUUAAGGAAUUGUGUCCCCAGUCCAGAAUUAUUAGGGGUAUUCAUAAUUAAAUCAGAAAAUGAAUUUUAAUAUAAAAAAAAUCCAGAAACUUAUUUAAUUCAUAGAAAAUCUAUUCUAACUCCGAAUUGAACCAUUCUAGUGACAUUAAUUUUGUUUUAAUAUUGUUCAUCACCUAGUACCUCUGUUUAGCCAUGAAACUUAGAUUAAAAAUUAUGCAGUUAGUUUCUUUUCAUCUACCACUUAAAACUUCAGAAAAGCAUGAUUAAUUCAUUUUAACCCUGUUUUAAUCUGUUCAAAUUGCAUUAGCUUCAUAAUAAAAUUGCUCAGGCUUUAGUGACACUGUUUUGUCAUGUUCUUAAAAUAAUUAAAUACCUAUACUUAUAGGGUUAACUGUCUUAGCCCAAUGAAAAGAGGUAUUUUAAUAUGGUUCCUCUAAAAUUGACUCAAGUAUGAUCUUUAAGUAGAUUAUAAAUUAGAGUAAAAGUUGAGUUAGUCAUAUCUUUAAUAUCCUUACUCAUAUAGUUUACAUAAUCAACAUAGAAUAUAGUUUUACAUACUUAAUCAUGAAGAUCUUCAAUAAAUCAUAACUCCUUAACCGUAGCUCCGAAUUUAAUGGUUCUCAAACCCACGAUCUCGUAGCGACACGUAAAUUAUUAUUACGCAGUUUAUUCUUAUGUUUGGUCUGAUGUUAAUUUUACCUAUACCAUGUUUGUCUAUAUUGCUACGACUAGCGCGAGGUCACGAGUCAUCUGAAGAGCAAGUUGGUACCU
This 246654-nucleotide long non-coding RNA is filed under the name Zea mays. Its description in RNAcentral is "long non-coding RNA (ZMAY_LNC000393)". Lineage: Eukaryota; Viridiplantae; Streptophyta; Magnoliopsida; Poales; Poaceae. The record is from RNAcentral.